ACGAGAUCUUUGCAAUGGUGUACUCCAUUCUGUGAUUGGUGGAAACACCUGGGCGGGCGCCCAAGGGGGGUGGGCGGGCGCCCUGCCCCCGGGCCCGUUUGCCUUCUCGUUCGUUCCCGUGGCUUCUGGAGUCUUCUAGAUGAUAGAAAAUUAUGCGGCACAUUAAUAUCUCUAUGUAAUCCCGAUGUGUAGGCCUUUCUUCCUUAUUUCCUGAUAACCCCCUGCAGAAAUAGACAAACACCAAAACUCGUGGAAUUCUGUCAGAUAAAACCCUAAGUCUAGAUGUUGAUUUCAUUUGGAUCCUUUUCUUUGUUUAUUUGAUAAUUAAAUUUGAUACUUAAGGACCGUCAACAAACUCCCCCAAGCUUACCUCUUGCUCGUCCCUGAGCAAGGAUGAACUCAAGAGUUUCUGCAAUGGUUUCAUUUCUUAAAAGUACACACGCAUUCAAACAAGAUCUCAUCUCUGAGUUAGAAUAAACUGUUAAGACUUAAAACUUACUCAUUUUACCUUUUACCAUGGGGCUUGUAACCGUCACUUGUGUCUUGAGCAGUUAAAAGAUAGAACGGUCAUGUCAAGCGCCAUGUCUCUUAUUCUUGAUCAGCUAUAGCUCUGGGGUUUUUUGUAGAUUUUCAAAUAAAACUCAGAGAUUCCUUAUAUGACUCUCUCAGAUCUCUCUUUUGUGGUAUUUAUGGAUCCUUACCAAGGCAGUAAUGGUAUAUGCCUUCUCUCAAAGUAUGUGGUAUUUUUGGUAUGAGGCAUAGUGAUAUUGCCUUCUCUCUCACCCUACUCUAAUAAAGUUCUGAUAUCUGGAGCUCAUAGGUGGAAGACAGCUAAUACAUACUUACAAGACAUUUAUUGCAUAGUCAAACCAUGGAUCCAGAGAAACAAAUCAAUAAGUCAAAUCAAGAUGUGCAUGUGUGGCGAAUGAAUGGUGUAUGGUGAUGAUGGUGAUAAUGAUGGUGAAAGUCUAAUUCUAUUUUUUAUGCUCUUUUGAGGGGAUACAUACCUUUCUUGUACUUUGAAGCUUUUUGGGGAGAAUGAGAUGCUCUAUAUUUUCUUUUUCUUUCCUCUCAGGUGGGUAUCUUGUACCCCUAAUUCUACUGUCGGACACUUGUCCAUUUUUACCUCUCGUCUCACUUUUUCUUUUCUUCGAGGUUCCGGGCACUUGCCCCUUUUUAUUUCCUCGUAUUAUUAUUAUUAUUUUCUUUCUUUUUCUCUUUCUCUUUUUUUUAGAGCACUCAUCUCCUGAAAGAAUGUAGCAAGUGGUAGUAACCAAAAUAACUGGAGCAUUUAUUUCACAGGGAAUAAUAGGGAUAGGAAAAUAUUUUUUGCUAUUCUCUCCCGGAUUAGGAGUAGAAUAAUUUUGGGUGGCUCUGGAGAUGGAAGUGAGUGGAUAUAUGUGGAUGGUACUUGUGGAGUAGAAGUAGCAUGUAUGAGUGAACGUGCAAGUGAAUCUUCAUUUUAACCACAUGACAAGCUCCUAAGGGUCUACACAGCUUGACCACACUCAAUGCUCAUAAGCAGUAAAAAGUAAAUAUGUGGCUCAAAGUCUAGCAAGCAUGUAUAUAUGGUUGUGGUAGGAUUUUAAACUCUCAUCAUACAGGAACUCAUCAUGUGUUAUUUUAAAGAUUUUUUCAAAGAUAAAAUUCUCCAGAAUUCUAGCAUCUCUAGGAACAGAUAAACAGCAGCUCAACCUUCCCAUAUUAUAUCCGCUAAGGACUUAGACUUUAGAUCAAGUACUCUUCCCACAAGUUUAGGUUUAGAGCAAGCUUUAAAUUAUAACAGUUAUGCCUAAACUUGAGAGAGAUUUCAAUUUUAAGAACUAGUCAUGGCAGAGCAACUAUUCAUCAUUUCCAUGAGAGAGCUAAUCAUGAGGGUUCAUAGCAAAUUUUAUUUAUUUGUUUAUUUAGCAAACUAAGCAAAGAUAUAUAUAUAAAAGCACAAAAUCUUUAUUUGGGUUUUUCAUAGUUUAUGUAUUUUAAUAUUCUAACAUAUUAUAAGUAUAAAGAUAGGUAGAAAUACUUAGCGAGAUAAAUGGGGGUGCUCUCCCCCAAGCUGAAUUUUGACGUAAUUUCUUCUGAUGUAGCUAGCAGGUGAUGGAGGUGUAUUUGAAAGUCGAUAGCACCCCGACAGCGAUUAGGAUGUCCUCCGUCUGCUAGUCUUCUUUGAUCCUUGAAUUCUGUGGAGCUCAAAUAGACAACAAAGCUUUGUGGAACUGGUUAAGUGUUAGCAUAAAUAUCUAGCCUUUAUCAUGUUGAGCCUCCUCAAUAUUACUUAUUUAGCAGGAUCAUGCACUUAUUAUUUUUAUAUUUUUAUUGUAAGAUGAAAACUUAUUUAUUUUAUUUUCAUGCCACCACAGUGAAUGUACUUAUGGGUUUUAUGCCAUGAGCAUACUCACAUGGGGCUUACUAUUUUUUAACAUUUAUUUUCUUUUCAAGAUAGCAUGAACCUGAUUAACUAAGCAAACUAUUGAAUGGAAAAGGAUAACUACCAAGUUUACCUCUUGGCAAGGCGUUCGGUGUUUUUAAGUCCUCCGAACGGGACUCUCUGUUUCCUUAGUCGUCCUGGGAUUUGCUGGGUGGCGUAGUCGGUGGUUCCGACGACGCCUCCUCUUCGUGUAUAACUAUCUUCUCUUUCCACACCUGACUCGGUGCUACGGUCUCCUCAGGAUAGUUCUGUUCAAGUUGUAUGUCUUCAGUCCUUAUCUCUUCUCCUUUGUAGUCUACCCAUCUGUCCUUGAUGACUUGCCUCCUCUGGUUGCGGUUGCGUUGUCUUCUUCUUGUCCUGAUCUGCUUAGAAUCUUCAACUAUAUAGUUAGAAUCAUUAAAGUAGUGGCGUACCUUUUCAGAGGGGAAGUGCAUGUGGACUUCUCCGGUUCCAAUAUAGAUAAUGGCUUUGAUAGUGCUGAGGAACGGUCUUCCAAGGAUGAUGGGUGGAUCGAACUCGUCUUCUCCCAUGUCAAUGACCUGAAAAAUCAUCUGGAGCUGAAUAUAUUGGUUGUAGGGGCAUGGUUCCAUGCAGGAGCUGAUAAGUGACUGCGGCCAUUAUGUUGUCGUCAGAUCCGGUGUCGUAGAGUGUCUUCUGAAAAGAGUAUCCAUUGAUUGUGCACUCGAUGCUUGGAACACCAGAGUCGUUCUUCUUGAUCAAGAAAGGUGACUUGAGUCGACGAUCUUGACCUCCUUGAGCUGCAGUGACCAUCUUAGCUGACUCGGUCCACAUUUGCUUGUUCCUGUUCCUCCUGUUGGUCCUCUUCCUUGGUUCAUGUCGGGAUUGCUCUGAAGCUUGUGUAGUCUUGUUCUUGAAGGAAAGUCUCCUUCUUCCCCUUGAUGUAGAGACUGAUCUUGGCAGCAUUAGCGUAGAUGACAGCUCUGGUGUUUAGGAAUGGCCUCCCUAAGAUAAUGGGUGCCCUCUCCUCAGUACCAGUCUCUAUCACCACGAAGUUUGCUGGAGCGUACAAGGUACCAACUCGGACACAGAGGUUCUUCAAUAUUUCCUUUGGAAAACUAAGUGUCCGACCUCCAUUGUGUUUUGUGCUCGUAGAUCCCGAUUCUUCACUUGGUGGAAUCUAGGAGUUGUAAAACUCCUCCAUAUUUUGUUUGAAGUGUACCUGUUCAUAGAGACAAGGCAGAGAUCAAGUGCAUGGGCUCUGUUGGUGGAAAACACCAACAGAACCAAAAGUGUAUUUGUUCUUCUCUAACCUUAAGCAUAGUGAGCAAGACAAAGUUGAUGGAUCAUGAGUGUGGCAUUAAAAACAUUUGUUAGAUCAGAUGGCUCAACCUAAUGGAAAGAUAAUAUAUCUAUAUUUAUGUUUUGUUUAUAUCUUUCAAAGAUUUAUAUGAUUAGGAGUGUGGGAUCACGAAGGUAGUACUAAGAACAAAGAUUAAAGGACUAAACAUGUUGAAUCAAUUGGGUUGAUUAAUUUGGAGCUACAAAUCAUACAUGUUUGUCUCUUUUAUUCAUGUGUAUGCCAAAACCAAGGAGAACUUAUAAAAGUGAUAAUCAAGUACUUUAAGAUGUUAUUGAAGAGUGAUGGUAUAGUAUCACCUUAUGGAAGCUUUCCUUUCUUAGCGGUUGUGCAUCGUGUUUGUGGCACCCUCCAUGAAUCAUCUCUUAUGAGCUACAUCUUUCUUGUGUAAAUUGUUAAACUUCAUGUGUCACUUUCUUCAUCUCUAAUGUGAGUUUAUCUCAGGACUUCCUAGGUUGAUGUUGAAAGUUCUCCUGCAGGGGUUAGUCCCACAAAAUAUACCAAUAUCUACUCAAGAAGUUUUUAGUUCAGUAACCAAACUAGACUCCAUGUCUAAUCAGAUUAAGGAAGGCUAUUUAACCUAAGCACCACGCUUAAUUUAAAUGCCAUUGGAAGUGUGUCCAGUACUUCCAAACUAACACUUACUAGGAUAAACAAAGGUAGCAUGAUGGCUUUUAUAGAGAUCUACUCAAGUGGAGAUGAAGUAGUGUGAUUAGUAUUUAACAAAUUGAGCAUGUCUCAAAGGUAAGGACAACCAACAUAGUAACAUGGCAAAGGAUGUUUUAUGUAAAGUACUCCCCCAAGCUUGAAUUUUGCAAAAUUCAAGUUUGGAUGAAUUUAAUUCAAUGUUGCAUGAUGAUUGGUUGGACAUACCUUGUGCUUGUCAUUCCUCGGAUCUUCUUGCUCCAAUCCUAGAAAGGUUAGUGACACGAAUACCCGAAGGAAUAUUUCUACAAUUAUCUUUAUAUGCUCAAUACACAAGGCAAUGUUGCAAAUAAUUAAAAGUUCAUGUUAUGAUCUGAUAAGUGCUUGUUUUAGGACACUAAGCUUGUCCUUGGGAAACCAUCAAUUAACUCAGCGAGAUCUGCAAUAUUUAUUAUAGACAUAUGCAUCGACAACCGCUCUUUUAAAGUUUUUAUAAAUAGAAAAGAAGAGAGGGUUGGAGAUCUCAAAUGUGGUAAUGUUGGAGAGACUAAUUGAUUGGGGAGAUGUUGCAUAUGAGCAUGGACUUGGUGAGGUAUUUAUGAAAUAACUUCCAUGCUCACUGUUGUUUCUCUCAUUCUCAAACUCCAAGGAUGAUUCUUCAUGAAUGCUUAAAAUUCCUCUAGGAUUGUCUCUCAAGUUUGUUUUAUCUAUCCAUCCAAUGGUGAUAGCACAUGGAUUUUUAAUGCCCUCUAGCCAUUGAUGUUGCUCUUCUCGAUCCUCCUUCUUAUGCAUGGGAUGUCUAGAGAGAUUCAUAGGAUUAUCACGAAUGAAGACAUACCUUCCUUUACUAAUAGAUAAAGAAAGAAGGACUCUACCAAAGGUUAUAUUAUUAAGACCAAUGUGAAAAUAUUUAGGAAAAACAUGGUCUUGUAGGGCUAGGUCUAAACCAGGAUUUAUAGAAAGAUUAACAGAUUCCCUAGGUGUAGCUAAAAGUGCAUUAUCUUCUUGAUUAAAAGAUAGGACCUCAGCUAUAGAAAAGGGUUGGUUUUGACCUAUUGCAAUCAACUCCGGACACAGAUCAUAAUUAGAGGCAGGACGUGUUGACUCCCAUGGUCUAUGGCUGGUCUCCGAAGGUGCAAAGAAUUUAAUAAUAGGUAUGGAAUUUGAGUUAUCCAUAAAGAUAAAAAUAAAUAGAUAAAAGAAUAAAAGUAUAAUACAAGAUAAUAGCAAGAUUCAAAGUUAUCUCAGCAAACUGUCUUUCUCCCCGGCAACGGCGCCAGAAAUGCUUGUUGAUAUUUGGUAACGCAAUUAGAAAAUGAUCCGCAAGCGCACGGAUAUCGGUGAGCAUUUCACCCGGGAGGUUUUCCAGAGUAUCGUAUUUAUAUUUUUACCACUGGGAGAAAGGGUGCAUCUGACUAACCAAAUCUAUUGCUACUAUCCCUUUAGGCUACAAAGAAUGUCUCUCGAUGUGAGUGAUGUAUAGAGAAGACUGCAACCUUAGUCUCGUUCUAACCUUGGUAAGGAUGAUCUACUGUUCUAUUGGGGAGGCUCACGGAAUCUAGACAACACAAAGGAUGUUCGACCCGCACCUAUAAACCUACCCGUCCUGCUAACGAGAUGUGAUCUGCAAAGGUAACUCGGAAAUGUCACGUUCCUCGCUACUACAACGGUCCAGCUAGUCAGGGGAUAUCUAUGAGUACCCUAGCCUAAACACCACGUUUACGCUAGCAAGUGAUUACUCUAAUACUCAACCGGAAGAGGAUUAAAGUAAACUCAUAAACCAAAGAACAAUAAAACAAGAACUUACUAGUAUUAGAAGUCGAAUUACUGAAGAAUCUUAGAAGCAAGCCUCGGGUUAGGAGACUUGAUCCCGCAGGUACAACUCGGAGUAGACACCGACAGGCCGGCCUUCCUCCGAUCCACACCUCCACUCUAUCUUUCUCAAUCUAGUAGAAACUAGAAGAUCUAUUUCUACUUUACAUUGGUUGCUAAGCCUAAAAAGAAAUAUUAUUUAGAGAAGAGGUUUUCCUUCGAGGGCACCCCUCAAUCUCUAUGAUAAUUUCUUGUCUUCUCCAGGGGCCUUGCUUAUAUAGUCCUCCUCCUCUGUGCGUUUUUGGUUCAGCAGGCGAUGUGGUACUAAACUUUCCACCAUAUCUCAUUAAAAUGCACAUAGGCCUUAAUGGACCAAAAUCUGAUUUGGGCCCAAUUAAUCCCGCAGCUCUUUUAUGUGGAGUCCUUCUUUUAUUAAUAUCUUUUGAUUCCGAACUCCAAAUAUAGCAAGUAAUAUAUGCAUUUCUAUCAGCUCGACGAGAUCUUUGCAAUGAUGUACUCCAUUCUGUGAUUGGUGGAAACACCUGGGCGGGCGCCCUGCCCCCGGGCCCGUUUGCCUUCUCGUUCGUUCCCGUGGCUUCUGGAGUCUUCUAGAUGAUAGAAAAUUGUGCGGCACAUUAAUAUCUCUAUGUAAUCCCGACGUGUGGGCCUUUCUUCCUUAUUUCCUGAUAACCCCCUGCAGAAAUAGACAAACACCAAAACUCGUGGAAUUCUGUCAGAUAAAACCCUAAGUCUAGAUGUUGAUUUCAUUUGGAUCCUUUUCUUUGUUUAUUUGAUAAUUAAAUUUGAUACUUAAGGACCGUCAACAAUAUACACCAUAUUUUUUGGGAAAAAUAAUUGUUAUGAUUUAAUCUUGUUAUUUAAGUGUAAAUUCAUAUCUUUUGAUUUACUUCUCCAAUUGUUGUAAAAUUUUUGUGCUAUGCUCUGAGUAGUAGUUGAAUGCUCUGAUAAAUAUUUCAUGAUUUUGGGAGUGAUGUAUCUAUGAUAUGUAAUUUAUGUUGAUUCUAUAGCUUGUUUUCAUAUUUAAAUCAUAAUAAAUGUUUGAUGAUUAUGCUGGUGUUCUACUUUGGUGUCAAGCUUGUUUAUGGUAAUAGUAACAUGUGAAUAAUCUGAAAUCUGUUGUUUGACACUAUCUAAGCCAUGUUUCUUAAUUUAUGAAAUAAGCACCUUGUUACAUGUUAAUUACUUAUCUUAAGUUUGGCAUGUGCAAUUACUCUGAAAAUUUUAUGGUAAUGUCAAGAUGCUAUACUUGUGCUUCUGUAAUUUUUUUAGAUUUGUCUCAGCACUUUUGCUGGUAUCUUGUAAUUAUGUCCUUUUAUGGAAUUAAAUUAAUAAAUGCCUUGUUAUUAAAUAUUUAGUGGUCAACAUAUGAUGUUCUGGUAACCUUAGACUAUGUUUGUGCUUGUAAGCCAUUUGGUUGCCACUAAUUAUGUUUUGGCUAUGUCAUCAAAUAAUUAAUUAAAGGUUCAUAAACUGUUCUGGACAGCAAGGGAGUAAUCUAACCUUUGCUGGAUGAUAACUUGGCUUUCUGGAAGACUUGUCUAAAUCAAAGAUGUUGUAAACUUUAUGAACUAGCUGUAGCUCAAAGCAGGGAUCAUUUGGUCCAGUAGUUUAAAAGUUAUGGCUCUUCCAAUUUGGGUUCCUGAAAUAGGCGUUCUCUGUUUUUCUGGGACAGAAUAUGGAACUUUGUUUAAUUGACCAGUUUCACUUGUGAAUCUUGCUGUGAUGUCUAAAGAUAAAAUGUAGACAAUUUUAUAAGCUUUCCAGAAUGUCCUCAUUCAUGUUUGUUGGAUCUGUAUAGCAAUAGUUAUGAUUUGUUCUUGAGCUACACUGUUAUGUGAUAAUUGCUGUUUUGGUUUGACUUGCUAAAUCUUUCUAAGUUAGUUAGGGAUCUUGUGUAAGCUUGUUAUGAGAGUUACUCCGUAAAUGAGUGUACAGUGAAGUUCUAAUUUUGUUACCAAGCAUUCAUCCUCAUCUAGUGUGCACACAUGUCUUACUCAUUGUGCAUGCAAUAGGUGCAACGGAAACGACAGCUUCGUUCGAGCUCCAGGUGAACCCCAAAGGCCAGGAGAUCAAUCCGGAAGCGGAGGUCCAGCUAGCCGGACAAGAGGAGCCCAAAGAGGAGGUCGAGUGCCCUAAUCACGAGCCAGCCUCGUUCGUGAAAGGCAAGCCCCGGAGCAUCUUAAGUCUCCCGCUUUAAUUUCAAAAGCAAUCUUGAUUAUGUUAUAUCUAUUGAUGCAUUAGGUAUAGGAGUUGUGAUGAAACCCUUGCUGCAUGAUACUCAUCCCUUGUCCACAUAUCUUACCACUACCUGGUCGUAGAGUUAGGAUCAAGUAGCAGCUUAGCCAUGCUUAAUCGGUAGAAGUCGUGUGAUAUCCUGUCACCUACGCGAAAUAGGGUUGUGUCGGAUCACGAUUGACUAUAUGUGCUAUCGUGGAAAAGAACCUGAUUAAAAUGACUUAAGCCGGGCGGAGUUUUGCAAGGUUGUAGUAACUCCAUCUGUGGCAGCUAAGGACCGAUCGUUGUACGUCCUCUUGUCAUGUUGAACGCAUGCCUGACACUUAGUUGGCCGGAUAACUUGUUCCAACGGCGAAGCCUAGUAGUAUGACUCAGGCCGGAAGACCGGCAAGUAUAAAGUGCGCACUACUGGAGGAAGUGCGGUGUGCGGGGGACCAUUGGCGUAAGACCAAAGGCAGGUGAGGUUAAAGUCCUGACCUCCCUGGCAGAGUGGUAGCCCUGAGAGUGCGGCGCUAAUCGGAGCCGCGAUUCCUGAGUCGUACCAAAGGUGACCCGUUUGCUCUCCGAUGGGGGAUGCUUGGGUGAGUGCUAGGAAUAACCCUCCAGCUGGAUAUGAAUUGAUUCGAAUUGCCGUCUCUCCCGGAUAGUUAGAACUUGACAGAGCAGCAGCAAACAUAGCAUUCACUAAGUACCAUGGUUCUUGAUAAUGAUGUUGAUGAUAGCAAGGAAGAACAUAUGAUGAACUUGAUAUGGUUAUUAUUGUUUGUAAUAAUCAAGUGAAGUGUUUUAGUCCAGGUGCUAAUCUAGUGAUAGGCUAAUGAUGAUUAUUAUGACGCUUUUACAAUUGGUAUAGUAAUCAUUUAAGCUUUUGGCAAAUAUUGAGUCAAGCCAGCUACACUUUAUACUUAGCCUUGCAUGAUCCUUGGUGUCUUUUAUGUUUUACUAGACGGGUAAGUCUAGCUAAGUACAUCCUCGUACUCAGGGUUUAUUCUCACCUGUUGCAGAUGAUAUCUUUUAUGAUGGCUUCUGCAAGACCUGUCUCCAUCCCGCUGGGGAUGAGGACUAAACCGUUGGGCAUGGUUCUCUAACGACUUCGUACCUCGUUGCUUUUGAUGGGUGGCAUGAGACUCUGGCAAUAACAAGAACUUUGGAUAUGAGAUGUAAACUAUUUUGCUUCUGCUACUGUGAACUUGUGUUGUAAUAACUAAGUAACUCCGAUGUGGUGCCAUUUCGACGACAAUGAAUGAACUAUGUAACAAUCGAUGUGUUAUGUUGAACUAUUACGAUCUUGGUUUGUUGCAAGUUGGUUUGAAGUCCUUCGUGAUUUCAGUUGACUACCGGGAUUAUAUGGGCUCAAGUCUGGAAACUUGAUUGCUAGUUGAUCGUUUCUACACUUGAACUCUUAUAAUUUGGUCGGUUCUGUGACAAAAAGCAUUAUGCCAUAUCCUACGCUAGCAAAACCUUAUCUGGACCACAUCUCAAAUACACUACAACUGAAAAAGAGCUUUUGGUUGUUGUCUUUGCUAUAGACAAGUUUAGAUCUUACUUAGUGGGGGCAAAGAUAAUCAUCUAUUCAGACCAUGCUGCUCUCAAGUACCUCCUUCUCUAAGAAAGAUGCUAAGCCUCGUCUAAUUCGAUGGAUUCUUCUACUCCAAGACUUUGACAUAGAAAUCCGAGAUAGGAAGGGAGUAGAGAAUUCCGUAGCCGACCACUUGUCUAGGCUUCAAUAUAAGGAAAGACAUGAUGAGCUUCCCAUAAAUGACUACCUAAGGGAUGACUCCCUGCUUAAGAUAACACAUGCAGAUCUAUGGUACGCAGACAUCGUAAACUUUAUAGUAAAAGGCUAUGUCCCACCGGAUACAAACAAAAGGAAGUUGCUUCACAAUAGUCGUUUCCACCUUUGGAUGAGCCAUAUCUUUUUUGAGUCUGCACUGAUGGACUCUUGAGAAGGUGUGUUCCUAUGGCUGAGGCUACUCAAAUUAUGGAAAGGUGUCAUGCCUCCCCAUAUGGAGGACACUAUGGAGCAUUCCGGACACAUGCUAAAAUUUGGCAAAGUGGCUUUUUCUGGCCAACAAUGUAUGAAGAUACAAAGGACUUUGUCAGGAGAUGCCACCGAUGUCAAAAACAUGGGAAUAUCAACUCACGAAAUGAAAUGCCUCUCACAAAUAAUCUUCAAGUAGAACUUUUCGAUGUAUGGGGCAUUGAUUUCAUGGGGCCAUUCCCUAUGUCCGGGAAUUGCGAGUAUAUCUUGCUAGCUGUGGACUAUGUGUCCAAAUGGGUAGAAGCCCUACCUUGUCGAUCAGCUAAUUCAAAACAUGCCAAGAGAAUGUUCCAUGAAGUAAUAUUUUCUCGCUUUGGUAUACCCCAGAUAGUUAUAAACGAUGGAGGUUCUCACUUCAUCGACAAAAUCUUCCGGAAAUACCUAGCCGAUCAUGGAGUUCGACACAACAUCGCAACACCAUACCAUCCUCAGACUAGCGGUCAAGCCGAAACUUCUAACAAACAAAUCAAAAAUAUUUUACAAAAGACCGUAGAUGAGAUGGGUAAGGGGUGGAAGGACAAACUUCCUGAUGCACUUUGGACAUAUAGAACUGCAUUCAAAACACCCAUAGGCAUGUCACCUUAUCAACUUGUAUAUGGAAAAACUUGUCAUUUGCCUGUGGAGGUAGAGUUUAAGGCUCAUUGGGCACUCAAGAAAUGGAACAUGGAUCUCCACCUCGCUAGCGAGAAUCGUCUGAUGCAACUAUCUGAGCGAGAAGAAUGAAGAGAGAAAGCCUACCAAAAUUCAAGGAUCUAUAAAGAGAGAACAAAACGAUGGCAUGAUAAGAGAAUCAAGCACAAGGAGUUUAAGCCUGGAGAUAAGGUUCUACUAUUCAAUUCAAGAGUUAGGCUCUUUGGGCAUGGUAAGCUACGAAGUAAGUGGGAUGGACCAUACAAGGUUAUUGACACUUUAACUCAUGGAGCCAUUACCAUCCAAGACAACAUAGGUAACACUUUUAAGGUAAAUGGUCAACGUUUGAAAAUCUAUCUCGAGCCACAAAAGAACCUGGUAGAGGAACUUGAUGUGAUUGAGUUCAUAGAAUUCUCACAUUAAGCUCUCAUAAGCUCUAGACAAUUACCUAACCCUUAACAUGCUCAACGAGUUUUGUUGUCUAUUUGGGUUGUGCAGGAUUUUGAGGCUUAAGAAGAGUGAGACCAAACAUGUAGGUAACAAGAGUGAACGACUAUGUCAACAUCCAGCUUGGGGGAGGCACCCCCACGUGUAUCUAGAUAAGUAUUACUUUUCUUUCUUGGUUGUAUUUACUAGUAUUCAGAAAUAAAUAAAAAAAUGCAUAACCAUGAAACCAAACAAAGAUUUUCUUUUGAGUAAUAUACAAUAGUUUUGUGUAAUCCUAAGUUUUAAAUAAAAUAAAAAGAAAGUUUGAUCCAAGUCUAGGUAAUUGACAAACAUGAUAUGAGAAGGUCCGAGCUACUAUUUAACUUGUUCCAAGUUUCUCUAGAGUUGUGGAGAUUUUAUCUUUUAAAAAUCUAGAAAAAAUGAAUGAGAUCCUAUUUGACAUAAUACCUAGAGUCUUAUAAGAUAUAAAUAUUAAAACUAUAGGCACUUGCUUUGUUCAAGCCAUUGUUAAUUCUUGUAGUUUUGGUUGAGAGAAUUAUCAUGCUCCAAAGAUCAAGAUCUUUUUGUUUUAAAAAUAUAAAAGAUUCACUCUUCCGAAGUAUUAUUGCGUUAGAUGCAUGGGACUAUGCAAAAAUUUGAUUCGAAAAAAAAGAGUGAGACGAGAGGUAAAAAAUGGACAAGUGUCCGAAGUAGAAUUAGGGGUACAAAGAUACCCACCUGAGUGGAAAAAAUGGACACGAGUCCGAUAGUAGAAUUAGGGGUACUUGGUGCCCACUUGAAAAAAGAAAAAAAAAGAGAGAGACUGAAAAAAGAAAGAAAAAAUGAUAGCCAUGGUCCCUCUAAUAAGCAAUAUGCCAGUAAGAGAUGACAAACUUUUCAAAAAGGUCAAAGGUCAUGAUCUAGGAGUAUGACAUUCCUCUCCCUUGCUCCGAGCAUUGACAUAGCAAAAUUCAAAGUAAGUAUUGUUGACGGUCCUUAAGUAUCAAAUUUAAUUAUCAAAUAAACAAAGAAAAGGAUCCAAAUGCAACCGACAUCCAGACUUAGGGUUUUAUCUGACAGAAUUCCACGAGUUUUGGUGUUUGUCUAUUUCUGCAGGGGGUUAUCAGAAAAUAUGAAGGAAAGGCCCACACGUCGGGUUUACAUAGAGAUAUUAACGUGCCGUGCAAUUAUCCUACAUCUAGAAGAGUCCAGAAGCCACGGGAACGAAUGGGAGACCGGACGGGCUCGGAGGCAGGGCGCCCGCCCUGGCCACGGGGCCAAUCAGCUUCAACUUCGCGAAUCAUGCUCCACCGACCUAAAGGAUCAAGGAAAACCGUGUGAUUAAUGUCGGUUUGAUCCAAUGGCCCAUAUUCACUUGGAAUGUCUAUAUAAGCAGACCACCUAACCCCUAGAGGAGAGGACCUCUGAACCCUAAUUCAUUAUUCAUCUUGGGAGAAGAAGCCUCUGAUCAAGCCCUAGAGCCACCACAUCAAUUAGAUCUCUAGUUUAGCAUAGGUACGUAGGAUUAGAACUAGAAGGAGUCAAUCUUCGAUUGGUUUCUGGAUCUGUCAAGAGGAUUCUUGGUAAUUCCUCUACUGUUUUUCAAUUGUUCAUCUUUGUUCUUCAAUAUUAUGAAUAUGACUUUCUUCUACUUCAAUAUAUUGAUUAUGACUUUGCUCUAGUUGUUUAUAUUCGCAAUUAUAUUGUUCUUAGUUUAUCAUAGUUAUAUGCUUGGCUUAGUUAGAUUGGAAUUAUAUACAUGUUUAGGAUCGUAUAGUGUUUAUCCAUGUGUACAGUGGGUAAAUGAUAAGUAUUGUGUAGGCAUGGUGCCUAUACCGUAUUUAUCUGCGAUUGUACCCUAUAUGCCGGAUCGCGGGGUAGUUCGUGGUAGUGACAGCUCCAUUGAUUCUUAUAUAGGCCCCCUCUCGUGUAUAGGACUGGCAGAGCAACAUUAUUACAAGGGAGUGAUUGCUUUGUUUCUCAUAUUCCUUGAUAAUAUUACUAUGCAUGGGCGUAAUCCUACCUCGCAAUGAUUGCCAAGUAUAAUUGCACUAACUAUGAUAUGCUAGACUGUAUAGUUAAGAAUAACUUAGGAAAUAUUCUUGUAAUUCGUCAUAAUUCCAUGCUAAUGACUUGCUAGAAUAUCUAUUGAGGUGCUUAUCACAUUUAUAUGUGGCUAAGUUAUGCUGAUCAGAUUAAUUAUCUUUGUCACCAUUCAUACUUUAUCUAUCUUUUAUGUGACACUUAUCCCUGUAUGAAAGAGAUAGAUAAAUGCUCACACUUAUACAUGCAAUGAUAGAUACUCAAUUCUAUAUUCCAUUCCAUAAUCAACAUUGAUGUUUAGCAAUCCCUUCCCAGUGGUAAAAAUAUGAAUAACGAUACUUCCCGGUUAAAAUGCUACAUCGGUAUUAAUCUGUGCGCUUGCAGAUCUCAUUUAUUAUUUAUUUAGCAGAGCAAUUGCAUAUUUCAAUACCGCGUCUCUCUUGUCGUGCUGGGGAUGACAACUUGGCUUAAUUGGCAUGAGGGAUAGGUUUGGCAUUUUUGGCGCCGUUAUCAGAAUUAGAAAACUAAGUCUACUUUUGCUAGUGACGUUAAGAAUGCCUAACAAGCAUUUUUUGAGCCGUUGCCGGGGAAGGUUGAUUACUAAUGAGGAAUGAAUAUGCAAUUUUGAGUCAUCAUUCACAUCACUAAUAUUAUUGAGAUUAUCAAUUCUCUCAUACAGUUUUACCCUGAUAUUUUUCUAUUUUAUUUUAUGUAGGGUAAUGUAUGAAUAAAAGACAUCUUCCGGGAAAUUUUGUUGACAAUCCCGAAGCGUUAUUCAGAAAAACAAGAGCCAAGCUCAAGAAGAGAUCAUCAACACUUCAGCACGAAGCUUCAUCCAAUCAAGAAGAUCACCGAAGUUUCACCCGGAACUUGUCUUCAGAGUUCGAAGUCAUGGCGAACAAAUCGAUCCGUGAGUUCUCAGCUCCCACUACGGACAACAUCCGUACUGGACCUGCUACAGAGAUUGACGGCAACUUUGAGCUCAAGCCUGGACUUAUCAACAUGGUGCAAUCCAACCAGUUCUGUGGGAAGGCACACGAAGAUGCUAGUGCUCAUCUCCAACACUUCUUGAAGAUUUGCAGCACAUUCACCAUAUCAGGAGUCCCCAGAGAUGCUAUACUACUUCGCCUCUUCCCAUUCUCACUAUUGGGGAGAGCAAAGCCGUGGUUCUACGCUACAAAGGAGAAGAAUACUAAGUGGGCACUCUGCUCCAUGAACUUUCUGGCUAAGUUCUUUCCCAUGGGCAAGACCAAUGCUCUCCGUGGGAAGAUUACAAGUUUUCAGCAACAACAUGAUGAAUCCGUUCCAAAAGCAUGGGAGCGCUUCCAAGACUACAUCCUAGAAUGUCCCCAUCAUGGAAUGGAGAGUUGGCUACUGAUGCAGAUGUUUUAUCAUGGGCUCCGCAAUACUGCCCGAGAGACCAUGGAUGCUGCAGCUAGAGGAGCAUUCCUAUCACUCACCAUAUCACAAGCCACAGCUCUUGUGGAGAAGAUGGCGUCCAACCAAUGCUGGAAUGAAGAAAGGACCCAGACACGCAAGAGAGGUGGAGGUAUGCUCUAGCUCAAGGAGGUAGACAUGCUAUCUGCUAAGCUAGACAUGCUCAUGAAGAAGCUCGAUGAUAGAGCUGGAGAUAAGAAAGAAGUCAUGCACAUCUACGACUCUCACAUGACUUGUGAGGAGUGUGGAGAUAUUGGACACUCAGACAAUCACUGCCCUGAGAUGCUUGAGGAUGUGACCUACAUCAACAAUAACAAGAACAACAACUACUACAACCGUCCUCAAGAAAAUCAAGGUUGGAAUCAACAGAGGCCUAACUACUCAGGUAAUUAUCAAGGUAACAAUUCUUACAAUAAUAAUAAUAAUUUUCCACCUCUGAGGGAGUCAGUGUCUAAUCAAGGAAAGCUAAUGGAUAACCUAUCUAAGAAAUUUGCAUCUAAUGAUAAAAUGUUAGAAAUUAUAAAUAAUAGAAUGGAUAAUUUCUCUACUACCAUCAAGAAUCAAAUUAGCUUUAAUAAAAUGAUUGAAUCUCAGUUAAAUCAAAUAGCUGCUGCUGUUCCUGCGACUAACCCUGGUAUACCAUCACAACCAGUAGGAUUAGAAUCUGCAAAUCUUGUAGACAUGUUUGAUGCAGGUAACUACUAGAGUAACCCUGUCACUGAAGUAACUACUGACCUUCUGCCGGUCAAGAGAGGCGAUCUAGGACACCUCGUCAUCCCGAUCUCCAUCGGCAUGGUGGACUUCCCAGAAGCACUCUGUGACUUUGGCUCCAGCGUCAACAUUAUGCCCAAGGUACUCUAUAAAAAAUUCUUUACAUAUCAUUUAUUAGAGACAACCAUGUGUUUGCAGUUUGCAGAUCAGGCGUUAAGUUUCCCAAAGGGAAUAUUGAAGAACCUUUGUGUCCGAGUUGGUACCUUGUACGCCCUAGCAGACUUCGUGGUGAUAGAGACCGGUAAUGAUGAGAGGGCACCCAUCAUCUUAGGGAGGCCAUUCUUGAACACCUCAGGAGCUGUCAUCUACGCUAGUGCUGCCAAGAUCAGUUUCUAUAUCAAAGGGAGGAAGGAGAUGUUUUCCUUCAAGAACAAGACUGCACUAAUCCCAGAGCAAUCCCGACAUGAACCAAGGAAGAGGACCAACAGGAGGAACAGGAAAAAGCAAGUGUGGACCGAGUCAGUUAAGAUAAUCUCUGCAGUUCAUGGAGGUCAAGAUCAUCGACUCAAGUCACCGUUCCUGACCAAGAAAGACGACCCAGGUAUGCCAAGCAUCUAUUGCUCCAUCAAUGGAUACAACUUCUACAAGACAUUUUGCGACACCGGAUCGAGCGUCAACAUAAUGGCCCCAGUCACCUAUCGGCUCUUGUUCGGAAUCAUGCCCUUAAAACCAACAUACAUUCAGCUCCAGAUGGCAGAUCAGACAUUCCGAAAGGUUAAAGGUAUAGUAACUGAUGUCCCUAUUAAAAUAGACAAUCAUUUUGUCCAUACAGACUUUCAGGUUAUUGACAUGGGAGAAGAUGAGUACGAUCCACCCAUCAUCCUUGGGAGACCGUUCCUCAGCAUCGUUAAAGAAAUCAUCUACGUUGGAACCUGUCACACCCUAAAAUUUCCUACAUUGGAAUGUGAAAACACUAAAACAAAGCCAAAGAUUUUAUUAUUUGAUAAAAUGUUCCAACUUUAGUUAUGUUGUCAACAUUUUAGAUAGUAGAAAAAUGUGAGUUUUUAAAUUUUUUCCAAUACAACUUAGUGGUUUGUUGCAUUCAUGGCUUUGCAUUGUGUUUAUGUGUGGAAAAUAAAUUUAAAUGUUUUCAAAUAUGCCUAGGGUUGAUCCCAACUUCAUCUCCCCAAAAUACCAAAAGUUUUUUACCGACAUCCUACAAAAUACUAGCCUAACCCAUCCUCUCAUUCUCUCCUUUCUUUUCUUUCUCAAGCUCUCAAUCAAUUUGAUGACAAUAAAUUCUUCAUGCCAAUCUUUUGACCUCUCUCAUCUAUUCACAUAAACAGUUCUCAAGUUGAGUUGAAGCCAUGUUUUCAGCCUAUCAUGACAACCCGAACUUCUCUCUUUUUGCUAAUGGAUCAGUGAUCAGUUCACACAUCAAAAUUUUCCCUAAAUCAUGGGCCGAGCACAAUCUAGUCUCUCCACCUCUCUUUCACACGGAAAUGCUGCAGCCCCUCCUCCCUCCCUUCAUGCAAAAAAUACAUCCACACAUAAUGCUCAUGCCUAUAGUUUCCUAGGCUCAUCUUCCAUUAACCAUCCAUCCUUAAUCUCUCUUAUAUUUUGUGCAAUUACUCAAUUGAAGAGCAUGACCUGCUAGGACUACCUAUUCAUUCUUUGAUUGCUCCAACAAUUAUUCUUCUUGUAUUUUACUAGACAAACACACCUAUGACAAGAGUGCUCAUCUACUCUAUUAAUUUCUCUCUUGCUAUUCAAUUGCAUGCAUGCAGUAAACCAACCAGCAUCUCCUCUUUUUCUAUUUCAUGUGGAGAUGUGAUUCUUUUCCUAUCAUGCAAAACCACCAACCAUUAUUUUUUCACAAAGCAUCAAUAAUCAUAAUUCCACUCUCUAAAUUCCCUUCUUAAUUCUUCAUUGAAAUGCAUUGCAAAGAGUAGCUCCUCCCAUGGCUGGUGGCUACAUCCUCCUGCUCACACGCCACUACUUUCACAUGCAAAACCAUCAUCCCCAAAUGUUUAUUAUUCCAUCUUAAUUCUCUACAUAAAUCACAGGAGUAAGGAGCAGACUUCAUCCUUCUCACUCUUCUAUUUUUUUUUGCAUGGAUCCAUGCAGAAACAGCAGCCCUCUCUUCUAUGCCGUGUCCUCCCUCUUUCCUUUCUAUUUAAUGUCGGCCUUCCUCUUUCUUCACAUGCAACAAAAUGCUGCAUUAGUUCUCUCCUUUAAUCCCUUACCCCUCUCUCAAAUACAAAGCACCAGGUCACCUUUUCUCCCACUAUUGAUCACACGCACUCCCCCUUCUGUGCAUGCACAUAACCAGAACAGCCCAUCUCAUCUCUUCCUUUUCUUCCAAUGUAGAAAUUGCAACAAAUGCUUCACCUUCAAUUCCCUUUACAAGCCCCUCCUUACUCUCCCUAACACUCUCUAAUUGCUUUAGUAAGUGGCUCAUGAAAACAGCCAUGUAUUUUAUCCUCUCCCUGCAGAACCUAUGCGCACCCUCCUCUCAUCUCCUCCCGCUUAACAACCUUGCAUGUACCUCUACCUUUAUUUCUCACUUGACAACACUCAAUUACUCCAUCAAUUUAUCUUCUCCCAAUUGCAUGGAAACAUGCAAAGACAGGACAUUACAUCCUUCUCCUAACACGCACAAAGUAGCAGCUCACCUCCCAUCAAUUCCUAUUAAUAUCACCCAUUUUAUUCCCUUUUAAUUCCCUUCAAUGGCAUGGGUACAUUCAGCAAACACCUGCCAUAAAUAUUCCUCAUCUUUUCCUCUCCCCUUCACGCAAGGAUCAGAAGAAGCCUUCUCAUCUCCUCAUUUUCUCCACCAGCUGGGCGCCUCCCUCUCUUCUCUUCUCUCCCUCACACCACCACUAGAGAAACAGCCCCCUCCAUCCUCCUCUCCCUUCCCCAUGGCUGCAGCUCUAAGUCUCUCUCCAAUCUCUCCACAAAAAUGGAACCCCACGCAGCAGAGAUUCUGAUUUGCCACUGCAUGUUUCAUCUCAUCGCUGGCAUCCUUCACCAUGCUAUGGUAAGAUGAAUUUUCUUCUAUGUUCUUCAUGACGAACCUAAUGAAAUCUCCAGCGCCUCCUCUCUGUUUUGAAGAUGCCCAGUCUUUCGACAGUACAUGGAGGUCAUCCUAGAGGGCCUUGCUGUCUCCCCGAACCCACAACAGUAGCAGCACCUUGUUCAUCGUCAUUGCCACCAUUCAUGUGCAGCGUGUGGUGAGGUUGUUCCUUGCUUUUCCCUCUCUGAUCUUGCUGAUCAUGCCCCUCUCAUAUGUCCAAUUGAUCUCCCGAGUGGCAGCGAUCUUCUCCGAAGAGACAGUGGUGCUGUUCCGCUGAUCAGUGUCAUUGUCAACACCGUCAUCGAUGUUGUUUGCCGUUAACUUCAUCCCCAUUUGCUGACAACUCAUGGUGAGAACACCCCAACAUCUUCCCAAUUUUGUUCUCAUAUUUCUCGCUGCAUAUCUUGUACCAUAGAUGAUGUAUGGUUGAUCUACGUCGAAGUUUCUCUGUGAUAUGUGUUGCUGUCCUCGCGAUCAGCUUUGCUUCUGUUGACGAAAUCGGUGUUUCUCGCCGUUUCAUGACUCUAUUCAUCCAUCCCUUUGGUGAAAUUGUAGCUAACAUCCUUGAACACACCUCUGUAAAUUGGUUUUGCCAUAGGAGAAGAGAAACCAGUGAUAUCGUCAUCUCUGUGCCCGCUGUUCCUGCUGUCUUGACAGCUUGCAGCUCUGAAUGGCAUUAGCAUUUCUCGCUAAUCUGCUAUCCAAAUGACCAAGCCUUUAAAUCUACAUGUUCAUGAUAUCUAUGCACAUGAUCCCACCUGUUUGUUUGGCUGUGCAAUCCAUGAUGGCCAAGAUAUCGAGGUCGAGAUGUCUGCUACCCCUGCUGUCCAAGAAGCUGUCAUCCUGUUUUUGGAAAUGAUGUUCCCGUUGUUUUAACAAUCCAUUGCUCAUUUCCUUCAACACACAUGUGUAUCACAUACUUGCACAUAGUUAUGCAAAGUUGGUCACCCAUCCGAUCAGCAGAGAUGGCGUUUUUGGUCAGUUUUCACACUUGCUGUCCCUGCUAUCCUAGCAGCCACAUAGCACUAAAUUGUUUUGGCAUUCCCUAGAAAAUCAUGAUGAAAAUCAUCAAACCCUUUCACCAUAGUCUAAAUAUCAUCCUCACAAAUGUCUCUUCAAAGUUUCAUGGCCAUAAGAUCCAAGAUCAAAGAGAUAUCAUCCUUCUUAUUCUCACUGUCCCUGCUGCCGUGAAGCAGAGUUCCUGUCUGUUGGCAUGCGCAUUCCCGUUUAUUCAUGGCUCAAAGUAACUUGUCCUUUUGCCAACACCUACUCCAUACAGUGCUUAACAUAACCGCAACAUAGAUCACCAUUCGGUGCUGCUAUUUCCAUGCCUUUUCUGAUCAUAAUCCCCGCUGGCCGCCUAUGUACAUGUCCUCGAUGCAUCGGUGUUUCACCACGUCCCUCGCUAUACUGCUAUAUGAAUCACUGAGCCCAAUUACUUGAUGGUGUGUAUUCAGUUGCACAUAUUCUCAGUUAGUGUACUUACUGUACCUUUGAUGCAAACCCACAUUUUGGUGGAAAUAUUUCAGAAGCACUCCCUAUUGAUCUAGCAUCCACCGAUUUGCACAGUUUUGUCAUGAUGUGUUUUCAAUUAAUCACCGAACAUAUCUGAAAGCACUCUCUCGUCCAUGUUAGAACAAUCACUCCCUCUUAUGCAAGCUGAUGCUUGUACAAUCUUAUAUUAACAUCACUAUGUUCUAUCCAACAUAUUUUACACAACUCCAUAGUCAUCAAUAAUUCAUCUAUAAAUCCUUGUGCUCCAUAAAUCUUUCCAAGCUAGCACUCAUCGAUCAUGUUAAUCCCAUUCUGGUCAUUUACUAAACCAUCUAGCUUCUACCUUUGAUCUUUCACAUCUUUUAAACCAUAGCUUUGUUUAGUUGUUUAUGCGCUCAAACACACAUAGUUGCAAGCCUUGAGCGUUUAAAACCUUUAAAUCUUGUUUGUAAUGCUUGGUGUAUUGUUUUUAGGUUCUCUUGUGAUGCUUGUACCAAAUAUUUGCUGACGUUAGAAGUGGAGCUACACGAGGAGCAUAUCUUUGUGAAGUGGAACAAUCAGCAAGUGUUUUGGAAGGCAAGUGUAACAUGAGUUCCCUUGUUACCUAAUAACUAUUUAAUCACCUCUUCAUGUGCAUGUUUCUAAUAUGAUAAACCCCUAAGGACUUUACCGAGAACCUUUGUUAUCCUGAAUCCCUUGUUACCUUGGGUUAUGCAUAUGGGUAGUUUUGCUUACUCUGCAAUCACUAAACAAUAUAAUGUUAAUCUUGACUAAUAGAUUAUGUAAUCAAUGAUAAAAUGAUGUUUUUUAUCAACAUGGAUAGAAGGGGGCUAGAGCAUUGGGCCUUUUUGGGUGCUCUAGUCUAUCCUCCGUAAGGACUGAAUCUUAAAGCGGCCACCCAGGAUUUACUGUAUAGCCAUGAGAGCUACAUGGCUCUGGCUUUGGCUCAGUAAACUGAACUUCUCUAACUUGUUAGUGGUUACCGAAAGGCGCAAGAGGGGGUGCCUCGUGGUGUAUAGUUGUUUUCCUACCUUGGUGUGUACAGUGCCGCGACCACAUGUGCCUCUUAGAGGAGGACACCUAUGCACACUUGCCACUGAAACCUAGCGGCUACUAACUUGUUAGGGGGACUUUCGAAAGGCUUCAGGGUGAACCCUGCCGACUUACCUUGGAAGUGGGUCAAGAGGCUGAUCACCUCAGGCAUAUGUGUAACACGACUCAUGGUGAAAGUGUACAAGCUCUGCAGAGUGUUUUAAAACUGAUAUAUCAGCUGUGCUCACGGACACGAGCGGCCUGGAUCCUUUUCGAGAUAGAUGGUUCUAUGGAUGGUUUGGGUGAUCAUUAAAAUUGAUGAUAAUUAUUAUACUUCUCAUAUUGGGAGCUUAAGCAUAACCUAGCAACAUAGGUUUAAUAAUAAAAUAUUACCAACUAAAAAUGCUUAUCACAGUCAAACCAAGUCAAGCCUUUUGAGCUUUGCAUCCCCUCAUGUUAUACUUGUUGAGUAUGGUGCGCUCACACUUGCUUUACAUUCAACAAUCAAAAAUCCGCAUGGGUACCAGAUGGUGAUACAAAGGUGGAGUUCCCUGAGAUGUUCCAGGAGUACUAGGCAAGUGUACCCCGAGUCAACCAUCCCUGUGGAAAAAGGAGACCCAAAGUGAAGAUUAGGAUUAGUUUACGCUAUGCUUUGUAAUAGAUGUUGUUGACGGUCCUUAAUGCUCACAUUUAACCGUCAACUAAUCAUGGAAAAGGACCUAUAUGCAACCAACAUCCAGACUUAGGGUUUUAUGUGACAUAAUUCUACGAGUUUUGGUGUUUGUCUAUUUCUGCAGGGGGGUUAUCAGGAAAUAUGGAGGAAAGGCCCACACGUCGGGUUUACAUAGAGAUAUUAACGUGCCGUGCAAUUUUCUAUCAUCUAGAAGUCUCCAGAAGCCACGGGAACGAACGGGAAGCCGAGAGGGCUCAGGGACAGGGCGCCCGCUACUCCUUAGGGCGCCCGCCCACCUUUUUCCACCAAUCACGAUCAACUUUGCAGAUCGUGCUCCACCGACCUAAGGGAUCAAGGAAAACCGUGCGAUUGAUGUCGGUUUGAUCCGAUGGCCCAGAUUCAUUUGAAAAGACUAUAUAAGCAAGGCCCCCUGGCCCCUAGAGAUCAUACCUCUUCUACAGAAUCAAAGCUAGGGUUUCAAUUCUUCAUCCAAGUAGAGAGGAUCCUUCUAGUUCAUCUAGUUUUAGUUCCUCUAGUUCUAGUUCUAGUUAGUUCUAGUUGUAAUCUAGAAAAUAGGGAGAGAGAAGAGGAGAGCGGAGGAGGAGGAGCCGGAUCUGUCGGAUCUUCCUCAACAUUGUACUUUUGCAGCAACUAGUUCGUUCUUCAUCGUUCUCCAAGUUCUUCAAUUCACAAUUCCUGAGUUGUUUAAUUACUUUUAUUCACAUUCAAGUUAUUUAUUGGAUUCCUGCUUGCAUCAAGUGCUCUAGUCUUUAUAACACUAGAGUAGUAAUUAAUAGAUUAUACGUGGUGUUUAGUCUUGCAAUUACCUGGAAUUGCACCCAAUCCUGCGGAUUGUUGUGGUAGCCCUAGGGUAGUGACAGCCCUAACGGUCGACGUAUUCCACCUCGUUCGGAACGGUGUUUGUAGGACCGUAGUCAGAGCUUCCUAGCCCCCUUCUCAUCUCUUUCUGUGGUUAGUGUUCUGAUGUCCCGAAAUAGAUAAUCUUGAAGUAAUUCUUGAUUCUUAGAUCAACUAAGAGAUCUCUCAGGAAACUUCCUCUCUUCCCACCAAAAAUAAUUAUAUAGUUAUCCUUGGGCGAUCUUGAAUCUUAAUUAGUACACUCACGUUCCUUGUGGAAAAUCGAUACUCGGGAAUACUCCCGGGUGAAAGCUACAUCGGUGUCCGUGUGCUUGCAGAUUUUUUCUGUUUGCGUUUAAAAUACCCAACAAGCUUUCUGGCGCCGUUGCCGAGGAACGGUAGCUGUGCUAGUUUCGAACCAAGUCGUCUGUGUAUCCUUUUUCUUUUCCUUUUUUACCACACUCACCUUACCAUUUUCACCACACCACAUGGAUUUCACUCCAAGCAUUAAUGAGCAUGAAAUUUAUUUUAUAGCCACUUCGUUUACUCCAAGCUCAUAUGCAACAUCUUCCCAAUCUUUUGGUCUCUCCAACAUCACCACAUUCGAGAUCUCCAACGCCCUCUUCCUUUUUAUUUAUAAAAACUUUAAAAAGGCGGUUGUCGAUGCAUAUGUCUAUAUUAAAUAUUGUAGAUCUCGUUGAGUUGAUCUUGAUAUAGGUCAGCGUUGGAGGGGAAACCACUUCGCUGACAUAAAUUGAUGGUUACCCAAGGACAAGCUUAGUGUCCUAAAAUAAGCACUGAUCAGAUCGUAACAUGAGCUUUUAAUUAUUUGCAACAUUACCUUGUGUUUUGAGCAUAUAAGGAUAAUUGUAAAAAAUUCCUUUGGGUAUUCUUGUCACUAACAUUUCCAGGAUUGGAGCAAGAAGAUCGGAUGAAUGACAAGCACAAGGUAUGUCCAACCAAUCAUCAUACAACAUUGAAUUAAAUUCAUCCAAACUUGAAUUUUGCAAAAUUCAAUCUUGGAGGAGUACUUUACAUUAAAAACAUCCUUUGCCAUGUUGUUAUGUUGGUUGUCCCUACCUUUGAGACAUGCUCAAUUUGUUAAAUACUAAUCACACUACUUCAUCUCCACUUGAGUAGAUCUCUAUAAAUGCUCUCAUGCUACCUUUAUUUGCUUUAGUAUAUGUCUAGGUUUGGAGUAGUUUCAUUUAUCUCUUAAUUAAGCAUGGUGCUUAGUUUAGGAAUGAUGAUCUUAUUUCCAAGGGAUUUUAAAUUAAGCAUGAUGCUUAGGUUAAAAUGCCCUCCUAAAUCAAAUUAGACAUGGUGUCUAGAUUGAAUUUUGAGCUGAUAGUUUGCUAUAGUAGAUAUUGGAUAUUUUGUUGGACUAACCCCCGUAGGAAAACUUUCAAUAUCGACCUGGGAAGUCCUGAGAUAAACUCAUAUUGGAGACAAAGAGAGAGACGCAUGAAGGUUAACAAUUUACACAAGGAAGGCAUAGCUCACAAGAGAUGAUCCAUGGAGGAUGCCACAAACACUAUGCACAACCGCUAAGAAAGGAAAGCUUCCACAAGGUGAUACUGUACCAUCACUCUUCAAGUAAGGUAACAUCUUAAGGUACUUGACCAUCACUUCUAUAAGCUUCUCCUUGGUUCUAACGUUCACAUGAAUAAAAGAGACAAACAUGUAUGAUUUACAACUCUAGAUUAACCAACCCAAUCGAUUCAAUAUGUUUAGUCCAUCCACCUUUGUGAUCCCAUACUCCUAAUAUGAGCUAAAAUGUUGCACACUCAAUCUUUGGAAGAUAUAUAUAAAAAAUAAUAAGUAUAGAUAGAUUAUCUAUCCAUUAGGUUGAGCGUUCUGAUCUGACAAAUACUUUAAAUGCUACACUCAUGAACUUAUUAUCCAUCAACUUUCUCUUGCUCACUAUGCUUAAGGUUAGAGAAGAACAAAUACACUUUUGGUUCUGUUGGUGUUUUCCACCAACAGGGCCCAUGCACUUGAUCUCUGCCUUGUCUCUAUGAGCAGGUACACUUCGAGCAAAACAUGGAAGAGUUUUACAACUCCUAGACUCCACCAAAUGAAGAACCUAGAUCUACGAGCACAAACACACUGGAGAUACUCAACACUUAGGCAAUCACUGCCCUGAGAUGCUUGAGGAAGUAACUACUGGAGUAACCCCGUCACUGAAGUUACUACUGAACUUCUGCUGGUCAAGAGAGGCGAUCCAGGACGCCCCGUCAUCCCGAUCUCCAUCGGCAUGGUGGACUUCCCAGAAGCACUCUGCGACUUUGGCUCCAGCGUCAACAUUAUGCCCAGGGUACUCUAUGAAAAAUUCUUUACAUAUCCUUUAUUAGAAACAACCAUGUGUUUGCAGUUUGCAGAUCAGGCGUUAAGUUUCCCAAAGGGAAUAUUGAAGAACCUCUGCGUCCGAGUUGGUACCUUGUGCGCCCCAGCAGACUUCGUGGUGAUAGAGACCGGUAAUGAUGAGAGGGCACCCAUCAUCUUAGGGAGGCCAUUCUUAAACACCUCGGUAGCUGUCAUCUACGCUAGUGCUACCAAGAUCAGUUUCUACAUCAAAGGGAGGAAGGAGACAUUUUCCUUCAAGAACAAGACUACACAAGUCUUAGAGCAACCCCGACAUGAACCAAGGAAGAGGACCAACAGGAGGAACAGGAACAAGCAAAUGUGGACCAAGUCAGCUAAGAUGAUCACUUUAGUUCAAGGAGGUCAAGACCGUCGACUUAAGUCACCGUUCCUGACCAAAAAGGAAGACCCAGCUCCAAAUGGCAGAUCAGACAUUCCGAAAGGUUGAAGGUUAUUGAUAUGAGAGAAUACGAGUACGAUCCACCCAUCAUCUCUGGGAGACCGUUCCUCAGCACCGUUAAAGCAAUCAUCUACAUUGGAACCGGAGAUGUCCACAUGCAUUUCCCCUCUGACAAGGUACGCCGCUAUUUUACUGACCCUAACUAUAUAGUUGAAGACUCUAAGCAGGUCAGGACAAGAAGAAGACGACGCAACCGCAACCAGAGGAGGCAAAUCAUCAAGGACGGAUGGGCAGACUACGAAGGAGAAGUAGUAAGGUCUGAAGACAUACAGCUUGAACAGAACUGUCCUGAGAAGACCGUAGCACUGAGUCAGGUGUGGAGAGAGAAGAUAGUUAUACACGAACAGGAGGCGCCGCUGGAACCACCGAAUACGCCAUCCAGUGAAUCCCAGGAUGAGCGAAUCCCAGGAUGACUGAGGAAACGGAGAGUCCUGUUUGGAGGACUUAAAAACACUGAACCCCUUGCCAAGAGGUAAACUUAGUAGUUAUCUUUUUCCUUCUAAUUAUUUAAAAUAGUUUGCUUAGUUAACCAGGUUCAUAUCAUCUUGAAAAGAAAAUAAAAAUGUUAAAAAUAGUAAGCCCCAUGUGAGUAUGCUCAUGGCAUAAAACCCAUAAGUACAUUCACUGUGGUGGCGUAAAAAUGAAAUAAAUAUAUUCAUGUCCUAUAAAAAUAAAAUUAUAAAAAUAAAUUUAUGAUCCUACUAAAGAGAGUAACAUUUAUUGAGGAGGCUCAACAUGAUAAAGGCUAGAUAUUUAUGCUAACACUUAAUCAGUUCCACAAAGCUUUGUUGUCUAUUUGAGCUCCACAGAAUUCAAGGAUCAAAGAAGACUAGCUGACGGAGGACAUCCUAAUCGCUGUCAGGGUGCUGCUGAUAUUCAAAUACAGCUCCACCACCUGCUAGCUACAUCAGAAGAAAUUGCGUCAAAAUCCAGCUUGGGGGAGAGCACCCCCAUUUAUCCAGCUAAGUGUUCUACUCACGUUUAUACUUUACUCAAAUAAUAAAAAGAUGCAUGAUCAUAAAAACCCAAAUAAAGAUUUUGUGCUUAUAUAUAUAUAUAUAUCUUUGCUUAGUUUGCUAAAUAAAUAAAUAAAUAAAGUUUGUUAUGAACCCUCAUGAUAAGCUCUCACAUGGAAAUGAUGAAUAGUUGCUCUGUCAUGACUAGUUGUCAAAAUUGAAAUCUAUCUCAAGUUUAGACACAACUGUUAUAAUUUAAAGCUUGCUCUAAACCUAAAUUUGUGGGAAGAGAACUUUAUCUGAAGUCUAAGUUGUUAACGGAUAUGAUAUGGGUAGGUUGAGCUGCUGUUUAUCUGUUCCUAGAGAUAUUAGAAAACUGGAGAAUUUUAUCUUUGAAAAUCUUUAAAAUAACACAUGAUGAGUUCCUGUACGAAAAGAGUUUAAAUUCCUACCACAGCCAUAUAUACAUGCUUGCUAGACUUUGAGCCAAACAUUUACUUUUUACUGCUUAUGAGCAUUGAGUGUGGUCAAGCUGUGUGGACCCUUAGGAGUUUGUCAUGUGGUUAAAUCAAUAUUCACUUGCACGUUCACUCAUACAUGCUGCUUCUACUCCGGAAGUACGCAUCCACAUAUAUCCACCCAUUUUCAUCUCCAGAACCACCCAAAAAUAUUCUACUCCUAAUUCGGGAGAGAAUAGCCAAAAACAUUUUUGUUUUCCCCUAUGAAAUAAAUGCUCAAGUUAUCUUGGUUACUACUACUUGCAACAUUAUUUCAAGAGAUGAGUGCUCUAAAAAAAGAGAGAAAAAAAGAUACGAGGAAAUAAAAAGGGGCAAUUGUCCGGAACCUCGAAAGAAAAGAAAAAGUGAGACGAGAGGUAAAAAUGGACAAGUGUCCGACAGUAGAAUUAGGGGUACAAGAUACCCACCUGAGAGAAAAGAAAAAGAAAAUAUAGAGUAUCUCAUUCUCCUCAAAAAGUUUUAGAAGAGCAAGAAAUGUAUGUAUCCCCUCAAAAGAGCACAAGUAGAAUUAGACUUUCACCAUUGUUCUCACCAUCAUCACCAUACACCAUUCAUUCGCCACACAUGCACAUCUUGAUUUGACUUAUUGACUUAUUCUUCUAGAUCCAUGGUUUGACUAUGCAAUAAAUGUCUUGUAAGUAUGUAUUAGCUGUCUCCCACCUAGGAGCUCCAGAUAUCAAAACCUUAUUAGAGUAGGGUGAGAGAGAAGGCAAUGUCACUAUGCCUUAUAUUACAAAUACCACCUAUUUUGAGAGAAGGCAUAUACCAUUACUGCCUUAGUAAGGAUCCAGAAAUACCACAAAAGAGAGACUAGAGAGUCAUACAAGGAAUCUCUGAGUUUUAUUUGAAAAUCUACAAAAACUCUAGAGCUAUAGUUAAUCGAAGAACAAGAGACAUGGUGCUUGACUGGACCGUUCUAUAUUUUAUCUGCUCAAGACAUAAGUGAUGGUUGCAAGCCCCAUGGUGGAAGGUAAAAUGAGUAAGUUUAAAUCUUAACAGUUUACCCUAACCCAGAGAUGAGAUAUUGUUUGAACGCAUGUGUAUCUUUAAGGCACGAAACCACUGCAGAAACUCUUGAGUCCAUCUUUGCUCAGGGAUGAGCAAAGGUUAAGCUUGGGGGAGCUUGUUGACGGUCCUUAAUGCUCACAUUUAACCGUCAACUAAUCAUGGAAAAUGACCUAUAUGCAACCAACAUCCAGACUUAGGGUUUUAUCUGAUAGAUUUCCACGAGUUUUGGUGUUUGUCUAUUUCUACAGGGGGUUAUCAGAAAAUACAGAGGAAAGGCCCACACGUUGGGUUUACAUAGAGAUAUUAACGUGCCGCGCAAUUUUCUAUCAUCUAGAAGACUCCAGAAGCCACGGAAACGAACGGGAAGCCGAGAGGGCUUAUGGACAGGUCGCCCGCCCUACUCCUUAGGGUACCCGCCCACCUUUUUCCACCAACCACGAUCAACUUUGCGGAUCGUGCUUCCCCGACCUAAGGGAUCAAGGAAAACCGUGCGAUUGAUGUCGGUUUGAUCCGACGGCCCAGAUUCGUCUGAAAAGACUAUAUAAGCAAGGCCCCUUGGCCCCUGGAGAUCAUACCUCUUCUACAGAAUCAAAGCUACGGUUUCAAUUCUUCAUCCAAGUAGAGAGGAUCCUUCUAGUUCAUCUAGUUCUAGUUCCUCUAGUUCUAGUUCUAGUUAGUUCUAGUUGUAAUCUAGAAAAUAGGGAGAGAAAAGAGGAGAGCGGAGGAGGAGGAGCCGGACCUGUCAGAUCUUCCUCAACAUUGUACUUUUGCAGCAACUGGUUCGUUCUUCAUCGUUCUCCAAGUUCUUCAAUUCAUAAUUCCUGAGUUCUUUAAUUACUUUUAUUUACAUUCAAGAUAUUUAUUGGAUUCCCGCUUGCAUCAAGUGCUCUAGUCUUUAUAACGCUAGAGUAGUAAUUAAUAGAUUAGACGUGGUGUUUAGUCUUGCAAUUACCUGGAAUUGCACCCAAUCCUGCGGAUUGUUGUGGUAACCCUAGGGUAGUGAUAGCCCUAACGGUCGACGUAUUCCACCUCGUUCGGAUCAGUGUUUGUAGGACCGUAGUCAGAGCUUCCUAGCCCCCUUCUCAUCUCUUUCUGUGGUUAGUGUUCUGAUCCCAAAAUAAAUAAUCUUUCAAGUAAUUCUUGAUUCUUAGAUCAACUAGAGAACUCUCAGGAAACUUUCUCUCUUCCCACCAAAAAUAAUUAUAUAGUUAUCCUUGGGCGAUCUUGAAUCUUAAUUAGAACACUCACGUUCCCUGUGGAAAAUCGAUACUCUGGAAUACUCCCGGGUGAAAGCUAUAUCGGUAUCCGUGCGCUUCCGGAUUUUUCUGUUUGCGUUUAAAAUACCCAACACUCUCCUGAGGGAACCCCGAUCACCUGGAACCGCUUCACCACCGCUUUCUGGGGAAAUUAUAUUCCUCCGGGUUUGGUGGAGAUUAAGAUUGGAGAGUUCAUGAAGCUGUCUCAGGGGACCAAGACUGUGAAAGAAUAUUUGCAUGCUUUCAACGUCCUUGCUCGUUACGCUCCAGAGUUUGUGAACACUGAUGCCAAGAAGAUUACUAGCUUCUAGAGGGGCUUGAGCCCGAAGAUGCUGAAGACUAUGGGCACAGGAACCCGAGCUACUUUCAAUGCCUACAUCAGUGACUGUCUGACCCAAGAGAACAAUAACAACAACUACAGUGCAUCCAAGUCACGCAAGAGGGCUUUUGAAGCCGGUUCUUCUCAAUCUAGGGCACCAGUGGCAGGACGUCAGUAGUAUCGUCCUCCUGCCCCGGAUGCUUGGUUCCGACCACCAUAUAGAAGGAACACAUGACAUCUAACUCAGCAGAAGCCGUACAAGGUAGUAGUGGCUCUAGCAAAGCCAAGGGCCAAUAAGGCUGCAGCACCUGCUGCCAACACCACGACCAAGGGUCCGUGCAACGACUACCAUAAGAUGGGGCACUUUGGCAAGGAAUGUCCUUACCCCAAGAAGCAGCAUACGACCUAUCCACCCCGUGUGCACCGCACCUCAAUCGAGGAGAUUCCGGAAGGAGAACCGGUAACAGCUGGCAUGUUCCCUGUGAACCAACAUCUUGCAGUUGUUUUGUUUGAUUCUAGAUCAUCGCAUUCAUUCAUGAGCCAAGCAUUUGCACAAAAACGUGAUCAAUCGGUUACCGAGUUGGGUUGUGGUUAUCGCAUUAGUUUAGCUGGGGCUGAUGUGUUCACCAAUUCAGCAGUGAUGGGAGCAACCUUGGAUAUCAGGGGCCAAAGGUUUCGUGUAAACCUUGUGGUCAUGCUAGGGUUAGUUCUGGAUGUUAUUAGUGGCAUGAUUAAGAUGACAGAUUGAGGUGCAAUCAUAGAUGCAGGUCAAAUGACUCUCUCCCUUAAGGAUCCACAAGGUGAGGGCACAUUUCAGGUUAGAUUACCUUGGUGGUUUGACUUUGCCAAUCUUUCUUGUGCUAUACAAGUGGUUCCAUUAGAAUAUAUCCUAGUCAUCUGUGUGAGUUUCCAGAUGUUUUUCUGGAAGAGUUACCUGGACUUCCCCUGGAUAGAGAAGUGGAGUUUACCAUAGAGUUGAUACCAGGUACAACACCGAUCUCUAGGAGAUUGUAUCGGAUGCCACCAAAUGAGCUAGUUGAAUUGGAGACCCGACUGAAGGAACUACUAGACAAGGGUUUCAUCCGGCCCAGUUCGUCCGAAUGGGGUUGUCCGGCACUGUUUGUGAAGAAGAAGGAUCAAUCUUUGCGCAUGUGCGUGGACUAUCAUCUGCUCAAUGCUGUGACAAUCAAGAACAAGUAUCCUUUACCACGAAUUGACAUCCUGUUUGAUCAGUUGUCUAAAGCAAAAGUGUUCUCCAAGAUAGAUCUGAGGUUAGGGUAUCACCAAAUCAAGAUUCGACCACAAGACAUACCAAAGACUGCCUUUUCUACCGGAUACGGGUUGUAUGAGUAUCUUGUCAUGUCCAUUGGGUUGACGAAUGCUCUUGCAUACUUUAUGUAUCUGAUGAAUUCAGUCUUCAUGCCAGAGUUAGACAAGUUUGUCGUGGUGUUCAUUGAUGACAUUCUAGUCUAUCCUGAGAAUGAGCAAGACCAUGCUGAGUAUCUGAGGGUUGUACUGACUCGACUGCAGGAACAUCAGUUAUAUGCAAAGUUUAGCACGUGUGAGUUUUGGCUUAAGAAGGUUCCAUUCCUAGCACACAUUCUAUCGGAAGAAGGGUUUGCCGUAGAUCCAGCAAAAGUACAAGAGGUCAUGGACUGGAAGGCCCCAACUUCUGUCUUGGAAGUUCGAAGCUUUCUUUGGUUAGCCGGGUAUUAUCGUCGCUUUAUCCCCGACUUCUCCAAGAUUGCUAAACCAAUGACCAGCUGGUUGUAGAAGGAUCAUAAGUUCGCUUGGACAGAAGAGUGUGAAGUAGGCUUCCGCACCUUGCGAAAGCUACUGACCGCUGCUCCUGUUUUGGCACAACCGAACAUCGAGAAGUCUUUUGAUGUGUCUUGUGACACGUCAAGGAGUGUUUUAGGAUGUGUACUUAUGCAAGAAGGCAGAGUUAUAACCUAUGCAUCCCGACAGCUGAGAAAACAUGAAGUCAACUAUCUGACACAUGAUCCUCAGCUUGCAGCUAUUGUGCAUGCUCUGAAGAUUUGGAGGCAUUAUUUGCUUGGAAUGAAAUAAGUGUCAUAUCUACACGGAUCAUAAGAGCCUUAAGUACAUUUUUCACUCAAUAUUAGUUGAAUAUGAGGUAACGAAGAUGGUUGGAGUUAAUCAAGGACUAUGAUCUCGAAGUCCACUACCACCCAGGCAAGGCAAACGUCAUAGCAAAUGCUUUAAGUCGUAAACCACACUGUUAGGUGGUCUAGCCUUUGUUCGAGGAUGGGUUCAACCUGAUGCAUCCUGAGGUUCUAUGUCACAUACAGCUCAGUUGUUCACUCGAGAGUCAAGUUAUAGAGGGCCAGAAAACAUAUAAGGGUUUUUCUCAUAUCAAGGAAAAGAUCAAGAAUGACCCCAAAACCUAGUUUCGAGUGGAUGAAAGAGGGGUACUUUGGUUUCAACAACGGUUAGUGGUUCCUAAGAAUCGAGAGCUAAAGAAUCGAAUCAUGGAUGAAGUACAUCUUUUGAAGCUUUCCAUCCACCCUGGAAGUAGUAAAAUGUACCAAGAUCCGAAAUCCCAUUUUUGGUGGACCAAGAUGAAGAAGGAGAUAGCAGCCUAUGUGGCCCGAUGUGACACGUGUUGUAGAGUUAAAGCUAUACAUAUGAAACCAGCAGGAUUGUUGCAACUGCCAUCAGUUCUAGAUUGGAAGUGGGAAGAGAUUAGUAUGGAUUUCAUCACAGGAAUGCCGACUACAAAGAAAGGAAAUGACUUGAUUUGGGUUAUUGUGGAUCGGUUGACCAAAUCAGCUCAUUUCUUCCCGGUUAAGACCUGAUAUAGACCACCCGAGUAUGCUGACUUAUAUAUCGCUGAGAUUGUCAAGCUACAUGGUAUUCCCAAGACUAUCAUAUCGGAUAGAGGUCCGCAGUUUGCCGCUAAUUUUUUGGAACAAAUGCACAAGAGUUUGGGCACUAGUCUAAUGAGAAGUAUAACAUAUCACCCUCAAACCUCAGGCCAGACAGAGAGAAUUAAUUAGGUACUUGAAGAUAUGUUGAGAGCUUGUGUGUUAUCUUCAAAGGGGUAUUGGGAGGCAUGGUUACUUUUGGCUGAAUUCUUUUACAACAAUAUCUACCAAGAGAGUAUCAAGAUGGCUCUUUUUGAAGCUCUGUAUGGUCAGAAGUGUAGAACUCCAUUAAACUAGGUCGAACCUGGUGAGAGGAGAUACUACAGCAUUGACUUCGUGAAUGAAGCUGAGAAAAAGGUACAGAUCAUACAACAACACAUGAAAGCUGCGCAAUCAUGUGAGAAAAGCUAUGCUGACAAGAGAAGAAGACCACUUGAGUUUGCCAUGGGUGACUAUGUUUACCUCAAGGUGACACCAACGAAGAAAGUUCAACGUUUCUGGAUCCGAAGUAAGCUUGCACCCAGAUAUGUGGGACCAUAUCAGAUAGUGGAGCGGAAAUGCCCUGUGCCCUACAAGGUACAGUUACCUGAAGAGUUAGGCUCUAUCUUUCCAAUUAUCCAUGUAUCCCAACUAAGGAAAUGUCUGAAGGUACUUGAGCAAAGGAUUGAACCUCGAGGGAUCAAGAUAAAAGCAGACUUAGAGUACAAGGAGCAACCAGUGGGUAUAGUAGAUACCAAGGAGCGAGUAACCAGGAACAGAGUGGUAAAAACCUACAAGGUUGUCUGGAGUCAUCGUGAUGAUAGAAAUGCCACCUAGGAAACAGAGGAUUACCUAAAAACAGUUUACCCAAAGUUUCAUAAGAAAUGGUUAGUAACUCAAAAAUCUCGGGACGAGAUUUCCUUAAAGUUUCAUAAGAAAUGGUUAGUAACUCAAAAAUCUCAGGACGAGAUUUCCUUAAGAGGGGAAGGGCUGUAACACCCUAGGUGUUAAGCAUGCACUUGGCCUCAUAAAUCAUUCAUAAGUAUUCUCACAAAGCAUGGGCAUGAACAUGGCAUCAUGUGAGCAUGAUAGCAUUUGAGUGUAAUUUUAUGUGCUUAAUUAAAAUAGAUUUAAUUAUGCUAAAUUAAUAUGCUUGCUUUGAAAAUACUUGUGAUGAUAAAAUUAGGUUGAAUUAUGUUUUAGGGGAAUUAAGAACAAUUUUUUGUAAUUUUUGGAGCUCUAGAGUUUGAGAAAUGGAUUUUAUUCAAAUUUCCCUAAAAUAAAUUUAUGGCAGAAGAAUCUCUUGGCAAAUCAUGGGACCGCUUUAUUAACCUUACUCUCACUGGCCCAAAGCUUUCUAUUCCACAAGAAGUUCUUCUAAUUCACUUUUUUGAGGGCCUUAGUAUGGAAAAUAAGCAAACCCUUCAUGCGGCCUCUGGAGGAUCUUUCCACCACCUGUCCGCUAGUGAAGCUUGGAAUUUGAUUGAUUUAAUGAGCGGAAAGUCUCCUAGCUUUUAUAUCCAUGAGAAAGAGAAAGAACCAGUUCCUAGACAAGAAGAAGAAGUUUCAAUAGCCAGAUCACAACCACUUCAAUUCCAAACUUUAGCUAUCGAUCCUAAACCAUCAAUACCCCAAAAUUCUCCAAGGGAGGAAGGAAUUCCGACCUUAAUUCUUUCAGAUACUGAUGGUUUAGACUUUUGGUUCCACAAGAAACCUUGAAGCAGGGAUAAUCUAAGUCCUUGCAAUAAUGGUUCUCUUAGAGAAUGCCCUGGUUCCUGCUAUGAAGAAGUCGAGGAUGACAUAUCAAGUGAAGGAGAGCUAAGCCAUAUAGAAAAUUCUAACACCUCCCCUUUCCUGAUCAAAAGUUCUAAAUGGCUAGAAUGUGUAGAAUGGAUGGACAAGGAACAAGCCUUAAUGGAUUCUGACUUUGGCUGAGUUUCAAAUGGUGAGUUCUUGACUCCCUUUGAAAAUGGGAUUCAUCCAACUAUAGAAGAGGACAUAAGUGAGACCAAUCCAGGAGAAACUCCGAACAUUCAGAUUGGAGACGUAGAUAACAUUAAUGAACAUGGAAUUUAUUUCAUAGCCACUUCAUGUACUCCAUGCUCAUAUGCAACAUCUUCCCAAUUUAUUGGUCUCCCCAACAUCACCACAUUUGAGAUCUCCAACCCCCUCUUCCUUUCUAUUUAUAAAAACUUUAAAAGGGCGGUUGUCUAUGCAUAUGUCUAUAAUAAAUAUUGCAGAUCUCGUUGAGUUGAUCUUGAUAUAGGUCAGCGUUGGAAGGGAAACCACUUCGCCGACAUAAAUCGAUGGUUUCCCAAGGACAACCUUAGUGUUCUAAAAUAAGCACUGAUCAGAUCGUAACAUGAGCUUUUAAUUAUUUGAAACCGUACCUUGUGUAUUGAGCAUAUAAGGAUAAUUGUAAAAAUAUUCCAUCGGGUAUUCUUGUCACUAAUCUUUCCAGGAUUGGAGCAAGAAGAUCGGACGAAUGACAUGCAAGUACAAGGUAUGUCCAACCAAUCAUUAUGCAAAACUAAAUUAAAUUCAUCCAAACUUGAAUUUUGCUAAAUUCAAGCUUGGGGGAGUACUUUACAUAAAAACAUCCUUUGUCAUGUUGCUAUGUUGGUUGUCCCUACCUUUGAGACAUGCUUAAUUUGUUAAAUACUAAUCACACUACUUCAUCUCCACUUGAGUAGAUCUCUAUAAAUGCCAUCACGCUACCUUUGUUUAUCCUAGUAGGUGUUAGUUUGGAAGUACUGCACAUACUUCUAUUGGCUUUUAAAUUAAGCAUGGUGCUUAGGUUAAACAACCUUCCUUAAUCUGAUUAGACAUGGAGUCUAGUUCGGUUAUUGAACUAAAAACUGCUUGUGUAGACAUUGGUAUAUUUUGUCGGACAAACCCCUGCAGAAAAAAACUUUCAAUAUCGAUUUGGGAAGUCCUGAGAUAAACUCACAUCGAAGAUGAAGAGAGAGACACAUGAAGUUUAACAAUUUGCACAAGAAGGACAUAGGUCAUUCAUCAUAGAAAGAUGAUCCAUGGAAGGAGAUAAAGUACAUAAACAAGAUACACAGCCACUAUGAAUGGGAAGCUUCCACAAGGUGAGAUGGUACCAUCACUCUUCAAUUAAGGUAAUAUCUUAAGGUAUGUGACUAUCACUUUUAUGAGCUUCUCCUUGGUUCUGGCAUUCACAUAAAUAAAGAGACAAACAUGUAUGAUUUAUAACUCCAAAUUAACCAACCCAACUAAUUAAGCAUGUUUAGUCCUUUAAUCUUUGUUCCUAGUACUACCUCCAUGAUCCCACACUCCUAAUCAUAUGAGCUAAAAUGUUACACAUUCAAUCUUUGAGAGAUAUAAAGAAAAAGACAUAUACAUAGAUAGUUUAUCUUUCCAUAAGGUUGAGCGAUCUGAUCUGACAAAUGUUAUAAGUGCUACACUCAUGAACUUAUCAUCCAUCAACUUUGUCUUGCUCACUAUGCUUAAGGUUAGAGAAGAACAAAUACACUUUUAGUUCUGUUGGUGUUUUCCACCAACAGGACCCAUGCACUUGAUCUCUGCCUUGUCUCCAUGAGCAGGUACACUUCGAGCAAAACAUGGAGGAGUUUUAUUACUCUCAGACUCUACCAAGUGAAGGACCUAGAUCUACGAGCACAAACACACUGAGCAGGAUACUGCCAACGCCGCACAUUGAACUGCUGGGCAAACGAAGAACAUGGGUGACACCGUAUCAAGACGAGCAGACGUCAAGGUUCGCACCUGAAUCAAUUAACGCACCUGAUGGAUGAACACAGUGAGAAGUCUUGUUCAGAAGACUUUAAACAUUGAACCCUCGUCAAAAGAAUUCAAGGAUCAAAGAAGACUAGCAGACGGAGGACAUUUUAAUCGCUGUCAGGGUGCUGCCAAAUACACCUCCGCCACCUGCUAGCUACAUCAGAAGAAAUUACGUCAAAAUCCAGCUUGGGGGAGAGCACCCCCAUUUAUCCAGCUAAGUGUUUCUACUCGCGUUUAUACUUUACUCAAAUAAUAAAAAAGAUGCAUAAUCAUAAAAACCCAAAUAAAGAUUUUAUGCUUAUAUAUAUCUUUGCUUAGUUUGCUAAAUAAAUAAAUGAAGUUUGCUAUGAACCCUCAUGAUAAGCUCUCACAUAAAAAUGAUGAAUAGUUGCUCUGCCAUGACUAGAUCUCAAAACUGAAAUCUCUCUCAAGUUUAGGUAUAACUCUUAUGAAUUAAGAUUGGUUCUAAACCUGAACUUGUGGGAAGAGUACUUGAUCUAAAGUCUAAGUCGUUAACGGAUAUGAUAUGAGAAGGUUGAGCUGCUGUUUAUCUGUUCCCAGAGAUGCUAGAAUUUUAGAGAGUUUUAUCUUUGAAAAUCUUUAAAAUGUUGCAUGAUGAGUUCCUGUAUGAUGAGAGUUUCAAAUCCUACCACAGCCAUAUAUACAUGCUUAUUAGACUAAGAACCAUACAUGUACUUUUUACUACUUAUGAGCAUUGAGUGUGGUCAAGCUGUGUAGACCCUUAGGGCUUGUCAUGCAGUUAAAAUCAAGAUUCACUUGCACGUUCACUCAUACAUGCUGCUUCUACUCCGGAAGUACGCAUCCACAUACAUCCACUCAUUUCCAUCUCCACAUUCACCUUAAAUUAUUCUACUCCUAUCCAGGAGAGAAUAGCCAAAAACAUUAUCCUAUCCCUGUUAUUCCCCAUGAAAUAAAUGCUCUUGAUAUUUUGGUUACUACCACUUGCUACAUUAUUCUAGGAGGGUGAGUGCUCUGAAGAAUAUAUAUAUAUAUAUAUAUAUAUAUAUAUAUAUAUAUAUAUAUAUAUAUAUAUAAAGGGGCAAGUGCCCGGAACCUCGAAGAAAAAAAGUGAGACGAGAGGUAAAAAUGGACAAGUGUCUGACAGUAGAAUUAGGGGUAGAAGAUACCCACCUGAGAGAAAAGAAAAAUAAAAUAUAGAGCAUCUCAUUCCCCUCAAAAAGGCUUCAAAGUGCAAGAAAGGUGUGUAUCCCCUCAAUAGAGCAAAAGUAGAAUUAGACUUUCACCAUUGUUUUCACCAUUAUCACCAUCAUCAUCAUACACCAUUCAUUCACCACACAUGCACAUCUUGAUUUGACUUAUUGACUUGUUUCUCUAGAUCCAUGAUUUGACUAUGCAAUAAAUGUCUUGUAAGUAUGUAUUAGCUGUCUCCCACCUAUGAGCUCCAGAUAUCAAAACCUUAUUAGAGUAAGGUGAGAGAGAAGGCAAUGUCACUACGCCUCAUACCAAAAAUACCACAUACUUUGAGAGAAGACAUAUAUCAUCACUACGUUGGUAAGGAUCCAGAAAUACCACAAAAGAUAGACUAGAGAGAGUCAUACAGGAAUCUCUGAGUUUUAUUUGAAAAUCUGCAAAAACUCCAGAGUUAUAGGUGAUCAAGAAUACGAGACAUGGCGCUUGACUUGACUAUUCUAUCUUUUAACUGCUCAAGACACAAGUGACGGUUGCAAGCCCCAUGGUGGAAGGUAAUAUGAGUAAGUUUAAAUCUUAACAGUUUACCUUAACCUAGAGAUGAGAUCUUGUUUGAACGCAUGUGUACCUUUAAGGCAUGAAACCACCGCAGAAACUCUUGAGUCCAUUUGUUGAGGGACGAGCAAGAGGUAAGCUUGGGGGAGUUGUUGACGGUCCUUAAGUACCAAAUAUAAUCAUCAAAUAAAUAAAGAAAAGGAUCCAAAUACAACCAACACCUAAACUUAGGGUCUUAUCUGAUAGAAUUCCACAAGUUUUGGUGUUUGUCUAUUUUUGCAUGGGGUUAUCAGGAAAUAUGGAGGAAAGGCCCACAUGUCGGGUUUACAUAGAGAUAUGAACGUGCCGCGCAAUUUUCUAUCAUCUAGAAGACUCCAGAAGCCACGGGAACGAACGGGAGGCCGAGCGGGCUCGGGGGCAGGAUGCCCGCCCUCCCCCUUGAGCGCCCGCCCUGUCCCAGAGUCCAAUCAGGACUCUCUUCGGGGAUUAUGCUCCACCGACCUAAAGGAUCAAGAAUAACCAUUCAAUCAAUGUCGGUUUGAUCCGACGGCCCAGAUUCACUUGAGGGGACUAUAUAAGCAGACCCCCUGGCCCCUAGAGGAGGCACCCCUUGAUCAUUAUUCAUUAUUCAUAGACAGAGCAAAAGCUAGGGUUUAGAGAUGAGAGCUCUCCUCUCUUCUCUAAACUAGAGUAGAUCUAGAUAGUAGCGAGAUGGAGAGCGAGGGAGGAUUAGAGGAGAGGCCGACCUGUCGGUUCUUCCUCCGGUUGUACUUCGCCAUGAUCAAGCUCUAAUCAAGUUUGCUCAUGGGAUGACUCUGGUAAUCUACUUCUAAUUCAUUAUGCAAUUACUAAUCAUGUAUGUUCUGGUUCACAACUCUUUUGAGUACUUCUAAUCUAUAGGACCCUAUAGGUUAGAGUUGUAGUAUAGGUGUAAGAGUGGUGCUUAGACCUAGAUUACUUGUGAAUAUCCCCUGUCUAGCUGGAUCGUGUGGUAGGCCACGCAGGUGACAGUUACGUUGGUCCCCUGUAGUCCACCUCUUGUUAGUAGGACGGGUAGGGUUUAUUGGCCUAUGGAUAAGCAUCCUUUGUGGUGUAUUCUUAUCACGUGGUUCGUCCCAGACAUAGACAUACCCCUUUGAAGUAGAGAAACCAUAGUUAUUCUCUCUAUUCUGCUACCAUCACCCAUAUACUAGAUUGCUCUACUCUCUAUUCCCAUAUUAUCACCCAUUGUUAUCUUACCUUUAAUAUUGUUCUUAUUCAAUUCUACCAUCUUUCCUAUUUACACUUAUCUAUCUAUCUUGGUUAAGUUAGAGCGCAGUUGGUUCUCCCGUUUCCCUGUGGAUACGAUAAAACCUUUAACCGGGUAAAAGCUACAACGGUAUCCGUGUGCUUGCGGAUUUAUCUGUGUGCGUAUAAAUACCAUAGUACACUCUAGUGCCAUGCUGGGGAUAACAACCUAGUAUUCAAGUGGUGUUAGCAAGUGUCAACACCAUCCCUGGUGGUGAGGUAGUUACGGUUGGUAAGUUUCUGGUUAAUCAUUGUGAUGCAGUUGUGCUUUUUGAUUCAGGAGCAUCGCAUUCCUUUGUGAGUUCAGAUUUUGUGUCUAAACAUAAUCUCAGGGCAGUUACACUUGAUAAAGGUAGUUAUUGCAUUAGUGCCACUAGAAAUAAUAUUUCUACCAAUCAAGUGGUUUUGGAAGCAACUUUGGAAAUAGGAGACCGUCAGUUUCUUGCUGAUGUGGUUGUGUUGCCUGGUGUGGGCAUAGAUGUAAUUCUAGGAAUGAAGUGGACAAGUGGUAACGGGGUUCUUAUCGAUAUCACUACUCGCGUAGUGAUGUUGAGAGAUCCUAGUACUAAGGAAGCGUUCUUAGUGCAACUUCCUCGUGACAUUCAUAUCCACAGCAUGAUGAACGCAGUUACAUCUAGGGCCAUCAAGGAUAUUCCUGUGGUGUGUGAGUUUCUCGCUGUGUUUCCUGAUGACUUUUCUGGGAUUCCUUCAGAUCGGGAUGUGGAGUUCAAAAUUGAAUUGCUUCCAAGUACUGUUCUAGAAGACCGUAUAGAAUGCCGCCAAAUGAGCUACCUAAGUUUAAGACCCAGUUGAAUGAAUUGUUGAAGAAGGGUCUUAUUCGUCCUAUUUCUUCUCCUUGGGGUUGUCCGGCUAUCUUUGUGAAGAAGAAAGAUCAAUCCUCUCGCAUGUGUGUGGAUUAUCGCCCACUUAAUGCGGUGACUAUCAAGAAUAAGUAUCCUCUUCCUCGCAUUGAUAUCUUGUUUGAUCAGUUGUGUAAAGCUAAGGUAUUCUCCAAGAUUGAUUUGUGGUCUGGGUACCAUCAGAUCAAGAUCUGUCCUGAAGAUAUACCCAAGACAGCUUUCUCGACAAGAUAUGGGCUAUAUGAGUAUCUCGUCAUGUCAUUUGGUCUUACGAAUGCACUGGCACACUUCAUAUAUCUCAUGAAUUCGGUCUUCAUGCCCAAAUUGGACAAGUUUGUGGUGGUUUUCAUUGAUGAUAUCCUAAUAUAUUCUCGCAAUGAAGAAGAACAUGCAGAGCAUCUGCGUGUAGUGUUAACUCAUUUGCAUGAGCAUCAGCUUUAUGCUAAAUUUAGCAAAUGCGAGUUCUGGCUAAAGAAAGUACCUUUCUUAGGCCAUGUCUUGUCUGAAGAAGGGAAAUCAGUUGAUCCGGCCAAAGUGCAAGAAGUGCUGGAUUGGAAGGUCCCAACUUUAGUGCAUGAGGUUUGGAGUUUUCUGUGUUUGGCUAGAUAUUAUCAUCGUUUCAUUCUGGAGUUCUCAAAAAUAUCCAAGCCAGAAGUUGGAAAUUCAUGUGGACGCCAGAAUGUGAGGAAGCAUUCCACAAGUUCAGGACCUUGCUAACAUCAGCUCCUGUCCUGGCUCAAGCCGAUAUCGAGAAGCCUUUCGAUGUCUUUUGUGAUGCAUCUGGUAUCGGUCUGAGCUGUGUGCUUAUGACAGAAGGUCGUGUUUAUCUCUUAUGCCUCACGCCAACUUUGGAAACAUGAGGUCAAUUACCCCACUCAUGAUCUAGAAUUGGCUGCAGUUAUCCACGCUUUGAAGAUCUAGAGGCACUAUUUGCUGGGUAAUCUGUGCAAUAUUUACACCAAUCAUAAGAGUCUCAAGUACAUCUUCACCCAACCUGAAUUGAACUUGUGGUAGUGAAGCUAGCUUGAGUUGAUUAAAGAUUAUAAUCUUCAAGUACACUAGCAUCUGGGCAAGGCAAACGUGGUUGCAGAUGCCUUGAGUCAGAAAUCGCACUACAAUUCCGUUCAGAUUGAAGAUUCACCCUUGUCAUGUCUUAUGCAUCCACUAGUGCUUCACUAGAUUGCCUUAGAAAGCUCUCUUCGUAAUCGAGUAAUUGAGUUGCAGCAAACUAAUGUAGGCAUCCACCAUAUAAAGAGGAAAAUGAAAGAAGAAGAAACCAAGCAUUUCUAGGUUGAUGAGAACAGAAUUCUAUGGUUCAAAGAACAGCUUGUUCUACCAAAGAACCGUGAGCUAUGAAAUCAGAUCUUAUAUGAAGCUCGUUCGUCCAAGCUAUCUGUUCAUCUUGGUAGUAGUAAGAUGUAUUAGGAUCUUAAACCUCUAUUUUUGUGGACAAAGAUGAAAAAGGAGAUUGCUGCUUUUGUUGCUCAUUGCGAUAACUGUUGUCGCGUGAAGGCAGUUCACAUGAAAGCGGGUUUACUUCAACCCUUACCCAUUCUUGGGUGGAAAUGGGAAGAAGUAAGUAUGGACUUUAUCUCUGGACUUCCAACUUCUAUCAAGGGUUAUGACUCAAUUUGGGUGAUUGUGGACCGCUCAACCAAGGUCGCUCAUUUUAUUCUAGUUCGAACCAAGUAUCAACGACAUCAGUAUGCGGAGUUGUACUUCGAGCACAUUGUCCGUCAGUAUGGUGUGCCUCGUACUACCAUAUCAGAUCAUGGACCGUAGUUCACUGGCCGUUUUGGGGAGUGUCUUCACGAGCAAAUUGGUACUCACACUACAAGAGAUGUGGCCUUCUGUGACAGCUCAUUUUGGUCAUAAACAGAGGAAUUUAUGUCACCAUAAUAUGCUCUGUGACGAUGCAGUGACGAAAUACCUAUCGUCACCGAAGGUGCGUGUUAAAGCCCCUUCCAUGACGAUUGAGAGUAUAUCGUCACUGAGUUAGUGACAACAAUAUUUUCGUCGCCAGCAAUAAUGACGAUCAUUAUUUGUCAUUAAAACUGUCAUGAAAUCUCAAAUAGACAACUACCAUGUGUGCCUAUAUAGUAACAAUAUUAACCAUAUAAUUGAAUUCAACAAAUGACAGCCAUACAUUGAUCCAUAACAAAUUUCAUAGUCAUCCAUUCAACAUCUUAGAAGCAACAAUCUCAACCAUACAUCCAGCUCACUCAUACAUCCAUCUAAGUCAUACAUAACAACUUGAAAUAGUUUGCAAGCUAAAGCAAUACUAAGUUCAUAGUUUGUAUUGCAGCACCCACAAGUAGGCCAAAAUGCUACAGAGUUCACCAAAGACUCUCAUCUGCCCAAAUUCUAGGGAUAGAUACAAAAGGCAUAAUUGAACUAACUCGCCUUGAUGCAUAUCUUGAUGAUGAUGCUCACAAAUUUUAGGGAGGAGUGACUUGACCCUGAUUGAAGUUAAUCAGUUGUCGAAGGAGGGCAUGAGUUUCUUGCUGUCCCUUCUUCAAACUGUCAAUUUCAUAUGCUUGGCUAGCCACCUCUUGCUUAAGUUGUGCAGAUUCUUGUUUAAGUUGCACAGAUUCUUGCUCCUUAGCCUCAAGUUGAGCCUGUAGCUCCCGCACCUGUGAACUAACUGCACUUCUACUACUUGGCUUCAAGGUUGGUAGACCCACAUUUUGAAGAAAUGUGCUUGAUUUUGGCAGCACCUUGGAAACAAUUUCAGUAGAAGAUAGUGACUGCUGGCCUUCUUGCAUUGGUGCAGCCUCAAUUGCUUCCAUAGCAGCCUAGCAAUAGAAUGAUACAAAAUUAGUAUUGACUUUGGUACAGAUUUAUAGCAAUAUAGGAAAAACUUCCUACAAUAAUACUUUACAAAGACCUAAAAUAUGAUCUUACUUUAGCCAAAAUAGCCUGAAACAUAAUUUCAAGCAUGGGGAUAUACACAUGUGAAUUUAGAAGACUACAUACACCUAAAUUGGGAAAUGAAUAAUGUAAUAAAGUAGUCAAGCAAAAAGUACAUCAUAACCCUUCCAACAUCAAUUCUGACAAUAGCAAAAAUAGCCCAAAAUCAUUUCCAAUCAUGAAGUAAAGGCAAUAGUAGUUGCAGCUAGUGGUGCGUGCAUGGAUCAGAUUCUAUGCAUUGGAUUUCAGUGGUUCAGAUAAGUAGCAUGCAACAACAACUGCAGCACAAGAUGUGCAGCCAAUCCGGCCAAAUAUUCAAGUUGACUUUCAAGAAUGUCUUGGAGAAGAGGAGAAAAGUACUUACAAUUGCAUUUUUGACAGGCUCACAAAAUCCACUCUUCUUGCUGCAAUGCAUCUCCUUGAACAAAUCAAUUGCAGUGGGUUCUAUGUCUUUAUAUUUUUCUUGUUUCUAAAAUAAUUAGAAAACAACUACAAUGUUAGCUUGAACCAAUUCCGUGGCUUCUCAUUUCAAAUAAUGUGCAGCAGACUUUAAUGAAACAAAAUGUGGCCAAAGUGCUACCAGCAAUGCACUCAUGCAAACAGUUGCAAACUAUAGAACCUAGACUUAGAAAUACAAGUUCAUUGAACAAGUUUUGCUCAUUCAAGUAUUUUUCAAUAAGUAUAACAAGGACAGAAAUUCAAUUGGAGGCAUAUUUUUGCAUGUAAAUUAGAAGCACAUGAAAAUAAACAUAUAUUCAAGCAUGUACAAGGUAUAUGCAAGAUUUUAGAACAUGAACCAUGAGACAAUAACAACUAUCUAUAUGCUCCUCAUUCUGGCUUGCGGUAGUAUCGGUAGAUGCCAAUGCAUCAUGCGUGACAAUAGUGAGGCUUCGAUUUGCAGCAGUCCUUUGCCUCGUAACUCUAGUACUUUCCCCUUGUUCUUGUGGUGCCACCACUCUCUUUGACGUUGUUGAACCUCUAGAGCAGAACUUGCCAAUAAGUUGGCCAUUCUUGCUACAUCCAUCCUCACCCAUGUUAGGAGCCUAGUAUGAAGCAAAAAAGAAGAAUUAGACCCAAAAAAUAAUAGAAGUGCAGUCACCAAAAUGAUAAUGAUCAAUAACAAUCCUUCAUACCAUGCUGACUUCGUCCUCGUCAUGUUGGUAAGAGCCCUCAUCGUCCUCAGGAUCGUACAGAGAUCCAGAUUUUUUUGGAACAUCAUCCUUGUUCCUUGCACUUUUACCCUUAACUUGCACAGCUAGUGUACUGAGCCCAAGGCUUUGGAAAAUUUGGUCAUUCCUCAUAAUGUUUUCAUUCCUCUGUCUUAAAUAUUCGAGUGCCGUUGCUUCUGUACAUUCAAUUGAUACAAUUAUAAGGGAGUAGUUAGAGCAAAAAAUAAAAAAUGUAUGUUGUUGCUUGUAAAAUAAAAAUGUAUACUGCUAGCAUCUCUGUACUAUUUACUAUUUCUAGUUUAACCACUGAUUUCCCACACAUGUAAAUGCUCCUGCAUCUCUGUAGAACUUCUGAAUUUUAAGAUGGGUUGCGGAUUCACAAAAGUCACCAGGUUUCAGAACAAGGGUUAUGAAUGAUUCACCAAUAAGAUCCUAUGAAGGAUUGUCUUUUCUUCACUCCACUUCCAUCAUUUUAAUUUUGAACUUAUAGCAGCAUACUCUGAAAUUGAUAGUGCUAUUUUCUAUUUGCUAAUAACCUUCAGAGGAUCUCCUAACUCGUGGUAUCCAGGAUUAUUAGGCAACAAUCUUUGCAGAUUGGAAGGGCACUCAAGAUUUAUCCAGGAUCUCCUAAAUUUGGUUCUGCUUUUUCUACUUCUAAAAAUAAUUAGUUUUCCUAAUGUGAAGGGCACUCAAGAUUUAUUUUGCUUUAAACAUUCUCUUCAUAUUUAUUAAACAUAGAAAUCUGCAUAAUAACAAAAUGUGUAAACACAUUUUUCUUCUGUAUAGGAUGGAUCUGAUAAACUAACAAAAUUAGUUUGAAGCCAUAUGGAUCUACAAUUAUUUUCCUUUGAUUUUUCAAAAACCAUGAACGAAAUGGUACAAACAUACAUGCUAGCUAACUAGCUUCUACUGUUUAUCUCCCUGCAUACGCAUAACAGAAACUCAUCCGUGCAGACACAGGGCCAUCAACAGCCAUCAACCAGGCCACUCCGCGCUCCAGAAGGCCACUCUUCACUUGCUGCCCACUCCCCCAAAAUCUCAAGAGGAUGGACGCACACAUCCCUCGCCGACUCACUGCCACUGGACACGGACUCGCCCACAGGAACCAAAAUCCCCUCACCUCAAACCCAAAGUUCGAACAGAAGAACACCAAAAAAACCAAAUCCCCAUUGGCACCCCUCAGAUCCACUUGUUUUUCCCUUGCCUGGCGCUCAAGCUUGAGGAAUUACCUGUGGGCGUCUCAACUAUCUUGGCAGUCUGCACCUUUCUCCCAGGAGGCAUCUUGUAUUUGGAGCAGAACUCGUCGCCUAGCACUAGGAAGGAAGGGGGUAGCUGGUAGAUGUGGUGCUGGCUGGUGGUGCUGGCUUCUAGGAGCAAGAGCUACGGCAGAGGUAGAGGGGGAGUGGUGGCGGCUAGAUGCACAGGGGAAAGGGGAAAGAUGAAAUCAGACUGGAAUGUGCAGGGUUUCAGUUCUUGUAUAGGAGUUUACUGUAAUACCCUUGAUUUGAACACAUGAAGGACUUGUUAUAGUGGACAUAAGUGGCAAUUGGUCAAAAAAAGAUGGCGGGAGAUGGAGAGGCUGGCGGGAAUCAUUGGUGGGGAGGUAGAGGGACAAUUUUAUUGUUGGUGGGGAGACAAAUUUUUUGCCUGGUGGCCAUUUUUUGCACCAAUCGUUGGCAGGAGACCAAUUGCAGCUUUUCUAAGCAAUAUUAGGGUGUAGUUUAUCAUUAAAGUAGAGAGAAGUAAAUAUUUAAUAAUGAUAUUGUAGAAUUAUGGACUCAAACAAGUGACAAAUUAACAUUGCGAAGGACUUUUAUAGUAUUAUAAAUUAUGUCAGAACAAUCUAACCAUAAUUUUUUUUAUUCAAUAAAUAACUAUGAUGCAUGAACAUUUGUCAUAUAAAUCCGUCAUAACCAUGAUGCCAAAAUAGGUAAUGACGAUUUUGAUUUUGACUUCGUGACAGGUAAUAUAUUUUCGUCAUUAACCAAGGUUGGCUCUUGAAAAUCGUCAUUAUCUUAAUAAUUUAGUGACAGAUUGCUCUGUUGUCAACAUAUAAUCAUCAUAGAAGGUCACAUCUCUUGUAGUGUCAUUGAUUCGAAGUUCUGCAUAUCAUCCACAAACUGCCGGCGAAACUAAGCGUGUUAACCAAAUCCUAGAAGACAUGUUGAGAGCAUGUGCUCUCUCUUCAAAAGGUUCUUGGGUAAAGUGGUUACCGUUAGCUGAGUUCUCUUAUAACAAUAGUUACCAAGAGAGCAUUAAGAUGGCUCCUUUUGAUGCCCUGUAUGGUCAAAAGUGUCGAAAUCCGUUGAAUUUGGUGGAACCCAGGGAACGAAGGUAUUACAGCUUUGAUUUUGUGAACAAAGCGGAGCAGCAGGUCUGUACAAUCCAGCAACAUCUGGAAGCUGCUGAAGCUCGUCAAAAGAGUUAUGCCAACAAGAGAAGAAAAUCGAUUGACUUUACACUCAGGGAUCACGUGUAUCCCAAGGUGUCUCCGAUGAAAGGUGUAUAAAGGUUUGGAGUCAAGCGAAAGCUUGCACCCCAUUAUGUGGGACCUUAUUGGAUUCUUGAGCUACGAGCUUUUUUUCCUGUCUUUCAUGUAUCUCAGUUGAAGAAAUGCCUUCGAAUUCCGGAAGAAAGGGUAGAGGUUUGGGAUAUCAAGUUGGAAUCGGACUUGGUGUAUGAAGAGAAGCCUGUGGUGAUCCUUGACCACAAGGAAUGGGUAACUCAUAAUCGCAUGGUUAAGUUCUACAAGGUUUUGUGGAGUAACCACGGGGAGGAAGAUGCUACUUGGGAAACAUAGGACUAUUUAAAGGAAAUUUAUAAAACCAUCUUCGAAAAUCAGUAAGCUUUCAAAUCUCGGGACAAGAUUUUUGUAAGGGGGGAGGGUUGUAAUACCCUAGUGUUAUGGUUGCAUCCUUUCACAUGCAUGACAUGAGCAUAGUCAUCUUCAUAAGCAUACCAUGAUCAUCAUUUAUCUUGGGACAUGUCAUUUUAUGUGUAUGUGUUGCUUAAUUUGUUUAUUUAUGCUUUCUAUGCUUGUGUUUGAGUAUAAAAUGCUCUUGUAUGUGUCGUAGACCUUGGUAAGUGGUUUAACUUUGCUUAACUCAACCUUAGGAGCAAUGUUCAUGUUGAUCAUAUCCUCUAAUUAUGCUUCUAAGUCAUAGUUUCAUCUAGGGGGCAUAUAAACCUCUUUUGCUUAGGCUUUUAAAAAGUACUUCAUAGAAUGUUUGCAUGUCAAAACUUUCUAAAGGAAAGUUGUAGCAAAUGUUAUAAGGAACAAAAGUUGUUUUAUGGCCAUCUCAGGAAAAUUAUCACAACUUGCUCAAAAAUGGUCCACAAGGCAGAAUUGGGGGCUGUUUUGACACAUAGCAAAAUUUUGCAAAGUCCUCUCGCCACCAGUUUGUCUGAAGGAUUUUGGAAACCUUUUAUCUCUUCAUCUAGGCCGAUCUGGCUCUUGCUCCAGGUGACAAAGUUGUAGAACUCAGUUAGUACUUCAAGUUUGUAAACUACACCAUCUCCUAAUUCGCCACGGUUUGGGAGUUAAUCUUUGUCAAUGUAGCUCUGUCAGACAUCAAAGAAAGCUGUGAUGGCGAGCUCUGUCCACCGUCGUGCCGACCAGAGCAGCACCUAGCUGUAAUUUGGCACCUGUACGCUGGUGUUUGCCCCACCAGUCAGGCCAUCGACGCUGUCAAGGACGCCACGCCACCCCCGCACUCGCCCAGCGCUGCUCCCACUCGCUCUGCCUCUCUAUCGCACCCUUCGAUGGCAGAGGCGCCAUCGCCAUUGCCGCCGAGAGCUUCGCGAGCUCCGCGUGCCUUCGUCCUUGCGUCGUGCCACCUCUCCAGGCGUCAUCGAGUCCGUCUCGAGCUCCGCCUUCCUCUCCACCUCUUGGCCGCCCGAGAUUGCCCCGAGGUGAGCCACAUUUCACAAGUUCUCCGUCGUCGGGUUCGCGGCCGUCGCGACCCAAACUCCGGCGAACCCUGCCGCUGCUCCAUCCCUACCUUCUUUCUUCUAUCUGAGUCAUGUUAGAGCUUGCUUAGGUCACCGUCGUGGUCUGUGUCACACCCUUUCGUCUUUGGUGGCACCGUCGUGCGGGAACACGGCCACCGUGCCGUCGUGCUCACCGCCGACGACCAUCCUGCACGUGAGCAGGCUCAUCGGAGUCAGUAGGGUGAGGCCUUUCAACCUAGGAAGCUCCACGCUAUCUUGCUGAUGCAUAAGCCACCUUUCCCCGAUUUUCUACCGGUUGGAGACGGCCGGCGUAAGCCCGGAUAUGUCGUACUGCCAUGGCCGAUGAUGACCUCACCCUGUUGCUCCAACCCUCAAACCACCGACCUCUAUCGACGCGGAAGGACUCAGGGUGCACGCUGAUGUCCUUGGAUCCACCAGAGAAGCUCACCAUUGGCGAGCAUUCGCCGGCGAGUGUUCUCUCUGUUCUCGUCGCUGACACGUGGGUCCCGCUGUCAGUGACCUGGUUUUCCUCCUCCUCUUUUAUUCAAAUCCUAGAUUUUUGUACAAAUGCUGUGAAAUUUUUAUGACAUGCUUUGUGUGGUACUAGUACACUCUGGUAAAUAUUUCAUGAUUUGUGAAGCACUGUAUCUCUGAUAUAUAAUUUAUGUUGGUGUUAUUGCUUAAAUCCUUGUUUAAAUCAUAGUAAAUGUUGUAUGCUUAUGCUGGUACUCUUCUUUGGUGUCAAGUGUGGUUAUGGUAGUAAUAUCAUGUAAAUAAUCUGAAAUCUAUUGUUUGACACUGUUUAGCCCAUGUUUCUUAAUUUAUGUAAUAAGCACUUUGUCACAUGUUAAUUAGAUAUCUUAUGUUUGGCAUGUGCAAUUGUUCUGAAAAUUUUAUGGUGAGGUCCAGGUGCCCUGCUUGUAGUCCUGUAAAUUUAGUAGAAUUUUCGGAGUAUCUUUGCUCGUAUCUCUUAUUUAUGCUCUUUUAUGGUAUUAAAUUAAUAAAGGCUUCAUAAAUAAGGGUUUGGUAGUUAACAUGUGGUUUUCUGGUAAUCUUAUAUCAUGUUUGUUCCUGUGAGUCACUUGGUUGACACUAAAUAUGAUGUUGCUAUGUGAACAAAUAAUUAAUUGAAGGAUAAGUAGCUGUUCUGGACAGCAGGGGAGAAAUCUGAUUAUUCUCUAGUGUUAGCUUCUUUUCUUGGAUGACUUGUCUAUACCAAAGUUGUUGUAAACUUUGUGUUCUAACUGUAGUUAAAAUUUGGGGUCAUUUGUCCCAGUAGUUUGAAAGUUAUGGCCUUUCCAAGUGAAGUUCCAGAACCAGGUGUUCUCUGUUUUUCUGGAACAGAACCUGGAACUUUGUUUAAUUGGCUUGCCUAACUUAUGAAUCUUGCUAAGAUGUCUAAAGAUGAAAUGUAAACAGUUUCAUAAGCUUUCCAGAAUGUCUUAAUUCAUGUCUGUUGGAUUUAUAUAUCUCCAGUUAUAAAUUGUUCGGUGGACUGUCUUGCUGUUUGUAGUUGCUGUUUAUUUGUGUAAGUAAUACAUCUUUGUUAGUUAUGGUGGGACUCUUGUGUAAGCUUGUAAAGAAGUUACUCAGUAAAUGAGUGUCCAGUGAAGUGUUGUGACCAUGAUCAUGUCAAGCAUUCACCAUUUCCUCGUAUGCAUACAUUCCUCACUCAUUGUGUGCAUGCCAUAGGUGCACCAGAGACUGCGGCCUUGUUCGAGCUCGAGAGGGUGAAUCCAGAAGGCCCGGAGGUCACUCAGGAGAUGGAGGUCCAGCCAGCAGGGCCUGAGGAGCCCGAAGAGGAAGUCGAGUGCCCUAGUCAUGAGCACGCUUUGUUCGUGAAAGGCAAGCCUCGGAGCAUCUCAAAUCUCCCACUUUAAUUUGAAAGCAUGCUUGAAUAUGCUAUGUCUAUUGUUGCAUUACGUAUAGGAGUUGUUAUGGAACCAUUGCUGCAUUAUACCUUGUCCAGAUAUAUCACCUUACCCUGGUAUAGAGUCAGGAUCGAGUAAUAGCUUAGCCAUGCUUUAAUCGGUAGAAGUCAGGUAAUACCCUGUCACCUGCGUGAAAUAGGGUCUGUUGUUGGAUCACGGUUGGCUAUAUUUGCUAUCGUGGAAAAAGAACAUGGUUAAAAUGACUUAAGUCGGGUGGAGUUUUGCAAGGUGGUAGUAACUCCAUUUGUGGCAGCUAAGGACCGAUCGUUGUACGUCCUCUUGUCAUGUUGAACGCAUGCAUGACACUUAGUUGGCCGGAUAACUCGUUCCGACCGUGAAGCCUAGUAGUAUGACUCAGGCCGGAAGACCGGCAAGUAUAAAGUGCACACUACCAGAGGAAGUGCGGUGUGCGGGGACCAUUAGCGUAAGACCAAGGGCAGGUGAUUUAAAGUCCUGAUUUUCCUGGCAGAGUGGCAGCCCUAGGAGUGCGGCGCUGAUCGGAGCCGCGAUUCCUGAGUCAUAGCAAAGGUGACCCGCUUGCUCUCCGACGGGGGAUGCAUGGGUGAGUGCUAGGAAUAACCCUCCAGCUCGAUAGGAAUCGAUUCGAAUCUCCGUCUCUCCCGGAUAGUGAGAACUUGACAGAGCAGCGGCAAACGUAGCAUUCACUAAGUACUUAAUGGGUCUUUAAUGAUGAUGUUCAGGAUAGCAAGAAAGAACAUAUGUUGAAACUUGAUAUGGUUAUUAUUGGUUGUUAAUAAUCAAGUGAAGUCCUUAGUCUAGGUGCUAAUCUAGUGAUAGGCUAAUGGUAAUCAAAAUGAUGCUAAUAAGAAUGCUUUACUAUCCAAUUUAAGCUCUUUUGCAAAUAUAUGAGUCAAACCAGCUCCACUUAUACUCAGCCUUGCAUGAUCCUUGGUGUCUUUUAUGUGCGGUUAGAUGGGUAAGUCUAGCUGAGUACAUCGACGUACUCAGGGUUUAUUUCCACUUGUUGCAGAUGACAUCUUCUAUGACGGUUUCUACAAGACCUGUCUUCACCCCGCUGGGGAUGAGGACUAAACUGUUGGACGUGGUUCUCUAAUGACUUCGUACCUAUGAUGCUUUUGGUGGAUGUGAUGAAACCCUAGCUGUAACAAGAAUUAGUGAUGUGUGUGUGAAAACUAUGUUGCUUCCACUACUUGAACUUGUGUUGUAAUAACUUAAGUAAACUCUGAUGUGGUGUCGCUUCGUCGACAGUGAAUGAACUAUAUAACAAUCGUUGUGUUGUGCUGAACUAUUACGACCUUGGUUUGUUGCGAAGUUGGUUUGAAAUCCUUCGUGGUUUCACUUGACUACCGGGAUUAUAUGGGCUCAAGUUUGGAAAGUUGAUUGCCUGUGCGAUAGUUUCUACACUUGAACUCUUAUAAUUUAGUCGGUUCUAUGACAGCCGUCUACAAGGUCUGUGGCUCGCGGAGCUCGACGUCCACCUUGAUGUGUUCCGGUAGGCCACCCACAAAAGGCUCCGCUUUUUGGGCGGUGGAUAAAUUGCGGGAGUGGCACAACACCGCGUUGAAGCGUUCGACAUAGUCCUAGACCAUGGAGAUGAAAAGCAGCCUAGAUAGUUUGGACAGAUGGGAGGUGCAUACCACUGGUCCAAACUAGAGAUUGCAGAGGGCCUUGAAAUGAUCCCAAGGCGGCAGGCCCUCAUCUUGUUCCAAGGCGUAGUAAAAUGUUUGUGCCGCACCAUUCAAGUGGUAGGAGGCCAGCCACAUCUGAUCCGAGGCUAACGUCUGCUAGCCGUGGAAAAAACUGCUCACACUGGUUGAGCUAGUUCAAAGGAUCAAUAGAACCAUCGUACGUGGUGAACUCCAAUUUGUAGAAUUUGGGGCAUGAUGAUCCCUAGGCGUGCUGAUCUCCGCUGCCAACAUAUCAGGCACCGAGCCCCCCGGAUGUGGCUGCGGCAAAGGGGGAGGGUUCAGGGUACUUCUGGGGCUCCCGCACAUCGUACCAGAGGUGAAGGGAGCCCCAAAGGUGGCAGACAGAGGGGCUCCCACGAUCAUCGGCGAGGCGGUCAGCCAUGGGGGCACCAAAGUGUACACUAGCGCUGAACUUAACGCCCAUGAUGGGAUCAGCGAUGGAGAUGGUGGGAAGGACAUCUAGUGGAUGAGAACGUAUGUCGACGGUGUGAGGAAGGAGGGCCCUAGGGGCAGCUCCACAGAUGAGUAGGUCAAAGCGAGGGUGGGCUGGGUGUAUGGGAAGGAGGGGUGCAGUGGUGGGGGGUACAUUGGCGGUGCUGGUGCCUACUACUAGUCGAGAACUAGGGCUUGCAGCGUGCGCUGCACUUGCCCCAUGGCAUGACUGAGAUCGACGACCGCCCCUGUCAGCUGUUCAGGCAUGAACACAGCGGCAGUGAGGGCUGCAGCGGUGGUGAGCGUCGGCUAGGAGGGAGAGACCAGCACCGACGUGGUCGCUGGGAGGGAGUGGGUAGGGGGCGGCGGCAGUGGCGUUCGAAGGGUAUUGCUGGGCGGCGGUGGUGGUAGGGAGGAGGUGGCCGUUGAGCUGGACAUCGAACCUGACAUCUCCAAUACCAAAUUGAUAAGAUUUCAGAUCCUACCAGGCUUGUUGUGCAGAUUGUAGGGAUGGGAAGGAGGAGGAUGGAGGCGAUCAUGGUGCAGGGACGCCGUGCUUGCUUGAUGGACGCGCGUUAGAGAAAGAGGUCGGCUAGGGUUUCUAGGCUCCCUCAGGGAAGCCGAGAAGAAUAAUGCUCUUGCUUAAUUCCAAAUAGGUGCAAAGUACAUGUAUUUACACUACAACUAGUAAUAUAUAAAUAUCCCCCUCUUAUUUAAAUAAUUCUAAUAAAUAUGAUCCGAAGAUCCCCCUUUUAGCCACCUCUAGGCUUCCUCCGAUCAUAUAGGACGCUGGUCAUAAAAGAACCAACCAGUGAUGUACCUAAAGUGCAAAAGGCCAUGUAGGGACUACACUAUCUAUGUCACCACCAAUGUAUACCUUCUUCACCUGGCCAUAUUUCAAAUCAAUACUGAAUAGGCCAUCCACAGUCUGCACAAAGAAGAGUGCAACACCAUCUGCAAAGCCAACCAAUUCAGUAGAGAUGGAGUUGGCAUCAGCAGGGAGUAGUGUCCGAAGAUCAAUGUCUUUGCUUUGUGCCCACCCCGCUGUUGACACCAUUUUUGGGCACGUGUCCAGGAUGGCAGGAUAGGGUGGCAGUACGAUGCGGGUUGCUGAUAAGGAUGGUUGCCGAUGAGGGAAAGGUUGAAUGUGACUAAGUCCUCAGGCAGUAAUAUGGUGCCGAUGACCAAGUAAAAAGGUCUGCCGAUGACUAUGGCAAGGAGAUUGCCGAUGACGCGAAGGAGGAGUCCGGAAGCUGCCAGUUGUCAUGUGGAGGAGUUUCGGUUUGUCACGAAGGAUGGUUUUAUUAUUUCCUUAGUUAUUCGCAUCGUUUUGUAUACGGGUUCCGUGUAAUUUGGAAUUCGAAUUCUAAUCGUGUCUGGUCGUAGCUCUUUGAGCAGGGUAUAAAUAUAAGCCCUAGGACCUUGUAAUCAAGACAUCUAUCAAUCAAUCAAACACACGUUUUUACUCAUAUUCCAGCAUUUACUUUUUCGACGACUUCGUCAUACGUUUUCUUUUUGUUACGAGUUCUUAGGAAUUCGUCGACUCAAGCUCGGCGUAUCCUCAAGUUCCGCGUGAGUACCUCUUAGCCGUGACAUCCGGGCGCAUCGCUGUUGUCAGGACUAAAGUAUUCGAGUUAUCACCUUUGCCGAUAGUAAGGUCAAAUCGGCUGGCACGCCUUAACGUUUGGAUCGGGUAUUAGCCCUUUGUGUUUGCAGACUAGUUUUUGCAUCAACACAUCUUUUGGCACGCCCAGUGGGACCGAUUCAAGAUCAAGAUCAACAUGUCGAUCUCUGACCUCGAUCAAGACAACGUCAUCCCCGUGACAGAAGCCAACCUCAAGGAUGAGCAGAAGCAAGCUGUUGCCCAAGCCAUGGAAUAGUUCAAGCAGCAAUGCCUGAAGUCUUUCAGCAUAAACAGGAGCGGCGAAGUGGUCCAGAAAGAUGCACUGCCGGCACCACGGCAGGUCACCUUUGACGCCAAUCCUGGCAAGCUUCAAGACAUGGUUGACAAUGCCAUCAAUCGAGCGCUGAUUAACCAAGCUAGUGUACUGUCUAAUACGGUUUUCAACGCCGUGGCAAGAACCUUCAAGGAAGGACAAAUCCCGCCGGAUUAUGUGGGCCCUUCCCAUCAUCAACCCAUGGCACCAGAGGUCACGGCUCCAUCGGCUGCCUUGACGAGUGCAAGUGCACAGUCUGCCGUCCCUCCAAGUACAUUGGGGACUACUGGUGCACUAUCUAUGCCGAUGGCAACCAACCCACAAAUUUCAGUUGGGCAGCAUAAACUGACAACAGAUAUGUUGGCAUCGGCAAUGUCGGGAUUAACUCUUCCUCCCAACUGGUGGGGUUAUGGUAUGCCUCCAGAGUUGACGCCGGGAACGUCACAGAUAACUGACAUGAGGGGCAAAACUCCUCUGACAUCGGCACCUUCCAAUGUGCCGGUGAACCAGAGUCCUCGGUAUACCACAACUACUACUGCAAGGCCUCACACUGGAAAUCCUCAAGAUUCAAUGUUCCAGAUGCCCAACGCAUCGGCAGAGUCAAUGCUGAUGCAACAGAGGCCUAUGGCCCAGUCGGGGUAUGUCAAUUCAAUGACGAUACCCAAUUACCAAUCAUCGGCAGCACCUAUGCCGAUGAACGCUAAUAAUGGAUGGCUUGGACAGCAAGCCUUUCCACAUUCGCCCCAGCAGGGUUAUCAGACUACGGGGUUCCAGCAAGGGCAGGUUUAUCCCGGGUUCCAAGGUCAGGGAAUUCCCAACCAGCCAAUAAAUUUUGGACAGCAACUCGGAGGACAGCCAAUCGGUGGACAGCAGUUUGGUAGUCCGCAGAUUGGAGGACAGGUGACCAAUACGAUGUUCCAUACAGGUCACGUCCCAAACAGACACGUGGAGGUUCGCCACCAAGUGCCGGAUCCGCAGCCGCCUCAUCGGCAAGAUGCCGAUGCUUAUUGGGCCGAUAAGAUUGCUGAAGUAAUGAGGGAACAAUUUGGGAUAAAACCCAAAGUCAACACUUAUUCUUAUCGGACACCGUAUCCUCCAGCGUAUGAUUUGAUCCCGCUUCCACAUCGGUACAAGGUACCAGAUUUUACAAAGUUUUCCGGACAGGACGACACGUCAACCAUGGAGCAUGUCAACAGGUUCAUUAUUCAAUGUGGAGAGGCUGGUAACAGGGACGAAUUAAGGGUUCGUCUAUUUUCGUCAUCACUGUCUGGAUCGGCCUUUACUUGGUUCAUAUCGUUACCUCCCAACUCAGUAAUUACUUGGGCCGAUCUAGAGAAGCAAUUCCACAGAUACUUCUUCUCGGGGGUUCAUGAGAAGAAGAUCACCGACUUGGUUAAGUUGAGGCAACGUAAUGAUGAGUCGGUUGAGGGAUUUGUGCAGAGGAUACGAGAGGUCAAGAAUAAAUGCUAUAGCCUGGUUCUGGAUGAUCGGCAGCUGGCCGAUUUGGCUUUCCAGGGUUUGUUGCCACAUAUCAGGGAUAAGUAUGCAUCUCAAGAGUUCGAGAGUUUAAGUCAUUUGGUGCAGAGGAUAUCUGAUCAAGACAUCAAGCCUUUCGAGCCUAAGAGGGCAUGGAAUAAGAAAGUAUCAUUUGUUGACGAAGCAACAAGCUCAGAUUCCGACGAGGAACCAGUAAUCGGUUUGGCAGAGUGGGUAAAAAACAAGAAGCCGAUGUCUUGUCCUUUUGGGCAGAAAGAACCAGAGAAGUUUGCCUUUGACACCGCCAAGGCCGAUAGGAUAUUUGACUUUCUACUUCAGGAAGGUCAAAUCAAACUGUCACCUAACCAUGUGAUCCCGUCGGCAGAAGAGUUGAAGAGGAUGAGAUAUUGCAAGUGGCAUAAUGCAACUUCACAUGACACCAACGAGUGCAAAGUAUUCAGACAACAGCUGCAAUCGGCUAUAGAGUCGGGGAGAAUCAAGUUUGACAGUUCUAAAGCCCAGAAGCCGAUGAAGAUAGACCAACAUCCUUUCCCGACAAACAUGUUGGACGCUAAGGGGAAGGCUAAGGUCUUAACGUCGGAGACAGCUGAGAAGAGUGCAUCGGUAGAUCCUCAGCAUCAAGUUACUACCGCCGAUGCAAGAAGUAAGGGCUUGGUCCAGGAAGGAGCUAGCUCAGGAAGACUUCCUCGGUCUGGUAUUGUCAUAACUCAUAGAAGGCCUCGAGAGAGAUGGCAACAACGGGAAGAUCGAUAUCGGCGCCAGCAGGAAGAUUAUCAACGGGAAGAAGAAAGACGCCGACAGGAGUGGAAUCGGCACAGGGAUCAUUGGAAUUGCCCAUUCUUCAUCCAUUGUUGGGAGGAAAAUAUCAAGCUUCCUACUGUCAGAGACUGCCCUGAAUGCAACGGUUAUGAUCGGUACGAUAGGAACGAUCGGCGUUAUCAUGAUGAUGAACGGCGAUUUAAUGGGCCAAUCAGAGGAAGGGCGUCAGUUCAUGAUCGGCUGGGGGGCAGGCUUAGUGUUCGCGAUCGGAUCGGUGACCGUGUCCAGUAUUUUCCCAGGAACCAGGAAGAGCUUGAGGAAAUGGCUAAUGCGCGGGUUCCCGAUGAGUUCAUAUUUUGCAGAGAUGCUAACACACAUCGUAUGGAAUCAAGGGAGAACCGACGCCCGGCAGUAAGGCAAAGGCCACUUCCUCCAUGGUGCCCUCAAGGAUUAACCAAGACACAGAAAAGGAGGUUGCAACGAGAAAGGCAAGAGGAGUUAAAUAAAGGAGAGAGUUCUGAAAGUCGGCAGCCGGCAGACACUAAGAAGGAAGGUCCAUCGGCAGGCGUCAACAUGGUAUUCAUGUUGCCGAUGGAGUUUCUUGCACCAGCCAGUGACGAUGAGUUGGGAUUUUCUGAUCAGAUAGCUCAGUUGGCUCUGGAUCCGAUGACGGCUAUCUUUGAGAAACCUGCCGAUAACGAGAGGCAGCAUCUUAAAGCUUUGUUCCUCAAAGGAAGGGUUGAUGGGCAGCCAAUGACUAAGAUCCUAGUUGAUGGUGGAGCUGCUAUUAAUAUUAUGCCGUAUGCAGUAUAUCGGAAGCUUGGGAAAGGGGAUCAAGAUUUGACCAAGACCGAUAUGAUGCUCAAAGACUUUGAGGGAAACGUGUCUCCGGUCAAGGGGGCGAUAUGUGCAGAGUUGACCAUCGGCAGCAAAACCUUGCCGACAACCUUUUUCGUGAUCAGCGGAAAAGGUGCUUACAAUUUAUUAUUGGGGAGAGAUUGGAUUCAUGCCAAUUGUUGUGUCCCAUCUACAAUGCAUCAGUGCUUGGUUCAGUGGGUAGGUGACAAGAUUGAGAUCGUCCCAGGGGAUUCUUCUUAUGUUAUCGCAUCGGCAGAAGCGGAUACUUAUGAAAAGACUAGGUGCAUUUCAGGAGAAGUUUGGGAGAAAGAUUUUCUCAAAGUUGCCGAUUAUGAGAUUCCACCGAUCCAAGCAGUCGGUUCUGACGACGGUUUUUAAUGGAUAGAUUCGCCGAUGAUGGAAAAUUAGGCCAGGGAUUCACAUCGGCCGAUGAUUUGGUAGAAGUAGAUAUAGGUAGUGGUGAUAAGCCUAGGCCUACUUUUAUUAGUGCUAAACUAGAUCCUGAGUGUAAACGGCAAUUAACUAGUUUGUUAAAGGAAUAUAAAGAUUGCUUUGCUUGGGAUUAUACAGAGAUGCCUGGUUUAGACCGAUCAAUUGUUGAACAUCGGUUACCCAUCAAGUCUGGAUUUCGGCCACAUCAGCAACCUGCCCGCCGAUGUAAUCCUAACAUUCUACCUGAUAUUAAGGCCGAAAUCACUAAACUUAUUGAAGCUAAGUUUAUUCGGCAGUGUCGGUAUGCCGAAUGGAUUUCCAAUGUCGUCCCGGUUUACAAGAAGAACGGGAAGCUUCGGGUGUGCAUUGAUUUCAGGAAUCUCAAUAAAGCUACGCCGAUGGAUGGAUACCCAAUGCCUGUCGCCGAUCUACUGGUUGAUGCUGCGGCUGGCCAUCGGGUCAUCAGCUUCAUGGAUGGUAAUGCGGGUUACAAUCAAAUAUUCAUGGCAGAAGAGGAUAUUCCAAAAACCGCAUUCAGGUGUCCUGGUCAUGUUGGACUAUUUGAAUGGAUAGUCAUGACUUUUGGGUUAAGGAAUGCCGGUGCUACUUAUCAAAGGGCUAUGAAUUUUAUAUUUCAUGAGUUCAUCGGCAAGAUCGUAGAAAUUUAUAUUGAUGAUGUGGUGGUCAAGUCUGGAGAUUUCUCAAAGCAUCUUGCCGAUUUACGAAGAGUGUUGGAGUGCACAAGGAAGCAUGGAUUGAAGAUGAAUCCCAACAAGUGUGCAUUUGGUGUAUCGGCAGGGCAGUUUCUUGGUUUCAUGGUACAUCAGAGGGGUAUUGAAAUUAGUCGAAGAUCUAUUGAUGCCAUCAAUAAAAUAGUGGCCCCUACCAAUAAAACCGAGCUCCAAUCUUUGAACGGCAAAGUGAAUUUUAUCAGAAGAUUUAUAUCGAAUUUAUCUGGGAGAAUUCGUGCUUUCAGUCCUCUUCUAAAAUUGAGAGCCGAUCAGGAGUUUGUUUGGGGAGAAGAACAGCAGUUGGCUCUAGAUGAAAUCAAAAAGUAUCUAGUAAAUCCUCCAGUUUUAGUUCCACCUCAACAAGGGAAACCCUUCAAAUUAUACUUAUCUACCGAUGGAUCGGUUAUCGGCUCAGCUUUGGUUCAGGAAUUUGAAGGGAAAGAGAGAGUAAUUUAUUAUUUGAGUAGGAGGUUGAUUGAUGCUGAAACCAGGUAUUCGGCCAUCGAGAAGCUGUGCUUAUGCUUAUAUUUUUCAUGUAUCAAGCUAAGACAUUACCUAUUGUCGGCCGAAUGUGCUGUUAUUUGCAAAGAUGACGUAGUCCGAUACAUGCUAUCUAUGCCAAUUAUGAGUGGAAGGAUCGGUAAAUGGAUUUUAGCGCUGUCGGAAUUCGAUUUGCGUUACGAAUCGGCUAAGGCGGUCAAAGGGCAGGUUAUGGCCGAUUUUGUGACUCAACAUUGCGGCCUAGUGGAAACCUUGGAAAUUGCACCCUGGACGCUCUUCUUUGAUGGAUCUACCUGUGACCGGGGAGCAGGAAUCGGCAUUGUGUUAGUUUCUCCCAAGGGGAGGAAGUAUGAAUUUUCCUUACCGAUUGUUGCUACAUCAACAAAUAAUCAGGCUGAGUAUCAAGCUCUGAUCUAGGGAUUGGAGUUGUUAAGAGAAGUUCGUGCUGAUGCUGUUGAAGUAUUCGGGGAUUCCAUGUUGGUUAUAAAUCAAUUAGCCGGAAGCUAUGAAUGCCGAAGUGAAGUUCUCAUAACCUAUUUCGAGAAAAGUAUGCAACUGUUAAAGGAAUUCAAAAACUUCCGAUUGGAGCAUGUUCCCCGAUUGCAUAAUGAGGACGCUAAUCGGUUAGCCCAGCAUGCCUCUGGAUAUCAGCCAAUGAUUAAUGCAACAUCGGCAGUCAGUGCCGGUGACUGGAGGAAAGAGAUUGUCGACUAUCUAGAAGAUCCAUCUAAGAAAGUUGGAAGACGGGUUCGAUUUCAAGCGACCAAGUAUGUGCUCCUUGAAAAUGAAUUGUAUUAUCGAACUAUCGACGGAAUUCUUCUCCGAUGCUUGGGUGAUGAUGAAGCCAGAAGUUUAAUGGGGGAAAUCCAUGAAGGAGUGUGUGGAGCGCAUCAGUCAGCUUUCAAGAUGAAGUGGAUGAUUCGAAGGAAUGGAUAUUUUUGGCCAACCAUACUUGAAGAUUGUUUUAAAUAUUUCAAGGGAUGUCAAGGUUGUCAAAAGUUCGGUAAUAUCCAGAGAGCACCUGCAUCGGCUAUGAAUCCUAUAAUAAAACCUUGGCCGUUCCGGGGGUGGGCCAUCGAUCUGAUCGGCCAGAUUUAUCCACCAUCUAGCAAAGGGCAUAAGUUCAUUCUAGUUGCCACGGACUAUUUCACUAAGUGGGUCGAAGCUAUUCCCUUGAAGAAGGUCACAUCGGCCAAUAUGAUUGAUUUUGUGAAGGAGCAUAUUAUUUACCGAUUUGGGAUUCCCCAAACGAUUACUACCGAUCAGGGCACCAUGUUCACGUCAGGGGAGUUCGAUGAAUUCGCAAUCGGUAUGGGAAUUAAAGUGUUGAAUUCCUCUCCUUACUAUGCUCAAGCCAACGGGCAGGCCGAAGCGUCUAACAAAGGAAUUAUCAAGCUUAUUAAACGAAAGAUUGAAGAAAAUCCUAGGCGGUGGCAUACAUUGUUAAAUGAAGCACUGUGGUCUUAUCGGAUGGCUUGCCAUGGAUCAACCAAGGUGUCACCCUAUCAAUUGGUGUAUGGACAUGAUGCAGUAUUGCCUUGGGAGAUUAAGGCUGGAUCUAGGCAAUUAUCUUUUCAAGAUCAAUUGGCUGCCGAUGAUUAUGCCACUUUGAUGACCGAUGAGUUAGAUGAUUUAGCAGGACAUCGGUUAAAGGCCUUAAUGAGUAUAGAAGAAAAUAAGAAGAGAGUUGCUAGAUGGUAUGAUAAAAAAGUAAAGGCUAAGGAGUUUGCCGAUGGGGAUUUGGUAUGGAAGUUGAUUUUGCCAGUCGGGACUAAAAGUUCGAAGUUUGGGAAGUGGUCUCCUAAUUGGGAAGGUCCUUAUCGGAUAAGACAUUCAGCUCCUGGUAAUGCCUAUAUUCUAGAAACUCUCGAAGGAGUUGAAUUUCCCAGAGCAUUAAAUGGCAAAUAUUUGAAGAAGUACUACCCCAGCAUAUGGAUCGACGCAUGAAAGUUUAAGUGCCGAUAACACUCCUAUCGGCUGGAUAUAAAUGUUCGAGGGCAGACUUAAUGUUUCAAAAGAUGCCGAUAACAGUCUUAUCGGCUAGACUAAAAGCUGAAGGCGGAAAAACAAAGGUGUGUCGCCGAUGAAAGCUUCAGAUGCUCAGCAGCGAUUGGAUUGCUGAUAUGGCGCGCAGCCGAAUCUGGUUGGCUGUCUCUAUCUCUUUGAUAUCAUCAUCGGCAGAACCUUCGAUCGGCUUCAGCUUCCUCUUCAGUUGCAGCGCUUUGCGACCAUGGACGUUUCGUUCUUGUUCAAGAUGCUUGAUGGUCUCCGGCAGUUGACUCUCUUCUUGCUGGGCUUGGGACAGAGCGUCUUCUACUUGCUUGAGUUCAGCCAGUAGAGCUUCUCUUUUUGCCGAUAGAUCAGACACUUUCUGCUUCAGUACAUCACCUGAGGACUUUAAGGUGCCGAUGUUCUUAUGUUUCUCAUCGGCUAAAAGUUUUUCUUUCAUCAUCUCCUCAGAAAGCUGGAUUUGAGCAGCUCUAUCGGCAAGGCGUCGAGUAGCUCUCUGGUACUGUAGCUGGCGGCUUUCUAGAUGUGCAGCAUGGAAGAGUGUUUCUUCAGCAUCGGCAGGAAUUUGGCCUCUAAGGGUCUUGAACAGGGCCUUGGCUGGGUCAGAAUCGUUGACCAGUUGAGUUGUGUCUUGAUGAAGUAUGGCCGAUAGCUCCUCCAGCUUAGCUCUGGUUUCUGCCGAUACAAUUCCAACUGCCCGAGAGGAGCUUGCUUCCUCGCCUUCUUCUUCGAAGAUAUCAAUAGCGAAGGAGAACAAGCUAUUGGGAGAAUCUUGUUCCUGAAAAUAAAAAUGAAGUAGGUCAAUUUUAUGGUCAAAACUUCAGCAGACGAUACUGAUGGAAAAGUGGAUGACUUACUUGCUUCAAGGCGAUUUCUUGCCUUUGACUCAGAGAGGCCGAUGGAGCUGCAGGUUGAUCGGCAAAUGUUGCCGAUAGAGCGAUAUCGCCUAAAAGAAGACAGGAAAGAUUAUAAGAAUAAAUGAGAAUAAGUUUAUCGGUAGGAGUAUUGUUGAGAUAUGUUACCCGGAGGAGAAACAACAGUUGCCUGAAUCGAGGAAACCGCCGAUGAUGUAACUGUACCUGCCGGGCCAGUUGUUUGUUCACCUACAUCAGCUGAUAUACCUGCCGUUUGAGGUUCUUCCUGCUGGGGUUCUUCCAUCUGUGGUGCUUCCUGUGUUGGUUGUGGAGAUAGUACUUGCUGUGCCUGGACGUCUGGGGAAGAAGGGGAAGAUUCCACCGGGAUUGGAAACACCGGAGGAGGAGGAGGAGUUGCCACUUUCUGGCGCUUUGUUCCAGCCUUAGCACCGUGGAUACCCUUCCUCUUUGGCUGGCUAGACUGGGGGGCAUCGGCGCCUUGGCGUUUGACUUUUGCCGAUGCACCAGUUUGCUGCAACAACAAAAAGGAGGUUAUGAAUACAGAUAGCCGAUACAAAGAUAAGUCAGCGUAAAUGAAAAAAGGGUUUUAACAGAUUGCCUUGAAAGCUUGUGCCAGAGUGGAAGCAGUUACCGGUGGUGAUGUCUGAGUUUUCCUGGUGGUAACUUUCUUGAGGCGCGCACCCCGGUGCACGAUGGAAGCCAGAGUGGGAGCAUUAUGGCCGAUUGAGGAGAUCGGGCCUGAUGGGAAUAAGUCGAUCGGCUUGCCACUCCUACUAACUGAUGGGGGGGUGUUGUCAAUCUGCAAAAGGAAUACAGGGGUAAGUUACCGAUGGGAGUGAUAUUGGAAAAUGAGACAUCGGUUUAAAAUACUUACAGUGUCAUCAGGGACUUCAUAUUCGGGGUCGAUCAUGCUGCGGUAUGAGAGGGCUGAUCUGCAGAACAGAUUCUCUUUCCAUUCUGCCCACCAUAGCUUGUAUGCCUGAGUGAUAAAGGCGGCUGGAACCCAUUCUGACAGAUCUACAUCCGUAUCGGCAUUUGGUGGUAGCUGGGCUACUCGAGUCCACUCGAGGAGGUUGGCGAUGGGCUCUCUGGGCUUUAUUACAUCAGCAUAAGGAAGUGCAAUCGGCAAUUGGCCGAAAGCUAGCUGGCGAGCUAAUGCCGAUGGAUUAUAAAAUUCAUAGGUUUGGGGAGAGGUUUUCGUGCUACCGAAGAAAUUCACUGGUAUGGCUCUGGGGGUCACGAUUGCCAUCAUCACCUCAUUGUCCCUGUCAAGAGCUUCAUCAAAUGGAUUGAAGGUCAGAGGGAGCAUGCUGUCUGGGUCGUCAUAAGCCAGCCAUGGUCGUUCAUCUCUGGCCAGACCCUCAUACAGCGUCUCGAAGAAUCGGCCGAUCUGAUCCGGAGUGUUCCCUGAACCGGGUAAGACUAUAACAGCUUCGCCAAAGUUCAGGGGGGCACGUGUUGCCGAUUCCUCUUCACCCAACACAUGAUUCUCGGCUAUAUCUCUUGGGAAGUGCUGUGAGAACAAGUUGAGAUCAAGGCGCUUGUGCAGGUGCAGAUUGAGCCACAUAUUAAUAAACCACCAAGGACCUCCCAAGUUGCCGAUAGGUUGGCCGAGCAGGAGUUUCUGGACUACCUGAUGAAGAAGGUGAUAAACAGCGCCGAGCAAAUAACGGCCGAGAGGAAAUUGGCCGCCGCUAGCCAGUCUUUCUGCUGCCGAUAGAUAGACAGAAGUCGGUCCUGCCGAUCGACCACAGAAUACAAAAUUGUCUAGCCACAUGUUCAGAAAGGUGGUUUGUUCCUUUAUGGUGACAGGCCCUCUCCCGCGGUACUUCUGGAUGUACCCUGACCAACCGCCGAUAGCGCGAGUCUCCACUUUGGCACUAGGGGCGGUAUCAAAAAAAUGGGUGCUAUCGGCAGAAGAUAUAUCUAACCCAGUAAGCAUGGCUACAUCGGCAAGGGUAGGAGAAGCAGGACCGUGGCCAAAAACAAAAGCGUUGAGAGUGUCUGACCAAAAGUAAGAUGCAGCUAUCAGCAAUGACUCGUUCCUGUGCAUAUCGGCAAUGGACAGCCUAAUGCAUUGAGCUAAUUUCCUCUCACCCCAUUGAACUUCAUAAGAGUUGCUGACCCUCAAGAACCAGUCUUUCCACCCUACAGUAGGGCUGGGCCAAGAGCGAAAGGUGUCUUUCCAUAGAUCUAAAGCAAAGUUUUCAGCCCUAAAGGGAAUCCUGUUGGUUUCUGCAUUGAUAAGGUCGGUUGGAUCUGGAUCCCCUAGAGGGCCGAGGCAUUGAAGAUGUGGUUGAUCGGUAGGCAUGACAAUUUUGUUGGAUAACUCCUAGUGUUUUGGGGAAUAAAAAUACAAAGAAAAAGGAAAAGGAAAAUAUUCGGUAAGAAUGAAUCGCAGAUGAACAGGAAUGCAAGAAAAAGGUACAGCAGAUGAGAUGGAAGUCUGACCUCAGGGACGACGAAGCCAACGGCCAUCUUGUCGUGAAGAGGACGCUGGAGGGCGCCGGAGUUGAUGAAGAAGAAUGCUUGUCGGAGAUCUUGAGGAUUGAGAAUGGCGCCGCCGCUGGAAAAGUGAAGUUGGAUGGCAGAAUGAUGCAAUGGGGGAGGAGUACCCAAGAAGGAACUAUUUAUAGGACAAGAUGGACAAGGGCAAAUCUGACUUAUUUCUUUGCCGCAUCCGAGAAGCCCGAGGGUACUCAAGUGGAUACGGUAACUGUUUGCACGAUAAUCCAGGGAUUGUGCAGGUGAUUUGACAGGAAGCGGUCAUUAUCUAAAGAUAUUUUACUGUGCGCGAUCUCCUGGUCGGUCCAUCGGUGAUAUUCUAUAACGGUCGUCCUGCCGAUGGGCGGAUAGAGGGGAGGUAACCGUUUUUGCGAAUCUCCUGGGCAGAGCAUCGGCAGAUCUUUGUAACGGUAUUGUUGCCGAUGUACGACUAAGAGAGAUGCCCGUUUAGGAAGUUGGGGAUUUCGAGGGAUCUGCGGAGGAUUAGGAUCAGAGUUGUCCAGAUUGAGGUUGUCGGUUACCAGAUUAGGAGCAUUAAUUGCGGAGAAGACAUCAUUGCUGCAGAGAAUUUCGGAGCAUUAAUAGUUUUAUACUCCGAAACUGGGGGGCAUGUGUUGACACCAUUUUUGGGCACGUGUCCAGGAUGGCAGGAUAGGGUGGCAGUACGAUGCGGGUUGCUGAUAAGGAUGGUUGCCGAUGAGGGAAAGGUUGAAUGUGACUAAGUCCUCAGGCAGUAAUAUGGUGCCGAUGACCAAGUAAAAAGGUCUGCCGAUGACUAUGGCAAGGAGAUUGCCGAUGACGCGAAGGAGGAGUCCGGAAGCUGCCAGUUGUCAUGUGGAGGAGUUUCGGUUUGUCACGAAGGAUGGUUUUAUUAUUUCCUUAGUUAUUCGCAUCGUUUUGUAUACGGGUUCCGUGUAAUUUGGAAUUCGAAUUCUAAUCGUGUCUGGUCGUAGCUCUUUGAGCAGGGUAUAAAUAUAAGCCCUAGGACCUUGUAAUCAAGACAUCUAUCAAUCAAUCAAACACACGUUUUUACUCAUAUUCCAGCAUUUACUUUUUCGACGACUUCGUCAUACGUUUUCUUUUUGUUACGAGUUCUUAGGAAUUCGUCGACUCAAGCUCGGCGUAUCCUCAAGUUCCGCGUGAGUACCUCUUAGCCGUGACAUCCGGGCGCAUCGCUGUUGUCAGGACUAAAGUAUUCGAGUUAUCACCUUUGCCGAUAGUAAGGUCAAAUCAGCUGGCACGCCUUAACGUUUGGAUCGGGUAUUAGCCCUUUGUGUUUGCAGACUAGUUUUUGCAUCAACACCCGCAUCCCCAACACUACCACUAAAGGCUUCCCAUUCCAAAGAUAAAGUUUGGAGUCAUGCACGGCGCCAAAUCCAAGCCUAGCAUCAUCCUCUGUCGCCAUAAGUACAAUGCGCAGCCCAUGUUCAAGAUGGGAUAGUGGUAGGUCAAUGGUAAAAGUUGACCAUAAGCUCAUUUGGUAAGGCAGGUAGAAUGCAGACAUUUUUAAUGUGCUCAAAUCAUACUUGAUGAUUUUGGACCUGAAUGCUUGGAUGUAUAUCUCAAACUUGAAGUAAAGUGCAUUCCCCACAAGGGCAGCGUGUGCCAAGCAGUCCACAUCGUUAUGCUCAGAACAAAUGGUGGGCAGCCUCCGAUGAGUAGACGUGGCUGAAGAGCACCCCGUGGCCGCAGACCACCAAAUCCAUGAGGAAGGGUCCACGGCGGCAGUUGAGGUGGUCACAACCCACAGGGGCGUAGAGCACUGCCGCGUUCUAGCUAGUCCACUCAUAUUGCCUCGGCAACUCAGGCAGCUUUAGGUGAUCACCAGUGAUGGGAUCCUAGAUGAUGAGGGGAUCGUCGACAGGCCCACAGUCUUGGUCUAAGUUAGUAAGGAGGACACGGCCAUGGUAGGAGUCGAGCAUGAGCUUGCAGCGGUGGUCAGGGAGAGGCGAGCGGAAGCGGAGGGAGGACGUUAGGACAAGUCUUGGGUGUGUGGGUGAGGGUCUUGCAAAGUCUUCCUAGGCAUUCCCCACGAGAGGCAUGAGAGGUAUUUAUGGCGGAUACAUAUGACAUGGAGAGAUUAUGGUGGAGUGUCUUUGUGGGUGAAUCUUCAGGAUGGGAGGUGUUGUUUAGCAUAGGGCAUUGGAUUUCUUGUCAAGCAAGGUAUUGUUUGGCCUCUCAUGAAGGAUGUCUUGUUCGUCACACUAAGUGUAACAUCUCAACCUAGGUCUUAAUAAGAUUAAUAUGAUACUCAUAUAAACAAGGUGCAACUUCUUUUUUGGAAGUCUAUCUUCAAAGAAUUCUGAGGUUAAGCGUGCUUGGUCUAGAGAAACUUUGGGAUGGGUGACCGACCUGAAAGUUCUUCUCGAGUGUAUGAGUGAGGACAAAGUGUGCAGAAAAGACUGGUGUUCGUCUGUUAGGGCAGUCUAUGUUCUAAAAAAGCUGCCAAAUGUAAACAGGCCUAACAUUCCAGCCUAGGUCUUAGUAGGAGUAACAAGAUACUCAUAGAAACAAGUUCCAGAAGCCUAUCUCCAAAGAACUCUAAGGUUCAGCGUGCUUGGCCUAUAGAAAUUUCAGGAUGGGUGAACAACCAGAAAGUUCUUCUUGGGUGCGCAUGAGUGAGCCAAGCCUCGAAGAGGCAGGAUGUUACAUUACGGACUAGUAUGUUCUGGGGUCUUAGGAAGCCUUGCACCCCACUCGCUUUUUGUGUGUGAGAGAGACAAAUGUAGGACCAGCUAGGGCGAUACCACUACUACUUGGUUGUUAGCGGAUAGUGUAGGGAGGUAUCGGCAUGAGGACCCACACCCUCCGAAGACAACAUGGUGACAUUUAGAGGCCCAAUACUACAUCUCACAGUCUUAGCAUGCCAGUCGUACUCUAGUAUGUCUCCAUUUUGAGUGGUAGAAUGGCAUCGUGUUAGUUGGAAGGCAACCUGGCAUCAACCUAGGAGGGGCGCACAAUCGAUGAUGUUGAUCUUGUGGGUAGUGCAAACCUCUGUAGAUUUCUGGUUGAUCAAUCGAUACAUGUGUUUCCCUUGUGGCUAUGGACCUUUCUUAAGUAUAGCUUCACUUAACUAGUGAGAUGAGUCCCUUCUAUCUUCCCCCUAGAUUUGUUAAGGUGAUGGCUGUUGAGGCAAGACACGAGCAGGAGUCAUCCUUGUCGCAUAGAGAGUGAGAGGAUGGUGAGAUGUGCAUGAUGGGGUGGGAGAAUGUGUGGAUGAGAUGGACUAAAACUUGAUUUUCUAAAAUUAUAAAAUAUUGAUGAACUUGCAUAGGAAACCUACAGCCAUACAUAGGUCUUUUGAUCUACCCUUUUGCAUUUCCACUUACCACAAAGAAAUGCAAAAGCAUAGGGUGAAAGCCAAUGACCAGUACAAAUCGUACUAAAAAAUGUUUAGUAGGUUUUUGAUGUCUUCUACAAUGCUGACUACGAAGACUACAAGGGUUAGGUGGUCUCGUUCCUAUGCUCCAGUUUGGUUGAGAAGAUGAAGUCUACGUCCACUGACAUUCUACGCCGACUCUGAUGAUUGCCCAUAAAGGAGGAGCCUUCACCCCUAACAUGCUACAUUGACUCUAAUGAAGAUCCAUGUGCGUUUCCACGAGAAUAAUACUGUAAAUAGGUGUGUUUAUCAGUGUUGUAAUACCUUGUAAAUUUAUAAUUUCAUGAUGUACGACUAUGAUAACAGCUGUUAUUUGAUAAUGUGAUAGCUUAUUCUUGUGAACUAUCACAUUAUAAUUUGUAUCUAUGGAUUUUUGCUUCGUGGAAAAAUUGAGAUCUUUUCAAUCUCGUCGCCAAUUCAUGCCAUGAUCAGGUCUCACCGAUUGAGAUACUCCGUGAGGCCCGUUGCUGUUGCGAGUGCCGAGUCUAGAUACCAUAUAGCAACUUGUUGAUGCAAAACUGAUCUGCAAACACAAAGGGCUAAUACCCGAUUCAAACGUUAAGGCGUGCCAGCCGAUUUGACCUUGCUAUCGGCAAAGGUGAUAACUCGAAUACUUUAGUCCUGACAACAGCGAUGCGCCCGGAUGUCACGGCUAAGAGGUACUCACGCGGAACUCGAGAACACGCCGAGCUUAAGUCGACGAAUUCUUAAGAACUCGUAAUAAAAGGAAAAAAGUAUGACGAAGUCGUCGAAAAGUAGAUGCUGGAAUAUGAGUAAAAACGUGUGUUUGAUUGAUUUCUUGAUUCUUUGAUUACAAGGUCCUAGGGUUUAUAUUUAUACCCUGCUCAAAGAGCUACGACCAGACAUGAUUAGAAUUCGAAUUCCAAAUUACACGGAAUCCGUAUACAAAACGAUGCAAAUAACUAAGGAAAUAAUAAAACUAUCCUUCGUGACAAACCGAAACUCCUCCACAUGACAACUGGCAGCUUCCGGACUCCUCCCUCGCGUCAUCGGCAAUCCCCUUGCCAUAGUCAUCGGCAGACCUUUUUAUCCAGUCAUCGGCACCAUAUUACUGCCUGUGGACUUAGUCACAUUCAACCUCUCCCUCAUCGGCAACCAUCCUCAUCAGCAACCCGCAUCGUACUGCCACCCUAUCCUGCCAUCCUGGACACGUGCCCAAAAAUGGUGUCAACACAUGCCCCCCAGUUUUGGAGUAUAAAACUAUUAAUGCUCCGAAAUUCUCUGCAGUAAUGAUGCCUUCUCCGCAAUUAAUGCUCCUAAUCUGGUAACCGACAACCUCAAUCUGGACAACUCUGAUCCUAAUCCUCCGCAGAUUCCUCGAAAUCCCCAACUUCCUAAACGGGCAUCUUUCUUGGUCGUACAUCGGCAACAAUACCGUUACAAAGAUCUGCCGAUGCUCUGACCAGGAUAUUCGCAAAAACGGUUACCUCCCCUCUAUCCGCCCAUCGGCAAGAUGACCGUUAUAGAAUAUCGCCGAUGGACCGACCAGGAGAUCUCGCACAGUAAAAUAUCUUUAGAUAAUGACCGCUUCCUGUCAAAUCACCUCCACAAUCCCUGGAUUACCGUGCGAACAGUUACCAUAUCCACCUGAGUACCCUCGGGCUUCUCGGAUGCGGCAAAGAGAAAAGUCGGAUUUGCCCUUGCCCAUCUUGUCCUAUAAAUAGUUCCUUCUUGGGUACUCCUCCCCCAUUACACCAUUCUACUAUCCAACUUUGCUUUUCCAGCGGCGGCGCCAUUUACAACCCUCAAGAUCUCCGACAAACACUCCUCUUCAUCAACUCCGGUGCCCUCCAACGUCCUCUUCACGACAAGAUGGCCAUUGGCUUCGUCGUCCCUGAGGUCAGACUUCCAUCUCAUCUCCUGUACCUUUUCUCGCAUUCCUGUUCAUCUGCGAUUCAUCUUACUGAAUAUCUUCCUUUUCCUUUUUCUUUGUAUUUUUAUUCCCCAAAACACUAGGAAUUGUCCAACAAAAUUGUCAUCCCUACCGAUCAACCACACCUUCAGUACCUCGGCCCUCUAGGGAAUCCAGAUCCAACCGACUUUAUCAAUGCAGAAACCAACAGAUUCCCUUUAGAGCCGAAAACUUUUCUUUAGAUCUGUGGAAAGACACCUUUCGCUCUUGGCCCAGCCCUACUGUAGGGUGGAAAGAUUGGUUCUUGAGGGUCAGCAAUUCUUUUGAAGUCCAGUGGGGUGAGAGGAAGCUAGCUCAAUGCAUUAGGCUAUCCAUUGCCGAUAUGCACAGGAACGAGUCGCUGCUGAUAGCUGCAUCCUACUUUUGGUCAGACACUCUCAAUGCUUUUGUUUUUGGCCACGGCCCUGCUUCUCCUACCCUUGCCGAUGUAGCCAUGCUCACUGGGCUAGAUAUAUCUUCUGCCGAUAGCACCCAUUUUUUUGAUACUGCCCCCAGUGCCAAAGUGGAGACUCGCGCUAUCGGCGGUUGGUCAGGGUACAUCCAGAAGUACCGCGGGAAAGGGCCUGUCACCAUAAAGGAGCAAACCACCUUUUUGAACAUGUGGCUGGACAAGUUAGUAUUCUGUGGUCGAUCGGCAGGACCGACUUCUGUCUAUCUAUCGGCAGCAGAAAGACUGGCUAGCGAUGGCCAAUUUCCUCUCGGCCGAUAUUUGCUCGGCGCUGUUUACCACCUUCUUCAUCAGGUUGCCCAGAAACUCCUGCUUGGCCAAUCCAUCGGCAACUUGGGAGGCCCCUGGUGGUUUAUUAAUAUGUGGCUCAAUCUGCACCUGCAUAAGCGCCUUGAUUUCAACUUAUUCUCACAGCACUUCCCAAGAGAUAUAGCCGAGAAUCAUGUGUUGGGUGAAGAGGAAUCGGCAACGCGUGCCCCCUUGAACUUUGGCGAAGCCGUUAUAGUCUUACCCGGUUCAGGGAACAAUCCAGAUCAGAUCGGCCGAUUCUUCGAGACUCUGUAUGAGGGUCUGGCCAGAGAUGAGCGACCAUGGCUGGCUUAUGACGACCCAGACAGUAUGCUCCCUCUGACCUUCAAUCCAUUUGAUGAAGCUCUCGACAAGGACAAUGAGGUGAUGAUGGCAAUUGUGACUCCCAGAGCCAUACCAGUGAAUUUCUUCGGUAGCACAAAAACCUCUCCCCAAUCCUAUGAAUUUUAUAAUCCAUCGGCAUUAGCUCGCCAGCUAGCUUUCGGCCAGUUGCCGACUGCACUUCCUUAUACCGAUGUGACAAAGCCCAGAGAACCCAUCACCAACCUUCUCGAGUGGACUCGAGUAGCCCAGCUACCACCAAAUGCCGAUACAGAUGUAGAUCUGUCAGAAUGGGUUCCAGCUGCCUUUAUCACUCAGGCAUACAAGCUAUGGUGGGCAGAAUGGAAAGAGAAUCUAUUCUGCAGAUCGGCCCUCUCAUACCGCAGCAUGAUCGACCCCGAAUACGAAGUCCCUGAUGACACUGUAAGUAUUUUAAACCGAUGUCUCAUUUUCCAAUACUAUUUCCAUUGGUAACUUACCCCUGUAUUCCUUUUGCAGGUUGACAACACCCCCCCAUCGGUUAGUAGGAGUGGCAAGCCGAUCGACUUGUUCCCAUCAGGCCCGAUCUCCUCAAUCGGCCACAAUGCUCCCACUCUGGCUUCCAUCGUGCAUCGGGGUGCGCGCCUCAAGAAAGUUACCACCAGGAAAACUUAGACAUCGCCAACGGUAGCUGCUUCCACUCUGGCGCAAGCUUUCAGGGCAAUUUGUCAAACCCUUUUCAUUUACGCUAACUAUCUUUGUAUCGGCUAUCUGUGCUCAUAAACUCCUUUUUGUUGUUGCAGCAAACUGGUGCAUCGGCAAAAGCCAAACGCCAUGGUACCGAUGCCCCCCAGUCUAGCCAGCCCAAGAGGAAGGGCACCCAGGGUGCUAAGGCUGGAACAAAGCGCCAGAAAGUGGCAACUCCCCCUCCUCCUCCGGUAUUUCCAAUCCCGGUGGAAUCUUCCCCUUCUUCUCCAGAAGUCCAGACACAGCAAGCACCAUCUCCCCAACCAAUGCAGGAAGCACCACAGAUGGAAGAACCCCAGCAGGAAGAACCUCAAACAGAAGGUACAUCAUCUGACGUGGGUGAACAAGCAACUGGCCCGGCAGGUCCAGUUAUAUCAUCGGCGGCUUCCCCGAUUCAGAUAACUGUUGUUCCUCCUCCAGGUAACAUAUCUCAACAAUACUUCCGCCGAUAAACUUAUUCUCAUUUAGUCUCAUAACCCUUCCUGUCUUCUUUCAGGCGAUAUCGUUCCAUCGGCAACAUUUGCCGAUCAACCUGUAGCUCCAUCGGCAUCUUUGAGUCAAAGGCAAGAAAUCGCCUUGAAGCAAGUAAGUCAUCCAAUUUUCCACCAGUAUCGUCUGCCGAAGUUUUGACCAUAAAAAUGACUUAUUUCAUCUUCAUUUUCAGGAACAAGAUUCUCCCGACAGCUUAUUCUCCUUCGCCAUUGAUAUCUUCGAAGAAGAAGGCGAGGAAGCAAGCUCCUCUCGGGCAGUUGGAACUGUAUCGGCAGAAACCAGAGCUAAGCUGGAAGAGCUAUCGGCCAUACUUCAUCAAGACACAACUCAACUGGUCAACGAUUCUGACCCAGCCAAGGCCCUGUUCAAGACCCUUAGAGGCCAAAUUCCUGCCGAUGCUGAAGAAACCCUCUUCCAUGCUGCACACCUAGAAAGCCGCCAGCUACAGUACCAGAGAGCCACUCGACGCCUUGCCGAUAGAUCCGCUCAAAUCCAGCUUUCUGAGGAGAUGAUGAAAGAAAAACUCUUAGCCGAUGAGAAACAUAAGAACAUCGGCACCUUAAAGUCCUCAGGUGAUGCACUGAAGCAGAAAGUAUCUGAUCUAUCGGCAAAAAGAGAAGCUCUACUGGCCGAACUCAAGCAAGUAGAGGAUGCUCUGUCCCAAGCCCAGCAAGAAGAGAGUCAACUGCCGGAGACCAUCAAGCACCUUGAACAAGAACGAAACGUCCAUGGUCGCAAAGCGCUGCAGCUGAAGAGGAAGCUGAAGCCGAUAGAAGGUUCUGCCGAUGAUGAUAUCAAAGAGAUAGAGACAGCCAAUCAGAUUCGGCUGCGCGCCAUAUCAGCAAUCCAAGCGCUGCUGAACAUCUGAAGCUUUCAUCGGCAACACACCUUUGUUUUUCCGCUUUUAGCUUUUAGUCUAGCCGAUAAGACUGUUAUCGGCAUCUUUUGAAACAUUAAGUCUGCCCCCAAACAUUUAAAUCCAGCCGAUAGGAGUGUUAUCGGCACUUAAACUUUUAUGCAUCGACCCAUAUGCUGGGGUAGUACUUCUUUAAAUAUUUGCCAUUUAAUGCUCUGGGAAAUUCAACUCCUUCGAGAGUUUCUAGAAUAUAGGCAUUACCAGGAGCUGAGUGUCUUAUCCGAUAAGGACCUUUCCAAUUAGGAGACCACUUCCCAAACUUCGAACUUUUAGUCCCGACUGGCAAAAUCAACUUCCAUACCAAAUCCCCAUCGGCAAACUCCUUAGCCUUUACUUUCUUAUCAUACCAUCUAGCAACUCUCUUCUUAUUUUCUUCUAUACUCAUUAAAGCCUUUAACCGAUGCCCUGCUAAAUCAUCUAACUCAUCGGUCAUCAAAGUGGCAUAAUCAUCGGCAGCCAAUUGAUCUUGAAAAGAUAAUCGCCUAGAUCCAGCCUUAAUCUCCCAAGGCAACACUGCAUCAUGUCCAUAUACCAAUUGAUAGGGUGACACCUUGGUUGAUCCAUGACAAGCCAUCCGAUAAGACCAUAGUGCUUCAUUUAACAAUGUAUGCCACCGCCUAGGAUUUUCUUCAAUCUUUCGUUUAAUAAGCUUGAUAAUUCCUUUGUUAGACGCUUCGGCCUGCCCAUUGGCUUGAGCAUAGUAAGGAGAAGAAUUCAACACUUUAAUUCCCAUACCGAUUGCGAAUUCAUCGAACUCCCCCGACGUGAACAUGGUGCCCUGAUCGGUAGUAAUCGUUUGGGGAAUCCCAAAUCGGUAAAUAAUAUGCUCCUUCACAAAAUCAAUCAUAUUGGCCGAUGUGACUUUCUUCAAAGGAAUAGCUUCGACCCACUUAGUGAAAUAGUCAGUGGCAACUAGAAUGAACUUAUGCCCUUUGCUAGAUGGUGGAUAAAUCUGGCCGAUCAGAUCAAUGGCCCAUCCCCGGAACGGCCAAGGUUUUAUUAUAGGAUUCAUAGCCGAUGCUGGUGCUCUCUGGAUAUUACCGAACUUUUGACAACCUUGACAUCCCUUGAAAUAUCCAAAACAAUCCUCAAGUAUGGUUGGCCAAAAAUAUCCAUUCCUUCGAAUCAUCCACUUCAUCUUAAAAGCUGACUGAUGCGCUCCACACACUCCUUCAUGGAUUUCCCCCAUCAAACUUUUGGCUUCAUCAUCACCCAAGCAUCGGAGAAGAAUUCCGUCGACAGUUCGAUAAUACAAUUCAUUUUCAAGGAGCACAUACUUGGUUGCCUGAAAUCGAACCCGUCUUUCAACUUUUUUGGAUGGAUCUUUUAGAUAAUCAAUAAUUUCUUUCCUCCAAUCACCGGCACUGACUGCCGAUAUCGUAUUAAUCAUUGGCUGAUAUCCCGAGGCAUGCUGGGCUAACCGAUUAGCGUCUUCAUUAUGCAAUCGGGGAAUAUGCUCCAAUCGGAAGUCCUUGAAUUCCUUUAACAGUUGCAUACUUCUCUCGAAAUAGAUUAUGAGAACUUCACUUCGGCAUUCAUAGCUUCCGACCAAUUGAUUUAUAACCAACAUAGAAUCCCCGAAUAUUUCAACAGCAUCAGCACGAACUUCUCUUAACAACUCCAAUCCCUUGAUCAGAGCUUGAUACUCAGCCUGAUUAUUUGUUGAUGUAGCAACAAUCGGCAAGGAAAACUCAUACUUCCUCCCCUUAGGAGAAACUAAUACAAUGCCGAUUCCUGCUCCCCGGUCACAGGUAGAUCCAUCAAAGAAGAGCGUCCAGGGUGCAAUUUCCAAGGUUUCCACUAGACCGCAAUGCUGAGUCACAAAAUCGGCCAUAAUCUGCCCUUUGACUGCCUUAGCCGAUUCGUAACGCAAAUCGAACUCCGACAGCGCUAAAAUCCAUUUACCGAUCCUACCACUCAUAAUCGGCAUAGAUAGCAUGUAUCGGACCACGUCAUCUUUGCAAACAACAGCACAUUCGGCCGACAACAGGUAAUGUCUCAGCUUGAUACAUGAAAAAUAUAAGCAUAAGCACAGCUUCUCAAUGGCCGAAUACCUGGUUUCAGCAUCAAUCAACCCUACUCAAAUAAUAAAUUACCCUCUCUUUCCCUUCAAAUUCUUGAACUAAAGCUGAACCGAUAACCGAUCCAUCGGUAGAUAAAUGCAAUUUGAAGGGCUUCCCUUGUUGAGGUGGAACUAAAACUGGAGGAUUCACUAGAUACUUCUUGAUUUCAUCCAGAGCCAACUGCUGUUCUUCUCCCCAAACAAACUCUUGAUCGGCUUUCAAUUUAAGAAGAGGACUGAAAGCACGAAUCCUCCCAGAUAAAUUCGAUAUAAAUCUUCUGAUAAAAUUUACCUUGCCGAUCAAGGAUUGGAGCUCGGUUUUAUUGGUAGGGGCCACUAUUUUAUUGAUGGCAUCAAUAGAUCUUCGACUAAUUUCAAUACCCCUCUGAUGUACCAUGAAACCAAGAAACUGCCCUGCCGAUACGCCAAAUGCACACUUGUUGGGAUUCAUCUUCAAUCCAUGCUUCCUUGUGCACUCCAACACUUUUCGUAAAUCGGCAAGAUGCUUUGAGAAAUCUCCAGACUUAACCACCACAUCAUCAAUAUAAAUCUCUACGAGCUUGCCGAUGAACUCAUGAAAUAUAAAAUUCAUAGCCCUUUGAUAAGUAGCACCAGCAUUCUUUAACCCAAAAGUCGUGACUAUCCACUCAAAUAGUCCAACAUGACCAGGACACCUGAAUGCGGUUUUUGGAAUAUCCUCCUCUGCCAUGAAUAUUUGAUUGUAACCUGCAUUACCAUCCAUGAAGCUGAUGACCCGAUGGCCAGCCGCAGCAUCAACCAGUAGAUCGGCGACAGGCAUUGGGUAUCCAUCCAUCGGCAUAGCUUUAUUGAGAUUCCUGAAAUCAAUGCACACCCGAAGCUUCCCGUUCUUCUUGUAAACCGGAACAACAUUGGAAAUCCAUUCGGCAUACCGACACUGCCGAAUAAGCUUAGCUUCAAUAAGUUUAGUGAUUUCGGUCUUAAUAUCAGGUAGAAUGUUAGGAUUACAUCGGCGGGCUGGUUGCUGAUGUGGCCGAAAUCCAGACUUGAUGGGUAACCGAUGUUCGACAAUUGAUCGGUCUAAACCAGGCAUCUCUGUAUAAUCCCAAGCAAAGCAAUCUUUAUAUUCCUUUAACAAACUAGUCAAUUGUCGCUUACACUCCGGAUCUAAUUUAGCACUAAUAAAAGUAGGCCUAGGCUUAUCACCACUACCUAUAUCUACUUCUACCAAAUCAUCGACCGAUGUGAACCCCUGGCCUAAUUUUCCAUCAUCGGCGAAUCUAUCCAUUAAAAACCGUCGUCAGAACCGACUGCUUGGAUCGGUGGAAUCUCAUAAUCGGCAACUUUGAGAAAAUCUUUCUCCCAAACUUCUCCUGAAAUGCACCUAGUCUUUUCAUAAGUAUCCGCUUCUGCCGAUGCGAUAACAUAAGAAGAAUCCCCUGGGACGAUCUCAAUCUUGUCACCUACCCACUGAACCAAGCACUGUUGCAUUGUAGAUGGGACACAACAAUUGGCAUGAAUCCAAUCUCUCCCCAAUAAUAAAUUGUAGGCACCUUUUCCGCUGAUCACGAAAAAAGUUGUCGGCAAGGUUUUGCUGCCGAUGGUCAACUCUGCACAUAUCGCCCCUUUGACUGGAGACACGUUUCCUUCAAAGUCUUUGAGCAUCAUAUCGGUCUUGGUCAAAUCUUGAUCCCCUUUUCCAAACUUCCGAUAUAUUGCAUACGGCAUAAUAUUAAUAGCAGCUCCACCAUCAACUAGGAUCUUAGUCAUUGGCUGCCCAUCAACCCUUCCUUUGAGGAACAAAGCUUUAAGAUGCUGCGUCUCGUCAUCGGCAGGUUUCUCAAAGAUAGCCGUCAUCGGAUCCAGAGCCAACUGAGCUAUCUGAUCAGAAAAUUCCAGGUCAUCGUCACUGGCUGGUGCAAGAAACUCCAUCUACAACAUGAAGACCAUGUUGACGCCUGCCGAUGGACCUUCCCUCUUAGUGUCUGACGGCUGCCGACUUCCAGAGUUCUCUCCUUUAUUUAGCUCUUCCUGUCUUUCACGUUGCAAUCUCCUUUUCUGUGUCUUGGUUAAUCCUCCAGGGCACCAUGGAGGAAGUGGCUUCUGCCUUGCUGCCGGGCGUCGGUUCUCCCUUGACUCCAUACGAUGUGUGUUAGCAUCUCUGCAAAAUAUGAACUCAUCGGGAACCCGCGCAUUAGCCAUCUCCUCGAGCUCUUCCUGGUUCCUGGGAAAAUAUUGGACACGGUCACCGAACCGAUUGUGAACGCUAAGCCUGCCCCCCAGCCGAUCAUGAACUGACGCCCUUCCUCUGAUUGGCCCAUUAAAUCGUCGUUCAUCAUCAUGAUAACGCCGAUCGGUUCUAUCGUACCGAUCAUAACCGUUGCACUCAGGGCAGUCUCUGACAGUAGGAAGCUUGAUAUUUUCCUCUCAACAAUGGAUGAAGAAUGGACAAUUCCAAUGAUCCCUGUGCCGAUUCCACUCCUGUCGGCGUCUUUCUUCUUCCCGUCGAUAAUCUUCCUGCUGGCACCGAUACCGAUCUUCCCGUUGUUGCCAAUUUCCUCGUGGCCUUCUAUGAGUUAUGACGAUACCAGACCGAGGAGGCCUUCCUGAGCUAGUUCCUUCCUGGACCAAGCCCUUAUUUCUUACAUCGGCAGUAGUAACUUGAUGCUGAGGAUCUACCGAUGCACUCUUCUCAGCUGUCUCCGAUGUUAAGACCUUAGCCUUCCCCUUAGCAUCCAACAUGUUUGUCGGGAAAGGAUGUUGGUCUAUCUUCAUCGGCUUCUGGGCUUUGGAACUGUCAAAUUUGAUUCUCCCUGACUCUAUAGCCGAUUGCAGCUGCUGUCUGAAUACUUUGCACUCGUUGGUGUCAUGGGAAGUUGCAUUAUGCCACUUGCAAUAUCUCAUCCUCUUCAACUCUUCUGCCGAUGGGAUCACAUGGUUAGGUGACAGUUUGAUCUGACCUUCCUGAAGUAGAAAGUCAAAUAUCCUAUCGGCCUUGGCGGUAUCAAAGGCGAACUUCUCUGGUUCCUUCUGCCCAAAAGGACAAGACAUCGGCUUCUUGUUUUUUACCCACUCUGCCAAACCGAUUACUGGUUCCUCAUCGGAAUCUGAGCUUGUUGCUUCAUCAACAAAUGACACUUUCUUAUUCCAUGUCCUCUUAGGCUCGAAAGGCUUGAUGUCUUGAUCAGAUAUCCUCUGCACCAAAUGACUUAAACUUUCGAACUCCUGAGAGGCAUACUUAUCCCUGAUAUGUGCCAACAAACCCUGGAACGCCAAAUCGGCUAGCUACCGAUCAUCCAGAACCAGGCUAUAGCAUUUAUUCUUGACCUCUCGUAUCCUCUGCACAAAUCCCUCAACCGACUCAUCAUUACGUUGCCUCAACUUGACCAAGUCGGUGAUCUUCUUCUCAUGAACCCCCGAGAAAAAGUAUUUGUGGAAUUGCUUCUCUAGAUCGGCCCAAGUAAUUACUGAGUUGGGAGGUAAUGAUAUGAACCAAGUAAAGGCCGAUCCAGACAAUGAUGAUGAAAAUAGACGAACCCUCAAUUCGUCCCUGUUACCAGCCUCUCCACAUUGAAUAAUGAACCUGUUGACAUGCUCCAUGGUUGACGUGUCGUCCUGUCCGGAAAACUUUGUAAAAUCCGGUACCUUGUACCGAUGUGGAAGCGGGAUCAAAUCAUACGCUGGAGGAUACGGUGUCCGAUAAGAAUAAGUGUUGACUUUGGGUUUUAUCCCAAAUUGUUCCCUCAUUACUUCAGCAAUCUUAUCGGCCCAAUACGCAUCGGCAUCUUGCCGUUGAGGCGGCUGCGGAUCUGGCACUUGGUGGCGAACCUCCACGUGUCUGUUUGGGACGUGACCUGCAUGGAACAUUGUAUUGGUCACCUGUCCUCCAAUCUGCGGACUACCAAACUGCUGUCCACUGAUUGGCUGUCCUCCGAGUUGCUGUCCAAAAUUUAUUGGCUGGUUGGGAAUCCCCUGACCUUGGAACCCGGGAUAAACCUGCCCUUGCUGGAACCCUGUAGUCUGAUAACCCUGCUGGGGUGAUUGUGGAAAGGCUUGCUGUCCAAGCCAUCCAUUAUUAGCGUUCAUCGGCAUAGGUGCUGCCGAUGAUUGGUAAUUGGGUACCGUCGUUGAAUUGACAUACCCCGACUGGGCCAUAGGCCUCUGUUGCAUCAACAUUGACUCUGCCGAUGCGUUGGGCAUCUGAAACAUUGAAUCUUGAGGAUUCCCAGUGUGAGGCCUUGCAGUAGUAGUUGUGGUAUACCGAGGACUCUGGUUCACCGGCGCAUUGGGAGGUGCCGAUGUCAUAGGAGUUUUGCCCCUCAUGUCAGUUAUUUGUGAUGUUCCCGGCGUCAACUCUGGAGGCAUACCAUAACCCCACCAGUUGGGAGGAAGAGUUAACCCUGACAUUGCCGAUGCCAACAUAUCUGUUGUCAGUUUAUGCUGCCCAACUGAAAUUUGUGGGUUGGUUGCCAUCGGCAUAGAUAGUGCACCAGUAGUCCCCAAUGUACUUGGAGGGACGGCAGACUGUGCACUUGCAUUCGUCAAGGCAGCCGAUGGAGCAGUGACCUCUGGUGCCGUUGGCUGAUGAUGGGAGGGCCCCACAUAAUCUGGCGGGAUUUGUCCUUCCUUGAAAGUUCUUGCCACGGUGUUGAAAACCGUAUUAGACAGUACACCAGCUUGGUUAAUCAACGCUCGAUUGAUGGCAUUGUCAACCAUAUCUUGAAGCUUGCGAGGAUUGGCGUCAAAGGUGACCUGCCGUGGUGCCGGCAGUGCAUCUUUCUGGACCACUUCGCCGCUCCUGUUUAUGCUGAAAGACCUCAGGCAUUGUUGCUUGAACUCUUCCAUGGCUUGGGCAAUAGCUUGCUUUUGCUCAUCCUUGAGGUUGGCUUCCGUCACGGGGAUGACGUUCUCUUGAUCGAGGUCAGAGAUCGACAUGUUGAUCUUGAUCUUGAAUCUAUCCCACCAGGCGUGCCAAAAGAUGUGUUGAUGCAAAACUGAUCUGCAAACACAAAGGGCUAAUACCCGAUUCAAACGUUAAGGCGUGCCAGCCGAUUUGACCUUGCUAUCGGCAAUGGUGAUAACUCGAAUACUUUAGUCCUGACAACAGCGAUGCGCCCAGAUGUCACGGCUAAGAGGUACUCACGCGGAACUCGAGAACACGACGAGCUUAAGUCGACGAAUUCUUAAGAACUCGUAAUAAAAGGAAAAAAGUAUGACGAAGUCGUCGAAAAGUAGAUGCUGGAAUAUGAGUAAAAACGUGUGUUUGAUUGAUUUCUUGAUUCUUUGAUUACAAGGUCCUAGGGUUUAUAUUUAUACCCUGCUCAAAGAGCUACGACCAGACACGAUUAGAAUUCGAAUUCCAAAUUACACGGAAUCUGUAUACAAAACGAUGCAAAUAACUAAGGAAAUAAUAAAACUAUCCUUCGUGACAAACCGAAACUCCUCCACAUGACAACUGGCAGCUUCCGGACUCCUCCCUCGCGUCAUCGGCAAUCCCCUUGCCAUAGUCAUCGGCAGACCUUUUUAUCCAGUCAUCGGCACCAUAUUACUGCCUGUGGACUUAGUCACAUUCAACCUCUCCCUCAUCGGCAACCAUCCUCAUCAGCAACCCGCAUCGUACUGCCACCCUAUCCUGCCAUCCUGGACAUGUGCCCAAAAAUGGUGUCAACACAACUAUUGACAAAAGCUGAUCAGCAGUCUACCUUGGGGUAUUCAGGUUCGGCCGCUGUGUGGGCGUAAUACCUACGUCCUGCGUCUGAUUGUAUUGCUAUGGAUUGUGUUGAGUUGAGAUUAGAUGUGCUAGGGGGGUCCCUUGCCUCUCCUUAUAUAGUUCAGAGGGUAGGGUUACAGAUCUGGAAAACUAAUCCUAGUCGGUUACAAUUGCCAUAGAUAGUACGAUAUCAAUUCCUAUUCUAACCGACUAGAAUCCUGCUUGAUCUCCACGUCUUGUUUCCUUGCGCGAAACUCCGAUGAGUCAGAUCAAGCCUUGAACUCGUCUUGUAAUGGGCCAAGCCUCCUAGCCCAAGUCUAGCCAUAAGGGUAUAGGGGUUUAUACCCCCACAGCUAGUCCCCGAGCUCCAUGUAUUAUGAUGCAACACACCGUCUUGAGCUUCUUCGAUCAGCGAGACUUGACAUCUUCAACAAUCAGGAAAGUCGCUCGAAUGAUUGUAACGAUACUUUGACCAAUCUUGAAAACCAUUCGACCAACAUCAACAUCGAAGAAUCCGGUUGCUCGACGAAUGCAUGGCGCUCUUGAGAAAAAAUAUUUAUUUUCUGAUGAAGUGUGCCCACUUUACUUUUCUGCUUAGUAAAGUUCGCCAAAAAGAAGCAAAUUCACCGCGAGGUGAAGUGUGCCCACUUAGUCCCCGAGCCUGGUAGUAGGUGACGUAGGCAUGUGGUGCUAGGGUCUAAGAAGAGAAAACAUUUUAAAAUUUCUGAUACUAACAUGCAUCGCUACAUGCAUCGUACCGAUGUAGUCCCCGAGCUUGCUGGAAGGCGAAGUAUGAGCCUUGUAGCAAGGUCUAAAAGAAUUAAAAUUAUCUGAGUUGCCAUUGUGCAGUUUGAUUUUCAGCGCCAAAAUCGUGUUGCUAUUUUUGUGUCUGAGAGAACCAAUUAACCAAUCCCCGAGUACGUCAUGCUCGAGGUUUGGCACAAUCCCUAGAUUUUCAAAAGAUGAGACUAAAUAGCCAGUCCCCGAAUAUGGCGUACUCGGUUGUCAAUGCAAUCACAGAUUGUCGAAAGGGCAGACUGGUCGACCAGUCCCCGAGCAUCUCAUGCUUGGUGGUCGGUACAGUGCCCAUGAUAUCAAAUGGGCAGACUGGUCGACCAGCCCCAGAGCAUCUCAUGCUUGAUGGUCGGUACUGUCCCCGGGAUAUCAAGUGGGCUGACUGAUCGACCAGUCCUUGAGCAUCUCAUGCUUGGUGGUCGGUACAGUCCCCGGGAUAUCAAGUGGGCAGACUGGUCGAGCAGUCCCUGAGCAUCUCAUGCUCGGUGGUCGGUACAGGCCCCAAGUAUAUCAUGUUUGUCAGACCAAAAAGUUCUACUUUUCUUUUUUAAAAAACUGUAUCGCCGUAUUAAUGUGUGAUGUGACGGAUCAUCCUACCAUUUUGUCAGGCUGUUGCAUAGAAAGGCACGCCUAUUAACUGCGCAGCCUUUCCUUGCGUGGUCCAAGAAAAGGUUUAGUUGGAUAGACCAUCCAUAAUACACUUGUCAAGUGGCAGAGCUGAUGAGCCUGAUCGACUGGUCCUGCCUGGACGGUCCUGGAGUGGUCGGGAACUUCCUUGUGCGACGAGUGAUGCCUUGCCAGAGGAGGGUGCACUCGGCAUACGAGUACGCAGGAAGCCAGGACCCGACCAAGAUGCACAGGGAUGGUUUAGAAAAGGUAGAGGUCCAGCAGUUGAUGAACGAGCUGUUCAACCUGACCGACGAUAACUUCGUUAGAAGUGAUGACCGGAUGCAUGCCUUUAAGCUUGGCCGACCAGCUCCUAAGGUAAAUGAAUGCAUUUGUAUAAUUUUAUUGCUAUGUAAAUAUUGUAGCCUUUUGACUGAUGACUUGUCGUUGUUGUACUACAGAUAGGAGAUACUGACCUGUGCUCGGUGUAUAUAUCGCUGGCACCCGGUAUGGACCAUCCCGCUGGGGUGGUACCCCCGGCAGACGAUGUUGCUCGGUGUCUCCAAUACACUAGCAGCGAAGAAGACCGACUGCUAAAGACAGGGCAGCUAGGAAAAGGCCAGUAGCUGUGAAGCCAUCCCCUACGGAGGAAAUACCGGCGGAGACCAGCCAGGCCCCGAAGCAUCGCCGGCUCGUGAGGAUUGCCGAUGAUGAGGACAAAGAGGACUAGGCUGCUCCUUUUGUCUGAAGACCGCGCAUCCAUCCUGACGUCUCGCCGAUCGGUACUGGUCGGGUAACCAAUGAUCCUCCUGCCCCGCACGUCGAGCCAGUACGACUUGGAGGUGCAGAAGCGGCAGCUGCGGCUAGGAGGACCAGGAGAAGGUUCUUCACGGCGACGCACGGGAGUUCUGACCUAUGAGUUCUAAAACAUGUCCUCUGCACUGUCCCUAUUUCUCUCUCUAUUUUUUAUUUGCAUUAUCUCCUCUUUGUUAGUGCGGCUUCGGAUGUCGAUCCGAGCAACGUUGUUGGCUUGGGAACAACUGAGCCGGCCGUUGCCGACAAGGAUGCCGUCGAGCAGACUGCUCGUGAGCAACCCGUGGAGCAGCCCACGGUUGCGUCUGUGGCGGAGACUGACAAAGAAGACCCGGCUCAAGUAAAGGCCAGGGCAAGUACUUUGACAAGAGACAAAGAGGCCACAAGGACGCCUCCCCCGAGCAGCGUCGCAGAGGAAGGAGACAAAGUCCUGACUCCCCCUCCAGCUGAAGAAGAGAGGGCCCCAACUCCAGCCCUAGCGGAGGCUUCUACGUCGAAGGGCUCCCCUAGCCGGGGUAAGGGUACUUUGCUACCCGUUACCACAGCUAGUGCCCCCAUGUUGGUCGCCAACAUGUUUACGUUUGGCGCCAGCGUGGGGACCGCUGUGCCGGUCACGAGGAGCUCGCCGAGACCGAAGAGGCGGCAAGGGUAGAGCGCGCUGCCAAGCGGCUCGUCAAUGAAGUCAAGGUAAGUGGUCUUGUGUUAUGCUAAAAUGUGUAUACAUUGUUGCUUGUUUAUUGCAUAAUAUGUAUACUUCUUGCAGGGCGCAAUGAAAACGGCGAAGUACCGAAAAAGGUGCUUUGACCAAAUGGAGGGCAUAGUCGUGGAGAACAAGGCCCUGACCGUGGAGGUGGACCGCCUUCGGUCGGAGGCCGAGAAGGAGGCGGCCGAGAAGGCGGCUCAGGAGGAGCGCCUGCUGGAUCUGAAUCGGCGACUAGCCGACAAGGAUCGUGAGAAGAAAAGUAAGUCAAAUGUUCCAAGCAGUUGUAGUUAACUGUGUGGUCAGUUUUGAUGACCAGCAAUUGUUGUUUCAGAUCUGGAGGAGGAGAUUGGACGCCUCCAAGAAGAGAGGGAUCGGCUCGACCAAGAGCGUGCCGUUGCGCUGGAGACCGGGCGCAAGGCUGGCGAGGAGCUAAAGAACAAGGAUCGGGAGCUAGCUGGUAAGAGCCGUUCCUCCUUUUUUGACCACACAUUUUUUUGGUUAUACUGACUGUUUGCUUGGUUUUUCUUGAAAACUCAAUCGUAGUGCUCAAAGUCAAUACUAAGAAGCACCUGGACCAACUGCAUCAAGAUUUCGAAAGGAGUAGCCCCGAUACUUGACCUGAUCAGUCCCGAGCUCCCUGAGGACCAGCCCCGCGUGCCGAAACUGACCACGGUCGAGAAGGCACAGCGCGUGGGGCUGGCUUUAGCAGUUCGUUAAGGACGUCGGGGAGUUUGCCACAGCGCACGUCCUCAACAUGAUAAGUGCUCACUACCCCCUGGUCGACUUGUCCUGGCUAGAGAGGGGAUAUCCCAAGGAGGUUGGUCCGAAGGAGGCAGAUGAACUUCAUGUCGGCCUGCUCGACAUGUCGUCGACGAUGAUCGGCGAUAUAAAUCUCUACGGUACUUCAACUCCCCCCAACCAUCCCGGAUCAGACAGGUCGACCAGGGAGUUAUCGGGAGCGUCAAUUGCUGGAGAUGGGCGGUCGACGCGUGCGAUCUCGACCAGCCAGGCGCCGGUGGCCCCGACCCCUUCGGCGAGACAAGAAGACCGUGCGGGUGAUCAGCUCGAGCAGUAGGUCUGUAGAGUAGUCUGUAGGAAUAGACUAGAACCCGCCCAAAGGGGUGUUUAUUGUAUACUUUGUAAAGUUUGUAAUAAAGUGAGAUUUAUGUGAUCCAUGGUUUUGAGCGCUGUAAGUUUGUUUGAGUGAUGUAUCACUGAAUCAUGUUAUUUGCCCUUUAGGAACUAGUCCUGGAAAGUAAUUGUAGCACUUGUCGAGUAUUCUACGUAUGUAAAAGUAUAUAGCAAAAGAGGCAAAAAUUAUUAUUAUUCAUCAAAAGAGAUUUACAAAUGAAAUGUAUUGAAACUUAGGGAUAGAAACAGCGCAGUAUGUCUAUGUGCCAGGAGUUGGGCAAGCGUGUUCCAUCUGGGUACGCCAGUCUGUAAGAUGUAGGGUGUGUAAUUUCGGUGACCACAAAAGGCCCUUCCCAAGGUGUAGAUAACUUGUGCAUUCUGUCCUGGCUUGUUUUCCAUUUGAGUACCAGAUCACCGACCAUGAAGGAACGGUCUUUGACAUUCCUGUUGUGGUAUCGUCUAAUGGCCUUGAGAUACUUCGCUGUUCGAAGACUGGAAGUCAGGCGCCUUUCUUCCGCGUAGUUGAUUUCGAGCUCCCUGGCAAGGUUGUUUGAAGACUGGUCGAAGUGUUCGACUCUUGGAGAUCCAAAGGCUAUGUCUGAGGGAAGCACUGCCUCGGCCCCAUAAACCAUAAAAUAUGGCGAUACACCCGUGUUCCGACUGGGCUGUGUUCGAAGACCCCAGACCACAGCUGGUAUCUCUUUCAUCCACCGCCCUGGUGCCCUAUCGUUUUCGGUAUACAAUCUCUUUUUUAGAGCAUCAAUAAUCAUUCCAUUUGCUCGUUCGACUUGGACGUUGGCUCUCAGAUGGGCUACCGACACGUAUUUUAUGACUACACCUCUGUCAUCAAAGAAGUCCCAAAAUAUAGUGCCGGUGAACUGAGUGCCCAAGUCGGUGAUUAUGCUGUUGGGAACCCCAAAUCUAUGUAUGAUUUGAUUGAGGAAUUCCACGGCCUUCUCGGAAGUCGCUUUGACCAAUGGCAUGUACUCGAUCCACUUCGAGAACUUGUCGAAUUGUACGAAUACGAAUUUGUAAUUGCCGGGAGCCGGUUUGAAUGACCCGAUCAUGUCGAGACCCCAACAUGCAAAUGGCUAGGAUGACGAUAUCGUCUGGAUUUCAUGGGCAGAUACAUGGGUCCGCUUGGCGAAGAACUAACAUCCUUCACAAUGCCGGACCAGUUUCUCGGCGUCGGCGACUGCGGUUGGCCAAUAAAAGCCUGCUCGGAAAGCCUUCCCGACCAGUGUUCUUGAUGCGGCGUGGUUACCACACGAUCCAGCAUGUAUGUCUUCCAGUAACAUGAUGCCGUCGUCCUGGGGUAUACACUUCAGCAAGACUUCUGAACUUGCGUUCUUACGCAUAAGUUUGCCAUCGACCAGUAUGUAAUUUUUGGAUCACCGAAUAAGGCGCUCGUUCUCCGUUUUGUCUUGAAAUCUAGAACCGACCGAGAGAUACUUGAUGAAAGGGGUGCGCCAGUCGUGGCUGCUGGUUAUCAAAGUGGCAUCGUCUACGAGCAUUGUUUCGUUGGGUGAUUUCUCGACCAGGUCCGUACCGACGCUUGGCGUGUGAAUGUCCUGGACGAAAACGCCUUGCGGAAUCUGGGCUCGGGAUGAUCCUAUCUUUGACAGCGCAUCUGCUACUUGAUUCCUGUCCCAGGCCAUGUGGAUGUAUUCUAUGCCGUAAAAAUUUGAUUCCCACUUCCAGAUUUCUUUGUAGUAGAGGUCCAUCUUCUCGUGAGUUGUGUCCAACUCCUUAUUUAGCUGGUUGAUGACUAAGGCAGAGUCGCUGUAGACGUGUCGGUGUUUUCCCCACGCGGGGUCGCACCAACGAGUAAAUUUGUAUGCGUGCUCCCUUUCCCAGAUGGUGAUGCAAGAAGACACAAAGAUUUAUCCUGGUUCGGGCAAGAGAAUGCCCUACGUCCAGCGGGGGAGGGAAGUUUGUAUUAUCUUGCACCUAAGUGCUUGUACAGGGGCGAAUACAAGCGUGGUAUGGAGUGAGAUGGAGUAUGGGAGUUCUACUGCGUAUGAAUGUAGUGUUGCGUGGUUGAUGUAUGUCUAUUCCCGGGUCUCCCCUUUUAUAGCUCCAAGGAGAGACCUAGGGUACAUGUAUAGGUGUUAGAGUAGGGGUCGAUAGAGGCAUGGCGCGCUGACCUACUCGAGGCCUCCGUACCGGCGUGUUCUCAAGCCGUCCUGUCUUGGUAGCUUGAUGAUGAUUACGCGUGCCCCCGUAUCCAACUCUGCGCGCCGUCUCGGGUUGGUUCACCGGUCGCACGCCUGUACGGUAUAGCGGCAGAUCCGGCGGAGUGGCUGCGAUGUUGUCAGUCGACGCCCAACUCUUCCCCAGGAAGGAAUCAUGUCUGGUCGAGGGUCAGACGCCGUGCAGUGCCUUGUUGUCCAAAGCGUUGACCUUGGGUGUCUCGAGGGGUCCCGAUUAGACGCUCCAUCCCUGCUUUCUGCGUCCUGGUACGCUCUGGGUCGUUUGGUGGGGAAAGCUGCAGAAAGGAUGAUGGGACAGGUGCCUGUUCCCUAUCACGCUUCCCGUGACCAGCGUGUUAGGUGGGAAAGCAUCAGGCGCAUUAAAUGCCCUGGUUCUCGUGCGCGCGUCAGGCGGCGGACGUUGUCCUUGUGCUCGACGCCUCUGACUCGCUCGAGCCUAUUUCUGUAUUCGACGGUAGUUAGCGCUCGGCCCCUGAGUGGUUCGCUCGACGUCUUUUCCGUCUUCGAGGCUGCGGCCGUCGAUGACCGCAUAGCUUAUUAGAACAUCAGGUUGAGGGCCUCGAUCUGUGCGCGGGUAAUCUCGUUAUGUGCAUCGGUUAGGGUACCCCUUACUGAUACCCUCGACAGUAGCCCCCGAGUCCCCAUUCGAGCGCUGGCGCUCGAGUGGAGGCUUUAUUUUGUGGUCGAAUUUCCGUGGGGACGCGCGAGCAACCCCACGGGGGUAGCCCCCAAGCCCUUGGAGGAGUUUUUGACUCCUUCGUGGGUUAUAUUGGCUAACUCUUAGAAACGCUAUCGACACCGGUGGUGGAAGGUCCUAAUUGGCUUGUUUUGUGCUGGGGUUUCGACGUACUCUCGAUAGAGCGAGCGUCUUCCACCCCAAAUUGAGUUCCUAGCGGGUAGUCCACGUGAGAACCUAUGCCCCUUUCGAGGGGGUCAGCUGUUGCCCGGAGGCGUUCUCAUAAAGCAGGGUCGACGUGGUCGGGGAUACUGAUCUCAUUCGAUAGAGUCCAGCGGCUCUAUGCCCCCCAUCUGGGGGAUUCCUCUCGACUGUCUCGACCCUACCUUGGACAUCCCUAGCAAGUCUUCGAGGCGGGCCUCGAUCUUUGACCACUCGCUGGGGAUCCCUGACUCUGGUGCUCGAGAUCAGCUGUCGAACCCUUUCGGUGGGCCAGCCUACGACCUCUCGAGGCUUUCACGGGUACAUCCCUUGGCUUACAAGGGAAGGAAAGAGCCGUGGGCGGUUCGCCUUUUUGCCCGUUGGGCGCGCCUUUUUAGGUGGGAGGCAUUACGACACUGUGUUGGCGUGGAAUUCGGAGUGCCCCACCUGUGAGGAGGGAAAGGACCGUUAGACGGCGCAUUUAUGGGGGGGUUACCUCAUUUCUCGGAUCUGCCCGUUGGUGGACUGCUGCCUAUAAAUGUGCCUUGGCGUCGCCGCCGUUCUCCCUUCUGCCUCCCGUCUUCGUUCUCGCCUUUGCCCUCUCAUUGCCUUAGUUCUCUUGCUGACUCACGCACGCGCGCACCCCCUCGAGCGGUAGCGGAUCCACCGUCCUUCCAGCCAAGAUGCCUGUGAGACUCGUCGCCACCGAUGACUGGUGCCCGUCGUCGAUGACGGAGCGCCGGUUGCUAGGGCUUGAGAGAGAGGGACUCCUGCGCCGCCGCACCUCGCUAUCGUCGCCAGAGUGAAUCGCGCCGCCGGCGGACCACAGGGAGCCCCAGCCGCCCGAGGGCUACGUGGUGUCGUUCGCCAAAUUCCACCGCAACGGCCUGGGUGCUCCUCCGAGCCGCUUCAUGCGGGCGCUCUGCCUCCACUAUGCGGUGGAGCUCCAGCACUUCUCCCCGAAUGCCAUCACCGUCGCGGCGGUCUUCGCUGCGGUGUGCGAGGGCUACCUGGGGAUGAUGCCCCACUAGGAGCUGUGGCUCCACCUCUACAGGGGCGAGCUUUUCAACGCCCCCAACGGAACCACUGGCGUGAGGAAGCCCAUGCGGGCGGGAUGCCUCAAUCUCAUGCAGAAGACGGGGAAGACGGAUAGGCCGCGUGAGUACAUCCCAGUGGGGUUGUCGACUAACCACGCCAGCUGGGACGCCUAGUGGUUUUAUCUACGGAACGACGAUAACCUCCUGCUCGCUUACUCCGGUCGCUUGAUCAUGGAGCGUCCAGUGGACUGGACAUACGGCGUCGUCCAAGCUCAUCAAUCGCGGCUCGACCCUCUCCUCGACGCCCUGAAGAAGCUUCGCCUGGAGGGCUUGACUGCCGCUCUCGUCCUCUCGGCCGUCCAUCAUCGGAGAGUUCUCCCAUUGAUGUCUCGACCGUUGAGGAUGGACGAGAUGGGCCCUGGUGUUUCAUCUCAGGACCUCGAGGCGUGCCGGAUGUCCAACAAGGCUCCAACGAACGACAAAGUCGCAGCCCGGGUCAGGGCCGCAAUUGCCGGUGACUUUAAGCCGGAGCAUGUUAACGGCUUCCCCAUGAGGCCUGAUGCGGGCUCGAUCGAUCUGGUAUACUUUCUUCUCAUGCACAGCUUCGAUUCUGGGUUUUUUUCUUCCCUUUUUCUAAGUCUACCUUUGUUCUUGCAGGGACGGAUCGAUGUCCGGUCCUCGAGGCCUCCAGUAAAGGAGGACGAGGUCGACCGCGACAAACGGCGCCAAUCCGCCGAGAAACUGAAGUCCGCUAAAGACUCUAAGAAGAAAGGAGAGAAGAAGAGGAACCUCGACCGCCAAGCACUAGAUGCACGUCGAGCUAAAUCCAGGCAGAGGGGGGAGCCUGAGGAAGAAUCCCCCAGCGACGAUGAUGGGGGAGAUGGUGAUGAGGACAGCGACGACUCCGAGGGGAUGGCGUCUCGCCUCGACCGGAUCCUCGAGGGUCCGCCUCGAGGCAACAUCGUCGCCCCGCGGAUGGAAACACCGAAAGAGGGACCAUGCAGAUCACACCGCCCUCGUGCCGACCCCCCCUCCCCCCCCCCCCCCGUGCCCACGACUGGUCAGGUCACCCCGCGCCCUCCCCCUACGCCUAGGAUGGGUAGCCAUGCUAGGCCCCAGGCGACGGGGCCACUGACUCACGGUCGUGCCGCGGCCUCCGAGAAAGGAGAGACUGGCCUCAGGAGCGCCAGUCUCGGUGCCCGCCAAGCGGAAGUUGCUGGGUCAAGGCCAGCGCCUGCCCUCGAGGGGCUUGGGACCUUGACGCAGGGUGGCUCGAGGCCCACCGGUCGGGGCACCGGCAGGCGAGCUGUUCUCCUCGUGGGGUAAGCUCUUUGAUGUUGUGACUUUUGUUCUCCUGUUCCUCCGCGUUUCCUCGUAUACUGGUCUCUUUAUACUCGUUCCUUUUUUCUCAGAUUAAAGCCGACGCUUGAGCAGGCCUAGACCUCAAUGGCGAAGAGGCUCAAAGCGGGAGCAGCCUCCAAGGAGCCAGGUUUGUAGCUUAAUUCUGGGAGUUGUGAUACUCUUACGUUGGUCAUCAUAGUGACAGGCCUUUAUUCUUUAUUUUACAGGCUCCUCCGACUCUCAACCUCCGGCCGACGCUGAGAGUGCCCCGCCUCGCCCCGAGUCUGCCCCGUCGCCGCCGACACGGGCCGAGGUGCCUCACACCCAGGGGCAAGAGGGAGCCCCCUAGCCUCCCCGAUCGGGGGUCGAGGGGGACCCCAUUACCAUCAGCGACACGUCUGGCGGCAAUGAGACGUCGAGGGAUGUCCGCCCUAUGGAUGAGGAGGCGUCGACCUCCCUUGUGAAGGGACGGACGCCCUGGCCUGCUGGUCUUCGUACCGUCGAGGAGCAGAAGAACAAGGAAGAGGAGGAGGAGCGGGAGCGCGAGGUGAGGUGGUGGCCGCAGGAGCAGGGCUGCCGAUGAGAGUCGCAGGAGCUCGAGGAGCAACAGCAGCAGCAGCAGGGGGGCCAGGAAGAAGGACUGCUCGAGCCCCCUCCUCACAGUCCGCCCCAACCUGUACCACCAGCGCCGCAAGAACCCGGAGACCCGGAGGAGGAUUUUCCAGUUUUCGGCCCUCCAACCCCAGCGUGGCUCCUUCCAGGGGCGCCUGCCGCGAUCCCGGCGGAGUCGGGGCGGGCGGACGGUGUGGUGGCGCUUGCCUGCAUGAUGCGCACCCCCAUCGACCCCGAGUCCGAGAUCAGGAGGACGAUCUACGGCAUGGAGAGAAUCGCCCCAGGGUUCCUCUGGGAGCGUCGGGCGUGGGAGGACUGUAUUCCCCCUAAGGAGGACGAGAUCGGGACGUCGGGGAGUAAACACGGCACCUGGAAGACGGUGGACGACGACGGGCGGUUCCCAUGCCUCGUCGACUUGUUCUUGCGCCAUGGGGGCUCCCUCGAGACCAUCGAGAACCUUAUCCGCGGCGUCAAGGCACGGGCUGACCGGGAGAUGGAGAACUGGUGCCCCGAUCGGAUUCGUAUCCGGGCUUCCACCGAUCCAUCCGAGCCCAACAUCUUCCUUGACGAUCGGAAGGAAGCCAAGAAGUGGGAACACGUCGAGGAGCUCCGCCUUUGGAUGAAGCACGUGGUGGGGCUCCUGUCGGACAUCAUCAAUAACGGGCUCGGGCCGACUUACUUUGUAAGUGUUUUUUCGAUCUUUAAUCCUUACGGAGCCUUUUGGUUUUGUAUUCUAACUAUUCGACCACCGGCUCGCAGGAUAUGAAAGAGACCUCCCAUAUCAAAUCGAGCUUCAUUCAUGCCACGAGGGGUGGCUGGGAGCAGCUCCCCGUCCACAAGGACCAACUCCUCGAGUCGCAGGAAAAACUCCUUAAGGCUUAUAAAGACCUCAUAGCACUCGAGGAGGAGAAGAAGGCGAGGGAGGCUGCCUAGGUCGAGGCUCGAGAGGCCUCAAGGAAGGCGGUGGAGGAGACAACGCUGCUGCGGGAGCGGGCUCUGACGGUCGAGGAGGCCGCAUCAAAAGCCUGGGAGGAGGAUCCUCAAGGCCGACCAGGACUCCCUCCAAGACUCCUUUCAAAGGAUGAAGGUGGAGCACGUGAAUGGCGAGAUCGCCAGGAGCGCCGUGGAGGAAGCCAAGAAGAAGGCCCUCGAAGACCUCGAGGCGGAGCAGGCUCGAUCCCGCAGGCUCUCUGACGACGUCGAACGUCUGAAGGGAGAGCUGUUGGAGAAGAGUGGGGCCAUUGCUCAGGCUGGCAAGGCGAUCAAAGAUCUCUGCGUUGCCAACACUGAGCUGGCACGCUCAAACAAAGAGAUUGAGAGGGCCAACACCAGAUUGGUUGGCGAGAACAUGGCCCUGGAGGAGAGCGUCCGUGGUACGUUUCUAUUGUCGGACUUCCUUUUCGAGGUGUGCUUGGUUUUUUCUAAAGUUUCUUGUAUUGACAUUCAUAGGGCUUAAGGACGAACUCUUGGCCGCCUAAGUCGAGGCCCGUAGUGCUAAGGCUCAGCUCGAGGCGGAGGUCGCUUUGAACCAUCGAGUGCGGACGGCGAUAAGCGAUCUCUCGACCUCUUGGGAGAUCGAGCCCAUGAACGAGUCGAAGGAGGACGCUCGAGGCGACGCACUGGUCGACCAGUUGUGCUACUUAGGCGCGACGCUGAGAGAUCGGGUGCGGGACGCCCUCCACAUCGGGGUGAAGCGGGCGAUGGCGGUUGUCUGCUCAGGCUUCUCCUACGACAAGGAGGUGGUGUCCCACGGCUUCGUCACCGACAUCUCUAAGACUGAUGCGGAUAACAAAGAGAGGCUCCGCGCCUUGAUCGACGACGCGGAGGUUCCUAGAGAGAGGCUGGCCAAGCUAUUUGAGCCUGAGGUGCUUCCUCCUGAGACUAGCUCGGGCGUAGGCGAGGGUGGUGAGGAUCGUGCUGUGGACUAAGCCCUGCGAGCCUGCUCAGGGUGCCUGGGGCCCCUUGUAUAGUACUCUGCUAGUCUUGUUUUUAAGUGACACAGUGUCUUUAAGUGGUUGUCAUAUGUUUGUCUGCCUUUUCUUUCGAGGCUUCUUUUUAUUCCUUUUUGUGCCUAUGUUUGUUUUUUUCUCACUUGGUCUUUUGUUCGAGGCGGUCUCGAUUGCCUUAAGGGUGAGGAGGCGAGUAGAGUUUCCAUAGCCCAGGGGUUUAGGAGUUCUCAGGCUCGUCGUUUCCCGGUCCUUAAGGGGCUCGAGGUACCUUUACUACUCAACCGUGUGAGAUUACCGAUAGGAACGAAAGGAUUCUUUGGUUUUUUUUGGCACUUGGGGGGGUCACCCCCCUUGCUAGCCCCCGAGGGGGUGUCGACUAUGAUGGGUCAUGGUCGAUACUCCCUUCUAUCGUUGAGACUUGCAAAAAGGUAAGUUGUUCGAGGGAAAGACUUCAUUUAUUCAUGCAUCCAUUUACAAGGUCUUGGUACAAAGUGUACGUAGGAACAUAAAGCUUUGAAAUUCUAGGGGUAGAAUCGACGUAGCUGUUCGAUGUUCCAUGCGUUGGUGAAGACCGCCCCCUUUUCGUCCGCAAGCUUGUAUGUCCCUGGCUUCAAGACUUCGGCUACCACGUAUGGGCCCUCCCAUGGUGGGGUCAGCUUGUGGCGUCCUUGGUUGCUUUGUCGUCGUCGUAGAACGAGGUCUCCCACGUUCAAGUCCCUCCUGCGCACGUGCUUGUCGUGGUAGCGUCGAAGUUUCUACUGGUAUCUAGCAGAGUUGAUGAGGGCCAUGUCUCGAGCUUCUUCGAGUUGGUCGACCGCGUUUUCUUGAGACUCUUUAUUUGAUUGUUCGUUGUACGCUUUGAGUCGAGGGGACCCGUACUCGAGGUCUGUCGGGAGAACAGCCUCAGAGCCGUAGACCAUGAAGAAUGGGGUGUAUUUUGUGGCCCUGCUUGGCGUCGUCCUUAGGCUCCAUAGGACCGAGGAAAGCUCCUCGACCCACUUCUUGCCGAAUUUCUUCAAGCGAUUGUGGAUCCUUGGCUUGAGCCCCUGCAAAAUCAUGCCAUUGGCACGCUCGACCUGGCCGUUAGUUCGAGGGUGGGCCACUGUAGACCAGUUCACACGGAUGUGAUGCUGAUCGCAGAAGUCCAAAAACUUCUUGCCAGUGAACUGAGUGCCGUUGUCAGUGAUGAUGACGUUGGGGAUCCCAAACCGGUGGAUGAUGUCGGUGAAGAAAAGGACGGCCUGCUCGGAGCGGAUGUUGGUGAUGGGUCGAGCCUCGAUCCAUUUGGAGAACUUGUCGAUAGCUACCAGCAAGUGGGUGUACCCCCCUUUUGUUUUUUGGAGAGGCCCUACUAAGUCGAGCCCCCAUACUGCGAACGGCCAUGUGAUGGGGAUCAUCUGAAGAGCGUGGGCGGGCAGAUGCGUCUGUUUGGCGUAGAACUGGCACCCAUGGCAUGAGCGUACGAGCUCGAUGGCAUCAGCUACGGCCGUUGGCCAGUAGAAACCUUGUCGGAAGGCGUUCCCUACGAGGGUCCGUGGAGCAGCAUGGUGGCCGCAAGCCCCCGAGUGUAUGUCCUCGAGGAGUUUCCGUCCUUCUUCCAUGGUAAUGCAACGCUGCAAGACCCCCGUCGGGCUUCGUCGAUAUAGCUCAUUGCCCUCACCAUAGAUCACAUAUGACUUGGCCCAUCAAGCGAUACGGCGGGCCUCAGAUCGAUCUUCUGGCAACUCGAAGCGGAUUAGGCAGUCGAGGAAUGGUGUGCGCCAGUUGAACGGUCGACCGGGCCGCUGUUCUACCUCCAUCACCUCAGCUGCCAUUAAUAGUGCAUCGACGGUGUCGGUUUCCUGGGUAGGAGCGGCAUCGAUGCCAGCCCCCGAGCCCAAGUCGACGGAUGGCUCGUGAAGAUCUCUUGAGAACGCGUCAGGUGGCACCGUGCCUCGGGUCGACACGAUCUUGGCGAGUUCGUCGGCUGCCUCGUUGUAUCAUCGAGCGACGUGGACGAGCUCAAGGCCAUGGAAUUUGUCCUCGAGUUGACGGACUUCCUUGCAGUACGCCUCCAUUUUCGGGUCGUGGCAGCUUGAGGUCUUCAUCACUUGGUCGAUGACGAGCUGGGAGUCGCCUCGGACGUCAAGGCGUCGGACUCCUAGCUCGAUGGCGAUCUUGAGACCGUUGACGAGGGCCUCGUACUCUGCGACAUUGUCGGAUGCAGCAAAGUGAAUCCUGAUGACGUACCUCAUAUGAACGCCCAAGGGCGAGAUGAACAGCAGACCGGCCCCGGCUCCCAUCUUCAUGAGUGACCCGUCGAAAUACAUCGUCCACAGCUCCGAGUGGACCUGAGUCGGGGGAAGCUGGGAGUCUGUCCAUUCCGCGACGAAAUCCACCAGGGCUUGCGAUUUGAUAGCCUUGCGAGGCGCAUAAGUGACAGUCUCACUCAUGAGCUCGACCGACCAUUUGGCUACUCUUCCCGUGGCCUCCCUAUUUUGGAUUAUCUCGCCCAAGGGGAAAGACGAGACCACCGUGAUGCGGUGGCCGAGGAAAUAGUGUUGCAGCUUGCGUCGGGCGAGGAUUAUGGCGUAUAUUAGCUUCUGGAUUUGAGGGUAACGCGUCUUGGUCUCCGAGAGCACCUCGCUGAUGAAAUAGACCGGUCUCUGGACUGGCAACGCAUGCCCCUCCUCCUGCCUAUCGACAACCAUAGCUGCACUGACGACCUGAGUCGUUGAGGCAACGUAAAGGAGCAGUGGUUCCGCAGGUUGAGGCGGGACCAAGACCGGUGCUGAAGUCAGUGUUUUCUUCAAAUUUUCGAGGGCUUCCUCAGCCUCAGGAGUCCAAGAGAAACGCUCGACUUUCUUCAGGAGCUGAUAUAAUGGUAACGCCUUUUCUCCUAACCUCGAGAUGAAAUGGCUCAGCGCCACUAGGCAUCCUGUGACUCUCUGCACACCCUUGAUGUCCCGGAUCGGCCCCAUUCUUGUGAUGGCCGAGACAUUCUCGGGGUUGGCCUCGAUGCCACGCUGGGAAACAAUGUAACCUAGGAGCAUGCCUCGAGGCACGUCGAAAACGCAUUUCCCGGGAUUGAGCUUGAUCUGGUUGGCGCGUAAGCAGCUGAAAGCGAUCUCGAGAUCCUAGAUCAGGUCUGCUUGCCGCUUUGAUUUGACGAUGAUGUCGUCGACAAAGGCCUCGACCGUCGACCCUAUGUGCUUGCCAAACACGUGGAGCAUGCAGCGUUGGUACGUGGCUCCCGCGUUUCGGAGCCCGAAUGGCAUGGUUACAUAGCAAUACAUCCCAAAAGGUGUGAUGAAAUAGGUCGCGAGCUGGUCGGACUCUUUCAUUUUUAUUUGAUGGUAACCAGAAUAUGCAUCAAGGAAAGAAAGGGUUUCACAUCCUGUAGUAGAAUCAACAAUUUAAUCAAUAUGUGGUAAUGGAAAGGGAACUUUCGUACAUGCUUUAUUUAAACUCGUAUAAUCGACACACAUCCUCAUUUUCCCAUUCUUUUCUUAACUAGUACAGGGUUUGCUAACCAGUCGGGAUGAUGAACCUCCUUGAUGAAUUCGGCCGUCAAAAGCUUGUGGAUCUCCUCGCCAAUGAUCUUGCGCUUCUCCUCGUCGAAUCGGCGCAACCGUUGCUUCACUGGCUUGGAACCGGCUCGAAUUUCCAAGGAGUGCUUGGCGACUUCCCUCGGUAUGCCUGGCAUGUCCGAGGGACUCCAUGCAAACAUGUCGGCGUUCGCACGGAGAAAGUCGACGAGCACAGCUUCCUAUUUGGGGUCAAGGUCGGCACUGAUCGUCAGCACCUUGCCGUCGGAGUUGUUGGGGUCGAGCGGGAUCUUCUUGGUUCCCUCUGCUGGCUCGAAGCUGCCCGCAUGGCGCUUGGGCUCUGGAGCCUCAGCGGCCAGGGCCUCGAGCUUCGCGACGAGCUCGGUGGAGUUCUCGACCGCCUCCCCAUACUCGACGCACUCGUCGUCACACUCAUAAGCGUGCUCGAAGGAGGAGCUGACGGUGAUGACUCCUUUGGGACCGGGCAUCUUCAGCUUCAAGUAGGUGUAGUUGGGUAUAGCCAUGAACUUGGCGUAGCCUGGGCGCCCGAUGAUGGCGUGGUACGUGCCCCAGAACCCGACCACCUCAAAGGUGAGGGUCUCCUUCCUGAAGUUGGCCGUCGUGCCAAAGCAGACCGGUAAGUCGAUUCGGCCCACUGGCAGCGCCAUUUUCCCUGGCACGACGCCAUGGAAACCACCGGCGCUUGGUUGGAGCUGUCCCCUGUCGAUGCCGAGGAGGUCGAGGGUCUCGAGAUAGAUGAUGUUGAGGCUGCUGCUGCCGUCCAUUAGCACCUUCGAAAGCCUGGUAUUGACGAUGAUGGGGUCGAUGACGAGCGGGUAGAUGCCUGGGGCGACUACCUUGUCUGGGUGGUCCUCUCGAUCGAAGGUGAUGGGCGUGCUCGACCAGCUGAGGUACUGGGGCACCGCCAUUCUCGCUGCGAAGACCUCACGGCGUUCCCUCUUGCGCUGCCUUGCAGUCAACUACGUCGAGGGCCCACCAUAGAUCAUGUAGCAAUCGUGGACAGCAGGGAAACCAUCGUCGUCCUUGUUGCUCUCCUUGUCACCGCCCUUCUCCUUCUUUGGGUCGUCGCGCGCAUCCUUUUUGAAUCCCAGACCGUCGAAAUGCUUUUUCAGCAUGCGACAGUCUUUGAGCUUGUGAUUGGCUCCUCCCUUAUGGUAAGGGCAUGGCUCUUCUAGCAUCUUGUCGAAAAUGCCUCCAUCUGGAGGGCCUCGGUUGCGUUCCGUGACGGCGGCGAGAUCGUCGUUGAGGUCUUCCUGCUUGAACUGCUGCGCUUUCUGCUUCUUCUUGUUUUCUUGGGCCCUCGACUGGGGGUCUCAUCUUCAUCGGCGGGCUGCUUGCCUUUCCUUCCUUCACAACUGAAGAAGGCGCCGACUGCUUCCUCUACUGCUGCGUAGUUUGCCACUACGUCCAUUAGCUCAUCGACGGUUUGAGGGCGAUUCCGGCCCAAUUCCCGUACCAGGUCUCGAUUGGUGGUACCAGAGACAAAUGCCAGGAUGACGUCGUGGUCAGGGAUAUGUGGCAGCUCGGUGCGCUGCUUCGAGACGCGUCGAGCAUACUCUCGAAGAGUUUCUCCUGACUUCUGUUUGCACUUGCUGAGGUCCCACGAGUUCCCGGGCCAUAUGUAGGUCCCUUUGAAAUUAACCUCGAAGAUUCUAACCAAAUCGACCCAGUCAUGGAUCUGAUUAGCUGGAAGUUCCUCGAGCCAUCGACGGGCGGUAUCAGAGAGGAAAAGCUGUAGCUGUCUGAUGAUGGCUCGAUCGUCUCCUCGAGCACCUCCCAGCUGACAAGCUAACCUGAAGUCUGCCAGCCACAGUUCUGGUUUGGUUUCACCAUUGUAUUUUGCGAUGCUGGUUGGGGGUCGGAACGGACUAGGCAGUGGCGUGCUGCGGAUUGCCCUGCUGAACACCCGUGGGCCUGGUGGCUCGGGGGCCAUUCCGUCCUCAUCGCUGUCAUACCUCCCGCCACGAUGUGCGCUGUAACCGCGUUCUUCCGCGUCCCCAUGCCAGUGGCGUCGAUUCUCCUCGAGGGGGAGAAUGAGCGUGGUCUUUCUUCCUCGAGGGGGUGGCAAUUAAUGGACUGAUACCUCCUUUCCGUUUUGGGGUGGCUCAUCGCGCUUUUCAGUGGUAGCUCCUCGUCGUGGAGAAGCCGAGCUUUCGGCUUGUUGAACUGCCGCUACCUGGAGCAGAGUCUGCACCUCGUCUCGAAUACGUCGAGCUUGGGAGUUUGAUGGCUCUGGCAUGUUGCGCAGCAGCAUUGUCGCCGCCACUACGUUCUGGCCUGCUCGAGGGAAACGGCUGACAGGCUGCUCUGGCUCUGCGUCUCCGACGAUUUGUCGGUGUACCUCUCGAGCGCGUCUGCAGACACUUCCACCAGGUGGGUAGGGCAAGUCUUGCUUGAGGAUUUGCUCGAGCAGGACGAGGCGCUCACGAUCCUCGUCAAGCUCGGUCUUGAGCUCUCGUAACUGCGCGAGUUGCGCGGCCCUAUCUUCCUGUGGAAGCGGGUCGACCUGUCCGUCGUCCCCAGGUGUCCUGGGAUCUUCUCUUGCCAUAGGGGCUCAACCGCUGGCAGCCGCAUCCUGCGUCUCGUCGGUAGUUUCUACCGCCCCAUCGAUGUGAUAGCAUUCCCUUGUAGGGUCGUAGCUAUCGGUCUCGGAGUUGGAGUCCAGCUCGGCGGCGUAGUAACAUCCGCGUCCUUCCUCUAGCAGCCGCUGCCUGAGCGAGGUGAUCGUGUAUCGUCUAGGGCCUAGGCGGCGGAGGCCUCGUACCCGGGAGGGGUCCGACAGCUCGGACGUCGGCUGCCGUGUUUCGGAGUCACGUGGGAGGACCAUUGGUCUUUCCACGUAUGUUUGGGCGUUUGGGCAUAUCGCCCUGGCGAGCGACGUCGCGGCGUUGUCCAACCCGAAUGGCAAUGCCCUUCUUGGGGUGAACAACCUAUGUGGAAGCAACCUAGCGGUGGGGGAGAGCGCUCGGGGCGCGUCACCUCUUGUCAUCGUAUGGUGUUGGGCCGGCAUGCCCACGGAUCUGGUACGUGGCGCGGCCGGCUCCUGUGCCACCUCCUGCCUAGCACGAACUGCCGGUCGUGACGGGGCAGAGGGGUGACGAUGGUGUUGCCCACGCCUCUUCUUAGGCGGGGAGGCGUGAUGUCGAGGGCGUCUUGGAGCCCUCGUUCGUAUUGGCGCAACGCGAGCUCCUCCCGGUCCUUUGAUCGAGAGCAAGAUCAUGUCGUAGCCAAAGCCCGUCGACAUGAACUCAAGGCUCCCAAACCAAAUCACCGUGGAGCGCGGAAUCGGCGAGGCAAGAGUGGCCAUCUAGAAAGGAGUGGGAAAUCGAUGAAAAACACGCAGGACCCCUACCUGGCACGCCAAUUGUCGGUGUUUUCCACACGGGGGGUCGCACCAACGAGUAAAUUUGUAUGCGUGCUCUCUUUCCCAGAUGGUGAUGCAAGAAGACACAAAGAUUUAUCCUAGUUCGGGCAAGAGAAGGCCCUACGUCCAGCGGGGGAGGGAAGUUUGUAUUAUCUUGCACCCAAGUGCUUGUACAGGGGCGAAUACAAGCGUGGUAUGGAGUGAGAUGGAGUAUGGGAGUUCUACUGCAUAUGAAUGUAGUGUUGCGUGGUUGAUGUAUGUCUAUUCCUGGGUCUCCCCUUUUAUAGCUCCAAGGAGAGACCUAGGGUACAUGUAUAGGUGUCAGAGUAGGGGUCGAUAGAGGCAUGGCGCGCUGACCUACUCGAGGCCUCCGUACCGGCGUGGUCUCGAGCCGUCCCGUCUUGGUAGCUUGACGAUGAUUACGCGUGCCCCCGUAUCCUGCUCUGCGCGCCGUCUCGGGCUGGUUCACCGGUCGCACGCCUGUACGGUAUAGCAGCAGAUCCGGCGGAGUGGCUGCGGUGUUGUCAGUCGACGCCCAACUCUUCCCCACGAAGGAAUCAUGUCUGGUCGAGGGUCAAACGCCGUGCAGUGCCUUGUUGUCCAAAACGUUGACCUUGGGUGUCUUGAGGGGGUCCCGAUUAGACGCUCCAUCCCUGCUUUCUGCGUCCUGGUACGCUCUGGGUCGUUUGGUGGGGAAAGCUGCAGAAAGGAUGAUGGGACGGGUGCCUGUUCCCUAUCACGCUUCCCGUGACCAACGUGUUAGGUGGGAAAGCGACAGGCGCAUUAAAUGCCCUGGUUCUCGUGCGCGCGUCAGGCGGCGGACGUUGUCCUUGCGCUCGACGCCUCUGAAUCGCUCGAGCCUAUUUCCGUAUUCGACGGUAGUUAGCGCUCGGCCCCUGAGUGGUUCGCUCGACGUCUUUUCCGUCUUCGAGGCUGCGGCCGUCGAUGACUGCAUAGCUUAUUAGAACGUCGGGUUGAGGGCCUUGAUCUGUGCGCGGGUAAUCUCGUUAUGUGCAUCAGUUAGGGUACCCCUUACUGAUACCCUCGACAAGACGUAAAGGCGUUUGACGCCUAGUUCGACAGCCAAUCGGAUGCCGUGAAAGCAUGCUUCGUAUUCGGCGACGUUGUUGGAUGCUGGAAAGAGGAUCCUGAGGACAUAACGGAGUUUAUCCUUGUUUGGUGAAACAAAAAGUACUCCGGCACCGGCUCCAUUGAUGUUUAAGGAUCCGUCGAAGAACAUUGACCAGUAGUCGGAGACAUCUGGAGAGGGGGGCUCGUUGAGAUCCGUCCAUUCCGCGAUGAAAUCGACCAGGUCCUGAGACUUGACGGUAGUGCGACUCCGGAAAUCUAAAGAAAAUGGGCAUAACUCCAUUGCCCACUUUACAAUUCUUCCGUUGGUGUCCUUGUUGCGCAGAAUGUCCGCCAAUGGAAAACUGGUAGUAACUAAAACUCGAUGGCCGUCGAAGUAGUGCUUCAGCUUUCUUGAGGUGAUUAAGAUGGCGUAGAUUAGUUUUUGUAUCAGAGGAUACCUGGUCUUAGAUUCAUUUAGAACUUUGCUUAUGAAGUACAUAGGUCUCUGGACAUUGUAGACUUGGCCUGGUUCGUCCCGCUCAACCACAAGCGCCAUGGAGACGACUUGAUCAGUUGCUGCUAUAUAGAGGAGCAGGUCCUCGUUAGGUUAAGGUGCGGUGAGGACGGGUGGUGAGGUGAGGAAUGUUUUGAGCUGGGUGAACGCAGCGUUAGACUCUUCUGUCUAGGAGAAUUUCUCCGAUGCUUUUAGAAGUUUAAAAAGCGGAGCCCUUUUUCUCCCAGACUAGAAAUAAACCGGCUGAGGGCGGCCAUGCACCCCGUGAGCUUUUGAAUGUCUUUGACGUUCUUGAGUGGUCGCAUAUCGAGCACCGCCUUAACUUUUGAGGGGUUCGGCCGUAUGCCGUCGCGGCUGGCGACGUUACCGAGCAGUAGACCAGAGGGGACCCCAAAGAUACAUUUUUUGGGGUUGAGUUUCCACUUGUAUUUAUUCAGCGCUUUAAAAGUGAGGUCUAAGUUAUCGAUCAGGAUGCUUGCGUCCCUGGUUUUGAUGACAACGUCGUCGACGUAAGCCUCGACGAGGUCAUCACGUAUCUCGUCAUGGAGGCAUUGUUGAAUAGCGCGUUGAUAGGUGGCUCUGUUGUUUUUGAGUCCAAAGGACAUGGUUGUGUAGCAAUAUGCACCAAAAGGAGUGAUGAAGGAAGUUUUGAUCUGGUCGUCUUCCUUUAGUGAGAUUUGGUGGUAACCAGAGUAACAGUCGAGAAAAGAGAGGAGUUCACAUCCGGCCGUUGAAUCGACCACCACAUCGAUGUGAGGGAGACCAAAAGGAUCUUUAGGACAGUGUUUAUUGAGAUCAGUGUAAUCAACACACAUUCUCCAUUCAUUAUUCUUUUUUCUUACAAGGAUUGGAUUGGCAAGCCAAUCGGGAUGAUACACUUCUUUAAUAAAUCCAGCUGCUAAAAGCCAUGUAAUUUCUGUACUAAUAGCCUCCUUUUUGUCACGAGCGAACCGUCGUAGCUUCUACUUGAUAGGUCUUGCGGUCUUCGAGACGUUUAAGGAGUGCUCGAUCAGAUUUCAUGGGACGCCGGGCAUGUCUGCGGGUUUCCAUGCAAAAACGCUUACGUUGUCCCUUAGAAACUUGACGAGCGUGUCUUCCUAUUUGGCGUCUAGGUUGGCCCUGAUGAGAGCCGUGUUUUCUGGGCUGCUAUCGACCAGGUGUACUUCCUUGUGCUCUCUAGACUUAGAGCUUUUCCUGGGAGUCUCCUGCUCGGGUAUUUGGAGCUGGUCGGAGGGAAUUUGUAUGGCUUGAGCUGCAGUUUCUGCCAUGCGAAUCGAGAGAUCGUUUGCCUCGGUGACCUUGAAGCUUUCCUCCUCGCAAGUGUAUGCGGUGUAGACGUUGCCUCUGACGAUUAAGACGCCCUUCUUGGUUGGCAUCUUGAGGACCAGGUAUGAAUAGUGUGGAACUGCCAUGAACUUAGUCAGCGAAGGGCGGCCUAGAAUUGCGUGAUAGGUUCCGUCGAAGUCGGCUACCACAAAGUUGACGAACUAUGUGCGGAAGUGGUCUGGUGUUCCAAAUUGGACGGGCAACGUUAUCUGCCUGAGGGGUACUGAGCUUUGUCCUAGUAGGACGCCCCAAAACUGAGCAUCAUACGGCUUUAGUUGCGCCGGGGUUAGCUUGAGAGCAGGCAAGCUAUUGCGGAAAAGGAUGUCAAUGGAGCUACCCCCGUCAAUGAGCACGCGCUCAAACCUGACGCUAUUGAUACACGGGUCGAGGAUCAGGGGGAAACACCCUGGUUCUGGGAUGGCGGCCCACUAGUCCUGGCUGUUGAAGGAGAUCUCUCUGUGCGACCAUGUGGGAAUUUUGGAUCAGCAAUCAGGCCAUCAGUGCUGUCCACAUUAAGGCAAGCUCUUUUCAAGAGCUUUCUUUCUCGUUUGGACUCGAUGGAAAGUUUGCCUCCAAAGAUGGAGUGUACCACGUCGGUGGGACUGACAUAUUGGUGCCGCGAGUCCCUAUCCUGGUCGUCAUCCUCGUCUUCGUGACCGUUUCUAUCCUGUUUCCCGUUUUUCUUGACGGAAUCUCCCUGAGCGGCCUGUUGUGUGUAGAUGCUUUUGAGGACAUGGCAUUCUUCCAUCGUGUGGAUGGACUUGGGAUGGAGUUGGCAUGGUCCUUUCAGCGUCUUGUUGUAAUCUUCCUGGUAAUCUCGCCGUCCAUUGGGAUGCUUGACUGUGUUUACCUCAUGGUUGCUGUCGCGAGGUCGCUUGCCUCUGAAAUCACCGCGGUUGUCGCGACACCUGUCCCACCCUUCUCAGUGGUCGCGGUUGUUGCCGCGGCGAGAAUUCCAGUUAUCGAAGCAUCCAUGACUAUCAUCUCGUCGGGGAAGCUGGUCAGCUCCUCUCACAUCUUCUCGGAUGUGUUUUUCAGCGUCGUCGGCGUCGGCGUAGUUUUUGGCCGUGGCGAGGAGCUCGGCGAUCGUGGUUAGUCUUUUGCGUAGUAGCAUACUCCUUAAUGCUUCAUGGAAGCGUAGGCCCUUGAUGAAGGCUGAUAUGGCCUCGUCGUGAGAAAUCUUUGGAAUCUUAAGACGCAUAUCCGAGAAUCGUCGGAUGUAAUCGCGCAAGGGCUCGUUCUUCCUGUCCCUUAUCCUCUUGAGAUCGUAUUUGUUUCUAGGCUACUCGCAGGUAGCAAUGAAAUUGUCAAUAAACGCCUGGCGCAGAUCCUACCAAGAAUCAAAGGAGUCCUCGGGUACGCCGAGGAGCCAUUGAUGGCCAGCUUGGUCGAGGACGACUGGGAAGUAAUUUGCCAUGACGUGCUCGUCUCCUGCUGCUGAUCGGACUGCGAUCUCGUAAAGAGUGAUGCAGUUUUCAGGGUUCUCUUUGCCGUCAUAUUUUUUAAGCUUCUCGAGCUUAAAUUUGCGGGGCCAGACGACUUGGUGAAGGUGCGAGGAGAACUGUCUUAGGCCGGGGGGGCCAUGUGCUGCGUCAUACUCAAUGCGUCGCACGUUUUCGUGCGACUCUCAUUCCGUGGCGCACCUGUUGAUGCAUUCGCGGGCAUCCUUAGGAGGGAUGUUGUAGCGUAGAUCCCUGUCUUGGUUUACUUCCUGACCACGUCCGCGCCUCUGCUUGCGGUAACCGCCCGUGUCCUGACCACGGUUGUCGCAUCCAGUGUCCUUCCUUCGAUUAUUGGCAGGUGAACAGCUACGACGGUGCCCACCGGAUCGUGAUGAGGUGCGGCUGUGAUGAGUCUCGUCAGAGGUGACCUCCGUGUAGGAAACGGCUUGAAUCCUUUUGAGUAGGGUAGCGGUCUGUCCCAUGGCCGCGAUCAGAUGUGCCCGUAUAUUAGCCCGAAUGUCUUGAUAUUCGGGAGCAUCGGGAAGGCGAUCCAAGUUUGCCAUGGCGACGACCACGUUGGCGCUUGGUGUCUUGUAGACCUGUUGAUUUCCGACCAUGUCGAAACCAUCGUUGAGAUUAUGUGGGGCGAGCUGUCGGUCCUCGUCUGCUCGUCGUUGGGCUCGGUCGGUAUUGCGCUGUUCUUGUUACUGUCGUUGUUCGUCAGUUUCUCCGUCAACAACUGGUUCAUCAUUACUAACAUUGAGAACCAAAUCUCCUCGUCGAGGCGGAAAGACUGGGAAGCGGGAGAAACCCGGUGGGUAUGGCGGCAGAUCUAUAUCGUAGUCCUCGUCCUCAGGGUGUAAAACCUCGGUAGGGACAGAUUCUGUACUGGAGCUUGUACUGCUGGACUUGUCUUCUGGCAGGGUGCGGAUGGAGACCAUAUUGACGAAGUGACGAGAUACUUGCCUAUUUUGGCUCAGCGACGAGCCUGCCUUUCUAAAUAGGAAUUGUGUAUGCCGUGAGAACUGAUCGGCCGCGUUACUCAAACCGUAAAGGCAAUGUUGUUCUGGGGGGCUUGUCUUGAGCCUGACGGUCCGUCCCGCGGAGGUCGACGUUAUCGUUAGGGACGUCUCUAGCCGUUCGUGUGUGGAGACACGAGUUGGUCGACGGGAGUCGAAAAAAUUUGUUGUUGCCGCCUGAACGGACCUUCGUGAAAUCGAAUCCACUAGGUUGGAGGCUUCGAGGAGCUUGUGGUCGGCGCGAUCGAGGGCUUGAAGAAGAUCCAAAUUGUCGGCCCGCUUUGCCCUGUAGCGAGGGAGUGGAGGUCGGAUCCUCGUAAUCGGCGUGAUCGGAGUCGAUGCCUCCGCUGUCCCAGACUGAUCUGGGUUUCUUCCAAGGUCGUGGUCGCAAGGCCGCCGCCGUGAGUUGUCCAAGUGAUCUGGCCGACGGUGAAAGUGAGACCUUCAGCCAUGGCCGCGGAAGCUGGGAUGAUGACCAUCUUGUUCGUCGGAAUUGCUGUACACACACCCCCUACCUGGCGCGCCACUGUCGACGAAAGCUGGUCGGCAGUCUACCUUGGGGUAUACCCACGGUAGUAGUUUAUCGGUAGACGGUGCGCAAGCUACGAACUUGAUGGUGACGCAAGACACAGACAAGGUUUUUAUCCAGGUUCGACCGCGGUGUGGGCGUAAUACCUACGUCCUGCGUCUGAUUGUAUUGCUGUGGAUUGUGUUGAGUUGAGAUUAGAUGUCCUAGGGGGGUCCCUUGCCUCUCCUUAUAUAGUCCAGAGAGCAGGGUUACAGAUCUAGAAAACUAAUCCUAGUCGGUUAUAAUUGCCAUAGAUAGUACGAUAUCAAUUCCUAUUCUAACCGACUAGAAUCCUGCUUGAUCUCCACGUCUUGUUUCCUUGCGCGAAACUCCGAGGAGUCAGAUCAAGCCUCGAACUCGUCUUGUAAUGGGCCAAGCCUCCUGGCCCAAGUCUAGCCGUAAGGGUAUAGGGGUUUAUACCCCCACAGCAACUUCACCAACACAUGCGAUCUCUGGCUCCACCUCCGUCGUUCGCACCAUUGCUACUGCACAUCGCUCGAAAGGCUAGGAUCUGAGGAGGAGCACCUACUAUGUCGAAACUCCCUGUUUAUUGGCGCAUGUCGGCCAUCACAUUUCUUCACCAGGAUGGUCGGUGUUGUCUGUCACACCACCACAUCGUAGUUGCUAGAGAUUUUGAACGAGAAUCAAAUUAAAAGAUCCUAGUAUGGAUUACUUUGUUGUCCGAGGUGCCAGAACGGUCCGCACGCUGGAUACAUGUACCGAAUGUUUGAGGUGCCAUCAAUCAUGGACGUGGCGAUGCUAUGGCCAUUUGGCCUAAAUGGCUGAACUCCUAGCCCGUGUAUGUCUUUGCCACUAUCACUAGAGGUACGGUCCGUGUCGCCUAAUCUCAAGUCCCUAAAUGUCCCACGACCAAAGUCCUAACCAUAUUAUGCUUUUUCAAUGUCUUAGUAGAGCAUAACUAGAGUCACCUGGGUUGGAGAUGACAUGGCGAUGGAAGAAUCCAGUAGAAAAACAAAAAAAAUGUGGUGCUCCAAUUCUAAUUGACAUGACAAUAUGAAAAGAGAGAUACAGUGACAAGUUUAUUAAACUUUAUAGAAAGAACGAAACAUAAUUUUUUUUCCUAUUGCAACAUGAGCAUUUUUGCUAGUGAAUAUAAUCGCAUAUAUUUAGAUUGCAAAUUUUAACAUACAAAUUUGACCACACAUAUUUAUAUUAAAAUUUUGACAUACAAUCCAGAUAAUUCGGGUUUUGGGCCGUUCACUUCCACCUCUAAAAGAAAGUAUGCCGCCUCUUCUACGAGUCUCUAACCUUCAUAAAGGUCUUGCUUAGGUCGUAAAAAUUUUUAGGUUCGACUACUGUAGCACUUUUAUUCGUAUUUGAUAAUUAUUAUCUACCCAUUAUCUAACUAGGCUUAAAAGAUUUGUCUCACAAAUUACAGAUAAACUAUGGAAUUAAUUAUUUUUUAUCUAUAUUUAAUGCUCCAUACAUGCAUCUAAAAAUUGGAUGUAACGGAGAAUCUUAAAAUAAUUUUCAAGAUUCCCCAUCACAUCGAGUCUUUGGACGCAUAUAGGGAGCAUCAAAUAUAGACUAGUAUAAGGCUAUGGCUUUAUCUUAAGAAUGUAUCUUAAAACAACAAAAUUGUUUUGCAUAGUCUAAUUUUUAUACAAGUAUAUUUGAGUCUAUAUAUAAUUCAAAAAUAGUUUUGCAUAUAAGAAUGCAUAGUUUCAAUUUCUGUUUCUCAUAUCAAUUACUCAACUUCACGCUGAUGUGCGCAUUCACUCUUUUCAGAACAAGGCCAUAUCAGAUAAAAGCAGAUGGAGCUUUCGUAGGCAUUGAGUUUUGAAGAACUCUGAUAUCUCCUGAAAGUCUUAGUUUCAACAAAGUUAAGGCUGACAUUACACCAAGCAACAAUGUUUAUACUUUAACAUAUUCUUAUGCCUCGGAGAAACCCCUGCAACAAGACAAGCCAGAUGAGAAGAUUCCGCAUCAAGAGAAGCCAGAGGACAAGCCUCUGCAUCAAGAUAACUCUGACUAAAAGCUGCUGGAGAAGCCAAUUGAAAAGCCUAUUGACAAACUUGUGGAAGAGCCAUAUAAUUGAAAAUUCAAUUGAACUACCUACUCAAAAGAUAACUAAAUGACCAACUGAUGAGCCAAUCGAAAAAAUAAAUGAUGCACCAACUGAAGAAGCAGCUGAAAAAAUAACAGAGACAGUGAAAAUACAGCUGAAGGGACAAUAGAAAAUGCAACAGAAGAGACACCCGAAAGGGCAGUUGAGGAAGUAAUUGAAUAGUCAGAUGAAACUAUUUCUGUCUCAUCAACUGGGCCGAAGCUGGGGGAAAACACAUCACUUGUUGAAGGAAGCAAUGCAGACCCUGACGAAGAUCAUUUGGAGUCUUCAUCUACUAAUUUUCAGCCUAGCAGUGGCACUAACAUUGUAAGUUGCAAUUAUUGCUCUUUUAGCAUUAUGCUUAGCUGUCCCUCAUCGAAUGUUAUUAAUAAUUUAUAUAUUAUCAAAGUAAAAAACAACACAUUGUCCAUUUGCAUGACUACAGGCAAGGGAAUAGCUACUGAAUCAGAAGCAUCUGGUGAAAAUGCAAGCCGUAGCAUUAACACGUCUGCACGCUCCUUAUCUCCACAGCCACACGGCGAGUGACAAGGACUGCGGACGACGUCGUGAUCUGCAAAUGAACUCCCCCAGUCAGACAAGAAGACGUUGGCCCUUGUUUAGUUUUGGAUAAUUAAUGAAACCUAUGUGUACUAAUCUUUAUGAUAAGUGAAAUACAAAGAUACAUUGGUACACACCAAGUGAUGGAGCUAGAUGAUGGUCUUGGUGCCUCUAAACAUCCCCACUGGCAAAGGAAGAACUUCAUUGCUAAACUGAAGGUGGGAGAUUGCAUCUUCACUACACAUUAGGAAAAGGCUGCUGAGAUCUUGGAGUUCUACUCAAAUCUGAUUGGUACAGUUGAUGAUAGAGAAAGAACCAUAAAUUUGGAUGUACUCAAUAUUUCAGAAUAUGAUCUUUAGGCGUUGGACAUGCCUUUUACGGAAGAGGAGGUGUGGAACACCAUCAAAGGACUUCCAUCAGAUAAGGCCCCUGGCCCUGAUGGGUUUACAGGAAACUCUAUAUGUCCGCCUUGCACACCAUUUGGGAGAAACAUUUUAGGAACUUGGGGAUGCUGAAUUCUGCUUUUAUAACAUUAAUUCCAAAGAACGCUGAGGCUGAUCAAGUAAAAGAUUUUAGACCCAUUCGUUUGGUACACAGCUUUGCUAAACUAGUGACUAAAAUACUGGCGAACCGGUUAGCUAGUCGUCUUGAUGAAAUAGUUUCCUCCAAUGAAAGCGCCUUUAUCAAAAGACGGUUUAUUCAGGACAACUUCAUGCUGGUACAGCAGACUGUGAAGUAUCUGCACUCCCAAAGGCAGCCAAGAAUCCUCCUCAAAUUGGAUAUCACUAAGGCGUUUGAUUCAUUAAAUUGGUCAUUUCUUUUGGAAGUGCUCUGGAAGCUUAGCUUUGGUGCUUUAUGGUGUGAUAUUCUUUGUGGCCUGCUUUCCUCUUCUUCUACUCAAGUUCUCUUGAAUGGUAGUCCUAGAGAGACUAUUCAGCAUAAGAGAGGGCUCCGCUAGGGAGAUCCCUUUUCCCCAAUGCUUUUCAUUCUGGUAAUGGACGUGAUGAACAGGAUGGUCACACGGGCUGAAGAGGAAGGUCUGUUGCAACCAAUGGCUAGAAGGUCAAUUCAACACAGAAUUUCCCUAUAUGAUGAUGAUGUAGCUCUCUUCCUCCAACCUGCUGCGGCAGAUAUCUCUUUGACUCUAAGAAUGCUCCAGCUCUUUGGGGAUGCCUUUGGACUCAGAACAAUUGUACAAAAAAGUAAUGUACUGCCAGUCCAUUGUUUGGAAGAAAAUAUGGAAGUUAUUCAAAGCCUGCUACCCUGCGGUAUUCAAGAAUUUCCUUGCAAAUACCUUGGGUUGCCUCUGUCGACCAAGAAGCUGACCAAAGACCAAUUCCAGCCAAUUAUUGAUAAAAUAGCGGAUCAGCUCCCAAGAUGGAAAGCAGAUUUGAUGACAAAGGCAGGAAGGGUGGUGCAGGUCCAACAUGUCCUGACUGCAAUGCUAGUAGCUAUGGCAAUCGAGCUGCCACCAUGGGCUAUCAAGGCAAUUGAUAAAAUUAGAAGGGCUUUUCUAUGGAGAGGGAGAAAAGAAGCAAACGGGGGACAUCACCUCAUUGCAUGGCCCAAGGUGUACUUCUCUAAAGAUCAUGGGUGACUGGGAAUUGCUGACCUGAAAUCUCUAGGCUUUGCGCUCAAAGCUCGGUAGCCAUGGUUGAAAAAAUCUGAGAAAUAAACCUUGGGCGAGUCUGCCACUUUAGGUUUGCAAGGAGGUGGAUGGUCUGCUCUCUAUGGCUGUGUUCACUGAGGUAGGAGAUGGACCUAACACCUUGUUCUAGAAGGAUAGGUGGCUUGCUGAGAGGAAUAUCCAGGAAUUAGCACCAAAAAAUUAUUGCUUGGUCCCUAAAAGAAAAAUAGGCAGACGUACGGUAAGGGAGACUUUGUCUGAUGAGAAAUGGAUUGAUGAUAUUCGAGUUGACAUACCUGUAGAAGCUCUAAUGGAAUAUCUGGAAUUAAGGGAUAUACUAUCUAAUGUUGUGCUAGACAAAGGGGCAAACGACAAACACAUUUGGAGACUUUCGGCUUCAGGUGAUUACACGGCCAAGUCGGCAUAUGAUUUGUUUUUCAAAGGCGCUAUAUACUUCAGACCAUAUGAGAGAAUAUAGAAGUCAUGGGUUCCUCCCAAGUGCUGUUUUUUCAUGUGGUUAGUUCAUAACCGGUGUUGGACAGCUGACAGGCUUGCUCGAUGAGGACUGCCUCACCGGGCCAAAUGUAUCAUUUGUGACCAGGAAUAGGAAAGCAUCCAGCACCUCCUAAUUGGGUGCGUUUUUGCUAAGCAAUUCUGGUUCUCUCUCCUGCAGUGCGUUGGACUCUCUUCACUCACUUCUCAGCCGGAGGAUUCAGCUUGGGAGGACUGGUGGGAAAAGGCAGAGGCUGCUACCAAUGGGGAUGUAGGAAACGGCUUAAACUCCAUCGUCAUCCUUGGCGCCUGGAGCAUCUGGAAACACCAGAAUGACUGUGUCUUCAAUGGGGAUGUCCCAAAUAUUAACACAGCCCUAAGUAUAGCUAGGGAUGAAGCCCAUUGGUGGUGUUUGGUAGGAGCUUACGGUCUGUCCUUGCUUACCGCUGGGGGUCUUAGUUUCUUCCCCGCUCGGUAGUUGUACACUCUGAUCUAGGUGAUGACGUCUUAGAAAAUAGAGAAAGUGUGAGGGGGUGUGUGUGAGUGGAUCUGGGUCUAUGUAUGUGUAACACCCAAAAAAUUUCAUCUUUCCAGAUAGGGUAAAAUGAUUUAAUUAAUUGUUUAUGAGCACUAAAAUGUAGUAAGAAAUGAAUUUUUAUAGAAUUAAAAGUCAAUAUAAGGUUUAGACACAUGUUGUGCAUCCAUGCUGCUUCAUAUGUUUUAUUGACUGAUGUUUCUUUAAAUUCAAAAUGGUUUUUAAAUCCUUUUAAAUGGUUUGAGAAAAGGUGUGAAAAUAAAAAGGAAAAAGGUUUUAUUCUCUCCCUCACUUCUCUCGAGCUUGGCCCAAUCUUUUCUCCCCCCCCCCCCCCGCGGCCUGCUUUCCCCCUUCCUCUUCUCACUCCCGCGCCAUCCAUUGUGGCCGCUGACAGAGCGGACCCGCACCCCGUUUCACUGCCAGGUGGGGCCCACCUGUCGGAUCCGUCUCCCACCUCGCAACUGAGCCGGACUCGAUGGGGUUUCCGCACCGGCCACGUGCGAUCCCCGCAGCUGGCUUGCCUCGCACGCCAAGGAGGCUUUAAAUAGCGGCCUCCGCUCAGCCGCAACCCCCCUAUCUCAAUCUAGUGCCAGCCGCCGCACAGUUUUCGCCGAAAAUCACCUUCGAGAUUCAAGCCAAAGCCAAUCCGCCGCUGCAGCGCGUCCCAGCCUCCGUGAGCGACUUGCCGAGCUUCGGCUCCGUCGUGCGAAGUCGCUGAGAUCUUCUUUUCGCACACUUUUGCUCCCUACGCUUGCCUAACCUUUGCCGAACCACUUUGCAGAGCCGCCGCCUGCCGUUCAUCAUCGGGAGCCCUAGCCGGCGUCUCUCCGUCCCGUUUCUUGCCUCAGGUGAGUGUGCACCGAGCUUGUGAGCAACCCCGUGCUUUUAUCUCGCGUUCUACCGCUCUGAGUUGCCACAUUGGCCAACUCCGGCCAACUUGGCCAUGGCGCUGCCGCGGCCUACCCUAGCUCCGACCGGCCGGCUUGAACCCACACCCCACGAUCUAAUCUCAGCCACUGAUCCGCGAUCCAACGGCCCUAGAUGAAGGGUACCCCUUCGGCCGCGCGUUUUUGCAAAAUAGCCCCCUUGUUUUCUAAAGAUCAAACCUGUAGUCCCUUGCAGUUCUCCCGAGUGCAUUUUCUAAUCUCGAAAGCGUAUUCCCGCCUACUCAGUUGAAAAUAUGCUUUCUCAAAAAUACAGUUUUGCCAUUGAUCCUAUUUAACUCAUAAAAACACUGUUUUAACUCGGUUUUGAUCCGUUUAAAUUGUGUUAGAUUCGUUUUUGCGUAACCUAUAGAUUAGUGGCACUGUUAUAUAUGUUUCCAACUUUUAAAAUCUGAGCUUAGAUUUAAUCUAUUAUUUUAUUAAAGGAAAUCUUGUUUAAAUCAUAACUUCUUCUUUAUAGGUCCGAUUUUUGUGAACUUUACAUCUGUGUGAUCGUAGAGCGAUGUAGAAUCGUUUUAUAAACUUUUUGUCUUUAUUUAUUACUGUUGGCAUACUGUUCUAAUUAAGACUUGUUUGCCUUGUAUGAUUGUCUUUGGGUGAUUGCUGUUGAUGUGGUGAUUACGUUCAGAUGGUGAGCAGUUCGUGGGUGACCAAGAGUAUUGCUACGAGCAGGAUCAGUAGGACCAGUGUGAUCAAGGCAAGUAUAGCAUGGGAUCAUCCUUGUUUCCUAAUAACUUUAAUCACAUAAUUCAUAUUGCAUGUGUCUCCUUGAUAAGGAUUUCCGUUUUGCAUUUGGGUAGCUUAUGCUAGUGCUCCACUAAACCAUGAUCUUGUAAUUUGAUUAAUGGAAUAUGCAAUAAACAUUAAAAGAUGACUUUUUAGCAACUUUGGAAAAGAGGGCUGGAGCAUUGGGCUAUCUUAUGGUGCUCUAGUUUCUCUCCCUAAGGACUUAUCUGUAUAUGACCAUCCGGGACAUACAGUACAAUUGUGUGAGGGCUACAUGGCUCUGGCUUUAACUUAGUAUGAGGACCUUUUCUAGCUUGUUAGUGGUUACCCUUGCGGCGCAAAUGGGGGAUAGCAGACCGUGGAUUCCUACAGGUGGAUCACAUGGACUGACUAACGAAUCCAAGCGGCCCUAACUUGUUAGACGAACCUUUAAAAGGCUUCAUAGUGAACCUUGUUGGUCUUCCUUGGGAGUGGGCUAAGGGGCUGAUCACCUCAGGCGAAAGGGUAAAUCACGACUCACAGUGAAAGUGUACAAUCUCUGCAGAGUGUAAAACUGAUAUAUCAGCCGUGCUCACGGUCACAAGUGGCCUUGGACCAAUACAGAAUAAAUAAUCACUAAUGGCAAAUCAUUAAAUGUUAUUAUUGUUAAUAUGUUGUUUAUGCUAUUCUUUAUUCACUUUACCUGAUCAUAAGUUUAUUUUGGGUCUUGACAACUUGAUGCUACUCAUAUGCUAAAAUUGUGACAACUGAAAGCUACAUGCAGUUAAACUAGUGUCUAGCCUUUGAGCCUCACGAAUCCCAUCUUACACUUGUUAAGUACGAGAUGUACUUACACUUGUUUAUUUUCUUUAUUUGGAUAGAAAUCCCAGAUGGGUAACAAAUGGCAUGGGUAAUGACUACUACCAGUACUUCCCUGAGGAUUUCUAGUCUUGUGGUCAACCAUUUGAUGUGCCUGUGUGAUGGAGCUUCCAUGCAAGAGUUAUCUUUUAUUUUCGCUUUAUUUUUUUGUAAAGACUUUGAGAUAUUAUCGUUAUGUAAUGAACACUUGUGAUGGUACUCUCUAUAAUUUGUUGGCUUAUGUGUGAUUGAUCUCUGGGCACACAUAAGGUUUUGCAUUCAAUUUUAUACUUAAAAUUGGGUGUGACAAAUUGGUAUCAGAGCCGUGUUGACUGUAGGACGCAAGCCUAGAUAGAAAUGGUCGUUUUAGUUGUCUUUUCUUCUCUACUUUCAUGCUUACCAUCUUACUCUUGUUAUUUGCUAAAAUUUUUAUGCUUCUACCAUCUCACUCUAUUAGAAAAAUUAUUGCUUCUAAUCUAACUUCUCUCCGGUCUCUUCUAUAGAUGGUUCGUGCCAACAAGAUCGCUCGUAUCUCAAUUGGAGGAUACCACCCACCCCGUUACCAGUACGAGCCUAUGGAGCCACAAGAGGAGAGUUCACCGGAACAUGAGGAGGUUCCACCACCUUUAGAACAAGCAUUUGAUCUAGAGCUAUCACAAGUGGAGUCUGAACCAGAGGAGGAUCCCCAGGAGGUCAUAUUAAUUUUUAAUGAUGAAGAGGAAGGUGCUCCCGGAGGAGGUCAACCCCCAUCACCGCCACAAGAUGGACCUGCUGAAGAUGAUGAGCCCCCUCCCAUGGGGUGGACUAGAAAGGUGUACCACAAGUCUUCGUGCAACGCUCCGUCGCAUCACCGGCUGGUGAGAAUGUUGGAGGCUUACUUCUCUAACUGGGAUGCAGCCGUGGAGUAUUCCUACAUUGAGUAUACGCACCCCCUGGAGAACACCUACUGGAAGUCCAAAGUGCUGAUCUUUCCCAAGGAUGUGGAGGAAGAUGCAUACCUGAAGGACAGGGGCUACCGUCACGAUGGACAUAGAGCUACUAUAGAAGAGAGCAUGGAGGAAGCAGCUUUCACAGCAUGUUUGUUCCUCCGUGAGUAUCGUUUUGGUAACAUGCGGUGGGAUAUACACCAUUAUCUACCCCGCCUCUACCCCGCCUAGACCCGGAACAAGGAUGGGGAAUGCUGGAGCCAAUAGAUUUAGACCCAGUCUCCCGAGUGAUGGUGUGCUUUGCUCAUGAGAUGGUGGAAAAGCAUAUGAAACUGCAAGACAUGGUGAUACCACAAGGAAAGGCUCUCAAGAGGUGCUACAAGACGAUCGACGACUAUCGUGAGAGGGAAGGACAGCCCAAGAUCUAUGGGAAGCUCGAUUAUGAACCACGCCCUUAGUGUUGGAAGUCCCUAUUAAGUAAUAAGCCGCAAGAAGCGCAAGUGAGUCGAGUCAAGUUAGUGUGGUGUGCUUUUUGUUAUGCUUAGUUGCUUUGUUAUUAUGUUUAUGGGUGAGUUGGAUCUUUGUAAUGAGUGCUGGGACUUUGUGGGCAUGUCUACAAGUUCCAUAGUUUAGGUUAUUAAGGAAUAAGGUUUAAUGAAUAAAUAGUUGGGUUGGUAUAUCUAUCUUUCCUGUUUCGUUUCUUUAGACCAAUCUGUCUUAAUAAUUUUACCCAGAAAAAUCAGUUCGAUCAAAAGUUAUAAAAAUUUUAUGAGAAUACCUAGACUUAAGCAUCUUUCCUAUGCCACUGGAAUCACCUUUUUAUCUGAUCUUGGCCGAGAGAUAUGAAUGUUGAAAACAGAGGUUCCUGCGCAGUCUGAGUUCUGGGACAGUUUCGGGUGGAGACAGUUUAUGCCUAAUUUAAUGACUGAAUCUGAAUUCAUGCUCUAAAUAAAAGUUGUAGACAAAUUCUUAAACUUUCCAACCAUCAAAGUUUCCCCUCCGUUGGAUUUUUAUACCUCGCGAUAUGAUCGUUUUACCGAACUACUGACACUGGAAUCACUCAGAAAAAUUUCAGAAUUGCAAACUUAUUCAUGAAUGUCUAUAAUUGGGAGAUUCUAAAGUUCUGCAUGUUAUGACAGAUGUCGCCCAGAGGUAGAGGACGUGGAAGGGGUGCUCCACUCAACCCACCUGCCACCAUCGAACAGCUACUGGCAGUCCAGACGCAGCUCAUGGAAGCCCUGGUGAACAACCAACAGAAUCAUCCAAUCGGAGGGGCACCACCACGUGUUAAGCGGGGCGAAUUCUCGAAAGGCCACCCCCCUAUGUUCGCACAUGCCAUUGACCCACUAGAGGCAGAUGACUGGCUUCGUGCAGUGGAGAAGCAAUUCAACAUAGCACAGUGUGAUGAUAGGCAGAAGGUGUUGUUCUUAUCUGGACAACUCCAGGGAGAUGCUCAGACAUGGUCGGAGUCGUUUGAGUAUGGACGACCCCCAAUGCACCUGCUAUCACAUGGCUAGAGUUCAAGGAGAACUUUAGGUCUUACCACAUACUAGAAGGGCUAAUAGAACUGAAGGCAGAGGAGUUCCGGAGCUUGAAGCAGGGAUCUAUAAUAGUUCCGGAGUACCGGGACAAGUUUGCUCAGCUGUCACGCUAUGCUCCAAACGAGGUGGCUAACGAUGCUGAUAAACAGCGCCUCUUUCUGAAGGGAUUGUAUGAUGGUCUCCAACUCCAACUAAUGUCCAAUGAAUACCCCAACUAUCAUACGCUUGUGAACCGUGCUAUUGUAGUGGAUAACAAGCGUAAGGAGAUGGAUGCUAAAAGGAAGCGGAUGCAGGGACAGGCCUCUGGAAGUAAUUCUCGUCCACGCACCAACCAGCAGCAAGGUUCUCAGCAAAGGUACCAAGGACCACCUUCACAGUGGAAUCGUGGUCAGUACCCCCAGCGCAAUCAGUUUCAGCAGCACCUGCAGAACCAGUAGAAUCAGCAGCAGGGCAACCAACAGACGUCACGCCAGGGUACGCCUAGCAACACUCCAAUGAAGACUAGUGCCCCUAACACCCCCAACAAGUGUUUUCGUUGUGGCAAGGAGGAUCAUCUAUCAUAUCACUGCCCUGAAAAGCAAAACCAACAGACUCCCAAGAAGCAGAAUAACCACCAGAAGUCAGCUUCUAAUACUGGAAGGGUGAACCACAUGUCUUUUGAGACAGAACAACAGGAACCAGAAGUCAUGCUCGGUACGUUCGAAGUCAACUUUAGUUCUUUUUGAUUCUAGAGCUUUCCAUACUUUCAUAUCACAAGCAUUUGUUAGAAUACAUAGCUUACCCUUAUGUGCCAUGAAGAAUCCCAUACUAGUAAAUUCACCGGGGGGGAAGCAUGCAAGCUUCUUAUAGUUGCCUCCCACUUACUCUAACUCUAAGGGGGUAGAGUUCAAGAUAUGCCCGAUUGUGUUGAGAGCAUAUGGUACAGAUGUGAUUGUGGGAAUGGAUUGGAUGAAACAACAAGAUGCUUCGAUUCAAUGUAAAGGAAAGGCAGUUGCACUAACAACACCAAAAGGGGACAAAAUCUAUGUGGAAGUUGCAGUUCAGCCUCAGCCAACAGCUACAGUGAACCAGCUUGAUAACAGUGUCAAUCAGGAGGACCCGGUUGUUGAUGAGUUCCCAGACGUGUUCCCAAAUGAUUUGCCAGGUAUGCCACCUGACCGUGACAUUGAGUUUAUUAUUGAAUUAUUACCUGGCACUGCACCUAUAGCUAAACGUUCAUAUAGAAUGGGGGUUAAUGAAUUAGAGGAACUUAAGAAACAAAUAAAGGAGUUACAAGAGACAGGUUUCAUUCGUCCUAGCUCUUCACUUUGGGGAGCACCAGUUAUUUUUGUCGAUAAGAAAGAUGGUACACAGAGAAUGUGUGUAGACUACCGGUCACUUAAUGAGGUCACAAUCAAGAAUAAAUAUCCCUUGCCUAGAAUCGAUGAUUUGUUUGAUCAGUUGAGAGGUGCUUGUGUGUUUUCCAAGAUUGAUCUUCGUUCGGGGUACCAUCAGCUGAAGAUUCAUCCUACUAAUAUACCAAAGACAGCAUCUACGACCCGGUAUGGCUUGUAUGAGUACACAGUAAUGUCUUGUGGUUUGACCAAUGCUCCUGCAUACUUUAUGUAUCUGAUGAAUAAGGUGUUCAUGGAAUUCCUUGAUAAGUUUGUGUUGGUGUUCAUUGAUGACAUAUUGAUAUUCUCCAAGACUGAACUAGAGCAUGCUGAGCAUCUGAGGUUAAUCUUGCAAAAGCUUCGGGAGCACAAGUUAUAUGCUAAGCGAAGCAAUUGUGAGUUUUUGUUGAAAGAAGUCUCCUUUAUAGGCCAUGUUGUUUCUAAUGGAAGAAUAGCUGUGGAUCCGAGCAAGGUGAAAGACGUGCUCGAUUGGAAACCACCGACCGAUGUGAGUGGGAUACACAAUUUCUUGGGAUUGGCUGGUUACUACCGAAGGUUUAUUGAGGGAUUUUCAAAGCUUGCCAAACCGAUGACAGCUCUGCUUGAGAAAAACGCCAAGUUUGUGUGGUCAGAUAAGUGUCAAGAAAAUUUCGAGGAAAUGAAGAAGAGAUUGACUAUAGCUCCAGUGCUAGUAUUGCCAGAUCUAAGUAAGAAUUUCUCCAUUUAUUGUGAUGCAUCCCGUCUAGGACUUGGGUGUGUUCUUAUGCAAGAAGGAAGAGUAGUGGCCUAUGCAUCUCGACAGUUGAGGAAGCAUGAGUUGAAUUACCCUAACCAUGACUUGGAAUUAGCCGCAGUGGUUCAUGCCUUGAAGAUCUGGAGGCAUUAUCUUAUCGGUCAUAAGAGUGACAUAUACACGGACCAUAAGAGUUUGAAGUAUAUAUUCACGCAGUCAGAUCUGAACUUGACGCAACGACGGUGGUUAGAAUUGAUGAAGGACUCUGAUUUGGAGGUACACUACCACCCUGGGAAAGCAAACAUGGUCGCAGACGCCCUGAGCAGGAAAAGCUAUGCCAACGAGGUGCAAAUAGCCUCUAUGGCUGAUGAGUUAUGUGCUGAAAUUGCACACCUGAAUCUGGGUUUUGUUAUUAAUGCAGUUGAGUUAGUAAUAGAACCCACUUUGGAGCAAGAAGUACGAAAAGGGUCAGUUACAUGAUGAAAAGCUGAAAGAGAUAGCUGGGAACAUCGUGAUUGAAAAGGCACCAGGAUUCCGGAUGGAUGAUAAUGGAACACUAUGGUUUGGGAAAAGGCUAUGUGUGCGUGAGGAUUGAUCUAUUAGGGAGGCAAUUCUGCGAGAGGCACACAAAUCUGCUUAUUCUAUACACCCUGGCAGCACUAAGAUGUACCUAGACCUAAAAGAGAAGUAUUGGUGGUAUGGCUUGAAGAGAGAUGUUGCUGAGUAUGUCGCUUUAUGUGAUACUUGCCAGAGAGUCAAAGCAGAACAUCAGAGACCGGCAGGACUGUUGCAACCAAUGAAAAUCCCUGAGUGGAAAUGGGAGGAAGUUGGUAUGGACUUCAUAAUGGGACUACCCCGCACUCAGAAAGGUUAUAUGGGUAAUAGUACACCGGCUGACUAAGGUCGCUCAUUUUAUUCCGGUUAAGACCAAAUACAGUGGACCAAAAUUGGCUGAAUUAUACAUGGAAAGAAUAGUGUGCUUGCAUGGGGACCCUAAAAAGAUAGUUUAUGAUCAAGGUACCCAAUUUACGUCUCACUUUUGGCAGAAAGUGCAUGAGUCCCUGGGAACUAAGCUGAAAUUUAGUACAGCAUACCAUCCCCAGACCGAUGGGCAGACUGAGAGGACUAAUCAAAAUUUGGAGGAUAUGUUGAGGGCAUGUGCAUUACAGUAUGUAACGAGUUGGGAUAAGAGUUUGCCAUACGCAGAGUUUUCAUACAACAACAGCGGCACCAUUUGAAGCCUUAUAUGGGUGGAAGUGUAGAACCCCGUUGUUUUGGAAUCAAGCGGGAGAAACACAAGUGUUUGUGCCAGAUGUGCUACGGGAUGCAGAACAGCAAGUGAGAGUAAUCAGGGAGAACUUGAGGGCAGUACAGUCCCGACAGAAGAGUUAUGCUGACACACGGAGAAGAGAAUUGGCUUCUGAGGUAGGAGACUAUGUGUAUUUGAAAGUGUCACCUAUGUGAAGUGUGCGAAGGAUCAACAUGAAGGGGGAAGUUAGCACCAAGGUACAUUGUGCCUUUCCGAGUGUUGGAAAGACGAGGGGAAGUAGCCUUCCAAUUGGAACUGCUUGAAAGUUUAAAAGGACUGCAUGACGUCUUCCAUGUGUCACAGCUUAAAAAGUGUUUGCGGGUGCCGGAGGAGUAGAUACCGAUAGAGGAAUUGACCGUUAAAGAGGAACUUACUUAUGAAGAAUAUCCGGUAUGAAUUUUGGAAACAGCAGAAAGAGUUACCAGGAGUCGGGUUAUCAAAAUGUGCAGAGUACAGUGGAAUAGAUAUACCGAAGAAGAGACUAUCUGGGAGAUGGAAGAAGACUUAAGAAAGUCAUAUCCUCAGUUGUUUGAGUAAGCACCAACCGAAUCUCGAGGACAAGAUUCAUUUUAAGGGUGUAGAAUUGUAACACCCUAAAAAUUUCAUCUUUCCAAAUAGGGUAAAAUGAUUUAAUUAAUUGUUUAUGAGCACUAAAAUGUAGUAAGAAAUGAAUUUUUAUUGAAUUAAAAGUCAAUAUAAGGUUUAGACUGCUGCUUAUGUUUUAUUGAGUGAUGUUUCUUUAAUUUCAAAAUGGUUUUUAAAUUCUUUUAAAUGGUUUGAGAAAAGGUGUGAAAAUAAAAAGGAAAAAGGGUUUAUUCUCUCCCUCACUUCUCUCAGCUCGGCCCAAUCUUUUCUUCCCCCCCAUGGCCUGCUUUUCCCCUUCCUCUUCUCACUCCCGCGCGGUCUAGUUCCCCGGCCCACACUGGAUCAGCCAGCGAGCCGCGCCCUCCCCUCCGCUGUGGCCACUGACAGAGCAGACCUGCGCCCCGUUUCACUGCUAGGUGGGGCCCACCUGUCGGAUCCAUCUCCCAUCGCGUAACUGAGCCGGACUCGGUGGGGUUUCCGCACCGGCAACGCGUGAUCCCCGCAGCUGGCUUGCCUCGCACGCCGAGGAGGCUUUAAAUAGCGGCCUCCACUCCACCGCAACCCUCCUAUCUCAAUCUAGAGCCAGCCGCCACACAGUUUAUGCCGAAAAUCGCCGUCGAGAUUCAAGCCGAAGCCAAUCCACCGCUGCAGCGCGUCCCAGCCUCCGUGAGUGACUUGCCGAGCUUCGGCUCCAUCGUGCGAAGUCACCGAGAUAUUCCUUUCGUGCUCUUUUGCUCCGUACGCUUGCCUAACUUUUGCCGAACCUCUUUGUAGAGCCACCGCCCGCCGUUCGUCGUCGGGAGCCCUAGCUGGCGUCUCUCUGUCCCGUUUCUUGCCUCAGGUGAGUGCGCACCGAGCUUCUGAGCAACCCCCGUGCUUUUAUCUCGCGUUCUACCGAUCUGAGUCGCCAGAUUGGCCAACUCCAGCCAACUUGGCCAUGGCGUCGCCGCGGCCUACCCCAGCUCCGGCUGCCCGACUUCAACUCCCACCCCAUGAUCUAAUCUCAGCCACGGAUCCGCGAUCCAACGGCCCCAAAUGAAGGGUACCCCUUCGGCCGCACGUUUUUGCAAAAUAGCCCCCUUGUUUUCUAAAGAUCAAACCCGCAGAACCUUGCGGUUCUCCUGAGUGCGUUUUCUAAUCUCGAAAGCGUAUUCCCGCCUACUCAGUUCAAAAUACGCUUUCUCAAAAUUAUAGUUUUGCCAUUGAUUCUGUUUAACUCAUAAAAACUCCGUUUUAACUCCGUUUUGAUCCAUUAAAAUUGCGGUAGAUUCGUUUUUGCAUAACCUAUAGAUUAGUGGCACUGUUAUAUAUGUUUCCAACUUUUAAAAUCUGAGCUUAGAUUUAAUAUAUUAUUUUAUUAAAGGAAAUCUUAUUUAAAUCAUAACUACUUCGUUAUAGGCCCGAUUUUUGUGAACUUUACGUCUGUAUUAUCGUAGAGCGAUGUAAAUUCAUUUUAUAAACUUUUUGUCUUUAUUUAUUACUUUUGGUGUACUGUUCUAAUUAUAGACUUGUUUGCCUUGUAUGAUUGUCUUUGGGUGAUUGCUGUUGAUGUGGUGAUUACGUUUAGACGGUGAGCAGUUCGUGGGUGACCAAGAGUAUUGCUACGAGCAGGAUUAGCAGGACCAGUGUCAUCAAGGCAAGUAUAGCAUGGGAUCAUCCUUGUUUCCUAAUAACUUUAAUCACAUAAUUCAUAUUGCAUGUGUCUCCUUGAUAAGGAUUCCUUAGUAUUGAUCUUAUACCUUGUCACCUAUGGUUUUGCAUUUUGGUAGCUUAUGCUAGUGCUCCACUAAACUAUGAUCUUGUAAUUUGAUUAAUGGAAUAUGCAAUAAACAUUAAAAGAUGACUUUUUAGCAACUUUGGAAAAGAGGGCUGGAGCAUUGGGCUAUCUUAUGGUGCUCAAGUUUCUCUCCCUAAGGACUUAUCUGUAUAUGACCAUCCGGGACAUACAGUACAACUGUGCGGGCUACAUGGCUCUAGUUUUAGCUCAGUAUGAGGACCUUUUCUAGCUUGUUAGUGGUUACUCUUGCGGCGCAAAUGGGGGAUAGCAGACCGUGGAUUCCUGCGGGUGGAUUACACGGACUGACUAACGAAACCAAACGGCCCUAACUUGUUAGACGGACCUUUGAAAGACUUCAUACUGAACCCUGCCGGUCUUCCUUGGGAGUGGGCUAAGGGGCUGAUCACCUUGGGCGAAAGGGUAAAUCACGACUCACAGUGAAAGUGUACAACCUCUGCAGAGUGUAAAACUGAUAUAUCAGCCGUGCUCACGGUCACGAGUGGCCUUGGACCAAUAGAGAAUAAAUAAUAACUAAUAACAAAUCAUUAAAUGUUACUAUUGUUAAUAUGUUGUUUAUGCUAUUCUUUAUUCACUUUACCUGAUCAUGAGUUUAUUUUGGGUCUUGACAACUUGAUGCUACUCAUAUGCUAAAAUUGUGACAACUAAAAGCUACAUGCAGUUAAACCAGUGUCUAGCCUUUGAGCCUCAUGAACCCCAUGUUACACUUGUUAAGUACGAGAUGUACUUACACUUGUUUAUUUUCUUUAUUUGGAUAAAAAUUCCGAAUGGGUAACAGAUGGCAUGGGUAAUGACUACUACCAGUAUUUCCCUGAGGAUUUCUAGUAUUGUGGUCAACCAGUUGACGUGCCUGUGUGAUGGAGCUUCCAUGCAAGAGUUAUCUUUUAUUUCCACUUUAUUUUUUUUGUAAAGACUCUGAGAUAUUAUCGUUAUGUAAUGAACACUUGUGAUGAUACUCCCUAUAAUUUGUCAGCUUAUGUGUGAUUGAUCUCUGGGCACACAUAAGGUUUUGCAUUCAAUUUUAUCCUCAAAAUUGGGGGGCAUGUGUUGACACCGUUUUUUGACACGUAUCUUUGAAUACGUAUCUGGAGUUAAUGAGGAGUAGAUCGGCAAGCAGGAAAAUAGUGGUUGGUUUGCAGAUGAAUUGCCGAUGGGGUUGGUGCCGAUGGGAGAACGACAAAAUAUAACUAAGUCCAGGAAGUAGUGACAGGAUCAUGCCGAUGACUAGCACUGAUGGUUGCCGAUGAUGGUGAAAGGCGGUCUGCCGAUGGUCAUGGAGAAAGAUGCAGGGGUUGCCGAUUAGCUCAUAAAAGUGUACCGAUCGGUUGUGAAGGAUAGUUUAAUGCUUUCCUUCAUUAUUAGAGUUCGUUUUGUAUACGGAUUCCGUUUAAUUUAGAAUUCGAGUUCUAGUCGUGUCUGGUUGUAGAUCUUUGGGAUAGGGUAUAAAUCUAGACCUCGUGGCAAUAUAAAGACAUCAUCUAUCAAUCAAUCAAACACAAGUUUUUACACAUAUUCUAGCAUCUACUUUUCGACGACUUCAUCAUAUUUUCCUUUUACUACGAGUUCUUAGGAAUUCGUCAAGUCAAACUCAGCGUUUUCUCAAGUUCCGCAUGAGCACCUCUUGGCUGUGACAUCUGGGUGCAUCGCUAUUGUCGGGACCAAAGUGUUCGAGUUACCACCUUUGUCGAUUGUAAGGUCAAAUCGGCUAGCACGCCUUAACAUUUGAAUCGGGUAUUAGCCCUUUAUGUUUGCAGAUCAGCUUUUACACCAACACAUCUUUUGGCACACCCAGUGGGACAAAGAUUCAAGAUCAAGAUCAACAUGUCGAACACCGAUUUUGACUUGGAGAACGUUAUCCCCGUGACGAAAGCCAAUCUCAGAGAUGAGCAGAAGCAAGCUAUGGCAAAAGCCAUGGAGGACUACAAGCAGUUAUGCUUGAAAUCCUUCAGUAUCAACAGGAGUGGCGAGGUGAUCUAGAAGGAAGCAUUGCCGAUGCCUCGGCAAAUCACUUUUGGGGCCAAUCCUGGUAAACUUCAAGACAUGGUUGACAGUGCUAUUAACCGUGCCUUGAUCAAUCAAUAUGGUGUGCUGUCUGACACGGUUUUCAAUGCUGUGGCUAGAACUUUCAAAGAAGGACAAGUACAACCAUCUUAUGUGGGUCCUGCCUAUCAUUAGCUAGGGUCAUCGGUGGUUACGGCUCCAUCGGCUACUACGGCUGUUGCGGGUGCAGAAGUUAAUUCCCCUCCAAGCACAUUAGGGAUGACUAACGCGCAAUCUACAUCGAUGACAACUAAUCCAUCAACAUCAGAUGGGCAAAUCAAACUUGCCACAGAUUUAUUGGCAUCGGCGAUGUCAGGGACUGUUCCUCCCAACUGGUGGGGCUAUGGUAUGCCCCCAGAAUUGAUGGCAAAAGGUCCUGGAUCAUCUCAAGUGGCUAACGUGACAGGGAAGGCUCCAAUGGCAUCAGCACCCCCAAAUUCACUGAUGACUCAGAAUCCCCAGUAUUCUACAACUACUACUGGAAGAACUUUUACUGGGAAUUCUCAAGCACCAACGUUCUAGAUGCCUAAUGCAGCGGCAGAUCCUAUGCCGAUGCAGCAGAGGUUUAUGACAUAGCUAGGGUAUGUCAAUUCAAUGAUGAUGCCCAAUUACCAGUCAUCGGCAGGACCUACGCCGAUGAAUGUUAAUAGUUGAUGGACAGGGUAGUUUGUCUUUCCACAGAUACCUCAGCAGAAUCAUCAGGCUAUGGGAUUCCAGCAGGGACCAAUGUAACCUCAAUUUUAGAAUCAAGGGUUGAUCAAUUAGCCGAUGAAUCUUGGCCAGCAACUUGGUGGUGAGCAGACAAUGGUUAAUCCAAUGUUCCAUGGAGAUCGUGCACCUCAGAUACACGUGGAAGCUUAUCAGCAGGUGCCAGAUCCACAACCACCUCAUCGGGAAGAUGACGAUGCUUAUUGGGCCGAUAAGAUAACUGAAGUGAUGAGGGACCAUUUGGGAUAAAACCCAAAGUCAACACGUACUCUUAUCGGACACCGUAUCCUCCUGCAUAUGACUUAAUUCCACUUCCAAAUCGGUACAAGGUACCAGAUUUCACCAAGUUUUCUGGACAGGAUGAUACAUCGACUAUGGAGCAUGUUAACAGGUUCAUCAUCCAGUGUGGAGAAGCUGCUAACAGAGAUGAGUUAAGGGUUCGCUUGUUCUCAUCGUCUUUGUCUGGGUCGGCCUUUACUUGGUUUAUUUCAUUACCUCCUAAUUCAGUGAUCACUUGGGCCGAUCUAGAGAAACAAUUCCAUAAAUACAUCUUUUCUAGAGUUCAUGAGAAGAAGAUUGCCGAUUUAGUUAGGUUGAAGCAAUGCAAUGAUGAAUCGUUUGAAAGUAUUGUGCAAAGGUUGCGAGAAGUCAAGAAUAAGUGCUAUAGUCUGGUUCUGGACGAUUGGCAGAUAGCUGAUUUGGCUUUCUAGGGAUUGUUGCCACAUAUCAGAGACAAGUAUGCUUCUCAAGAGUUUGAGAGUCUAAGUCAUUUGGUGCAGAGGAUUUCUGACCAAGAUAUUAAACCUUUUGAACCGAAGAGAGCAUGGAAUAAAAAUGUGUCAUUUGUCGAUGAGGCAGCAAGCUCAGACUCUGACGAAGAACCAGUCAUCGGCAUCGCAGAGUGGGUAAAAAAAUAAGAAGCCGAUGUCUUGCCCUUUUGGGCAUAAAGAGCCAGAGAAGUUUGCAUUUGAUAUCACCAAAGCCGAUAGGAUAUUUGACUUUCUACUUCAGGAAGGGCAAAUCAAAUUGUCACCCAAUCAUGUAAUUCCAUCGGCAGAAGAAUUAAAGAAGAUGAAAUACUGCAAGUGGCACAAUGCAACAUCUCACAGCACAAAUGAGUGCAAGGUUUUUAGGCAACAGCUGCAAUCGGCUAUAGAAUCUAGGAGAAUUAAGUUUGAUAAUUCCAAAGCUCAGAAGCCGAUGAAGAUCGAUCAACAUCCUUUCCCAACAAAUAUGUUGGAUGCUAAGGGAAAAACCAAGGUGUUGACGUCAGAGGCAGUAGAAAGAAGUGCAUCGGUGGAUCCUCGACAUCAGAUUACUGUCGAUGACGCUAAAGGAAAGGGUCUAAUUCAAGAAGGAAUCAGCUCAGGGAGGCCUCCCCAAUCUGGUAUUGUGAUUACUCAUAGAAGGCAUCGGGAGACCUGGCAACAGCGUGAGGAUCGGUAUCGACGCCAAUAGGAGGAUCAUCGUCGGGAAGAAGAAAGACGCCGACAAGAGUGGAAUUGGCAUAAAGAUCAUUGGAACUACCCAUUCUUUAUCCAUUGUUGGGAGCAAAACAUUAAACAGCCCACUGUUAGAGACUGCCCUGAGUGCAAUGGUUAUGAUCGGUAUGAUAGACCUAAUCGGCAGUAUCAGAACGAUGAUCGGCGAUUUAAUGGGCCGAUUAGGGGGAGAGCUUCAGUUCAUGAUCGGCUGGGGGGCAGACUCAAUGUGAAUGACAGGCUUGGUGACCGUGUCGGGUAUUUUCCUAGAAAUCGAGAGGAGCUUGAAGAGAUGGCGGAUGCGUGAGUUCCCGAUGAGUUCAUAUUUUGCAGGGAUGCUAAUACUUAUCGAGUGGAGUCAAGAGAAAAUCGUCGCCAAUCGGUAAGGCAGCUGCAACUUCCUCCAUGGUGUCCAGAGGGACUAACUAGGACACAGAAAAGAAGGCUGCAGCGUGAAGGACAAGAAGAGCUGAGCAAAGGAGAGAAUUCUGGUAAGUCAAAAGGUCAGCAGCAGCCAGAUCCUAAAGGAAAAGGGCCAUCGGUAGAUGUUAAUAUGGUAUUUAUGUUGCCGAUGGAGUUCCGCCGCGCCGUCCAGUGAUGAUGAGGAGGUGGAUUUUUCCGACCAGAUAGCUCAGUUGGCUCUAGAUCCAAUGACGGGUAUCUUUGAAAAGCCUGCCGACAAUGAAAGACAGCAUCUUAAAGCUCUGUUUGUCAAAGGAAGGGUUGUUGGACAGCCAAUGACCAAGAUACUUGUUGAUGGUGGGGCUGCUAUCAAUAUUAUGCCGUAUGUAGUCUAUCGGAAGAUUGGGAAAGGAGAUCAAGACUUGACCAAGACCGUUAUGAUGCUGAUGGACUUUGAAGGGAAUGUGUCUCCGGUUAAGGGAGCAAUAUGUGUCGAGUUGACCAUCGGUAGCAAAACCUUGCCGACAACUUUCUUCGUUAUUAGUGGAAAGGGUGCUUAUAACCUACUAUUGGGGAGAGAUUGGAUUCAUGCCAAUUGUUGCAUCCUGUCUACAGUGCACCAGUGUUUGGUUCAGUGGGUAGGCGACAAGAUUGAGAUUGUCCCAGGAGAUUCUUCAUAUGUUAUAGCAUCGGCAGGGGCAGAUACCUAUGAAAGGACCAGAUGCAUUUCAUGGGAGAUUUGGGAAAAGGGUUUUCUCAAGGUUGUCGAUUAUGAAAUUGCACCGAUCCAAGCAGUCGGUUCUGACGAAGAGUUUUAAUGGAUAGGUUCGCCGAUGAUGGAAAAUUAGGCCAGGGGUUUACAUCGGCCGAUGAUUUAAUAGAGGUAGAUAUAGGUAAUGGUGAUAGGCCUAGGCCUACUUUUAUUAGUGCUAAGUUAGAUUCUGAGUGUAAGCAAAGUUAACUGAUUUGUUCAAGGAAUAUAAAGAUUGCUUUGCUUGGGAUUAUACUGAGAUACCUGGUUUGGACCGAUCUAUUGUUGAACAUCAGUUGCCUAUCAAAUAUUGAUUUCGGCCACAUCAGCAGCCAGCUCGCCAAUGUAAUCCUAAUAUUCUUCUUGAUAUUAUGGCCGAAAUAACUAAACUUAUCGAAGCUAAAUUUAUUCGGCUGUGUCGGUAUGCCGAGUGGAUUUCCAAUGUCGUUCCAGUUUACAAGAAAAAUGGGAAGCUUCGAGAUUGCAUUGAUUUCAGGAAUCUUAACAAGGCUACGCUGAUGGAUGGUUACUCAAUGCCAGUUGCCGAUUUGCUAGUUGACGCUGCGGCUGGACAUCGGAUUAUUAGUUUUGUGGACAGCAAUGUAGGAUAUAAUCAGAUAUUCAUGGCUGUUGGUGCAAAAGCUGAUCUGCAAACACAAAGGGCUAAUACCCGAUUCAAACGUUAAGGCGUGCCAGCCGAUUUGACCUUACUAUCGCCAAGGGUGGUAACUUGAACACUUUGGUCCCAACAACAGCGAUGCGCCCGGAUGUCACGACCAAGAGGUAUUCACGCGGAACUUGAGAACACGCCGAGCUUAAGUCGACGAAUUCCUAAGAACUCGUAAUGAAAAGGAAAAAAGUAUGACGAAGUUGUCGAAAAAGUAGAUGCUGGAAUAUGAGAAAAAACGUGUGUUUGAUUGAUUGAUAGAUGUCCUCAUUACAAAGCCCUAGGGUCUACAAUUAUACCCUGCUCAAAGAGCUACAACCAGACACGACUAGAAUUCGAAUUCCAAACUUAAACAGAAUCCGUGUACAACACGAUCUAAAUAACUAAGGAAAAGGUAAAACUGUCCUCACGGGACAAACCAGAACAUCCCCACCAGCCAAUCGGCAGCUUCCAGACUCUCCCUUUGUAGCAUCGGCAGACCUCCUUGUCGUAGCCAUCGGCACAGACACAUCAUCACCUACGGACUUAGUCACGCUCAACAGCCCCUCCAUCGGCAACCAUCCUCCAUCGGCAACUCACCCUGCAGAUCAAGCAACACCAUCUCAUCUUGCCGAUCCACACUUUACCGAUCAUGGACACGUGCCCAAAAACGGUGUCAACACAUGCCGCCCAAUUUCGGAGUAUGAAAUCAUUAAUGCUCCGAAAUUCUUUGCAGUAAUGAUGCCCUUUUUCCACAAUUAAUGCUCCUAAUCUGGUAACCGACAGCCUCAAUCUGAACAACUUUGAUCCUAUUCUUCUGCAGACUCCUCGAAAUCCUCAACUUCCCUAAACGGACAUUUCCCCUUUAGUUGUACAUCGGCAAUAUGACCGUUACAAAGACUUGCUGAUGGACGACCAUAUCUUAUCCUUCCAAACGUCUAUCUCCACAUCACUCUCCUAUCGGCAAUAUGACCGUUACCAGAUGCUGCCGAUGGACCGACCAGGAGAUCCCUCAUAGUAAAAUAUCUCUGGAUAAUGACCGCUUCCUGUCAAAUCACCUGCACAAUCCCUUGAUUACCGUGCGAACAGUUACCAUAUCUACCUGAGGUCCCUCGGAUUUCACGGAUGCGGCAAAGAGAUAAGUCAGAUUUGCCCUUGCCCGUUUUGUCCUAUAAAUAGUUCCUUCUCGGGUACUCCUCCAUCACAUCAUUCCACAACUCCAACUUCACUUUCCCGGCGGCGGCGCUGUCCAAAAGCUCCAAAAUCCUCGACGAAGCCCCUUCUUCACCAACUCCGAAGCUCUCAAACAUCUCCUCCAUGGUAAAAUGGCCGUCAACUUCAUCGUUCCUGAGGUCAGUCCUUCGCGCCAUCUCUUGUACUUUUUCUCGCACCCCUGUUCAUCCGCAAUCCAUCUUACUGAACAUUUUCUCUCCCUUUUUUUUCUUUGUGUUUUCCAUUUCCAUCUCCAAAACCACUAGGAAUCGGCUAACAAAAUUGUCAUCCCCACUGAUCAACCACACCUCCAAUGCCUUGGCCCGCUAGGGGAUCCAGAUCCAACCAGGUACCUCAUAAACGCAGAAACCAACAGGAUCCCUUUUAGAGCAGAGAAUUUUUCUUUGGAUCUAUGGAAGGAUACUUUUCGUUCCUGGCCUAGCCCUAGCGUGGGGUGGAAGGAUUGGUUCUUGAGGGUCAGCAACUCCAACGAAGUCCAGUGGGGCGGGAGAAAGCUAGACCAAUGCAUUAGGUUGUCCAUUGCCGAUAUGCAUAAGAAUGAAUCACUGUUGAUAGCUGCAUCUUAUUUCUGGUCAGACACCCUCAAUGCCUUUGUCUUUGGCCAUGGCCCUGCUUCCCCUACACUUGCUGAUGUAUCUAUGCUCACUGGCCUGGACGUUUCUUCUGCCGAUAGCACCCACUUUUUCGAUACCAAACCCAGUGCUAAGGUAGAAACCCGCACUAUCGGCGGCUUGUCGGGGUAUAUCCAAAAAUACCGCAAAACAGGCCCUAUUGACAUAAAAGAGCAGACCUGCUUCCUGAACAUGUGGCUAGACAAAUUCGUGUUUUGUGGCCGAUUGGUAGGACCAACUUCUGUUUAUCUAGCAGCAGCAGAAAAUCUGGCCAAUGGUGGCCGAUUUCCCCUCGGCCGAUACCUGCUUGGAGCAGCCUAUCACCUCCUCCACCAAGUAACUAGGAAGCUCUUGCUUGGCUAGUCCAUCGGUAAUCUGGGAGGUCCCUGGUGGUUCAUUAACAUGUGGCUCAGCCUCCACAUGCACAAACGUCUGGAGUUCAAUCUUUUCGCACAGCGCUUUCCAAGGGACAUAGUAGAAAACCAUGUGCUGGGUGAAGAACAAUCAGCAACACGACCUCCCUUGAACUUCGGUGAAGCUGUCAUAGUUCUGCCUGGCACAGGGGUUAAUCCAGAUCAGAUUAACCAAUUCUUCCAAACCUUGUACGAAGGUUUGGCCAGAGAUGAGCGAGCAUGGUUAGCUUAUGAUGACCCAGACGCAGUGUUUCCUCUGGUUUUCAACCCGUUUGACGAGGCUCUUGAUAAGGACAAUGAAGUGAUGAUGGCAUUGGUGACUCCUAGAGCCAUACCAGUGAACUUCUUUGGCAGUGGAAAAACCUCCCCCUAGACUUAUGAAUUCUACAAUCCAUCGGCACUAGCCCGUCAGUUAGCUUUCGGCCAGCUGCCGAUUGCACUCUGUUAUGCCGAUGUGAUAAAGCCCAGGGAAACCAUCACCAGCCUCCUUGAACGGAUUCGAGUAGCCCAGCUGCCAUCAAGUGCCGAUACAGAUGUAGACCUAUCAGAGUGGGUCCCAGCCGCCUUUCUCACUCAGGCAUAUAAGCAGUGGUGGGCAGAAUGGAAAGAGCACCUUUCUGCAAAUCGGCUCUUUCGUACCGCGGCAUGAUCGAUCCUGAGUACGAAGUUCCCACUGACACCGUAAGUAUCUUUAAACCGAUGUUUCAAUUUUUUUUCAUCGGUAAUUGACUCUUUGUGUGACUUUUCAGGUCGAUUACACUCCACCAUGGGUCAGCAGAAGUGGCAAGCUGAUUGAUCUGUUUGCAUCAGGUCCAAUCUCUUCAAUCGGCCACAACGCUCCCACUCUGGCCACCAUCGUGCAUCGAGGCAUACACCUCAAGAAAGUUACCACCAGGAGAACUCAGACACCACCAUCGGUAGCCGCUUCCACUCUAGCACAGGCUUUUAAGGUAACUGUUAGACCUCUUCAUUCAUACCGAUCUUAUUUUUACAUCGGCUGUAUUGGUACCCACAAAUUCUUUUUCUGUAACAGCAAACCAGUGCAUCGGCAGGAACCAAGAGUCAAGGUGCCGAUGCCCCCCAGUCCAGCCAGCAAAAGAGAAAGGGUGCCAAGAGUACCAGGGCACAAACAAAGCGCCAAAAAGUGGCGAGUCCUACUCCUCCUCCGGUAUCUCCCAUUCUGGUGGAAUCUUCUCCUUCUCCCCCAGACGUAGAGACUCCGCAAGUACCAUCUCCUCCUCAACCGCAAGAAGCACCAGAAGCAGACGAACCGCAGCAAGAAGAACCCCAAGUAGAAGCUCCCCAGCCAGCAGACACAUCAGCCGAUGUAGGCGAGCAAACUACCGAUCCGGCAGGUUCAAUUAUGUCAUCGGUAGUUUCCUCAAUCCAGACAAGCAUCGUCCCUCCUCAAGGUAACACAUUUUUUAUAACAUUACUGCCGAUGAACUUAUUCUUUUUCAGUCUCAUAACCUCUUCGGUCAAUUUUCAGCUGACGUCGUCCCAUCGGCAAUCGUGGCCGAUCCAUCUGCGGCUCCAUCGGCAUCUUCCAGUCGAAGGCGAGAAAUUGCCUUGAAGCAAGUAAGCCAUCCGAUCUCCAUCAAUAUUAUUUGCCGAUGUUUUGACUAUAGAACGACUCACUUUGUUUUUCUUUUUAGGAACAGGAUUCUCCCGACAGCCUAUUUUCCUUUGCCAUUGAUAUCUCCGAAGAUGAAGGUGAGGAAGCAAGUUCCUCCCGAGCAGUCGGGAUCGUAUCGGUAGAGAUCAGGGCCAAGUUAGAAGAACUAUCAGCUCUCCUCCAUCAGGAUACAGCACAACUGGUCGAUGACUCUGACCCAGCCAAGGCUCUGUUCAAGACGCUCAGAAGCCAGAUUCCUGCCGAUGCCGAGGAAGUCCUUUUCUAGGCCACACAUCUGGAAAGUCGUCAGCUGCAGUACCAGAGGGCCGCCCGGCGUCUUGCCGAUAGAGCCGCUCAGACCCGACACUCUGAGGAGAUGAUAAAAGAGAAGCUCCUAACUGAUGAGAAGCACAAGAACAUCGGUGCUUUGAAGUCUUUAUGAAACGCAUUGAAGCAAAAAAUGUCCGACCUAUCGGCAAAACGGGAAGCCCUGUUGGCGGAGCUCAAGCAGGUGGAGGAUGCCUUAUCCCAGGCCCAACAGGAAGAAAGCCAACUGCCAGAGACCAUCAAGCUCCUUGAACAAGAACGAAACGCCCAUGGUCGCAAAGCUUUGCAGUUGAAGAAGAGGCUAAAGCCGAUAGAAGGUUCUGCCGAUGACGAUGUCAGAGAGAUAGAAGCAGCCAACCAAAUCCGACUGAGUGCCAUAUCGGCGAUCCAGGCGCUGCUAAGCACAUGAGCUCUUCAUCGGCAACACACUUGCUCCUUCCUACUCUUCAGCUUUCUUGAUGUUUAGUCCAGCCGAUAGGACUGUUAUCGGCAACUUUUGAAACAUUAAAUCCGACCCCAGAUACAUUUUAAUCCAGCCGAUAGGAGUGUUAUCGGCAUUUAAAUCUUUAUGCAUCGACCCAUAUGCUGGGGUAGUACUUCUUUAAAUAUUUGCCAUUCAAUGCUCUGGAAAAUUCAACUCCUUCGAGAGUUUCUAAAAUGUAGGCGUUACCAGGAGCCGAUCGUCUUAUCCGAUAGGGACCCUCCCAAUUAGGAGACCAUUUUCCAAAUUUUAAACUUUUAGUCCCGAUCGGUAAGAUUAAUUUCCAUACUAAGUCUCCAUCGGCAAAUCCUUUGCCUUUACCUUCUUAUCGUACCAUAUGGCAACCCUUUUCUUAUUCUCUUCUAUACUCAUCAAAGCCCUUAGCCGAUGUCCUGCUAGAUCAUCUAACACGUCUGUCAUCAAAGUAGCAUAAUCAUCGGCAGCCAACUGAUCUUGAAAAGAUAAUCGCCUAGAUCCAGCCUUAUUUUCCCAAGGCAACACUGCAUCAUGUCCAUACACCAACUGAUAAGGUGCAACCUUAGUUGAUCCAUGACAAGCCAUCCGAUAGGACCACAAGGCUUCAUUUAACAAUGUGUGCCACCUUCUAGGAUUUUCUUCAAUCUUCCGUUUAAUAAGCUUAAUAAUUCCUUUGUUAGACUCUUCGGCCUGCCCAUUAGCUUGAGCAUAGUAAGGAGAGGAAUUCAACACUUUAAUCCCCAUACCGAUUGCGAAUUCAUCAAACUCCCCUAAUGUGAACAUAGUGCCUUGAUCGGUAGUAAUUGUUUGAGGAAUCCCAAAUCGGUAAAUAAUGUGCUCCUUCACAAAAUCAAUCAUAUUGGCCGAUGUUACCUUCUUCAAAGGAAUAGCUUCAACCCAUUUAGUGAAAUAAUCGGUGGCAACUAGAAUAAACUUAUGCCCUUUGCUAGAUGGUGGAUAAAUUUGGCCGAUCAAAUCAAUAGCCCAUCCCCGGAACGGCCAAGGUUUGAUAAUAGGAUUCAUGGCCGAUGCGGGUGCUCUUUGAAUAUUGCCAAACUUUUGACACCCUUGACAUCCUUUGAAAUAUUUGAAGCAAUCUUCACGUAUGGUCGGCCAGUAAUAUCCAUUCUUCCUAAUCAUCCACUUCAUCUUGAAAGCCGACUGAUGUGCUCCACAUACCCCUUCAUGGAUUUCUCCCAUCAAACUUCUAGCUUCAUCAUCACCCAAGCAUCGAAGAAGAAUUCCAUCAAUAGUUCGGUAGUACAAUUCAUCUUCGAGGAGCACAUACUUGGUGGCUUGAAACCGAACCCGUCUUUCAACUUUCUUGGACGGAUCUCUCAACUAAUCAAUGAUUUCUUUUCUCCAAUCAUCGGCACCAAUUGCCGAUAUUGCAUCAAUCAUAGGCUGAUAUCCCGAGGCAUACUGAGCCAAUUGAUUGGCCUCUUCAUUAUGCAAUCGAGGAACAUACUCUAACCGGAAAUCCCUGAAUUCCUUUAAUAAUUGUAUGCUCCGCUCGUAAUAAGUUAUGAGAACUUCACUUCGGCAUUCGUAGCAUCCAGCCAAUUGAUUUAUAACUAGCAUAGAAUCCCCGAAGACUUCAACAGCAUCAGGAUGAACUUCCCUCAAUAAUUCUAAUCCCUUUAUCAAAGCCUGAUACUCAGCCUGAUUAUUUGUCGACGUGGCAACAAUCGGCAAGGAGAACUCAUACUUCCUUCCCUGAGGGGAGAUCAAUACUAUGCUGAUUCCUGCUCCCCGGUCACAUGUAGAUCCAUCAAAGAAAAGCGUCCAAGGUGCGAUUUCCAAAGCUUCCACUCUGCCGCAAUGUUGAGUUACAAAAUAAGCCAUAAUCUACCCUUUAACUGCCUUAGCCGAUUCAUAACGCAGAUCGAACUCCGACAGCGCCAAAAUCCAUUUACCGAUCCUGCCACUCAUAAUCGGCAUGGAUAACAUGUACCGGACCACAUCAUCUUUGCAAAUAACGGUGCAUUCGGCCGAUAACAAGUAGUGCCUUAACUUGAUACAAGAGAAAUAUAGGCACAAGCACAGUUUCUCAAUAGCCGAAUACCUGGUCUCAGCAUCAAUCAACCUCCUGCUUAAAUAAUAAAUUACACGCUCCUUCCCUUCAAACUCCUGAAUUAAAGCCGAACCGAUGACCGUCCCAUCGGUAGACAAAUACAAUCUGAAGGGCUUCCCUUGCUGAGGUGGAAUUAGAACUGGAGGAUUUAUUAAAUACUUCUUGAUUUCAUCCAGAGCCAACUGUUGUUCCUUCCCCCAAACAAACUCUUGAUCGGCCUUUACCUUAAGAAGAGGGCUGAAAGCACGAAUUUUACCAGACAAGUUAGAUAUAAACCUUCUGAUAAAAUUUACCUUGCCGAUCAAGGAUUGGAGCUCGGUCUUGUUGGUAGGGGCUACUAUCUUAUUGAUGGCAUCAAUAGAUCUUCCACUGAUUUCAAUUCCCCUAUGGUGCACCAUGAAACCAAGAAAUUGCCCUGCUGAUACACCAAAUGCACACUUAUUGGGAUUCAUUUUCAAACCAUGCUUCCUUGUGCAUUCCAACACCUUUCGUAAAUCAGCAAGAUGCUUUGCGAAGUCUUCAGACUUAACCACCACAUCAUCAAUAUAAAUCUCCACCAGUUUGCCGAUGAACUCAUGAAAUAUAAAAUUCAUGGCCCUUUGAUAAGUAGCACCAGCAUUCUUUAAGCCAAAGGUCAUGACUAUCCAUUCAAAUAAUCCAACAUGACCAGGGCACCUGAACGCGGUUUUUGGAAUAUCUUCUUCAGCCAUGAAUAUUUGAUUGUAUCCUGCAUUGCCCUCCAUAAAGCUAAUAAUUCGAUGCCCAGCCGCAGCGUCAACCAACAGAUCGGCAACUGGCAUUGGGUACCCAUCCAUCGGCGUAGCUUUAUUGAGAUUCCUGAAAUCAAUGCAGACCCAAAGCUUCCCGUUCUUCUUGUAGACCGGAACAACAUUGGAAAUCCAUUCGGCAUACCGACACUGCCGAAUAAACUUGGCUUCAAUAAGUUUGGUUAUCUCGGCCUUGAUGUCAGGAAGAAUAUUAGGAUUACAUCAGCGAGCUGGCUGCUGAUGUGGCUGAAAUCCAGAUUCGAUAGGCAACCGAUGUUCAACAAUCGAUCGGUCCAAACCAGGCAUCUCAGUAUAAUCCCAAGCAAAGCAAUCUUUAUAUUCCUUUAACAAAUCGGUUAACUGUUGCUUACACUCAGAAUCUAACUUAGCACUAAUAAAAGUGGGUCUAGGCUUAUCACCACUACCUAUAUCUACCUCUACUAGAUCAUCGGCCGAUGUGAAUCCCUGGCCUAAUUUUCCAUCAUCGGCGAACCUAUCCAUUAAAAACCAUCCUCAGAACCGACUGCUUGGAUCGGUGGAAUUUCAUAAUCGGCAACCCUGAGAAAAUCCUUUUCCCAAACCUCCCCUGAAAUACACCUAGUUCUUUCAUAGGUAUCUGCCUCUGCUGAUGCGACGACGUAAGAGGAAUCUCCUGGGACAAUUUCAAUUUUGUCACCUACCCACUGAACCAAGCAUUGGUGCAUUGUAGACGGGAUGCAAUAAUUAGCAUGAAUCCAAUCACUUCCCAACAGCAGGUUGUAAGCACCCUUUCCACUGAUCACGAAGAAGGUUGUCGGCAAGGUCUUACUGCCGAUGGUCAACUCUACACAUAUUGCCCCCUUGACUGGAGACACGUUCCCUUCAAAAUCUUUAAGCAUCAUAUCGGUCUUGGUUAAAUCCUGAUCCCCUUUCCCAAGCUUCCGAUACACUGCAUAUGGCAUGAUGUUAAUAGCAGCCCCACCAUCAACUAGAAUCUUGGUCAUCGGCUGCCCAUCAACCCUUCCUUUGACAAACAAGGCCUUGAGAUGUUGCCUUUCAUCAUCGGCAGGCUUCUCGAAGAUAGCUGUCAUCGGAUCCAGAGCCAAUUGAGCUAUUUUGUCAGAAAAUUCUAGCUCAUCAACACUGGAUGGGGCAAGAAACUCCAUCGGCAACAUAAAGACCAUGUUGACAUCUGUCGAUGGACCUUCCCCCUUGGGAUCUGAUUGCUGCUGAUCCCAGACUGACCAGAGUUCUCGCCCUUGCUUAGCCCUUCUCGCCUUUCGCGCUGCAACCUCCUUUUCUGUGUCCUGGUCAACCCCUCUGGACACCAUGGAGGAAGUGGUUUCUGCCUUGCUGCUGGGCGAUGAUUUCCCUUGACUCCACCCGAUGUGUAUUGGCAUCCCUGCAAAAUAUGAAUUCGUCGGGAACUCAUGCAUUAGCCAUCUCCUCGAGCUCUUCCUGGUUCAUGGGGAAAUAUUAGACACGAUCACCAAGCCUGUCGUGCACGCUAAGCCUGCCCCCCAGCCGAUCGUGAACGGAUGCUCUUCCUCUAAUCGGCCCAUUAGAUCGCCGAUUGUCGUCGUGAUAGCGCCGAUCGGUUCUAUCAUACCGAUCAUAACCAUUACACUCAGGGCAAUCUCUGACAGUGGGAAGCUUAAUAUUCUCCUCCCAACAAUGGAUGAAGAACAGGCAAUUCCAAUGAUCCCUGUGCCGAUUCCAUUCUUGCCAGUGUCUUUCUUCUUCUCGACGAUAAUCCUCUUGCUGGCGCCGGUACCGAUCUUCAAGUUGUUGCCAAUUCUCCCGAGGCCUUCUAUGGGUUAUAACAAUACCGGAUCGGGGAGGCCUUCCUGAGCUGGUUCCUUCCUGGACCAACCCCCUUCCUCUUGCAUCGGCAGUAGUGACCUGAUGCUGAGGAUCUACCGAUGCACUCCUUUCGGCCGCUUCCGAUGUUAAGACUUAGCCUUCCCCUUGGCAUCCAACAUUUUCGUUGGGAAAGGAUGUUGAUCGAUCUUCAUCGGCUUCUGGGUCCUAGAACUGUCAAACUUGAUUCUCCCAAACUCUAUAGCCGAUUGCAGUUGCUGUCUGAAAACUUUGCACUCAUUGGUGUCGUGCGAAGUUGCGUUGUGCCAUUUGCAGUAUUUCAUCCUCUUUAACUCCUCAGCCGAUGGGAUCACGUGAUUAGGAGACAGCUUGAUCUGACCUUCCUGAAGUAGAAAGUCAAAUAUCCUAUCAGCCUUAGCGGUGUCAAAUGCGAACUUCUCUGGUUCCUUCUGCCCGAAAGGGCAAGACAUUGUCUUCUUAUUCUUUACCCACUCUGCUAAGCCGAUGACUGGUUCCUCAUCAGAAUCUGAGCUUGUUGCUUCAUCAACGAAAGAUACCUUUUUGUUCCAUGCUCUCUUGGGCUCAAAAGGCUUGAUAUCUUGAUCAGAAAUUCUCUGCACCAAAUGACUUAAGCUUUCAAACUCCUGAGAAGCAUACUUGUCCCUGAUGUGGGGCAACAAACCCUGGAAAGCCAAAUCGGCUAGCUGCUGAUUGUCCAGAACCAAGCUAUAGCAUUUGUUCUUGACUUCCCGUAUCCUCUGCACGAAACCUUCAACCGAUUCAUCACUGCGUUGCCUUAACUUGACCAAAUCGGUGAUCUUUUUCUCAUGGACCCCAGAAAAGAAGUAUUUGUGGAAUUGUUUCUCUAAAUCGGCCCAAGUAAUCACUGAGUUGGGAGGCAACGAUAUAAACCAAGUGAAAACCGAUCCAGAUAAUGAUGACGAGAAUAAGCCGACCCUCAACUCGUCCCUAUUACCAGCUUCUCCGCAUUGAAUAAUGAACCUGUUGACGUGCUCUAUGGUCGACGUGUCAUCCUGCCCAGAAAACUUGGUAAAGCCCGGUACCUUGUACCGAUGUGGAAGCGGGAUCAAAUCAUAUGCGAGAGGAUACGGUGUCCGAUAAGAGUAAGUAUUGACUUUGGGUUUUAUCCCGAAUUGGUCUCUCAUUACUUCAGCAAUCUUAUCGGCCCAAUAAGCAUCGGCAUCUUGCCGAUGAGGUGGUUGCGGAUCCGGCACCUGCUGGUAAGCUUCCACGUGUCCGUGUGGCGCACAAUCUGCAUGAAACAUUGGAUUGAUCAUCCGGCCUCCAAUCUGUGGACCACCAAGCUGUUGCCCGCCAAUUUGCUGUCCGCUGAUCUGCUGCCCAAGAUUCAUUGGCUGGAUGGGGAUCCCCUGAUUCUGGAACCCGGGAUAGAUCUGUCCUUGUUGGAACCUCAUAGCCUGACGAUUCGGUUGGGGCGUUUGCGGAAAGACUUGCUGCCCAAGCCAUCCACUAUUAGUAUUCAUCGGCAUAGGCCCUGCCAAUGACUGUUAAUUGGGCAUCAUCAUUGAAUUGACAUACCCUGAUUGAGCCAUAGACCUCUGUUGCAUCAGCAUUGAGUCUGCCGAUGCGUUAGGUAUCUGGAACAUUGGAGCUUGAGAAUUCCUAGUGUAAGGUCUCGCAGUAGUAGUUGUAGUAUACUGGGGACUCUGGUUCAUCGGCAUAUUGGGAGGUGCCGAUGCCAUAGGAGUCUUGCCUCUCAUAUCAGUCGUCUGCGAUGUACCCGGCGUUAGCUCUGGAGGCAUAUCAUAACCCCACCAGUUAGGAGGAAGAGUCAAUCCUGACAUUGCCGACGCCAACAGAUCUGUAGCGAGUUUAACCUGCCCAUCUGAAGUUGACGGAUUAGUUGUCAUCGGCGUAGAUUGUGCAUUCGUGACUCCCAACGUACUUGGAGGAACGGUAGUUUGUGAACCUGCAGCGGCCGUAGCAGCCGAUGGAGCUGUGACCACCGGUGACUUCGGUUGGUGAUAAGUGGGCCCACAUAAUCCGGUGGCAACUGUCCUUCCUUGAAAGUUCUUGCCACGGCAUUGAAAACCGCAUUAGACAACACCCCAGCUUGGUUGAUCAAAGCACGGUUGAUAGCGCUGUCUACCAUCUCUUGAAGCUUGCCAGGAUUGGCUUCGAAAGUAACCUGCCGCGGUGUCGGCAGUGCAUCCUUCUGGAUCACUUCGCCACUCCUGUUUAUGCUGAAGGACCUCAGGCAUUGCUGCUUGUAAUCCUCCAUGGCUUUAGCAGUAGCUUGCUUCUGCUCAUCCUUGAGGUUGGCUUCCGUCACGGGAAAGACGUUCUCUUGAUCAAACUCAGAAGUCGACAUGUCGAUCUUGAUCUUGAAUCUGUCCCACUGGGCAUGCCAAAAGAUGUGUUGGUGCAAAAGGUGAUCUGCAAACACAAAGGGCUAAUACCCGAUUCAAACGUUAAGGCGUGCCAGCCGAUUUGACCUUACUAUCGGCAAGGGUGGUAACUUGAACACUUUGGUCCCGACAACAGCGAUGCGCCCGGAUGUCACGGCCAAGAGGUAUUCACGCGGAACUUGAGAACACGCCGUGCUUAAGUCGACGAAUUCCUAAGAACUCGUAAUGAAAAGGAAAAAGUAUGACUAAGUCGUCGAAAAAGUAGAUGCUGGAAUAUGAGUAAAAACGUGUGUUUGAUUGAUUGAUAGAUGUCCUCAUUACAAAGCCCUAGGGUCUACAUUUAUACCCUACUCAAAGAGGUACAACCAGACACGACUAGAAUUCGAAUUCCAAACUUAAACAGAAUCCGUGUACAAAACGAUCUAAAUAACUAAGGAAAAGGUAAAACUGUCCUCACGGGACAAACCAGAACAUCCCCACCAGCCAAUCGGCAGCUUCCAGACUCUCCCUUCGUAGCAUCGGCAGACCUCCUUGUCGUAGCCAUCGGCAUAGACACAUCAUCACCUACGGACUUAGUCACGCUCAACAGCCCCUCCAUCGGCAACCAUCCUCCAUCGGCAACUCACCCUGCAGAUCAAGCAACACCAUCUCAUCUUGCCGAUCCACACUUUACCGAUCAUGGACACGUGCCCAAAAACGGUGUCAACAAUGGCUGAAGAGGAUAUUCCAAAGACCAUAUUUAGAUGUCCUGGUCAUGUUGGGUUGUUUGAAUGGAUAGUCCUGACCUUUGGCUUAAAAAUGCUGGUGCUACUUAUCAGAGGGCUAUGAAAUUUAUCUUUCAUGAAUUCAUCGGCAAGCUGGUAGAAAUUUACAUUGAUGAUGUGGUGGUUAAGUCUGGGGAUUUCACAAAGCAUCUUGCCGAUCUGCGAAAGGUGUUGGAGUGCACAAGGACACAUGGUUUAAAGAUGAAUCCUAACAAGUGUGCAUUUGGUGUAUCGGCAGGGCAAUUUCUUGGUUUCAUGGUACAUCAGAGAGGAAUUGAAAUUAGCAGGAGAUCUAUUGAUGCCAUCAACAAGAUAGUUGCUCCUACCAAUAAAACUGAACUCUAGUCUUUGAUCGGCAAGGUAAAUUUUAUUAGGCAGUUUAUAUCUAAUUUGUCUGGUAAAAUUUGUGCUUUUAGUCCUUUACUUAAAUUGAAAGCCGAUCAAGAGUUUGUAUGGGGAAAAGAGCAACAAUCAGCCUUGGAUGAAAUCAAGAAUUAUUUAACGAAUCUUCCAGUUUUGAUUCCACCUCAGCAAGGAAAGCCUUUCAGAUUAUAUUUGUCUACCGAUGGGAUGGUCAUCGGUUCGGCUUUGAUUCAAGAAUUUGAAGGGAAGGAACGUGUGAUUUAUUAUUUAAGUAGAAGACUGAUUGAUGCUGAGACUAGGUAUUCGGCAAUAGAAAAAUUCUGUUUAUGCCUAUAUUUUUCAUGCAUUAAGUUGAGGCACUAUUUGUUAUCAGCCAAAUGCAUUGUUAUAUGCAAAGAUGAUGUAGUCCGAUACAUGCUAUCUAUGCCGAUUAUGAGUGGUAGAAUCGGUAAAUGGAUUUUGGCGUUGUCGGAGUUUGAUCUACGUUUGCUGACACCGUUUUUGGACACGUAUCUUUUGACACGUACCUGGGGAUUAGUAAAGUAUAGAUCGGCAGAUGAAGCAACGGUAACUAGUCUGCAGGAAAGUUGCCGAUGAAGGUGGUUGCCGAUGAGGAGACAAUUGAAUCUGAUUAAGUCCAGAGGUGGUGACAUGUUCGUGCCGAUGAUCAGUGUUAGUGUUUGCCGAUAGCCACAACAGGAGGUCUGCCAGUGACUCUGAAGGAAAGUGUGGAGAUUGCCGAUUGAUCUGUGUCGGUGCCCUGGUCGGUUACAAGGGGAUAGUUUUAUGUUUUCCUUAGUUAUUAGAAUUCAUUUUGUGUACGGGUCCGUUAAUUUGGAAUUCGAGUCCUAGUCGUGUCUGGUUGUAGCUCUUCAGACAGGGUAUGAAUAUAGACCAUAGGGCAAUGUAAUGAGACAAUCUAUCAAUCAAUCAAACACAAGUUUUUACUCAUAUUCCAGCAUCUACUUUUUCGACAACUUCGUCAUAUUUUCUUUUUAUUACGAGUUCUUAGGAAUUUGUCGACUUAAGCUCAGCGUGUUCUCAAGUUCCGCGUGAUCACCUCUUGGCCAUGACAUCCGGACACAUCACUGUUGUCAGGACCAAAGUGGUCGAGUUACCACCUUUUUCAAUUGUAAGGUCAAAUCGGCUGGCACGCCUUAACGUUUAAAUCGGGUAUUAGCCCUUUGUGUUUGCAGAUCAGUUUUGCACCAACAUAUCUUUUGGCAUGCCUAGUGGGACAGAUUCAAGAUCAAGAUCAACAUGGCAAAUACCGAGUUCGACUUGGAGAACGUCAUCCCUGUGACGGAAGCCAAUCUCAGAGAUGAGCAAAAGCAAGCUAUUGUAAAAACCAUGGAGGACUACAAGCAGCAAUGUUUGAAAUCCUUCAGCAUCAACAGGAGUGGCGAGGUGAUCCAGAAGCAAGCAUUGCCGGCACCUCGGCAGAUUACUUUUGAUGCCAAUCCUGGUAAACUUCAAGACAUGGUUGACAAUGCUAUCCAACACGGUUUUCAAUGUUGUGGCUAGAGCUUUUAAGGAAGGACAAUUGCCACCAAAUUAUGUGGGCCUUGCCUAUCAUCAGCCUGAAUCACCAGUGAUCAUAGCUCCAUCGGCUACUAUGGCUGGUGCUGGCACAGAAACUACUGCCUCUCCAAGCACAUUAGGACUCACUAAUGUGCAAUCUACGCCGAUGACGACCAAUCCAUCAACUUCGGAUGAGCAAAUCAAGCAUGCCACAGAUCUAUUGGCAUCGGCAAUGUCGGGAUCGGUUCCUCCUAAUUGGUGGGGUUACGGUAUGCCCCCUGAGAUGAUGAUGAAGACUCCUAGAACAUCUCAAGUGGCUGACUUGACAGGCAAGGCUCCUUUGGCAUCGGCACCUCCAAAUCCGCCGAUGAAUCAGAGUCCUCGAUAUACUACAACUACUACUGCAAGACCUUACACUGGGAAUUCUCAGGCUCCAACGUUCCAGAUGCCUAACGCAUCGGCAGAUUCAAUGCCGAUGCAACAGAGGUUUAUGACACAGCCAGGGUAUGUCAAUUCAAUGAUGAUGCCCAAUUAUCAGUCAUCGGCAAGGCCUAUGCCGAUGGAUACUAACAAUGGAUGGACAUGACAACUAGUCUUUCCACAGAUGCCUCAGCAGAAUCAUCAGGCUGUAGGGUUUCAACAAGGACAAAUCCAACCUAGUUUUCAGAAUCAAGGGUUGGUCAACGAGCCGAUGAAUCUUGGUCAGCAGAUUGGUGGUCAGAUGGUUAACCCAAUGUUCCAUGCAGAUCGUGCACCUCAGUGACACGUGGAAGUAUAUCAGCAGGCGCCAGAUCCACAACCGCCUCAUCGGCAAGAUGCCGAUGCUUAUUGGGCUGAUAAGAUAGCUGAAGUAAUGAGAGACCAAUUUUGGAUAAAACCCAAAGUCAAUACUUACUCUUAUCGGACACUGUAUCCUCCUGCAUACGAUUUAAUUCCACUUCCAAAUCGGUACAAGGUACCAGAUUUCACUAUGUUUUCUGGGCAGGAUGAUACAUCAACUAUGGAGCAUGUCAACAGGUUCAUCAUUCAAUGUGGGGAAGCUGCUAACAGAGACGAGUUAAGGGUUCGAUUGUUCUCGUCAUCGUUGUCUGGAUCAGCGUUCACUUGGUGCAUAUCAUUACCUCCUAACUCAAUGAUUACAUGGGCCGAUCUGGAGAAGCAAUUCCACAAAUACUUCUUUUCUGGAGUUCAUGAGAAGAAGAUCACCGAUUUGGUCAGAUUGAAACAACACAAUGAUGAAUCGGUUGAAAGCUUUGUGCAGAGAUUGCGAGAAGUUAAGAACAAGUGCUAUAGUCUGGUUCUGGACGAUCGGCAGCUAGCCAAUUUGGCUUUCUAGGGUAUGUUGCCGCAUAUCAGGGACAAGUACGCUUCUCAAGAGUUUGAAAGUUUGAGCCACUUGGUGCAGAGGAUUUUUGACCAAGAUAGUAAGCCUUUUGAGCCUAAGAGAGCGUGGAAUAAAAAGGUGUCAUUUGUUGAUGAGGCAGCAAGCUCAGACUCUGAUGAAGAGCCGAUCAUCAGUUUAGCAAAAUGGGUGAAAAAUAAGAAGCCAAUGUCUUGUCCUUUUGGGCAUAAGGAGCCAGAGAAGUUCGCAUUCGACAUUACCAAGGCCGAUAGGAUAUUUGACUUUCUACUUCAGGAAGGGCAAAUCAAAUUGUCGCCUAAUCAUGUGAUUCCAUUGGCUGAAGAAUUAAAGAAGAUGAAAUACUGCAAGUGGCACAAUGCAACCUCUCACAGCACCAACGAGUGCAAGGUUUUUAGGCAACAGCUGCAGUCGGCUAUAGAAUCUGGGAGAAUCAAGUUUGAUAAUUCCAAAGCUCAGAAGCCAAUGAAGAUCGAUCAACAUCCUUUCCCAACAAAUAUGUUGGAUGCUAAGGGAAAGACCAUGGUCUUGACGUCAGAAGCAGCUGAAAGAAGUGCAUCGGUGGAUCCUCAGCAUCAGAUCACUGCUGCCGAUGCUAAAGGAAAGGGUUUGAUCCAGGAAGGAAAUAGCUCAGGAAGGCCUCCCCGAUCUGGCAUUGUGAUAACUCAUAGAAGGCAUCAGGAGACUUGGCAGCAACGCGAGGAUCGGUAUCGGCGCUAGCAGGAAGAUUAUCGUCGGGAAGAAGAAAGACGCUGACAGAAGUGGAAUCGGCACAAGGAUCAUUGGAACUGCCCGUUCUUUGUCCAUUGUUUGGAGCAGAACAUUAAGUUGCCCACUGUUAGAGAUUGCCCUGAAUGCAAUGGUUAUGAUCGGUAUGAUAGACCUAAUCGGUAGUAUCGGAGUGAUGACCGGCGAUUUAAUCGGCCGAUUAGGGGGAGAACUUCAGUUCAUGAUCGGCUGGGGGGCAGACUCAGUGUGCAUGAUAGACUUGGUGACCGUGUCGAAUAUUUUCCCAGGAACCAGGAAGAGUGUGAAGAGAUGGCAAAUGCUCGAGUUCCCGAUGAGUUCAUAUUUUGUAGGGAUGCCAAUACCUAUCGAGUGGAGUCAAGGCAAGUUCGUCAGCAAUCGGCAAGACAGCCGCAACUUCCUCCAUGGUGCCAAGAAGGGUUGACUAGGAAACAGAAAAGGAGGUUGCAGCGCAAAAGACGAGAAGAGCUAAGUAAGGGCGAGAAUUCUGGCCAAUCUGGAGAUCAGCAACAACCGGAUCCUAAGGGAAAAGGGUCAUCGGCAGAUGUUAACAUGGUAUUUAUGUUGCCGAUGGAGUUCCUUGCGCCAUCCAGUGAUGAUGAGGAGCUAGAUUUUUCUGACCAAAUAGCUCAAUUGGCUCUAGAUCCAAUGACAACCAUCUUUGAAAAGCCUGCCGAUAAUGAAAGGCAGCAUCUUAAAGCUUUGUUUGUCAAAGGAAGGGUUGAUGGGCAGCCGAUGACCAAAACACUUCUGGACGGUGGAGCUGCUAUCAAUAUUAUGCCAUAUGCAGUCUAUCAGAAGCUUGGAAAAGGAGAUCAAGAUUUGACCAAGACCGAUAUGAUGCUAAAGGACUUUGAAGGAAAUGUGUCUCCGGUUAAGGGGGCAAUAUGCGUCGAGUUGACCAUCGGCAGCAAAACCUUGCCGACAACUUUCUUCGUGAUCAGUGGAAAAGGUGCUUAUAAUUUGCUGCUAGGGAGAGAUUGGAUUCAUGCCAAUUGUUGCAUCCCGUCUACAAUGCACCAAUGCUUGGUUCAGUGGGUAGGUGACAAGAUUGAGAUUGUCCCGGGAGAUUCUUCUUAUGUCAUUGCAUCGGCAGAGGCGGACACUUAUGAAAGGACCAGGUGUAUCUUGGGAGAGAUUUGGGAGAAGGAUUUCCUCAAAGUUGCCGAUUAUGAAAUUCCACCGAUCCAAGCAGUCGGUUCUGGUGAGGUGUUUUAAUGGAUAGGUUCGCCGAUGAUGGAAAAUUAGGCCAGGGGUUUACGUCGGUUGAUGAUUUAGUAGAGGUAGAUAUAGAUAAUGGUGUGUUGGGCAUUUUAAACGCAAACAUAAAAAAUCCGCAAGCGCACGGAUACCGAUGUAGCUUUCACCCGGGACUAUUCCAGAGUAUCGAUUUUCCACAGGGAACGUGAGUCUACUAAUUAAGAAUCAAGAUCGCCCAAGGAUAACUAUAUAAUUAUUUUUGGUGGGAAGAGAGGAAGUUUCCUAAGAAUUCUCUAGUUGAUCUAAGAAUCAAGAAUUACUUCAAGAUUAUCUAUAUUGGGACAUCAGAGCACUAACCACAGAAAGAGAUGAGAAGGGGGCUAGGAAGGUCUGACUACGGUCCUACAAACACCGAUCCGAACGUGGUGGAAUACGUCGACCGUUAGGGCUGUCACUACCCUAAGGCUGCCCCAACAAUCCGCAGGAUUGCGUGCAAUUCCAGGUAAUUGCAAGACUAAACACCACGUCUAAUCUAUUAAUUACUACUCUAGCGUUAUAAAGAAUAGAGCACUUGAUGCAAGCGGAAAUCCAAUAAAUAACUUGAACGUAAAUAAAAGUAAUUAAAGAACUCAGGAAUUAUGAAUUGAAGAACCUGGAGAACGAUGAAGAACGAACCAGAUGCUGCAUGUUGACACUUCUUAACGCAACCACCGGAUAUCGGCGACGGCGCCAGAAGUGCCCUGGUAGGGUAACUCUAUUUACUAUUGGAUAAUUCCGCAAGCGCACAGAAUGUACCGCUGUAGCACUUCACCAAGGAGUAUUCCAAGGUAUCGUAAUUUAUAUUUUCCCAAGGGAAAGCGGCUAAGUGUGUUUAACAAAAAGGGGAAUGAGAUUCCUUGAGUUGUCUAGUAUCAACUAGUGAAUAAGGGUGGUAAAUAACGAAUAGGAAGGGUAGUGGUGAAUCCAAGGUCCUAUGCUAAAGGUAAAUGGUAGAGUUAGCUAGGUGGGAGGACAACGAGUGAGUAAAGGACUCCUAUGUAUCUAACUUAACUUCUGUGACUUACUUUAAUAGAUAAUUGCCUUAACUACGCUAGAGCCUUACUAACUGUGUGCGAGGGAUAGCCGAGCUGGUAAGACGCUUAGAAGGUUUUUCACCUAACCCCUUACCGAAAGCGACUAUUGGGCUUAUGGACGCCUUACCUUUUAAGAACUAGCCUGUACGUGAGGAGAACCUAAUGCCGCCCACGAUCUGUCACCUACUAGGGAGUGCGCUCCUACUUUCCGUUCAAGCCAGCGGUAAUCAAAGUUAAUCUUAAGUAUGAGCACCACGCUCACACUUAAUCCUACAACUCUAACUAGUUGCAGCUAGCUAGAGCUCCUAUACAAGAUAGGACGAUGAUGCACACACAGGAGUGGUUACAGGUCACUAACUUCACUAAGACAACUAUAUUACUAAAGUAAAUGCACAACAAGACUAAAAGACUUGCACUAAGUAAGAACUCAGUAAAGUAAAGUAAGAAUAAUAUAUUAAUAAAAGGAAAGUCUUACAAAAGUAGAAAGGUACAAGAGCUAUACCAGACUCUCCAGAAGACGACUCCGGAGACCCCGAGCUUCGCUCGACUCGACUCUAACUCCCACUCUAGACUAACUACUACUCUACUUGUAUGCUUGGAACUUGUAAUGCACUUGGCCUUGGAAUUGCACACUUGAAAUGAAGGGUGGAGGCUGCCUUUUAUAGAGGGAGAUGGAGUAGGGGUUACUCCAUCGCCACGUCAUCGAUCCGCGUGACAUCUUCUCUCCACCCUUGGAUCAAACCGACCUCACAACCGCCAUUUGAUCAACGGCAGGGGCAAAUCAACAUGUGGGACAUGUGGGGAAGGUCGGUGGGGGGCCACCGACCCUGGAACCGCCUUUGAUGUGGGGUCGGGCGACCCCACUUCUGGGCCUCUGGGCCCACCGGCAGUGUCCACAGGGGUCCCUUAUGUCGGUGGACUAGGUGGCACACCUGGGUCCCACCAAAGAGGGGUCGGGCGACCCCCUCCCUGUGGGCCCAGGGUGUCACCUGUUGUCCCCUCGAUCUCCUCUUGAUGAUUCUGAUGUUGGCUUUGUCAAAUAAUGUCUUGAAUUUGUUGUUCCUGCAUAAACAAGCUAAGAGUACAAGUGGAACUAGUUAUGGAUAAAAUAUGUUCAUGUCAUGUCAUUUCCCCUUGCAACCGAGGCAUGUUGACGGUGUUUUGUAUGUGGAUUUCUAUGGUAUAUCCACCGUCAACAAGAUCCCCCAAGCUUAACCUUUGCUCGUCCCGAGCAAACAAUCAAACUUAGCCUCGGUGGAUCAGGUAUUGUUACUAUGUUCACAUUUCAAGAGUACCAUGUGUACAACAAAGUUCUUCUCUUUGCAUGAAAAAUUUAGCUAUGUAAACUUACCCCUAUUACCUUAGUCCCUUAUGGGGCUUAUGGCUUUUCCUUUGUCUUAGGUGGUUGAGAGACAGAACAGUUUGACUUGAGCACUAACUUUCUCAUUCUUAGCAAGUUUCAUAUCAGAGGUUUUGUGAUAUUUUCAAAAGAAAGCUUAAAUGUUCCUCUUAUGGUUCUCUCAUGUCACUCAAAUGGUGUAUGAUUCCUCACCAAGGCAUAUGGUAAGAGUUGCCUUCUCUAUUUCAUCCUAUUUCUAAAAGGCUUAUGUGGAGUUCAAGGUAGGGAUGAAAGGAGAUAGCAUACUUACUUUGCAUAUAUUGCGAAGUCAAAGCUCGGAUCCUUGAAGAGAAGUGUCAUACUCCCAGAUCAAGAUGUGCAAGUGUGAUAUAUGGUGGACUAGGUUGCUCCUUUAUUUGAUAGACUCUCUAUGUAUUGAGACAUGGCUAGCUUUUUUUUUAUAUAUAUAUGAGCUUUCAUGUGCUCAAUUUUCUUUUUCUGUGGACUUGCAUAUGUCCAUCUUUUUAUUUCAUUUUGCCUAGCCUUUUGAUGUCUCAUUUACCAAAUAAUGCUUAGAGAGAUGUUCUAACAUUUAGAGUCUGGAGCAACCUAUUUAGUGGAUGCGAAAUACAUGUGGUUGCGUACUUCCAGUGUAGAAGCAGCAUAUAUAUAUGUGGUGUGUACGUGAUCUUGAUCUUAGGAGCAUGAAAAGUCUCUUAACAAGGGUCAACAAGACUUGACGACACUCAACACAAAGCAAAUAGCUUAUGUGGAAAGAUUGCAAUUAUGUAAAGUAGAUAUGGCUGUGGUAGGAAUUCAUCACCAUUGAGGAACAAUUAAGGUUUUGAUCAUUUUAAGAAUAAAUCUCUGAUAAUCAUGCAUGCUUAGAAAAAUAUUAUAGUAGCUCUUGUCUUACUAUCUCAUGUCCCACAACAACUUAGACUUAGUUCUAGCACUUGCAACCCACAAAGUUUUUAGGUUCAUGGCCGUUUAAGUGAGCUAAGUGAUCCAUACUUAGAGAAAUACUAAGUUGUAUACUAGGUACUAGAGAAACAUUAACAAGCAACUAGUCAUCAUUUCCAUGAGGGAUAUAAACAUACAUGAAGCAUAUAUGCUAAAGGGAAAUGCUAAUAAAUAUUUUUUUUUUAAGUAAGAAUGAUAAAAUGCAUGAAAAUAAAUAGGAUAGAAUACUUACCUUAGUGGGGGAGAGGAUCUCCCCCAAGCUAGAUCUUCGCUCACUGUGGUGGCGGGAAAUUCUGGUACCAUCCAGCCCAGCGUUGUGCGUCUUCCUCUCGCACACGUCGGAUAUGUUGGCCGUUUUGUAACGCCAGUUGCAAUGUUGCUUCUUGCCCAAUCUGCAAUUCGCCCAUGUCAUUAAUGAGACUGUCCAUACCUGUGGGCUAGUGACGCCUAGCCCUGUCCCUUGGGCGUGGAGUGCGUUGUGGAGGUAGACCCAUGGAGUCUGAAGCAUCCACUGACAUCGCUUCAUCGCCCUCUUCAACGUCAUGGUGCGAGGAUCCUCCUUGCUCCAUCUGGGCGGCUUGCAUCAUCCUUCUUGUCACCCUGCGUGUCCCUGCAAUAUCUGGACUUGCCACUUGGGCUAGUCUAAUGGUAAGUGUGCGGACCCCAUACAACCGGCGCCUCGCACAUGGGAGAGGAAUUUCGGUUGUAUAGCCCGGAUAAAUCAUUUUAAGUUCACCAUUUGGAUUUCUUAUGAGCAUGUUAGCAUUGAUAAAGAAGUUCUCAUCUACCACUCCUCUAACAUAGCCAAUGUCUUCAAAAUAAUGUGAUUCAAGUAAUCCAAAAGUAUCGGCUAUUCGAGUAAUAAAGGAUGUGAAAUAGAUGGGCUUCCCAUACUCAAUAGAGUUAAGCCAAUAGUUCACUAGCAGUUUCACAGGGGAGACCUUGAUUUUACUAACCAUGGCAUAGAGAAUUUUAAGUUCAUCAUCAAUUAAAGUAUCAGUUCCCAUGCCAGGAUAUAGAGUGCACAUGAUCCAGAAGUGAAGAAAGCGCAAGGUUGGAUUAUGGAUUUCAAUGGGAGUAGGAUUUGAACAAUCAUUAGAGCCAGAAAUUGCUUUCCAGAAUCUAAAUUUAUCGAACAUUCUUGUGGCAUGAUCUAGAUCAAGUUCACAUUCAUGUUCACACCCUAAAGCAGUGUUUAGCAAACUCCAAUUUAAUUGAUGUUCUUGCUCACACAUGCGAAAAGAUAUUCCAUUAUUUGUGAGUUUUAGGGUGCAUAGAAAUUCCUUAGCAAGCAAUUCUUUUCCAAAUUCAGGCACUUGCCAAAAACUACUCCAACAAAUUGCUCUAAACACCUUAUCGAAUUCAACAUCCAUACCUGUGCGGGCCAAAAGGUCCGGAUCGAUGAUGCUAGUGUGUAGGAAGAGACUUUCUCGGAUGAUGUAGUACCUUUGCAACUCUUCUUGGCUUAACAUGAGGCCGCUCUCGGGCUCUCUCAUCCUUCAUGGAGGCUCGUAGGGUACCAUCCCAUGGUAACCUUCUUCUUCCUCCCUUCCAUGAGCAUGGUGAGAGCCUUGAGAAGAGCUCUCACCCUUUGCUUUCUUGAACUUGCCGAAGAUAUGCUUCUUCAUCCUCCUACACAAGUGAGGCAAACCAAGCUCCUACUACUACUACUAUGCAAGGGGAAUCUUUUUGGGUUUUUGUUGUGAUGACUAUUUCUAAACUAAACUUGAGAAAUGGCUUGUAACAAAGAGAGAAGAGAAAGGAUUGUGAGCUCGAAAUGGUUCUGGUGGUUUUGGGUGUGGAGUUGAGCUCACAAUGCUGUGGUAUUUAUAGGGGGAGAAGGGCAAGUAGUGGACCCACAAUAUAGGGGUCGGCCGACCCCCCCUAGAAGCACUUUGAAUUUGAACUUAGCUUUAUACAGGGAACCAUUCUGCAUGCUUUCAAGAUUUUGCAGAGAUGGUCCAAAAUGGGGGUCGGCCGACCCCCAUCCUAGCCCCUCCUCCACUUUAAACAUUGUGUCAUUGAUUGUCCAGAAAAGUAAAGGCUAGGUGUGGACCAAAAGUUUUCAAAUUGUUUCUGAGAUUCCCUGUUUUGGUGCUUUGUGAAAGGUAAAAGAUGAAUGACAAAAGUGGAGACAUGUCUAAAGUGAUUCCUAUGGACCAUGGGAGCACUCAAGCAUGCCUAGGUGACCACUUUGCAGAAUUUAAGCUAGUGGAGUGGUCCCAAAAGAAUCAAAGAUGAAAGGAGCAUCUUAUGACUAAAGUAAAGGAUCAAGGGACCACUCUUUUUUCAAACUUUAGCUAGUGUUACAAGCAUAGGACUCCAUUGUGAUUCAAAUGGUGGCCAGCAGGAGGCAAGUGGGGCCAAUAUGGGGGUUGGCCGACCCCCACAUUGGAGCUCCCAGAGCAUCCAAGUGCUGGGUUGGAACCUCUAUGACUAGCAAGGUUGAAAUGUGGUGAAGUGGGCCCCAAGGUGGGGUCGGGCGACCCCCCUUUGGGAGCUCCGGCAGCUCAAAUUUUUAUGAUAAGUUAUUCUCAAGAUUUUAUUUAUUAUGGCUAAACAUUUUGUCGAAAUAAGAUAUGCAAAAUUCAAAGUAAGAAUGCAAUUGAGAAGUGAAUAGUAGAAAUUGAAAUGCAGAAAAUAAAUAUGGGAUAACUACUGAUUUACCUUAUCAGCAAGGGCUCCAUGUUUUAGGUCCGUAGAGCAGGACCUCUCCAUCUUGUUCAUUCUUUGGGUGCAUCAGAUGGUCCCGGAGACGUGGACCUUGAUUGCACCUCUUUCUCCCGCCAUACUUGCUUGGUAUUGAUUUUUGGUUCAGCGGGUUCCUCUUCUUUCUUUUCGGCCCUUUUGGCCGACUUACCUCUCUUGUCCCUUCGGCGUCGGAUGUGGCGAGGCUUAGUCGGAGGUUCUUUGUCCUUCACCUGCAUGUUAGCUUUAUAACCAUUGAAUGGACAUUUUACCUUCCAUCCUGGGAAUUGGAGGUGAAUCUGGCCGGACCCCACAUAGAUGACUGCAUUGACCGUGUUGAGGAAUGGCCUUCCCAAGAUGAUCGAGACAUCAUUAUUGGAUCCCAUAUCCAAAAUGAUGAAGUCGGCAGGGACGUAGUCGUCUUGGACCUUUACCAGUAUGUCCCUUGCCAACCCCUCAGGGAACCUGAUCGUCUGAUCUGCCAUCUGCAAACGAACAAAUGUGGGGUGCAAAGGCCCCCCUAGCAAAUUAUCAUAAGUUACCUUGGCCAUGAUGUUGACACCCGAUCCAAAGUCGCAGAAGGCGUUGUGGAAGAUUUGCGGUCCGAUCUCACAGGUGAUGGUCGGCAGGCCUGGGUCGUCUUUCUUGGUGAUGAAGGGCGAAUCCAGAAGAUAGCUCCAGUUGGAUUGUACCGGAGGCUUACCGAACCUCGUAGUAACUAGUUUAACUCCUUCAAUUGGGUCCUCAGGUUUCCCUGGGAUCUUACCUUGCUCGAAGGAUGGGACAGCUGCUGCUAAUUGAGCUAAUUGUGUUUCUAGCAUUUUGUUAAAGCUCAACUGAUUUUUCAUAGCAGAGUUAAAGCUAUCCAACUUUUCACUUAAGUUUUCAAGGAUCUUAUCAUUAGCCAUCAUUUUCUUGUUAAUGCUAUCAUUGAUUUUAGAUUGGCCUAAGACAAGAUCUCUAAGAGAAGGUUGGUUACCAAAAGAAUUAUUGAAAUUUUGAUUGUAACCAUUACCUUGAUUACCUUGGUAGAAGGGGCGCGAGUUCCAUUGCUGUUGUUGGGGCCGGUACCCAUUGUUGUUGUUGUUGAUGAAGCUCACUUCCUCCUUUGUUUCGGGACAAUUGUUUCCCGAAUGAUCAUCUCCUCCGCACACUUCGCACCAUGAAUCAGAUUCAAUGGCCCGUGCAGUGGCGUAAGGUUGAAUGGUCUCUUGCUUGGAACUUUCUUCCAUCUUCUUCAAUAAGAGGUCCAUCUUAGCAGAGAGCAUGUCCACCUCAUUCAAGGCAUGGAAACCUCUUCUCUUGGGUUGGAGGCGUUCCUCAUUCCAUCCUUGGUUUAUAACCAUCUUUUCAAUGAGGUCCUUGGCAUCCUUGACAUUGUGUUGCAAGAAUGCUCCUCCAGCGGCAGCAUCAAGGUGACUACGGGCCAAACCGGUCAGGCCAUGGUAGAAACCUUGGAUUAGGAGCCACUCCUCUAUCCCAUGAUGAGGACAGGCGCGAAUGUACUCCUGCAGACGUUCCCAUGCUUCGGGAAUCGUCUCAUCCGCUUGCUGUUGGAAGCUGGAAAUCUUUCCACGAAGGGCGCUGGUCUUGCCCAUCGGAAAGAACUUCUUGAGAAAUGCAUUGGCGCACCUCUCCCACGUGGUCACUUCACCCUUGUUGGCGUAGAACCAUUGCUUCGCCUUCCCCAAUAACGAGAAUGGGAAGAGGCGAAGACGGAUGGCGUCUGCGGCGACAUUCUUGAUGGUGAAGGUGCCGCACACCUCCAAGAAGUGUUGGAGAUGGGCAUUGGCAUCCUCGUGUGGCUUUCCACAGAAGGGAUUGGCUUGCACCAUAUUGAUAAGCGCAGGCUUCAACUCAAAAGUCGCAUCCCCCAAGUUAAGCUGCGGACCCGUGGCGACAUUGUCAGCCGACGGCGCAGCGUACUCAGAGAUGGUCUUCUGGGCCAUAGCUUCUUUGAUAACCGGUGCAGAUACUCCUUCCUCUAACGGAUUCAGGUUCGAGAUGAACCUUUGAGGUGGAACUUGACGACGUCUAGUUCUCCUCAACAGUUGCUCAGGAUCUUCAACGAAGUUUGACGGCAAUUGGAAACCGCUCAUACACUGUCAGGCUUCACAAUAAAGGAAGACAAGACAAGUGAUGGGUUAUCCCUAUCACUACUUGAUAACUAGCAAACUCUGGAUUCUCUUUUUGUUAAAACUCUUAGACAGACGCUCUCCCCGGCAACGGCGCCAGAAAUGCUUGUUGACACUUCUUAACGCAACCACCGGAUAUCGGCGACGGCGCCAGAAGUGCCCUGGUAGGGUAACUCUAUUUACUAUUGGAUAAUUCCGCAAGCGCACAGAAUGUACCGCUGUAGCACUUCACCAAGGAGUAUUCCAAGGUAUCGUAAUUUAUAUUUUCCCAAGGGAAAGCGGCUAAGUGUGUUUAACAAAAAGGGGAAUGAGAUUCCUUGAGUUGUCUAGUAUCAACUAGUGAAUAAGGGUGGUAAAUAACGAAUAGGAAGGGUAGUGGUGAAUCCAAGGUCCUAUGCUAAAGGUAAAUGGUAGAGUUAGCUAGGUGGGAGGACAACGAGUGAGUAAAGGACUCCUAUGUAUCUAACUUAACUUCUGUGACUUACUUUAAUAGAUAAUUGCCUUAACUACGCUAGAGCCUUACUAACUGUGUGCGAGGGAUAGCCGAGCUGGUAAGACGCUUAGAAGGUUUUUCACCUAACCCCUUACCGAAAGCGACUAUUGGGCUUAUGGACGCCUUACCUUUUAAGAACUAGCCUGUACGUGAGGAGAACCUAAUGCCGCCCACGAUCUGUCACCUACUAGGGAGUGCGCUCCUACUUUCCGUUCAAGCCAGCGGUAAUCAAAGUUAAUCUUAAGUAUGAGCACCACGCUCACACUUAAUCCUACAACUCUAACUAGUUGCAGCUAGCUAGAGCUCCUAUACAAGAUAGGACGAUGAUGCACACACAGGAGUGGUUACAGGUCACUAACUUCACUAAGACAACUAUAUUACUAAAGUAAAUGCACAACAAGACUAAAAGACUUGCACUAAGUAAGAACUCAGUAAAGUAAAGUAAGAAUAAUAUAUUAAUAAAAGGAAAGUCUUACAAAAGUAGAAAGGUACAAGAGCUAUACCAGACUCUCCAGAAGACGACUCCGGAGACCCCGAGCUUCGCUCGACUCGACUCUAACUCCCACUCUAGACUAACUACUACUCUACUUGUAUGCUUGGAACUUGUAAUGCACUUGGCCUUGGAAUUGCACACUUGAAAUGAAGGGUGGAGGCUGCCUUUUAUAGAGGGAGAUGGAGUAGGGGUUACUCCAUCGCCACGUCAUCGAUCCGCGUGACAUCUUCUCUCCACCCUUGGAUCAAACCGACCUCACAACCGCCAUUUGAUCAACGGCAGGGGCAAAUCAACAUGUGGGACAUGUGGGGAAGGUCGGUGGGGGGCCACCGACCCUGGAACCGCCUUUGAUGUGGGGUCGGGCGACCCCACUUCUGGGCCUCUGGGCCCACCAGCAGUGUCCACAGGGGUCCCUUAUGUCGGUGGACUAGGUGGCACACCUGGGUCCCACCAAAGAGGGGUCGGGCGACCCCCUCCCUGUGGGCCCAAGGUGUCACCUGUUGUCCCCUCGAUCUCCUCUUGAUGAUUCUGAUGUUGGCUUUGUCAAAUAAUGUCUUGAAUUUGUUGUUCCUGCAUAAACAAGCUAAGAGUACAAGUGGAACUAGUUAUGGAUAAAAUAUGUUCAUGUCAUGUCAUUUCCCCUUGCAACCGAGGCAUGUUGACGGUGUUUUGUAUGUGGAUUUAUAUGGUAUAUCCACCGUCAACACUGCAAAAGUAUAAUGUUGAGGAAUCCGACAGAUCCGGCUCCCUAUUUUCUAGAUUACAACUAGAACUAACUAGAACUAGAACUAGAGAAAAUAGAACUAGAACUAGAUGAACUAGAACUAGAUCUAGAUGAACUAGAGGUAGAACUAGAAGAACUAGAGGGAUCCUCUCUACUUGGAUGAAGAAUUGAAACCCUAGCUUUGAUUCUGUAGAAGAGGUAUGAUCUCCAGGGGCCAGGGGGUCUGGUUUUAUAGUCCCUUCAAGUGAAUCUAGGCCAUCGGAUCAAACCGACAUUAAUCGCACGGUUUUCCUUGGUCCCUUAGGUCGGUGGAGCGUUGUUCGCGAAACGUGUCCUGAUUGGGCACUGUAGCUGGGCGGGCACCCAAGGGACUUGGGCGGGCGCCCUGCCCCCGGGCCCGAUCGGCCUCCCGUUCGUUCCCGUGGCUUCUGGAGUCUUCUAGAUGGUAGAAAAUUGUGCGGCACGUUAAUAUCUCUACGUAAACCCGACGUGUGGGCCUUUCUUUCAUAUUUCCUGAUAACCCCCUGCAGAAAUAGACAAACACCAAAACUCGUGGAAUUAUGUCAGAUAAAACCCUAAGUCUAGGUGUUGGUUGCAUUUGGAUCCUUUUCCAUGAUUAAUUGAUGGUUAAAUAUGAGCUUUAAGGACCAUCAACAAGCUCCCCCAAGCUUAACCUUUGCUCGUCCCUGAGCAAAGAUGAACUUAAGAGUUUCUGCAGUGGUUUCAUGCCUUAAAGAUAUACAUGCGUUCAAACAAGAUCUCAUCUCUGGUUAGAGUAAACUGUUAAGAUUUAAACUUACUCAUUUUACCUUUCACCAUGGGGCUUGCAACCGUCACUUGUGUCUUGAGCAGUUAAAAGAUAGAACGGUCUAGUCAAGCGCCAUGUCUCUUGUUCUUUGAUUAACUAUAGCUCUGGAGUUUUUGCAGAUUUUCAAAUAAAACUCAGAGAUUCCUUGUAUGACUCUCUCUAGUCUCUCAUUUGUGGUAUUUCUGGAUCCUUACCAAGGCAGUAAUGGUGUAUGCCUUCUCUUAGAGUAUGUGGUAUUUUUGGUAUGAGGCAUAGUGGUAUUGCCUUCUCUCUCACCCUACUCUAAUAAGGUUUUGAUAUCUGGAGCUCAUAGGUGGGAGACAGCUAAUACAUACUUACAAGAUAUUUAUUGCAUAGUCAAACCAUGGAUCCAGAGAAACAAGUCAAUAAGUCAAAUCAAGAUGUGCAUGUGUGGCGAAUGAAUGGUAAUAAUGGUGAAAGUCUAAUUCUACUUGUGCUCUUUUGAGGGGAUACAUACCUUUCUUGCUCUUUUGAAACUUUUUGAGGAGAAUGAGAUGCUCUAUAUUUUCUUUUUCUUUUCUCUCAGGUGGGUAUCUUGUACCCCUAAUUCUACUGUCGGACACUUGUCCAUUUUUACCUCUCGUCUCACUUUUUCUUUUCUUUCGAGGUUCCGAGCACUUGCCCCUUUUUAUUUCCUCGUAAUCACUUUUUUUUCAGAGCACUCAUCUCUUGAAAUAAUGCAGCAAGUGGUAGUAACCAAGAUAACUUGAGCAUUUAUUUCACAGGGGAAAACAGAAAUGUUUUUGGCUAUUCUCUCUCGGAUUAGGAGUAGAAUAUUUUUGGGUGAUUCUGGAGAUGGAAAUGAGUGGAUAUAUGUGGAUGCGUACUUCUGGAGUAGAAGCAGCAUGUGUGAGUGAACGUGCAAGUGAAUCUUGAUUUAACCACAUGACAAACUCCUAAGGGUCUACACAGCUUGACCACACUCAAUGCUCAUAAGCAGUAAAAAGUAAAUGUGUGGCUCAAAGUCUAGCAAGCAUGUAUAUAUGGCUGUGGUAGGAUUUUAAACUCUCAUUAUACAGGAACUCAUCAUGCAACAUUUUAAAGAUUUUCAACGAUAAAAUUCUCCAGAAUUCUAGCAUCUCUAGGAACAGAUAAACAGCAGCUCAACCUUCCCAUAUCAUAUCCGUUAACGACUUAGACUUUAGAUCAAGUACUCUUCCCAUAAGUUCAGGUUUAGAGCAAAUCUUAAUUAAUAACAGUCAUGCCUAAACUUGAGAGAGAUUUCAAUUUUAAGAACUAGUCAUGGCCGAGCAACUAUUCAUCAUUUCCAUGUGAGAGCUUAUCAUGAGGGUUCAUAGCAAACUUUAUUUAUUUAUUUAUUUAGCAAACUAAGCAAAGAUAUAUAUAAGCACAAAAUCUUUAUUUGGGUUUCUAUGAUUAUGCAUCUUUUUAUUAUUAGAGUAAAGUAUAAACGUGAGUACAAUACUUAGCUGGAUAAAUGGGGGUGCUCUCCCCCAAGCUGGAUUUUGACGUAGUUCCUUCUAAUGUAGCUAGCAAGUGGUGAAGGUGUAUUUGAAUGUCAGCAGCACCCUGACAGCGAUUAGGAUGUCCUCCGUCUGCUAGUCUUCUUUGAUUCUUGAAUUCUGUGGAGCUCAAAUAGACAACAAAGCUUUGUGGAACUAGUUAAGUGUUAGCAUAAAUAUCUAGCCUUUAUGAUGUUGAGCAUCCUCAAUAAAUGUUACUCUCUUUAGUAGGAUCACAAUCUUAUUUAUAUUUUCAUUUUUAUAGGACAGGAAUAUAUAUUUAUUUUUACGCCACCACAGUGAAUGUACUUAUGGGUUUUAUGCCAUGAGCAUACUCACAUGGGGCUUACUAUUUUUAGCAUUUUUAUUUUUUUUAAGAUGAUGUGAUCCUGAUUAACUAAGCAAACUAUUUUAAAAUAAUUGAAAGGAAAAAGAUAACUACCAAAUUUACCUCUUGGCAAGGCGUUCGGUGUUUUUAUGUCCUCCGAACGGGACUCUCCGUUUUCUCAGUCGUCCUGGGAUUCGCUGGAUGGCGUAGUCGGUAGUUCCGGCGGUGCCUCCUCUUCAUGUAUAACUAUCUUCUCUCUACACACCUGACUCGGUGCUACGGUCUCCUCAGGACAGUUCUGUUCAAGCUGUAUGUCUUCAGACCGUACCACUUCUCCUUCGUAGUCCGCCCAUCCGUCCUUGAUGAUUUUCCUCCUCUGGUUGCGGUUGCGUCGUCUUCUUCUUGUCCUGACCUGCUUAGUGUCUUCAACUAUAUAGUUAGGGUCAGUAAAAUAGCGGCGUACCUUCUCAGAAGGGAAAUGCAUGUGGACUUCUCCGGUUUCAAUGUAGAUGAUUGCUUUAACGGUGCUGAGGAACGAUCUUCCAAGGAUGACGGGUGGAUUGUACUCAUCUUCUCCCAUGACAAUAACCUUACGGAAUGUCUGAUCUGCCACCUGAAGCUGAAUGUAUGUCGGUUGUAGGGGCAUGGUUCCAUGUAGGAGCUGAUAAGUGACUGCAGCCAUUAUGUUGACGUCAGAUCCAGUGUCGUAGAGUGUCUUCUAAAAAAUAUCCGUUGAUUGUGCACUCGAUGCUUGGAACACCAGGAUCAUCCUUCUUGAUCAAGAAAGGCGACUUGAGUUGACGAUCUUGACCUCCUUGAGCUGCAGUGACCAUCUUAGCUGACUCAGUCCACAAUUGCUUGUUCCUGUUCCUCCUGUCGGUCCUUUCCUUGGUUCAUGUCAGGAUUGCUCUGAGAUUUGUGUAGUUUUGUUCUUGAAGGAAAACGUCUCCUUCCUCCCCUUGAUGUAGAAACUGAUCUUAGCAGCACAAGCGUAGAUGACAGCUCCUGAGUUGUUCAGAAAUGGCCUCCCUAGGAUGGGUGCCUCUCAUCAGUACCAGUCUUUAUCACCAUGAAGUCUGCUGGGGCAUACAAGGUACCAACUCGGACGCAGAGGUUCUUCAAUAUUCCCUUGGGGAAACUUAGUGUCUGAUCUGCAGGCUGCAAGCACACGGUUGUUUCUAGUAAAGGAUGUGUAAAGAAUUUUUUUCAUAGAGUACCCUGGGCAUAAUGUUGACGCUGGAGCCAAAGUCGCAGAGUGCUUCUAGGAAGUCCACCAUGCCGAUAGAGAUCGGGAUGACAGGGCGUCCUGGAUCGCCUCUCUUGAUCGGCAGAAGGUCAGUAAUUACUUCCACAACGGGGUUACUCCAGUAGUUACGUCCUCAAGCAUCACAGGGCAGUGAUUGCAUGAGUGUCCAGUAUCUCCAGUGUGUUUGUGCUCGUAGAUCUAGGUUCUUCACUUGGUGGAGUCUGGGAGUUGAAAAACUCCUUCAUAUUUUGCUCGAAGUGUACCUGCUCAUAGAGACAAGGCAGAGCUCAAGUGCAUGGGCCCUGUUGGUGGAGAACACCAACAGAACCAAAAAUGUAUUUAUUCUUCUUUUUUUCUCUUACCUUAAGCAUAGUGAGCAAGACAAAGUUGAUGGAUAAUAAGAUCAUGAGUGUAGCAUUUAAAACAUUUGUCAGAUCAGAUCACUCAACCUUAUGGAAAGAUAAUCUAUCUAUACUUAUGUUUUUAUAUAUAUAUAUAUCUUCCAAAGAUUGAGUGUGCAACAUUUUAGCUCAUAAGAUUAGGAGUGUGGGAUCACAAAGGUGGAAGGACUAAACAUGCUGAAUCGAUUGGGUCGGUUAAUCUAGAGUUGUAAAUCAUAUAUGUCUGUCUCUUUUAUUCAUGUGAAUGCUAGAACCAAGGAAAAGCUUAUAAAAGUGAUAGUCAAGUACCUUAAGAUGUUACCUUACUUGAAGAGUGAUGGUACAGUAUCACCUAGUGGAAGCUUUCCUCUCUUAGCGGUUGUGCAUCGUGUUUGUGGCACCCUCCAUGGAUCAUCUCUUGUGAGCUAUGCCUUCCUUGUGUAAAUUGUUAAACUUCAUGUGUGUCUCUCCUUGUCUCCAAUGUGAGUUUAUAUCAGGACUUCCCAGGUCGAUAUUGAAAGUUUUCUUUUUUUCUGCAGGGGUUAGUCUGACAAAAUAUACCAAUGUCUACACAAGCAGUUUUUAGUUCAAUAACCAAACUAGACUCCAUGUCUAAUUAGAUUAAGGAAGGAUGUUUAACCUAAGCACCAUGCUUAAUUUAAAAACCAAUAGAAGUAUGUACAGUACUUCCAAACUAACACUUACUAGGAUAAACAAAGGUAGCGUGAUGGCUUUUAUAGAGAUCUACUCAAGUGGAGAUGAAGUAGUGUGAUUACUAUUUAACAAAUUGAGCAUGUCUCAAAGGCAGGGACAACCAACAUAGCAACAUGGCAAAGAAUGUUUUUUAUGUAAAGUACUCCCCCAAGCUUGAAUUUUUGCAAAAUUCAAGUUUGGAUGAAUUUAAUUCAAUGUUGUGUGAUGAUUGGUUGGACAUACCUUGUGCUUGUCAUUCAUCCGAUCUUCUUGCUCCAAUCCUGGAAAGGUUAGUGACAAGAAUACCCGAAGGAAUAUUUUUACAAUUAUCCUUAUAUGCUCAACACACAAGGUAAUGUUGCAAAUAAUUAAAAGCUCAUGUUACAAUCUGAUCAGUGCUUGUUUUAGGACACUAAGCUUGUCCUUGGGAAACCAUCGAUUUAUGUCAGUGAAGUGGUUUCCCCUCCAACGCUGACCUAUAUCAAGAUCAACUCAACGAGAUCUGCAAUAUUUAAUAUAGACAUAUACAUCGACAACCGCCCUUUUAAAGUUUUUAUGAAUAGAAAGGAUGAGGGGGUUGGAGAUCUCGAAUGCGGUGAUGUUGGAAAAACCAAUGGAUUGUGAAGAUGUUGCAUAUGAGCAUGGAGUAAAUGAAGUGGCUAUGAAAUAAAUUCCAUGCUCAUUAAUGCUUAGAGUGAAAUCCAUGUGGUAUGGUGAAAAUGAUAAGGUGAGUGUGGUAAAAAAAAGGAAAAGAAAAAGGAUACACGAACGACUUGGUUCGAAACUAGCACAGCUACCGUUCCCCGGCAACGGCGCCCGAAAGCGUGUUGGGCGUUUUAAACGCAAACAGAAAAAAUCCGCAAGCGCACGGAUACCGAUGUAGCUUUCACCCGGGAGUAUUCGAGAGUAUCGAUUUUCCACAGGGAACGUGAGUCUACUAAUUAAGAAUCAAGAUCGCCCAAGGAUAACUAUAUAAUUAUUUUUGGUGGGAAGAGAGGAAGUUUCCUGAGAAUUCUCUAGUUGAUCUAAGAAUCAAGAAUUACUUCAAGAUUAUCUAUAUUGGGACAUCAGAGCACUAACCACAGAAAGAGAUGAGAAGGGGGCUAGGAAGGUCUGACUACGGUCCUACAAACACCGAUCCGAACGUGGUGGAAUACGUCGACCGUUAGGGCUAUCACUACCCUAAGGCUACCCCAACAAUCCGCAGGAUUGGGUGCAAUUCCAGGUAAUUGCAAGACUAAACACCACGUCUAAUCUAUUAAUUACUACUCUAGCGUUAUAAAGACUAGAGCACUUGAUGCAAGCGGAAAUCCAAUAAAUAACUUGAAUGUAAAUAAAAGUAAUUAAAGAACUCAGGAAUUAUGAAUUGAAAAACCUAGAGAACGAUGAAGAACAAACCAGAUGCUGCAAAAGUAUAAUGUUGAGGAAGAUCCGACAGAUCCGGCUCCUCCUCCGCUCUCCUCUUCUCUCUCCCUAUUUUCUAGAUUACAACUAGAACUAACUAGAACUAGAACUAGAGGAACUAGAACUAGAACUAGAUGAACUAGAACUAGAUCUAGAUGAACUAGAGGUAGAACUAGAAGAACUAGAGGGAUCCUCUCUACUUGGAUGAAGAAUUAAAACCCUAGCUUUGAUUCUGUAGAAGAGGUAUGAUCUCCAGGGGCCAGAGGGUCUGGUUUUAUAGUCCCUUCAAGUGAAUCUAGGCCGUCGGAUCAAACCGACAUUAAUCGCACGGUUUUCCUUGGUCCCUUAGGUCGGUGGAGCGUUGUCCGCGAAACGUGUCCUGAUUGGGCACUGUAGCUGGGUGGGCACCCAAGGGACUUGGGCGGGCGCCCUGCCCCCGGGCCCGAUCGGCCUCCUGUUCGUUCCCGUGGCUUCUGGAGUCUUCUAGAUGGUAGAAAAUUGCGCGGCACGUUAUGUAAACCCGACGUGUGGGCCUUUCUUUCAUAUUUCCUGAUAACCCCCUGCAGAAAUAGACAUACACCAAAACUCGUGGAAUUCUGUCAGAUAAAACCCUAAGUCUAGGUGUUGGUUGCAUUUGGAUCCUUUUCCAUGAUUAAUUGAUGGUUAAAUAUGAGCUUUAAUGACCGUCAACAUGGUGAUAAGCCUAGACCUACCUUUAUUAGUGCUAAGUUAAAUUCUGAGUGUAAGCAACAGUUAACUGAUUUGCUAAAGGAAUAUAAAGAUUGCUUUGCUUGGGAUUAUACCGAGAUGCCUGGUUUAGUCCGAUCUAUUGUUGAACAUCAGUUGCCUAUCAAGUCUGGAUUUCGGCUACAUCAGCAGCCAGCUCGCCGAUGUAAUCCUAAUAUUCUUCCUGAUAUUAAGGCCGAAAUUACUAAACUUAUCGAACCUAAUUUAUUCGGCAGUGUCGGUAUGCCGAGUGGAUUUCUAAUGUUGUCCCAGUUUACAAGAAAAAUGGGAAGCUUCGAGUUUGCAUUGAUUUCAGGAAUCUUAACAAAGCUACGCCGAUGGAUGGUUACCCGAUGCCGGUUGCCGAUUUACUAGUUGAUGCUGUGGCUGGGCAUCAGAUUAUUAGCUUCAUGGAUGGCAAUGCAGGAUAUAAUCAAAUAUUCAUGGCUGAGAAAGAUAUUCCAAAGACUGCAUUUAGAUGUCCUCAUCAUGUUGGGUUGUUUGAAUGGAUAGACUUUUGGUUUGAAAAAUGCUGGUGCUACUUAUCAAAGGGCUAUGAAUUUUAUCUUUCAUGAGUUCAUCGGCAAGCUGGUAGAAAUUUAUAUUGAUGAUGUGGUGGUUAAGUCUGGAGAUUUCACAAAGCAUCUUGCCGAUCUACGAAAAGUUUUGGAAUGUACAAGGAAACUUGGUUUAAAGAUGAACCCUAACAAGUGUGCAUUCGGUGUAUCGGCAGGGCAAUUUCUUAGUUUCAUGGUGCAUCUAAGGGGAAUUGAAAUUAGCUUAAGAUCCAUCGAUGCUAUUAACAAGAUAGUUGCUCCUACCAACAAAACUGAGCUCCAAUCUCUGAUCGGCAAAAUAAAUGUUAUCAGGCGGUUUAUUUCUAAUUUGUCUGGUAAAAUUCGUGCUUUUAGUCCUUUACUUAAAUUAAAGGCCGAUCAAGAGUUUAUAUGGGGAAAAGAGCAAUAGUUGGCUCUGGAUGAAAUCAAGAAUUAUCUAACAAAUCCUCCAGUUUUAAUUCCACCUAAGCAAGGAAAGCCUUUCAGAUUAUAUUUGUCUACCGAUGGGAUGGUCAUCGGUUCGGCAUUGAUUCAAGAAUUUGAAGGGAAGGAGCAUGUGAUUUACUAUUUAAGUAGAAGAUUGAUUGAUGCUGAGACUAGGUAUUCGGCCAUUGAAAAUUUAUGUUUAUGCCUAUAUUUCUCAUGCAUUAAGUUGAGGCACUAUUUAUUAUCGGUCGAAUGUACUGUUAUAUGCAAAGAUGAUGUGGUCCGAUAUAUGCUAUCUAUGCCGAUUAUGAGUGGCAGAAUCGGUAAGUGGAUUUUGGCACUGUCAGAAUUCGAUCUGCGGUACGAAUCGGCUAAGGCGGUUACAGGACAGGUCAUGGUCGAUUUUGUGAAUCAACAUCGGGGUACAGUGGAAACUUUGGAAAUUGUACCUUUGACGUUCUUCUUUGAUGGAUCCACGUGUGACCGGGAGGUAGGGAUCGGCAUAGUAUUAGUUUCCCCUCAGGGAAGGACAGGUCAUGGAUUUCUCUUUGCCGAUUGUUGCCACGUCAACAAAUAAUCAAGCCGAGUAUCAAGCUUUAAUCAAAGGGUUGGAGUUGUUAAAAGAAGUUCAUGCUGACACUAUUGAAAUCUUCGGGGAUUCUAUGCUGGUUAUAAAUCAAUUAGCUGGAUGUUAUGAAUGCCAAAGUGAAGUUCUGAUAACUUAUUACGAAAAGAGUAUGCAACUGUUGAGGGAAUUCAAAGAUUUCCGAUUAGAGCAUGUUCCUCGGUUACAUAAUGAAGAGGCUAAUCAGUUGGCCCAGCAUGCCUCGGGAUAUCAACCCAUAUUGAAUACGUUAUCGGCAAUGAGUGCCGAUGAUUGGAGAAAGGAAAUCAUCGAUUAUUUAAAGGAUCCAUCUAAGAAGGUUGAGAGGCGUGUUCGGUUUCAAGCUACCAAGCAUGUGCUCCUCGAGGAUCAAUUAUAUUAUUGAACAAUCGAUGGAGUUCUUCUCAAGUGCUUAAGUGGUGAUGAAGGUCAAAGUUUGAUGGGAGAAAUCCAUGAAGGAGUGUGUGGAGCACAUCAGUCGGCCUUUAAGAUGAAGUGGAUGAUUAGGAGGAACGGGUAUUAUUGGCCAACCAUACUUGAAGAUUGUUUUAAAUAUUUCAAGGGAUGUCAAGGGUGUCAGAAAUUUGGUAAUGUUUAAAGAGCGCCCGCAUCGGCCAUGAAUCCCAUUAUUAAACCUUGGCCGUUCCGUGGAUGGGCUAUUGAUCUAAUCGGCCAGAUUUACCCACCAUCAAGCAAAGGGCAUAAGUUUAUUUUGGUUGCCACAGAUUAUUUCACCAAGUGGGUUGAGGCUAUUCAUUUGAAAAAGUUACAUCGGCCAAUAUGAUUGAUUUUGUGAAAGAGCAUAUUAUUUACUGAUUUGUAUUUCUCAAACAAUUACUACCGACCAGGGUACUAUGUUUACAUCAGGCGAGUUUGAUGAUUUUGCAAUCGGUAUGGGGAUUAAAGUGUUGAAUUCUUCUCCUUAUUAUGCUCAAGCCAAUGGACAGGCCGAGGCAUCUAACAAAGGAAUUAUUAAGUUCAUCAAACGGAAGAUUGAAGAGAAUCCUAGGAGAUGGCAUAUGUUGUUGAAUGAAGCUUUAUGGUCAUAUCGGAUGGCUUGUCAUGGAUCGACCAAAGUUUCGACUUAUCAGUUAGUGUAUGGGCACGUUGCUGUAUUGCCAUGGGAGAUUAAAAGCGGAUCUAGGCGACUAUCUUUUCAAGAUCAGCUGACUGCCGAUGACUAUGCUACUUUGAUGAAAGACGAGUUGGAUGAUUUAGUAGGGCAUCGGCUGAGGGCUUUGAUGAGUAUAGAAGAAAAUAAAAAGAGAGUUGCCAUAUGGUAUGAUAAGAAAGUAAAGGCUAAGGAAUUUGCCGAUGGAGACUUGGUAUGGAAGCUAAUCUUGCAGAUCGGGACUAAAAGUUCAAAAUUUGGGAAGUGGUCUCCCAAUUGGGAGGGUCCCUAUCGGAUAAAUCGAUCUGUUCCUGGCAAUGCCUAUAUUUUAGAAACUCUUGAAAGAGUUGAAUUUCCUAGAGCGUUGAAUGGCAAAUAUCUAAAGAAAUAUUGCCCAAGCAUAUGGGUCGAUGCAUAAAAAGUUUAAGUGCCGAUAACACUCCUAUUGGCUAGAUUGAAAUGUACCUGGGACUGAAUACGAUGUUUUAAAAGAUGCCUAUAAUAGUCCUAUCGGCUAGACCAACAUAAUCAGGAGUGUUUGAAAGAAAAAGAGCAAAACACGCCGCCGAUGAAGAGUUCAUAUGUUUAGCAGAGCCUGGAUGGUCGAUAUGGCGCGCAGACGAAUCUGAUCGGCUUCUUCUAUCUCCUUCAUGUCUUCAUCGGCAGAGCCCUCCACUGGCUUCAGUUUCUUCUUUAUCUGCAGUGCCUUGCGGGCUUGGACAUUUCUUCUUCCUGUUGAGCUUGGGACAGAGCUUCUUCUACUUGCUUAAGUUCGGCUAGUAGAGCUUCCUUUUUUGCCGAUAGGUCAGAGAUCUUCUGUUUCAGUGUAUCUCUAGAGGAUUUUAGAAUGCCGAUGCUCUUAUGCUUUUCAUCGGCAAGAUGCUUCACUUUCAUCACCUCCUCUGAGAGCUGGGCGUAAGUGGCUCUAUCGGCAAGGCGCUGAGCGGCCUUUUGGUACUGCAGCUGACGACUCUCUAAGUGUGCAGCCUGAAAAAGAAUCUCCUCGGCAUCGACAGGGAUUUGACCUCUGAGAGCCUUAAACAUAACCUUGGCUGGAUAAGAGUCAUCGACCAAUUGCAUUGUAUCUUGAUGAAGCAGGGCCGAUAGAUCUUCCAGUUUUGCUCUGAUCUCUGCCGAUGAGAUCCCAAUCGCUUGGGAAGAACUUGCUUCUUCGCCUUCGUCAUCACAAAUUUCAAUAGCGAAAGAGAACAGACUGUCAGGAGAAUCUUGUUCCUGAAAGAGGAAAGGAGAUGGAUUAUUUGAUGAUGAAAUAUUAGUAAAAUACAGAAUGAUAAUCAAAUAACUUACUUGCUUCAGAGCGAUUUCUCGCCUCUGGCUAGUUGAGGCCGAUGGCACUAUGGGUUGAUCGGCUGGAGUUGCCGAUGGAACGAUGUCAGCUGAAAAUUGAUAGAGGUAAUUAUAAAAUGGAAAAGUAGGUUCAUCGGCAAUAAUUUCAUAGAGAGUAUGUUACCCUGAGGGGGUGCAAUACUUGUCGGAAUCGAGGAAACUACCGAUGCUAUGAUUAAGUUUGCUGGAUUGGUGGUCUGCUCGUGUACAUCAGCCGAUGUUUCUUCUGGCUGAGGUUCUUCUGGCUGGAGUUCUUCUGGUUGGGGUUCUUCUUGUAGCUGAGUAGGAGAUGAUGCCUGUUGUGUCUGAGCUUCUGGAGAAGUGGGGGAUGAUUCCACCGUGAUCGGUGACCUUGGAGGAGGAGGAGGCGUUGCCGUUCUCUGACGCUUCGCUUGUGUUCUGGUACACUUGGAGCCUUUUCUCUUUGGUUGGCUGGACUGGGGGGCAUCGGCAGUCGUACUUCUGGUCUUUGCCGAUUUGCCAGUGUGCUGAUAAAACAAUGAAAGUUUUAUGAGUACAAGUGUAACAGGGUACUGAUGAGGUUCUGAUUGAAAUAAUAAAGUUACUGAUGAAGUUCCCAUGCUAGCCGAUGUGUCUUGAAAAAUUGUGUGAAUGUAAGAAUGGAAUCGGUAUAAGUUUGGGAAUCCAAGAAUUUACCUUGAAAGCUUGUGCCAAAGCGGUGGCAGCUAACGACGGAGAUGUUUUUGUUCGCUUGGUGGUGAUUUUUUUUGAGACGCACACCCCGGUCCAUUAAAGCAGCCAAGCUUGGAGCGUUGUUGCCGAUCGAAGAGAUCGGGCCCGAUGGAAGGAGUUCGAUCGGCCUGCCGCUUCUGCUAACUAAUGGUGGCGUAUCAUCGACCUGUAUAAAACAAAGAAAGUGAGUUACCGAUAGAAAAUGGGAGUGAAAUGAUUGAAACAUCGGUUAAAAUGCUUACAGUAUUAUCGGGGACCUUGUAUUUGGGGUCGAUCAUACCACGAUAUGUGAGGGCCGAUCUGUAGAACAGAUGCUCUUUCCACUCUUCCCACCACUGUUUGUAUGUCUGAGUAAUGAAGAGAGCUGGGAUCCAAGCUGAUAGAUCGACAUCUUUAUCGGCAUUUGGCGGGAGUUGGGCUAUUCUGAUCCACUCAAGAUUGCUGGUGAUGGUUUCCCUUGGCUUUACCACAUCGGCGUAGCAAAGUGCAAUCGGCAGCUGUCCAAAGGCUAGCUGACGAGCUAGUGCCGAUGGGUGUUGACACAAGCUAACACCACUUAGAUACUAGGUUGUCAUCCUCAGCAUGGUGCCAGAGCGUACAAAGGUAUUUAUAAAUGUAAAGGCUCUCUAGAAAAUAAUCUAUUCUAUCCACAAGCGCACAGAUAAAACACCUCAUUGUAGCAUUUCACCAGGAUAAGUAUUCUAGGUAUCGUUAUUUAUAAUUUUGCUCAAGGGAUCUAAGGAGAUUAAAUUAAGGGUAAAAUCUAUCAAGGCAUAGACUAGAGAUAAACUUGCAAGAACAUGAUUACUAAUGAGAAACUCGUCACACAGUCACUUACUUUAGCAGGGGGUAAACCAUAAAGAUAAUGAUAAUGAAUUAUAAGUUCAAGGGAUAAAUAACACAGCGAUUAGAAAAUAGACUACUCCUCAUAUAUGUAGGUGAUGUCGGAUUAGCUAGAGAAUGGAUUCUAAGUUAUCUACUAACUACUAAGUCAUAAUCUACUCUAGUUAUCUACAAGAUCAUAUAUAGCAUAAAAGACUCUUCAUUCAUGUAUAAGGAACAUUGAUAAAUUAAAUCAGAGCAUCGCACGACUUACUCCACAAUACCGAUUCUGCCUGUCCUAUCAAUGGAGGGUGGACUAUAUAAGAAUCAACGAAGCUGUCACUAUCGCGAACUACCACACGACCCGGCCAAUAGGAUACAUUUAUAGAUAAAUAACAUAUAAGCACCACGCUCACAUGUGAUCUAUCACCUAACUCCCUCGCGUCAAGAGCUAAGCGCUUUGCAAACUUAUACAUAAACUCAUUAUCAAUUAGAACUAUAUCAAAUAUAGAACUAGAACAAACUAAGAACAUAAAAUUAGAGACAUAAUGCAAUUAGAACAAAGAAUUAGAGAAAGAUAUGAAUAAUACCAAUCUUUAUUACCGAAGAUCCGAAUCCAGAGUGUAGUGCUCUACUUCUCUAAUUGCUAUCUAAUCAAACCUCUAAACUUGAAGGAUUAGGGAGUAGCUAAUUCUAAUUCUCUGUGGGAGAGAAGCUCUAAACCCUAACUUUGAUGGCUACCUCUGAAUAAUGAUUUCUUCUCUUCUCCUCUCUCCUCCAGGGGGGAGAGGCCUUGGUUUUAUAGUCCCUUCAAGUGAAUUUGAGCCGUCGGAUCAAACCGACAUUGAUUGUGUGGUUUAGAUUGAUCCUUUAGGUCGGUGGAGUUUAGCCCCGAAGCAGAGUCCUGAUCCAACUCCUGGCCAGGGCGGGCGCCCUGCCCCCGAGCCCGAUCCUCUUCUCGUUCGUUCCCGUGGCUUCUGGACUUUUCUAGAUUGAAGAAAAUUGCGCGGCACGUAAUUAUCUCGUUGUAAACAUGACAUGUGGGCCUUCUCUCCAUAUUCUCUGAUAACCCCCUGCAGAAAUAGAUAAACACCAAAGCUCGUGGAAUUCUGUCAGAUAAAACCCUAAUUCUUGAUGUCUGUUUCAGAUUGAUCCAUUUCCAUGUUUAUUUGAUUAUUAAUUUUAGUACUUAAGGACAGUCAACAAACUCCCCCAAGCUUACCCUUUGCUCGUCCCUGAGCAAAUAGCUAAACUCAGACGAAUCAGGAGUUGCUUCGAUGUUUUCUUUCCUGACAGGCACACAUGCUUUUAUAUAAAAAUUCUUCCAGAUUAGAGUGAAGUGUCAUCGAGUUUAGAACCUGUACUUAAGUCUUAAGUAAUCGAAAGACAAAAUAGUUAAGUCAAGCACUAUCCCUCCUGUUAUACUUCACCUUUAUUCUAGAUUUUUCAUAAGUUUUCAAAAUAAAACUCAGAGUUCCCAGCAAUGAUCUCUCAAGUCUCUCUAUAUGUGGUAUUCGUGGAUCCUUACCAAAAUGUCACUUACCUAUAGCUAAUGGAAUAUUUAAGUGGAGCUCAUAGGAGUGAAAAACAGCUCAUACAUAUGUUGUCUAAUCGAGCCAUGGAUCCAAAGGAACUCAACAUAUAAUUAAAUCAAGAUGUGCAUGUGUGGUGGAGUAAAUGAUAGUGAUGGUCAAAAUGCAUAAGUGAUAAUAAAACAUAGUUCACAUUGCUCCUCAUAUUGCUAUCUCUCCUCCUCUUUGAUCUUUGCUUUGGGAGAACAUGGGCUAUCUUUUCUUUCUUUUUCUUCUUUUUUUCAGGUGGGUAGUAGAUACCCCAAAUUCUACUGUCGGACACUUGUCCAUUUUUUCGCUCAAGUGGGCAUCUUUGUACCCCUAAUUCUACUUCGGACACUUGUCCAUUUUUACCUCUCGUCUCACUCUUCUUCUUUCUUUUUCGAGGUUCCGGGCACUUGCCCCUUUUUAUUUGCUCGCAUAUUUUUGCAUAACCAAUGCCUCUUCUGCAUUGAAUCUUUUUAGAGAGCGAAAAUAACAAUAUUUGGGACAGUGAGUGAUAAUAUUUUUAGCCAUUUUAAUGAAUGGUGAUGGAUGGUCUAGUAGAUGUGUGCAAGUGAAUAUCUUAAUUUAACCACUUGAAAAGCUCCUAAGGGUCUACACAGCUCGAUCAAACUCAAUAUAAAUAUAGUAAAAGAUGUUAUAGCAAGUAUGGCUGUGGUAGGUAGUUGUAAUGCUAGGAACUCAUCAUGUGAUUUGUAAGUUUUCAAAAUAAAUCUCCAGAACUUAGUGUAGUAGGAACAAGAUAAACAGCAGCUCAACUUUAUAUCAUGCCUUUCUCUUACCUAGACAUUAGUUUUAUGCUUUCCAUAGAUAGUAAUUUCAGUUUUAAUAAUUCCUGGAAGAACUCUAAUAACAGAGCAACUAUUCAUUAUUUCCAUCAUGCAUCUUUUUUUCUUUUUAUUUUUCUAGAGAUUAAACUUAGCAAGAAAAUAAAGCAUACUUAUCUACACACUCUUUUUAUUUUGUUUUCAUAUUUAUAAAAUGCAGUAAAUUAAAGCAAGAAAAUAUUUAUUGGGUUUUCUAAGUUUUUCCUUUUAAGAUAAAAAACUAAAAUAGAAAAGAAUAAAUAAGAAGAGCAAAUAAAAACUUACUUGAUAAAUUGGGGAUCAACUCCCCCAAGCUGGAUGUUGAUGUCGGCCUUACCCGUGGUUCCAGAACCGCAUCAUGGUUGUGAUGUUGACAUUCAUUGUUGUUGUAUCUUGUCUCAGCUCUUGUACUGCAGCGGCAUGGUCCUGGUUCCAUUUUUGUUGCUCUUCCAGGAGUAGUCCAUGUUCUGCUUGCAUGUUCUGGAUGUCGAGGAGAGUGUUGUUGGUACGAGUGAAGAAAGCACCGACCUCUUGAUAGUAGUCAUUCGUGAAAACGUAGGAGGCGUCGGAGUAUCAUCCUGCAUCAAAUUGGGGCGGAGGUCUGGAUCCUGAAGCUCCACAUGGAUCAGUGGAGUACCUGCCCGUAUGAAAAGGCGGGUUUGUCCACUGGUGAUCUUGGCUCUCCGGCCAUGUCUCCUCUAUUGGCUCUUGUGGUUGCGCAUGUCGAUCCCAUGGGUCUCGAAGGACUCGGGGGUUGUAGUCGCUAUAAUGCAGGUGCGUUGCUUCUUCUGGUCCGGGAUCAGCUCCAUACCAGGUGCGUUCUCGAUGGGUGGUCACCCUUUCAGAUGCCACUCGCUGUGGAGCUCUCUGGUUCACUGGUGUUGCUGCAAUCUCAAUCAAAAAGUUUUGAACAACGUAGAGGCCAAGGUUUGGGUUAGGUAACCGAAUCUUGCCUCUAUCAUCAUAUAGCAUAGAUAUUAUAUUCCUCUCUUUCUUUAACAUCCGAGCUUGUCUAAAUGUGUCAUAGCCAUGAUAAAUUCUUAACUCAUCUAUGAAGUCCAACGAUGAAUUUUCUAGUAAAUGAAGGUUAGAGGCUAGACGAGUGAUAAGUGAAGUACAUCCUACUGGUCCCUGUAGACUAGGUAUACUAAGCCAAUGAGAAACUAAAAGUGUAACAGGUGAAGUGGGUACUUUAUUAAUAGCAGCAUAUAGAUGUUGCAAAUCUCCUACUCUUACUUUCCUAAUAUCAUCACGAUAGAAAAGAUUGUACCCAAGCCAUUUGUGGAACAUCCUAAGAGUGGGGUGUUCCAUGUCACUGGUUCGGGCUUGACUAUAAAAAUUAUCUCUAGAUAUUUCUCUCCAAAACUAGUGUCUCUCAAAAUUAGGUAGGUCGGAGUCAAUGUUCAGGAUGCAUCUUGAAGAGAAACCAAGAUGGUCGCUCAGCUCUCUCCAAGACAACAUAAUCUCCUGUUUGAACAUCCGAAAAACAAUUCCCCCCUCAUAAUAUUGUAAGGUGCAAAGAAAUUCGAGGGUGAGAAGACGAGAACCCAGCUCAGUUAUAUUCCAAAAAUUUGUCCAACCUAUCAUUUGGAAAAUUAAGUCAAAUUCAGUGUCCAUACCUGUUUCUUGUAGUAAGAUUGGAUCGAGAGUAGGGAUGUGAAUAAAAUCUUUGUUCUUCAAUUGCUGAUAUACUUCUUUCUCUCUUCGGGUCUUCAGUCCAAGGUCUCCUAUCUUGAGAAGGACCUUGACUUGCUGACCUGAUGAAGAUGACGGAGCUUGUGUGAGCGUCGGGUCGACGCUCAUCUCUGAUGGCUGUGAGGAGUGUCGGGAUGAACUCCUUGUACCAAUGUGCUUGAGAGCCUUCCCUGCAUUCUUCACCUUCUUAAACAUCCUGCAAACAAAAGUUGGCAAAAACACAACUAGUGGAAAAUGUAAGAGAAAAUGUUAGUGGUCAGCUGUCCGGAAUAUCAGUAGUCCAGGGGUUAAUCGUUCAAGACAAGUUUCUAUUUUGGUAGAGCCUCCCCCUAAACAACUUUUAUUUCCGCAUAGACAACGGGAUCACCACUUACUAGGUGAUACUCACUCUCUUACUCAAAAGAACUCUCAACCUUCUCACACUCAGAGCUAUUCUCUGGAAACCGAGAACUACGAGCUUGCAAGGUUUUCUGAAAUGUGUGUGUGAAGAGAAGGGGAGCUGGAGGUGGCCAUUUAUAGGCUGAGCAAGGAACAGGGCGGGCGCCCUGGGUAGGUGGGCAGGCGCCCACCCCUGGUGUCCAUCCUGGGUGUGCCUCCUCCACUUGCUUCCUUGCUUUUAUCUCACGCAGAAUAAUAUUGUGUUGGUGGUGGUUGGACGGUGGAAAGAUGUCUGGUCAGUGGAAACAUAUUGGUGGAUGAAAUUAUGUGAUGAGAUGUAUGUGAGGUGAAGUGUAUGACAUGUGGGACCCAAGGAGUGUGGGUCAUGCUUCUAGAAGGUUACUAUAAUUAAAUAUAAUGCAGGAAAAUCUAUGAGAAUUGAAACUUAAUUAAAAAUGAUAAUGGAAAAUAUUUUUGUGCCUCCACAAUAAUUAAUAAAUAUGGGUUGUUACACACCAUGAAUAUUAUUUAUAUGGGGCUUUUGAUUAUUAUAAUAAUGCUAUGAAUAAAUGUGACUAAUGCAAGAUUUAAUUAUGCAAGAAUUUAAAUAUGAGAAAAUUAAUAAUGCGGAUAAAUACCGAUUUACCUCCCGGUGAGGGUUUGGGAUUUUUAGGUCCCCCAAGCUGGACCUCCAAAUCUUUUAAUCUUCUGAAUUACCUUCCUCCGGAGAUGGUGUCUCUAGUGGUUCUUCAUGAACUUCCUUCACUAUAGAGUCUCUCUCUGGUCUGGGUUUGAAUGUGAAGUGUUCUUCUUGUCCGUUUAUGUUGAACUUGAUUUCUCCUUUCCCGACAUCAAUGUGGGCAUUGGCAGUGCUCAGAAAUGGCCUUCCAAGGAUGAUGGACACUUUUGAGUCAGGACUCAUGUCCAGUACUACGAAGUCUACUGGCACCAGGAAAUCUCUGAUCUUGACUGGAUUGUUCUCGGCGAUACCCAACGAAUGUCGAACCGAUUGAUCCGCUAGUUGUAGGAACAUUGAUGUUGGUUCUAGGGUCGCAUGCUCAAGAUUUUUGUAGACUGAUGCUGGCAUCACACUGACACUUGCUCCGAGAUCACAGAGUGCAUUGUUGAAGUGUUGGUUUCCGAUCGAGCAAUCAAUAGUGGGGCAUCCUGGAUCUUCCUUCUUCUUUGGUGGUUUGUUAAGGAUGGCCACACUACAUUCUUCUGUCAGCUUGAUAACCUCAGUGGUGGGCAGUGGCCUCUUCUUGUUAAGAAUAUCUCUGAUGUACUUCACAUAUGUAGGUACCUGUAUGGCAUCCAGCAGAGGUAUGUUGACAUAUAAUUUUUGAAUGACCUCUACAAACUUACCAAAGUGCUCACCCAACUGCAGUCCUCUGUUUCUUCUGGGAAAUGGCAAAUAGUUGGUGUCGUAAAAAUCUUUCCACAUUUCUUUAGUUCUUGGUGGUUGGGGCAGAUCUUCUGCUUCAACUGGGCUUUCUUCUUCUAUCACUGCUGGUUGCACUGGUGCUGAUGUUCUUUGUUUCUCUUUUGGGUAUGGGGGAUCUCUGGUGGCUUUGCCUCCUCUAGUAGUUAUAUUCUUUACCUGCUCAAUGUUAGUAGCAACAGGCAGUGCAGCAGCUAACUUUAUUAAUUUAAGCUCUACCCUUUUAUUAAGAGCGUUUUGCUCAUCAAAGGUAGUUAAUAGAAAAUCCAUUUUAUUGUGUAUAUCUUUUAGAGAUGAUUCAUUUGUAUCUAGCCUUUGUUUAACUUCAUCAUUAGUUUUCGUUUGUUGAGCAAUUAUCUCUUUUAAUGAAAGUUGCUUGAAAGUAUUACCUGAAUUCAUACCUUUGCUAUUGGGUUGACUCGAAGUUGGUUGAUAUUUGUAUGCUGUCUCAAUGGCCCUUUGAUCUCCUUUGAACUUGGCCCUCUGGUCAAUCCAAUGGAGCAAAUUUUCCAUCUUAGUUGAUAAUGCAUUUACUUCUUCUGAUAUUUAUUCAGUUUGAUGACAUUGUUGAGCUUUAUCUUGGAACCAGCUUUGAUUUUCUGCUAUCUUAUCCAAAAGUAUCUCUGCUUUUCCAGUUGUAAGCUCCAAGAAUGAUCCUUUAGCAGAUGCAUCUAGGCACUGACGAGCCUUCUGGGUUAAUCCAUGGUAGAAGGUCUGCAUAAUUAACCAGGCGGCCAUUCCAUGGUGAGGACAAUCUGAUAUGUAUCCUUGAAAACGCUCCCAUGCUUCUGAAAUGGCUUCUGUCUUCUGCUGUUGGAAACUGACAAUAUUUCCUCUUAAGGCAGUUGUUUUGCCUAUAGGAAAAAACUUUGAUAGAAAAGCAUCUGACAAGUUCGUCCAGUUGUUGAUGUUAUCUUGAUGAGUGUAGAACCACUUCCUCGCUUCUCCUUCUAGUGAGAAUGGAAAAAGGUGAAGUAGUAUGACGUCUUUGUCAACUCCGUUGAUGUGGAUUGUGCUUCCAAUCUCUAAAAAAUUCUGCAAGUGUGCACUAGCAUCUUCAUGUGCCUUUCCACUAAAUUAUGUAGCUUGUACCAAAUUGAUGAGGCUUGACUUGAGCUCGAACUCGGGUACUCCUUCUUCUACUGCAAAUCUUGGACCAGUUGGAAUGUUCUCAAGACUUGGAGCAGAGAAUUCUUGUAGGGUCUUUUGUGCCAUAGCUUCAGCAAUUGGUAGCUAGCUUCUUUCUUCUCUUGAUUGCUUUGGUUCUGAUGAUGAAGAGUUGAAUGUACCCAAAGUCAAUCCUGAUAUACCCUGUAUAAAAAUAUAAACAUAGAAAAACAACAGGGUGAACUUGCCAAAGCAGAGGUGCCUUGUUAUGAUUUCUCACUUAGUAGCUGUUUUAUGCAAUUAUUUCUCUAUAGUCUAGUCUAUUAUUUUAUAUGAAUAACCUUGACUGAUUUUCUGACUUUCCUUACCGUUCCUAUGUAUUACCCUUUUAUGACUUACUUAUGAGAUUCCUAUAAGUCCCCGGCAACGGCGCCAGAAAUGCUUAUUGACACUAGCUAACACCACUUAGAUACUAGGUUGUCAUCCCCAGCAUGGUGCCAGAGCGUACAAAGGUAUUUAUAAAUGUAAAGGCUCUCUAGAAAAUAAUAUAUUCUAUCCGCAAGCGCAUAGAUAAAACACCUCAUUGUAGCAUUUCACCAGGAUAAGUAUUCCAGGUAUCGUUAUUUAUAAAGCUCAAGGGAUCUAAGGAGAUAAAAUUAAGGGUAAAAUCUAUCAAGGCAUAGACUAGAGAUAAACUUGCAAGAACAUGAUUACUAAUGACAAACUCGUCACACAAUCACUUACUUUAGCAGGGGGUAAACCAUAAAGAUAAUGAUAAUGAAUUAUAAGUUCAAGGGAUAAAUAACAUAGCGAUUAGAAAAUAGACUACUCCUCAUAUGUGUAGGUGAUGUCGGAUUAGCUAGAGAAUGGAUUCUAAGUUAUCUACUAACUACUAAGUCAUAAUCUACUCUAGUUAUCUACAAGAUCAUAUAUAGCAUAAAAGACUCUUCAUUCAUGUAUAAGGAACAUUGAUAAAGUAAAUCAGAGCAUCGCAUGACUUACUCCACAAUACCGGUUCUGCCUGUCCUAUCAACGGAGGGUGGACUAUAUAAGAAUCAGCAAAGCUGUCACUAUCACGAACUACCACACGACCCGACCAAUAGGAUACAUUUGCAGAUAAAUAACAUCUAAGCACCACGCUCACAUGUGAUCUAUCACCUAACUCCCUCGCGUCAAGAGCUAAGCGCUUUGCAAACUUAUACUUAAACUCAUUAUCAAUUAGAACUAUAUCAAAUAUAGAACUAGAACAAACUAAGAACAUAAUAAUUAGAGACAUAAUUCAAUUAGAACAAAGAAUUAGAGAAAGAUAUGAAUAAUACCAAUCUUUAUUUCCGAAGAUCCGAAUCCAGAGCGUAGUGCUCUACUUCUCUAAUUGCUAUCUAAUCAAACCUCUAAACUUGAAGGAUUAGGGAGUAGCUAAUUCUAAUUCUCUGUGGGAGAGAAGCUCUAAACCCUAACUUUGAUGGCUACCUCUGAAUAAUGAUUUCUUCUCUUCUCCUCUCUCCUCCAGGGGGGAGAGGCAUUGGUUUUAUAGUCCCUUCAAGUGAAUUUGAGCCAUCGGAUCAAACCGACAUUGAUUGUGUGGUUUAGAUUGAUCCUUUAGGUCGGUGGAGUUUAGCCCCAAAGCAGAGUCCUGAUCCAACUCCUGGCCAGGGUGGGCGCCCAAGGGGGCUGGGCGGGCGCCCUGCCCCCGAGCCCGAUCCUCUUCUCGUUCGUUCCCGUGGCUUCUAGACUCUUCUAGAUUGAAGAAAAUUGCGCAGCACGUAAUUAUCUCGUUGUAAACAUGACAUGUGGGCCUUCUCCCCAUAUUCUCUGAUAACCCCCUGCAGAAAUAAAUAAACACCAAAGCUCGUGGAAUUCUGUCAGAUAAAACCGUAAUUCUAGAUGUUUGUUUCAGAUUGAUCCUUUUCCAUGUUUAUUUGAUUAUUAAUUUUAGUACUUAAGGACCGUCAACAAUGGGUUGUAGAACUCAUAAGUCAGAUUGGAAGCUUUCCCACUACCAAAGAAAUUCACUGGUAUGGCCCUUGGGGUGAUAAUUGCCAUCAUCACAUCACGGUCCUUGUUGAGAGCAUCAUUGAAGGGAUGGAAGGUCAGGGGAAAUCUGGUGUCUGGAUCUUCAUAAGGCAUCCAUGCCCUCUGUUCCCUGGUUAAACCUCCAUAGAGAGUCUGAAAGAAUUGGCUAACCUGGUCUUCAUUACAACUAGUGCCAGGUAAAACUAUGGCGGCUUCGCCAAAGUUCAGAGGGGAACGAGUUGCCGAUCGGCCACAGAAUACAAAUUUAUCCAGCCACAUAUUUAGGAAAGUGGUCUGUACCUUUGCAUUAACAGGUCCUGUUCUUUGGUACUUCUGAAUGUACCCAGACCAACCGUUGAUGGCACGAGUUUCUACCUUGGAACUGGGUUUGGUGUCAAAUAGAUGGCUGUUAUCGGCAGUGGAUAUGUCUAAGCCGGUGAGCAUGAGCACAUCAGCAAGUGUAGGAGAAGCAGGGCCAUGGCCAAACACAAAAGCAUAGAAAGUUUCUGACCAAAAGUAUGAAGCAGCAAUUAACAGUGACUCAUUUCUCUCCAUAUCGGCAAGAGACAAUCUGAUACGCUGGUCUAAUUUCCGCUCGCCCCAUUGAACCUCGUUUGAAUGGCUAACUCUCAGGAACCAAUCCAUCCAUCCCUCGGUGGGACUAGGCCAGGAACGGAAGGCAUCUUUCCAUAGAUCUAGGGAAAAGUUUUCAGCUCUAAAAGGGAUUCUGUUUGUUUCCGUGUUUAUUAUAUCGGUGGGAUCUGGGUUUCCUAGCGGACCAAGACACUGGAGAUGAGGUUGAUCGGUAGGAAUUAUGAUCUUAUCGGCCAAGUCCUAAAAGUUUUGAGGAUAAAAGAAAGAAUGAAAAGAAAAAUAAGUAUUCAGUAAAAGGAAUUGCGGAUGAACAGGAAUACAGUGGAGGUGCGGAAAAGAAGGAUAGUGAGCUGACCUCAGGCACGAUGAAGUUGAUGGCCAUUUUCUCGCAAGGAAGAGGAUCGAAGACUUGGGGGAUUGGUGAAGAAAGCCUUCGUUGAAGUUCUUGGAACCCUCGGAUGGUGCCGCCGUGGUGAAAGUGGAUUUUGGGCUGUAGAAUGACAAGAUGGAGAAGGAGUACCGGAGAAGGAAGUAUUUAUAGGACAAAACGGGUAGGGGCAAAUCUGACUUAUCUCUUUGCCGCAUCCGUGAAAUCCGAGGGUAUUCAGGUGGAUAUGGUAACUGUUCACACGAUAAUCAAGGGAUUGCGUAGGUGAUUUGACAGCAAGCGGUCAUGAUUUUGAAGAUAUUUCACUGUACAAGAUCUCCUGGUCGGUCCAUCGGUAGUUCUCUCUAACGGUAAUAUUGCCGAUGGGCGUAUAAAGUGGAGAGAUUCGGUUCGGGAGGUUGAGAAAUUCGAGGAAUAUGCAAGAGAAUCGGGCCAAGGUUGUUCGAAUUUGACGAACGGUUACCAAAUUGGGAGAAUUAAUUGCGGAAAGGCAUCAUUACUGCAGAGAAUUUUGGAGCAUUAAUGAUUUUAUACUCCGAAAUUGGGGAGCAUGUGUUGACACUGUUUUUGGACACGUACCUGGGGAUUAGUAAAGUAUAGAUCGGCAGAUGAAGCAACGGUAACUAGUCUGUAGGAAAGUUACCGAUGAAGGUGGUUGCCGAUGAGGAGACAAUUGAAUCUGAUUAAGUCUAGAGGUGGUGACGUGUUCGUGCCGAUGAUCAGUGUUAGUGUUUGCCGAUGGCCACAACAGGAGGUCUGCCGAUGACUCUGAAGGAAAGCGUGGAGAUUGCCGAUUGAUCUGUGGCGGUGCCCCAGUCGGUUACAAGGAGGUUAUUUUAUGUUUUCCUUAGUUAUUAGAAUUCGUUUUGUGUACGGGUUCUGUUUAGUUUGGAAUUCGAGUCCUAGUCGUGUCUGGUUGUAGCUCUUCAGAUAGGGUAUAAAUAUAGACCCUGGGGCAAUGUAAUGAGACAAUCUAUCAAUCAAUCAAACACAAGUUUCUACUCAUAUUCCAGCAUCUACUUUUUCAAUGACUUCGUCAUAUUUUCUUUUUAUUACGAGUUCUUAGGAAUUCGUCGACUUAAGCUCGGCGUGUUCUCAAGUUCCGCGUGAUCACCUCUUGGCCGUGACAUCCGGGCGCAUCGCUGUUGUCGGGACCAAAGUAGUCGAGUUACCACCUUUGUCGAUUGUAAGGUCAAAUCGGCUAGCACGCCUGAACGUUUAAAUCGGGUAUUAGCCCUUUGUGUUUGCAGAUCAGUUUUGCACCAACAACGUUACGAAUCGGCUAAGGCAGUUAAAGGACAGAUUAGAUUAUGGCUAAUUUUGUGACUCAACAUUGCAGUGUUGUAGAGGCUUUGGAAAUUGUUCCUUGGAUGCUCUUCUUUCAUAGAUCUACAUGUGACCGGGGGCAGGAAUCGGCAUAGUACUAAUUUCUCCUCGAGGAAAGAAAUAUGAAUUAUCUUUGCCGAUUGUUGCCACGUCAACGAAUAAUCAAACCGAAUAUUAAGCUUUGAUCAAGGGGUUGGAAUUGUUAAAGGAGGUUCAUGCUGAUGCUGUUGAAAUCUUGGGUGAUUCUAUGCUUGUUAUAAAUCAAUUGGCUAGAAUUUAUGAAUGCCGAAGCGAGGUUUGAUAACUUAUUAUGAAAAGAGUAUGCAACUAUUAAAGGAAUUCAAAGAUUUCCGAUUAGAGCAUGUUCCUCGAUUACAUAAUGAAGAGGCUAAUCGGUUGGCUCAGCAUGCCUCGGGAUAUCAAUCCAUAUUAAACACGUUAUCGGCAAUCGGUGUAGAUGAUUGGAGAAAGGAGAUCAUUGAUUAUUUAAAAGAUCCGUCCAAAAAGGUUGAGAGGCGUAUCAGGUUCCAAGCUACCAAGUAUGUGCUCCUUGGGGAUGAACUAUUUUAUCGAACAAUAGAUGGAAUUCUUCUCAAGUGCUUAGGUGAUGAUGAAGCUAAAAGUUUGAUGGGUGAAAUCCACGAAGGAGUAAGUGGAGCACAUCAGUCGGCUUUUAAGAUGAAAUGGAUGAUUAGGAGAAAUGGAUAUUAUUGGCCGACCAUACUCAAAGAUUGCUUUAAAUAUUUCAAAGGAUGUCAAGGAUGUCAAAAAUUUGGCAAUGUUUAGAGGGCCCCCGCGUCGGCCAUGAAUCCUAUUAUUAAUCCUUAGCCGUUCCGGGGAUGGGCUAUUGAUUUAAUCGGCCAGAUUUAUCCACCAUGAAGCAAAGGGCAUAAGUUCAUCUUAGUUGCCACUGAUUAUUUCACUAAGUGGGUUGAAGCUAUUCCUUUGAAGAAAGUAACAUCGGCCAAUAUGAUUGAUUUUGUGAAAGAGCAUAUUAUUCACCGAUUUGUUAUUCCUCAAACAAUUACUACCGAUCAGGGUACCAUGUUUACAUCAGGAGACUUUGAUGAAUUUGCAAUGGUAUGGGGAUUAAAGUAUUGAAUUCUUCUCCUUAUUAUGCUCAAGCCAAUGGGCAGGCCGAGGCGUGCAACAAAGGAAUCAUUAAACUCAUCAGACGGAAGAUUGAAGAAAAUCCUAGAAGAUGGCAUACAUUGUUAAGUGAGGCUUUAUGGUCAUAUCGGAUGGCAUGUCAUGGGUCGACUAAAGUUUCACCUUAUCAGUUGGUGUAUGGACAUGAUGCGGUGCUACCAUGGGAAAUUAAGACCGGAUCUAGGCGACUAUCUUUUCAAGACCAGUUGGCUGCCGAUGACUAUGCUACUUUGAUGAAAGAUGAAUUAGACGAUUUAGCAGGACAUCGGCUUAAGGCUUUGAUAAGUAUAGAAGAAAAUAAAAAGAGGGUUGCUAGGUGGUACGAUAAAAAGGUAAAAGCUAAGAAGUUUGCCGAUGGAGAUUUAGUGUGGAAACUAAUAUUACCGAUUGGGACUAAAAGUUCGAAGUUUGGCAAGUGGUCUCCUAAUUGGGAAGGUCCUUAUCGGAUAAAUCGGUCUGCUCCUGGUAAUGCUUAUAUUUCAGAAACUCUUGAAGGAGUUGAAUUUCCCACAGCUUUGAAUGGAAAAUAUUUGAAGAAAUAUUACCCAAGCAUAUGGGUGGAUGCAUGAAAAGUUUAAGUGUCGAUAACAUUCCUAUCGGCUGGAUUAAAAUAUAUUUGGGACUGAGUAUGAUGUUUUAAAAAGAUGCCGAUAACAGUCCUAUCGGCUAGACCAAAAUAAUCAGAAGUUUCUGAAGGUAGAACAAAACACGCCGCCGAUGAAGAGCUUAUGCAUUCAGCAGAGCUUGGAUCGCCGAUAUGGCGCUCAGACGGAUUUGAUUGGCUUCUUCUAUUUCCCUAAUGUCUUCAUCGGCAGAGCCCUCCACUGGCUUCAGCUUCUUCUUCAUCUGCAAUGCCUUGCGAACUUUAAUGUUUCGCUCUUGUUCGAGGGUCUUGACCAUUUUGGGCAACUGAUUUUCUUCUUGCUGAGCUUGGGAGAAAGCCUCUUCUACUUGCUUGAGCUCUGCCAACAGGGUUUCCCUUUUUGCCGAUAGGUCAGAGAUCUUCUGCCUCAGCGUCUUUCAUAAGGAUUGUAGAAUGCCGAUGCUCUUGUGUUUCUCAUCGGCAAGGUGUUUCACUUUCAUUACCUCCUUUGAGAGCUGGGCGUGGGUGGCUCUAUCGGCCAGACGUUGAGUGGCCUUUUGGUACUGGAGCUGGUGGCUCUCCAAGUGUGCAGCCUUGAAAAGGAUCUCUUCGGCAUCGGCAGGGAUUUGGCCCCUAAGAGCUUUAAACAGAGCCUUGGCUGAAUCGGAAUCUUCGACCAGUUGAGAAGUGUCUUGAUGUAGUAGGUGAAAGGUCCAAAUGGCUAGAGGGGGAGUGAAUAGCCUAUUUAAAUUUUCUACAAACUUCAACUAGACAAGUUGAUUAGUAAAACAAAUGGCGAAACAAUUCUAGCACUAGCUCAACUAAGCUAUGCAAGCCACCUAUACAAACUAGUACAAGGCUAAACACUAAAGCACAAUAACAAGAGAAGGCUAGUUACACACCUAAACAAGAAGACUAAACUUUACAAGCUAAACAACUAGCAAGCUAUACAAGUAAGAAGGAGUGGAGAGAGAGAUUGUUAUACCAAUGUUGUAGAGAAGAGAUAUAUCCAACAAAUCAUUCACAAUCACAAGAGAAUCCUCGGUAAGAGAUGACACAAGAUUUUUUACCGAGGUUCACUUGCUUCCCGGAAAGCUAGUCCUCGUUGUGGCGAUACACCCACCAGAUGGAUCACGAGCUAAUAGGCGAUCCAAAGCCAAACCCUCAGCGGGUGCCGAACAUCCACUCACAAGAUGGGGAUCCUCCAAGCCACGAGCAAUCCACUAGAGUAGCCAAAUUGCGAUCUCCCGUGGGGAAGGCUCGAGAACCCCUCACAAAUCACUUGGUGAGGCUCGAAACAGUCUCCAGUCACGAGCUCAACACCACCGCUGCUCCAAGCCGUCUACGGCGUCGGGAAACACCCAAGAGUAACAAGAAAUCCGCAGCAAACUCAAGAAUCAAGUGCCACUAAAUGCAACUCUCAAAGCAAUGCACUUGAAUCUCACUCAAUCUCACUAGGAUUAGCAAUCAAGCAAGGAGAUGAGUGGAGGGAGUGUUCUCUAGCUCAAUGUAUGUCUCAAGUCAUCAAAAGUGCAAGAGCGAGCCUCCCAAAGCCAGCCACCUUCUAUUUAUAAGCCCCUCAAAGAAACUAGUCGUUGGCUGUUUUUACUGGGCUGAAAACGAGGGCACCGGACGCUACUAAGUGAUCACCGGACGCUCGACCACCAGCGUUCGGUGCUUAGGGGUAGGCCACGUGUACUUCUUGAAUCCCGCAUGUCAGUUUCUAACGGCUACCUGCAGCACACCGGACGCUCUGCAAGUCCACACCGGACGCGUCCGGUGCACACCGGACUCAAGCGCAGAGAGUUCCGCAAACCUGCGGGUCACCGGACGCUAAGCACUGGUAGCGUCCGGUGCUCACCGUACCCAUGCGCAGAGAGGGUCGCAAAACACCCGCACACCGGACGCUAACCACCGGACGCUCUCAGAGUGCGUCUGGUGCUCAACUCUAGCAGGGUCAAGCACACCGGACUCUGAGGCUAGCGUCCGGUGCCUCCGCACUCAGCGUCCGGUGAGUGUUUCUCAGUGAGAAACACUCCCGCGACUUCUCCAAAUUUCCCACCGGCGCAAUAAAAAAUAUACACUUUUUUUCUCAAAAGCGCCGAACAAGGGAGAGAGGAACCCACACCCCUCUCAACCCUAGGAACUCCACCUCCUUUGUAAAUGUGCUAACACCAACAAGUGUCCACCACCAAAGUGCAUGUGUGUUAGCUUUUCACAAACAUUUUCACCAAAGGAGUUAAGUUAGCACUUUACUAGAUCCUAAUGCAUAUGCUCAAGAUAUGGACCUAGUAGCACUUGAUUCGAGAGAUGACCGUGAUUUCCCCUCUUGAUAGUCGGCUAUCUAUCGUAAACCCGGUCAAUCACUUCUCUACUCAUCUUAGACCGGCAAAAGUAAAACCCUAUGUUUAUACCUUUGCCUUGAUAACUUUGCUCCUUGUCUAUCACCAUGAUUUCCACAUCAUGCUUCAUCUCUUUGUGAUCAUGUGGCCACCUUUCCAUGCCACCAUGCACCUUCAUCAGAUGUGUUGCUAUGCCUAACACAAAUCACUUAAACACAAAGCAUUAGAAACUUGGUGUCAUUAAUUACCAAAACCAAACUUGGGCUUUCAAUCUCCCCCUUUCUGGUAAUUGAUGACAACCAUCACAAAGAAAUGAAAUGAAAUCAUAGUGAACAUGAAUUGCUUGUCCAAAGCAUUUUAAUCAUGAGACAAGGUUGGACAAACAUUUCAAUUUCGGUUUUGGUAGAACUAGCUCCCCCUACAUAUGUGCUUCCAUGAGUUUGGUUCAAGUUUGCACAUAUGCAUGAAUUAGAGUUUUGGGAGAUUUAUUACUACCAAAAUGAUGCUAAGGUAUAUAGAAUGGACCUUUGAAGCGUGAUACCAAUCGGAGUUGCCAAUAUACCAUCCUUAGCACCAAUGUAGCUAGACAUACAUCAAAAACUCAAGAUACCUCAUGAGAUCACAUUAUAUGUCUAGAAACCACAAGAAAAUAAAACUCUAUGCUAGAAUUCAAAGCAUCAUUCAAGUUCUAUUUCUAGCAAGCACCAAACAAACAAGAGUAGUAUAUUUAAACUUGCAAUGCAACAACUCAUUAUGUUAGUGCACAUACAAAUGCAACAAUUGGUUCAUGAGCUUGCUCCCCCUAUUUUUGCGCUCAAGUUUUAAGUUAAUUUUCCAAAAGAUCUCUCCCCCUUAAGCACUUUUCUCCCCCUUUAUGACUUUAUCUUUGUUUCUCUCCCUCUUUGUCAUCAAUGACCACAAAGGUUCAAACUUUAGAGAAAAUUAAGUCAAUCAAUGUGAGGGUCAAAUUAUGGUUCAAUCUAGAUCACUUGCCUAAAACAUGUAAUUCGGUUUGAUCCAAGGACAAGCUUUUUCACACCUCAUAAAGUAUAAGGGUUAUCUUGACCAUGUUGAAUUACACAUCAUAAGCUCAUAUUCUAGAUUCAACACUAGGCUUGCAAGCUCACAAACAUGUCAUAUGCUACCACUAGAUCAAUCAAACAUAGAAGCAAUAGUGGUACCAUACAUACAUCAAAAUCCUUUGAUUUUCAUGAAUGAGCCUAUUUGUCAUGAAACAUGUCUAUAUGUUUUAAUCAUGUCCUUAGCAAAGUAUGAAUGCUAUGUCAACCAAAUUUACCUUGCUUGGUUGAAGGAGAGGCAUGUCAUAUCAAUGUGGGGGUGCACUCAUAUCAAGUUGGAGAAGUCAAGUAUGUUCAAUUCAUUUCUCAACUUGCAAAAUCUCUUCUCAUCAAGUGGCUUUGUGAAGAUGUCGGCUAGUUGAUCUUCGGUGCCAAUGCUUUCAAUGCUAAUAUCACCCUUUUGUUGAUGGUCCCUUAUGAAAUGAUGCCUUAUGUCAAUGUGCUUGGUUCUUGAAUGUUGAACCGGAUUUUGUGUCAUCUUGAUUGCACUCUCAUUGUCACAUAGCAAAGGCACAUUCUUGAAUUUGAUUCCAAAGUCAUUCAAGGUAUCUUUCAUCCAAAGCAAUUGUGCACAACAACUACCGGCACUAAUGUAUUCGGCCUCAACGGUUGAUAAUGGAACACUAUUUUGUUUCUUCGAUGACUAUGAAACUACAGACCUUCCUAGCAAUUGACAAGUGCCACUUGUGCUCAUUCUAUCAAUCUUGCAUCCACCAUAGUCAGAGUCCGAAUAUCCAAUCAACUCAAAGUUAGACUCCUUAGGAUACCAUAAUCCAACAUCAUGAGUGCCCUUGAGAUACCUCAAUAUUCUUUUGGUUGCCUUCAAGUGACUUUCCCUAGGUGAAGCUUGGUAUCUUGCACAUUUACACACACUAAACAUCACAUCCGGCCUUGAUGCGGUGACAUAAAGCAAGCUUCCAAUCAUGGAACGAUAUAGCUUUUGACCUACCAAGUUGCCACUUGCAUCACUACCCAAUUGAUCAUUUGUGCCCAUAGGUGUGCUCAUUGGUUUAGCUUCUUGCAACCCAAACUUCUUGAUCAUAUCCUUGAUGUACUUGCCUUGACUUACAAAGGUGCCAUUCUUCAUUUGCUUGAUUUGAAGACCAAGGAAGUAACUAAGCUCUCCAAUCAUGGACAUCUCAAACUCAUUUGCCAUCAUUCUUCCAAACUCUUCACAAAAGUCUUGAUUGGUUGAUCCAAAGAUGAUAUCAUCAACAUAGAUUUGCAACACAAAUAAGUCAUUGCCUAGUUUCUUGGUGAAGAGAGUAGUGUCAACCUUUCCCAUCUUAAACCCUUUAGAGAGAAGGAAAUCUCUCAAUCUCUCAUACCAUGCUCUAGGUGCUUGCUUCAAACCAUACAAUGCCUUCUUGAGCUUGUAAACAUGGUUGGGUUUCUUGUCAUCUUCAAAACUGGGAGGUUGUUCAACAUAAACCAACUCAUUUAUGUAUCCAUUGAGAAAUGCACUCUUUGCAUCCAUUUGAUAGAUCUUGAUGUUGUGGGCACAAGCAUAGGCUAAUAAUAUUCAAAUUGCCUCCAAUCUUGCAACCAGUGCAUAUGUUUCUCCAAAGUCAAGACCUUCCACCUUAGUGUAGCCUUGUGCUACUAAUCUUUCUUUGUUUCUCACAACCACACCAUCUUGAUCUUGCUUGUUUCUAAAGACCCACUUGGUACCAAUCACAUUGUAGUUCUUUAGCCUCUCAACAAGCUCCCACACUUGGUUUCUUGUGAAGUUGUUCAAUUCUUCAUGCAUGGCAUUUACCCAAUGGGAAUCUCUCAAUGCAUCUUCUAUUUUCUUUGGCUCCUCAAAUGAGACAAAUGAGUAGUGCUUACAAAAGGAUGCUAGCCUUGAUCUUGUUUGUACACCACUUUGAAUACCACCAAUGACUUGAUCCAAUGGAUGAUCUCUUGCUAUGCUUGUAGGCUGGAGUAUUGCGAGUUGAUUGCUUCCACUUUCUUGAUUUUGAUUUUGAUCAUCAUCAUGAGAGCCACUAGUACUUGGUUGAUUUGUAUCAAUUUGCACUUCUUGAUUGAUCAUGUGAAUGUCAUUAUCAUCAUCAAUUUGCAUCGGCCUUAUGUCACCAACAUCCAUGUUCUUCAUUGCAUUAGCCAAUUGAUCUACUCCCACAUCAUCAAGAUUUUGAGCUUCACUUUGAGAUCCCUCGAUUUCAUCAAACUCAACAUCAUGGACUUCUUCCAAUGUGCCACUUGCCAAGUUCCAAACUCUAUAUGUCUUACUUGUGGUGGAAUAACCAAGUAAGAACCCUUCAUCACAUUUCUUCUCAAACUUGCUCAAUCUAGUGCCUUUCUUGAGAAUGUAGCAUUUACAACCAAACACUCUAAAGUAUGCAAUGAAGAGUUUGCCGAUGAUUUGGGAGGAGAACCUGAAGGUUGCCGAUUGGUCCAGGGUGGUGUCCCAGUUUGUUACGGGAGGAUAGUUUGUGUUUUUCUUAGUUAUUUAAAUCGUUUUGUAUACGGAUUCUGUUUAAUUUGGAAUUCGAGUCCUAGUCAUGUCUGAUUGUAGCUCUUCGAGCACGGUAUAAAUGUAGACCCUGGGGCCUUGUAAUGAAUAAUCUAUCAAUCAAUGAAACACAAGUUUUUACUCAUAUUCCAGCAUCUACUUUUUCGACGACUUCGUCAUAUUUUCCUUUUCAUUACGAGUUCUUAGGAGUUCGUCGAUUUAAGCUCGGCGUAUUCUCGAGUUCUGCGUGAAUACCUCUUGGCUGUGGCAUCCGGGCGCAUCGCUGUUGUCGGGACUAAAGUAUUCGAGUUAUCACCUUUGCCGAUAGUAAGGUCAAAUCGGCUGGGACGCCUUAACGUUUGAAUCGGGUAUUAGCCCUUUGUGUUUGCAGAUCAGCUUUUGCAUCAACAGGUUCUAUUCUUCCUUUCAACUACACCAUUGGAUUGAGGAGUGUAUGUUGGAGAGAAUUGAUGUCCAAUGCCAAGAUCAUCACACAAUUCCUCAAUUCUUGUGUUCUUGAAUUCACUACCAUUGUCACUUCUAAUCUUCUUGAUAGUGGUUUCAAACUCAUUUGCACCCUCUUGACAAAAGACUUCAAUAGAUCACAAACAUCACUCUUGUAAUAGAGGAAGAACACCCAAGUGUAUCUAGUGUAGUCAUCUACUAUCACAAAUCCAUACUUGUUGCCACCAAUGCUAGUGUAUGUUGUUGGCCCAAAUAAAUCCAUGUGCAAUAGCUCAAAUGCCAUUGAUGUGCUCAUUUCACUUUUCUUAGGAUGUGCAUUUCCAACUUGCUUUCUGGCUUGACAAGCACUACAUGGUUUAUCCUUCUCAAAGGUGACAUCCUUCAAGCCUCUAAUUAAGUCAUGCCUCAAUAGUUUGUUCAAUUGUUUCAUUCCAACAUGACCAAGCCUUCUAUGCCACAACCAACCCAAACUUGAUUUGCUAAUUAGGCAUGAUGUCAAUUGAGUAUCACUAUCAUUGAAAUCAACCAAGUAUAAGCUACCAUGCCUAAAUCCUUUGAAUAUCAAAUUUGAUCCAUCAACACUAACAACCUCAACAUCAUCGCUUCCAAAGAUGCACUUGAAACCAAGGUCACAAAGUUGUGCAAGUGACAAGAGAUUGAAAUCAAGGCUUUCAACUAGCAACACAUUUGAUAUGCUCAUGUCAUUUGAUAUAGCAAUUUUACCAAGCCCCUUGACCUUGCCUUUCUUGUUGUUGCCGAAGGUAAUUGAAUCAAAGCCACUAUUUUGAUUUGUAUCAAUUGAUUUGAACAUACAGGACUCCCCGGUCAUAUGUUGAGUGCACCCACUAUCAAGCACCCAAUGCCUUCCUCCGGCUUUGUAAUUGACCUACAAGACAAGAUCAAUUCUUUUUAGGUACCCAAACUUGAUUGGGUCCUCCAAGGUUAGCAACUAAGCUCUUUGGUACCCAAAUGGCUUUCUUCUUUGAGCCCAUCCAUGGUGCACCAAUGAACUUAGCAUGAACACCUUUUGUAUCCUUGGUAAGCAUAUAGAAAGAAUUAAGCUUAAUUGAGGAUACAUAAGCUUUGGGUUUCUUGUUCAUGCAUUGUUGCUCUAGGUGACCAACUUGCUUGCAAGCUUUGCAAUACCGGCCAUUGUUCUUCACAAAGCUAGUCUUGUGAGGAGCAAAGGUGGCUUUGCCUUUCUUGGGGUUAUAGCCCAAUCCCUCUUUGUAGAGAGAAGUUCUUUGGCUACCCAAGCACAUAAGCAAGCGGUCCUCACCACCAAAAGCCUUAGCUAAGGUGUGAUUGAGCUCUUUCACCUCCUUCUUGAGAAUUUCAUUCUCAACUUUUAGUGUGGUGUCACAAGUGAAACCAUCACCACUAGAUGAGGAUGAUGUAGAUGUGCUACAUGAAGGGUUAGUAGAAGCAACAACAAUAGGCUUGCUUAAGAUAUCACAUGUUAGGCCUAUGUUGCAAGUUUUAGCUUUUUCAAUUUUAGUUGGCUCAUUUUUACAUUUGUUAACUAGAGAGGAAUGAGCUUCCUCAAGCAUAGUGUGAGCCUUUUGAAGCUUCUUAUGGUCUUCCUUUAGACUCUCAUAAGAUGCUCUAAGCUCAACAAGUUCUUGCUCAAGGGUUUUCUUAUCCUUGAGCAAAGCCUUGCACUCCUUUCUAGUUUCUUUAUAGUGAUGAGUGCAAUCUUCUAGCAUAGUGAUUAGUUCAUCUUUAGUUGGUUCAUCAUCAUCACUAUCACUAUCACUAUCACUAGCAUGGUCACUCUCAUCAUCGGAUGAUACCUUAGUGGCCUUAGCCAUGAAGCAUGAUGGAGUGUCGAAGAUGGAGCUCUUUCCUUGAAUUGCAAUGCUAGCAUGCGCCUUCUUGGUGCUCUCAUCAUCACUUGAGGAGUCAUCACUAUCCCAAGUUGCAACAUGGGCAUCACCCUUCUUCUUUUUUGAGCCUUCCUUCUUUUCUUGCUUCUUCUUUUACUUCUUUCUUUCCUUCUUGAUAGCAUCUUCAUCAUCACUAUCAUAAGGACACUUGGCAAUGAGAUGAUCCUUGCUAUGGCAUCUAAAGCACCUCAUGGAAUGGUCAUUCUUCUUGGAGGAGCUCUUCUUCCUUCUUGCUCGAUAGCCCUUCUUCUUCAUAAACUUGCCAAAUCUCUUGACAAGAAGAGCCAUCUCCUCAUCUUCAUCAAAAUCACAAGAGCUUGCUUCUUAUUCACUUGAUGAUUCUUGCUUGGUUUUGCCCUUGGAUGUGGAGGCCUUGAAUGCCACACUCUUCUUCUUCUUCUCAUCAUCCUUCUUCUCACCAUCCUUCUUCUUUUUCUUGAUCAACUCAUCCUUCUCAUCAUCUUCUCUAUAAGCAUCAUCGGUCAUCACUUCUUGGGACACUUGUUGGGGAGUUGAUUCACUAAGUGUUGUCUUGACUAGCACGGUGAUCAAUGUGUCAAAUCUCUUAGGCAAGCUUCUCAAGAACUUCAUAGAGAAUUGACUAUCCUUCACUUCUUCGCCAAGUGCCUUGAGCUCAUUCACAAUGACUUGCAACCGAUGAAACAUUUCCGGCACACUUUCAUCUUCUUGCAUCUUGAAGCUAGAGAACUUCUCUUGGAGGAUGUAAGCUUUGGCGGUCUUAGUACCUUUUUGCCUUCAAAUGUUUCUUCUAAUUUUGCCCAUGCAUCAUGAGCAACCUCAAUGUUCUUGAUUUGCUCAAAGGUCUUGUCAUCAAGAGCUUCAUGAAGAGCACUAAUAGCAAUGUCAUUGCAUUUAAGCUUCUUUUCUUCAACCGGUGUAGGUGCAUUCUCAUUUGCAACCUCAAACUUUGUUUCAGUCACCUUCCAAACUUCUUGUAACACCCUAGGUGUUAAGCAUGCAUUUAGCCCUAUCACAACAUGCAUAAGUAUUCUCAUCAAGCAUAGCAUCAUGAGCAUGUCAUUCAUCCCAAAGCAUGAUUUUAUGUGCUUUAUUUCAUGUGUUUUAAUUAUGCUAAAAAUAUGAUGCUUGCUUCUAAAAAUGUGAAAUAUUCAAACUAGGUUGAUUUAUGUGUAAGAAGAAUUUAGAGUAUUUUUGUGAAAUUUUUAGAGCUAUGGAAUUUGAGAAACGGAAUUUAUACAAAAAUUCCCAAAUUGAAUUUAUUUAAAAACCUAGAACUAGUUUUAAUUUGUAAUUCAAAUUCUCUUUGGAAUUUGGUCUUGCUUAUUAAAACAAAGUUGUAGGGUUUUUGUUUUGGAACAAUUUUGCUUCUGGGAGCAAGAGGUGAAAAUGAUUUUAAAUUGGUUCAAAUGAAUUUAGAAGAGUUUUGGAGAAAAGAAAUUCAAAAAAAAAUAGAAAAGGGGCAGGCGCUGCCGGGCCAACCCCGCCUCCCUUUCGGCCCAGCGAGCGGCCCGGCCUGCCUCCCCCUCCCCCUCUCUCCCGCGCGCGGACGCCCGCCUCGCCCCAGCCAGCGCCGGCCACGUGGCGGCCGUACGCCGGCGAGGAGCGCACCGUGGCCGGACUCCAACCCCCCUGGUCGGGACGCCGGCUCGGGCUCCCAGGCCAUUCCCUCCCUUCUGUCGCCCGCGCCCUUCUCCUUCCUCCCUCCGCUCGCACCGCGCAGCAACAGCAGCUCCUCCGCGCGCCAUUGCCGGAGAAAGCCCCGCCGCUCGCCGCCGACCGCACCAGAGCCUCAAGCUCACCGCCGAGAGCACCAGCGCCUUCGUCAUCGUUAGGGUAAGCUUGUGCGCACGUUCUACCGAGGUGAAAGUCCGUCGAGCGCCGUGAAUCGCUCGCCGGAGAUACCCCGAGCUCGCCGGAGUAUUCCGCCGCGACGGAUCUUGUGUUUCUCUGCCUCUUUUCGCUGGUUCUUGGGUGCGCUAGGUCGGUAGGGUGGUGAGGAAGCUCGGAGAGGCGUUUGCGCACGCUCUACCGCGCCGGAGCGGCCUGGCCACGGCGAGCAACGCCGCCGUGCCGCCAUGCAUGCUCGUCGGAGGUGUUCCGGUCAUCCUCCGGCCAACCCGAGGGUACCGCUGGGUGCGCCUCGCUGCGGGAAGCACGUUGGUGCUUACCCCGUGGCAGGAGACCUCACCGCCGGCGAGAUCUGCUCGUCGGAGGUGAGCUCCCUCUCGGUCUCGCUGACCGGUGGGGUCGGGGACCCACUGUCAGUCGCAGAGGGGACCCCGGUGGGUGUAGAUCUGGGUGCGCGUAGUCUUUUUCGUCGGUUUUCUUGAAUAAAUGAUUUCCAGAAAUUGAUUCAAAACUUGUAAAAUUCAUAUCUUGAGUUCUACAGCUCCAAAUGGGAUGAAAUAAAUUUUGGUGUGCUCUAUAUUUCCAGAUCUACAGUUUGAUGUAAUUGCAUGUCAUGUUUGAGUAACUUUUCUGAAUGAAUGUAUUUAAUCCAUAUUUUUGCUAAACUUGGAAAAUGCAUAGUAAAUAAUAUAUGGUUCAGAAAAAUGUGAAACUUGAUUUGUUGGCUCUGCAUGUAUGUUUACUCACUGGGAAAAUAUUGCUACAUAUUAUUUGGUGUAUAAAUGAAUUUAUGGUAAUUUAAAUGCUUGCAUGGUAGUGAUUCAUGAUUUUUAAUAAUUAAUUGGAUCAUGCAAUAAAUCUGGAAAAUUUUGUGGGUGUUUCUUAUGAUAUUAGACAAAUUGUAAAAAUAUGAAAUCUGUUGUUUGACACUUAUAUCACAGUAGAGUGAUUAUACUUACCCUAUGAAUUAAUCUUGUGAUAUUUGUGGCUCAAAAUAAGUAUCCAAAAAUUAUGAAAAAAUUACAGUAGACUUUAUGCUUAGCUGGUAGUCUCUUGUAAUUUUUGUGGAAUUUAUCGAUGAACAGAACCACAUGCAAAUUUUGAUGGCCUAGAAAUGAAUAAAGAAAAUUAUGAAUUGUUAUGUGUAGGUUAAAUAGAAUAAGUUUGGGUUUGGUGUAUCUUUGAAGCAUCGUGUGGAUUGCUAGUUGCACUUGAAAAGAAACAAUUUGUAGGAGGGAAUGCAAUAGAUGUUUGAUUCCAUUGUACGUUCUUGGAUGAUGUUGACUACCUUGUAAUGAGCAUGACCAAGUGUAUCAUCCAUGCAUCAUGUCAUGACUCCUUUGGUACUUUCUCAUACAAGCAUCCACUCGGGCAUCUCGCACUCCACUCAUAAGCACACAUGCAUCAUACAGGCUCGCAGGAGAACGAAGUGGGACCCGAGGAGAUUCAGGAGCAGGAACUUUCGGAAGCACAGGAACCCGGAGAGGAGCUGCAGGAGUGUCCGGAUCACCGACCCAGCACGUUUGAGAAAGGCAAGCCCCGGAGCAUUCUAAGUCUCCCUAUUCUCGCUAACUUAUAUGAUGCGCUAUAAUUGUUCUACUAUAUUGCAUCUAAGUGAUAGGAUUUGAUUGACACCGUUGAUGCAUAUGUACUCCUUGUUAUCCCUACUCGUUCACCUACCUUGUCCUAUGUAGAUAGGCAUGGAGUCUAUGCUUAGCUUGCUUAGUCCGGUAGAAGUCGGGUGAUUUCCUGUCACCUGCGAGAAAUAGGUGGAUACCUGCUUGAUUAAGCAUUGGUUGCUUGGGGAAAAGAAUAACCAAGUGUGAAAUGUAACUGGAGACUGGGCAGGGGUCUUAUGGUGGGUUGACUAUAGUGCCCCCGCCUGUGUUGAUUAAGGACCGAUCGUUGACGGCCCUCUUGUCAUGUUGAACGCAUGCCCCACACUUAGCUGGAAGGAUAAGUCGUUCCGACCGCGAAGCCUGAGCACUAUCCUGGCCGGGAAUCGAGCCGCCAUGCGCUGUAUUGGUGAUGGUUGAGGAGAACGACGAGGGCGCGGCGCGCAACCUUGGUAUACCUUGGAUACCUCGGUCGCCGGAACGGUCCUCGGGUACUGGCGGUGCCUGCCGAACCCGCGAAUUGGUCCUGGAUAGUGUAAUACGGUGAUCUGUAGCUCAAUUGGUCAGUGAGUGUGGUUUGUGUGGGGAAUAAACUCGCCAGCUGGUUAGAAAUCGAUUCGAAUCGCCAUCGCUCCUGGAUAGUGAGCACUUGACAUGAGCUUCGUCCUUGUAGUAAGGACUAUGGAACACUUGGGUUAUAUCGAUAAGUGAUUUAAGAAUGCUAUGAUGAGGUACCAUCAUAUCACCAUACUUGUUUGUAAUAGCACAGGUGCAAACCUAGAGAAUAGGUAAAGAUACUUUCAACUUGAGCAAAUUAAAAGAAGAAAGAUUUAUGUAGGUUAUGAUAGUAAAAUCCUGCGGUUUUGCAAAAUGGUUGUCAGCUACCCCCACUAUAUAGCCUUCAUAAUCCUCGAUGAGUCUUUAUUUUAAGUUUAUGACGGGUAAGUCUAGCUGAGUACCUUCUCGUACUCAGGGUUCUACUCCCAUGUUGUUUUGCAGAUGGUCAAAUGUACUAUGGUUAUUGCAUCCUCUGUCUGUACCCUGCCAUGGGUGAUGACUAGACCAAGGGUGAUGGUCACUCCGUCUCCUCUUUUGCUUUUGUGGGAAUGACCGAACUAUGGCACUGUAUCAGACUAAGCGUGUGUGUUGUAUUUUGGAACUAUGAAGCUUCCGCUACUUGAAGAACUUGGUUUGUAAUAAUUUUAAGAACUCCGAUGUAUUUUAUGAAUGUUGUAAUCUGGAUGUAUUUGUGAAUGGCGACCGCUAAACUUAUUACGAUCUUGGCUGUUGUGUGAUGUCUGGUUUGAAAUCCUUCGAGAUUUCACGGACUACCGGGAUUAUAUGGGCUUAAGCGUGAUGGUUUGACUAUGCAAAUGGUCACUGUUAGGCUUAAUCUCUUAUAAUUUGGACGGUUCUAUUACAGCUGGCAUCAGAGCAAGGUUUAGCGAGUUAUUGUUCAUAAGUAUGUUCUAAACAAAAAUCUAAACCGGUUUAAUAAAAGAUUUUAUUAAUUAAUCAAUAGUGAUCAAGGUGUUAAACCAAGUUUUGGGAAAACUAUCUAGUGUGCCAUGGUCAUAUCCUUUAUGCCCGAUUAAGGACUCUAAGGUGGCUAGUUAAGUACUGACUUGGGGGUUAAUGCAUCAUAUUUUUAUUUUCGUCGCUCAUACGGCAUGCAAUAGUAUGAGUACCAUUCAUUUGAGUGGUAAUGUAUGGAUCCCUUUUUCCUCUACGCCACGGUAAGUGGGAGCUGUGAGAGCAUGAUCGGAUACACUGCCGGUCUAGAGGAGUUUUGUUAGGUACUGUGUCAUGCACAGAUGAUUGGUGUGUCUUGGAAACAGUACCGCAUGUUGGCGAUUCCGUCCUGAGAGGCGAUGCCGUCAUUAGGGCGAUGAUAUGGGUAGCAACACAUCACAUGCAUGGACGGGUGUCAGUGUAUGUGGGGUGUAUAGUUUAAAAUUCUUGUUCUGCACGAUCAUACUGUGGGUGGGCUGAAAUGAAGUUUUCUGCAGGUACAAUAACCACGUUCUCGCUUAGAACGCUAGUUACGUUAUGAGAGAACGUUGUGUGCCACCGCAUAUACCGCUUAGUGUUAACCUUUGUUUCUAAGUUUGUGAGAUCGUAAGUUCGUGCAUGCAUUAUGUUCAUGUCAUAUCAUUGCUUACUUUCCCCCUUAAUUUAAUCUGUCCCAAUUCUAAAUAAAAUAAUUAAAGGUAAUCCUCGCUCUUACCCACGGUAUUCCAUUUGCAGCAGAUGGCACGCACUAGGCUCACCGCUCGCAAGUCCACGGGUGGGCGGGCCCCUCGCCAUCCGUUGGCAGCUAGGAGCUCGCGACAUAAGAGCAAGUUCCUGGAUGAGUUUGGGAUGCCCACUUUGCUUUGGAGGGUGCUCAGUUCGAUGGGGUAUCCCGAAGGAAGGGAGCCUCGCUACUAUUGGGAUAAGGAGCCGCUUGGUGACGAGACCCUGGUGGGGAUCGAGGCAGUUGUCCCUACCAGUGGAGGAGACCCUGCUUGGGGUGGCUGGGUGUACGAGUCCCGAGGUGUGACGCCUUUCCACGGUGCCAGCAGGGCAGCUUUCGCAGUUCUGAGGAACCUCAUGGAGAGGUUUCCACAGGAGCUGGCCCACGCCUUCGCUGGGGUAUUUCCCCGGGGUGACCCCUACACUUCGGUGUGGGAUCAGUCCGAGGUGAAUGCUCUAUAGAGGAGUGCGGAUGAGGACCAGCACAGUGACGGUGCAGCUAUGAGUGCCAUGUACGCGUUGAUGAAGACCUAUGGAGGCCUGGAGCGUAGUUUGGGUCGCUUGUCUGGGUCCCUUCUCACCGUCCAGGAUGAGAAGCGUCAGUUGCAGCGUGAGUUUGACUCUGAGGUUGAGAGGCUACAGGCAGAGUUGGCCCGUGUGACCAGAGAGAGAGACCAGGCAGUCCAGAAGAACAGUGAGCUGAGUCAGGACCUGCUUGCAGUGCGAGAGCAGAGGGAUAGGGUGACCACUGCUCACAGGAACUGCGAGCGCAUGCUAGUCCAUGUGCUUGGACAGAGGAAUGAAGCCUGGCACGAGGAGGACACUUUGAGGGCCCGACAGCUAGAGCUAGAGCAGCAGCUAGCUAAUGCAGAGGAGUACAAUGAGAACUUGCAUGAGGAGAUCCACCAGCUGCAUAACCAGCUCCACCCUCACCACCUGCCUAGAGCAGCUGAGCUAGACUCUGAGGACGAGAUGGACGCGGAUCCCGAGAUAGGAGCAGCUGCUAUUUGUGAUGAGGACGAGGAGGGCUCCGGCAAGGACAGUGAUCAUAGCGACUAGAUGCUAGGGCUUUAGAGCUAGUCCUUCUUUGUGUUGUAUGUUGCAUGGCAUGUCGUGUACUUUUGGAUCUGGGCUAUGUAAAACUUUAUGAGUUAAUGCUGAAAGUCCAAUGUAUGUGUGCUGGCAAGUUGGAUGUACGCGAACCUUGUUGCGUGAACGUUAAGCAAUCUGUUAGUGAUGUUGUGUGUAGAUGAUGAAUUAUUGUGCCUCUAUUUAUUGUGCGAAUUUAUUCCCUCAGUAAAUUCAGUACGGCAUGAUUCUACACAUUUCUACCUCUGAUGGCAACUCCUAACGAUUGCUUAUCAUUGACGUAUGCAGAUGGUGCAAACACGUGGCGGGGGUAACAGCAACCCGGGCCUUGGAGCAGGUACAUCCGGAGGUGGGGCUCAACGGAAUGAGGACAGAGCACCAACACCACCACCACCACCGCCUCCUCCGUACACUGCGGACGUGUUCUUCGCGCAGUUUCUCGGGAGCCAACGCAACAUGGAACAGAUGCAACACAACAUGGAAGAGGCUCUGCGCAAUAUAGCUGACAACACCCGUCGUGGGGAUAACCAGGGCGGCCGAGAAGUCAACCAGUACAGUUCGUUCAAGGACUUCAUGGAUACCAAGCCACCAAUCUUCAAGGAGGCCUUGGAACCGCUCGAGGCAGAUGAGUGGAUCAACACUAUGGAGCAGAAGUUUCGUCUUCUCCGAAUGACAGAAGAACUUAAGGCUGAGUAUGCGGCACAUCAGUUGCAAGGACCCGCUGGGAUUUGGUGGUCCCAUCACCGUACCACCUACCCAGAGGGGACCCCAAUUACCUGGAACCGUUUCACCACAGCUUCCCGGGGAAAUUACAUUCCUCCGGGUGUGGUUGAAAUGAUGGUUGGGGAGUUCAUGAGGCUGUCCCAGGGGACGAAAUCGGUGAAGGAGUAUCUACAUGCUUUCAAUAAUCUCGCUCGCUAUGCCCCUGAGUUUGUAAACACGGAGGCUAAGAAGAUUGCUAGUUUCCAGAGGGGCUUGAAUCCAAAGAUGCUGAAGACCAUGGGUACAGGGGCCAGGGCUACCUUCAAUGCUUACAUCAGUGACUGUCUCACCCAGGAGAACAACAACAACAACUACAGUGCAUCCAAGUCACGUAAGAGGGCUUUUGAAGCCGGAUCAUCUCAGUCCAGGGCACCAGUGGCAGGGCGACAGCAGUAUCGUCCUCCUGCCCCAGGUGCUAGGUUCCGACCGCCGCAGAGAAGGAACACCGGGCAUCCCACACAGCAGAAGCCGUACAAGGUGGCGAUAGCCCCUGCCAAGCCAAAGGCAAUUCAAGCUGCAGCACCUGCCGUCAACAAUGCGCCCAAGGGUCUGUGCUAUAACUGCCACAAGAUGGGGCACUUUGCUAAGGAAUGUCCCUACCCCAAGAGGCAGCAGCCAACCUAUCCAGCUCGUGUGCACCAUACCUCGAUUGAGGAAAUCCCGGAAGGAGAACCGGUAACAGCUGGUAUGUUUCCUGUCAACCAACAUCUUGCAGUUGUUUUGUUUGAUUCUGGAUCAUCGCAUUCAUUCAUGAGCCAAGCAUUUGCACAAAAGCAUAGUCAACCAGUUACAGAUCUGGGUUAUGGCUACCGCAUCAGCUCAGCGGGGGCAGAUGUGUUGACCAAUAGAGUGGUUCGAGGGGCAACCCUGGAUAUAAGUGGCCGAGUAUUCUGAGUGAAUCUAGUGGUCAUGCCUGGGCUAGUUUUGGAUGUUAUUAUGGGUAUGAACUGGAUGAGAGAAUGGGAUGCCGUCAUAGAUACUGGGAAGAGGAUGUUAUCUCUCAGAGAACCACAGGGCAGUAGCUCUUUUCAAGUACCUCUGCCCCGUCGUCUUGACUUUGCUAGCAUCUCUUGUGCUACGCACGUGGUUCCAUUACCACAGAUCCCAGUAGUCUGUGAGUUCCCUGAUGUUUUUCCUGAGGAAUUACCAGGACUUCCCCCGGAUAGGGAAGUAGAGUUUGCAAUCGAGUUGAUACCAGGUACAGCACCAAUAUCGAGAAGGCCGUACCGGAUGCCACCAAACGAACUCGCUGAGUUGAAGAAUCAACUAAAGGAGUUACUGGAUAAAGGGUUCAUCCGGCCAAGCUCGUCAGAAUGGGGUUGUCCAGCGUUGUUUGUAAAAAAGAAGGAUCAGUCAUUGCGCAUGUGCGUGGACUAUCGUCCACUCAAUGUAGUGACAAUCAAGAAUAAGUAUCCUUUGCCAAGGAUUGAUAUCCUGUUUGAUCAGUUGUCCAAGGCAAGAGUGUUUUCUAAGAUAGAUUUGAGGUCUGGGUAUCACCAAAUCAAGAUUCGUCCGCAAGAUAUCCCGAAGACUGCUUUUUCCACCAGAUAUGGGUUGUAUGAGUAUCUUGUCAUGUCCUUUGGAUUGACGAAUGCUCCUGCAUACUUUAUGUACCUGAUGAAUUCAGUCUUUAUGGCAGAAUUGGAUAAGUUUGUUGUGGUGUUUAUCGAUGAUAUUCUGGUUUAUUCAGAAAAUGAGCAAGAUCACGCCGAGCAUCUGAGAAUCGUGCUGACAUGAUUACGAGAGCAUCAGUUAUAUGCCAAGUUCAGCAAGUGUGAGUUCUAGCUGAAGAAAGUUCCUUUCCUAGGGCAUAUUCUGUCUGAAGAAGGGAUUGCUGUGGAUCCGUCAAAAGUGUAGGAAGUCAUGGACUGGAAGGCACCAACUUCUGUCUCGGAAGUUAGAAGUUUUCUUGGUCUGGCCGGGUAUUAUCGUCGUUUCAUAACCGACUUCUCCAAGAUUGCUAAGCCCAUGACAAGUUUGCUACAAAAGGAUCACAAGUUUGUCUGGACGGAAGGGUGUGAGUUAGCCUUCCGCACCUUGCGAAAGUUGCUAACCACUGCUCCCGUUCUGGCACAACCCAAUAUAGAAAAGCCUUUUGAUGUGUUUUGUGACGCAUCGAAGAGUGGCCUGGGGUGUGUGUUGAUGCAAGAUAGCAGGGUGAUAGCUUAUGCUUCCCGACAGUUGAGAAAGCAUGAAGUCAACUACCCAACGCACGACCUCGAGUUAGCAGCAGUAGUGCACGCCUUGAAGAUUUGGAGACAUUAUCUGCAGGGAAAUAAGUGUCACAUUUAUACCGAUCAUAAGAGUUUGAAGUACAUCUUCACUCAGUCCGAGCUAAAUAUGAGGCAACGACGGUGGUUAGACUUAAUCAAGGACUAUGAUCUGGAAGUUCACUACCAUCCUGGCAAGGCUAAUGUGGUAGCAGAUGCGUUGAGUCGUAAACCGCACUAUCAAGUGGUUCAACCGUUGUUUGAAGAUGGGUUCAAUCUUAUGCAUCCUGAGGUCUUAUGUCACAUACAACUCAGUUGUUCACUCGAGAGUCAAGUCAUUGAAGGACAGAAAAUAGACAAGGGUAUUUUCCACAUCAAAGAAAAGAUCAAAAAUGACCCAAAAACUCAGUUUCGAGUUGAUGAGAAAGGGGUACUGUGGUUUCAACAUCGGUUAGUAGUUCUGAAAGAUCGUGAAUUGAAGAAUCGCAUCAUGGAUGAAGCCCAUCUCUCUAAGCUUUCUAUUCAUCCUGGCAGUAGCAAAAUGUAUCAAGAUCUAAGACCCCACUUUUGGUGGACCAAGAUGAAGAAAGAAAUCGCCGCAUAUGUGGCCCGUUGUGACAUGUGUUGCAGAGUUAAGGCCAUCCAUAUGAAACCUGCAGGUCUGUUGCAACCGUUAUCAGUUCCAGAGUGGAAAUGGGAAGAGGUCAGUAUGGAUUUUAUCACAGGUUUACCGACCACGAGGAAGGGGAAUUACUCGAUUUGGGUAAUCAUAGAUCGAUUAACCAAGUCGGCUCAUUUCAAUCCAGUCAAGAACACAUACAAACCUCCCGAGUAUGCCGAUAUAUAUAUGGCUGAGAUUGCCAAGUUGCAUGGUAUUCCCAAGACCAUCAUAUCAGAUAGAGGACCACAGUUCACCGCUCACUUCUGGGAGCGAAUGCAUAAGAACUUGGGAACCAGUCUGAUAAGGAGCACAGCGUAUCAUCCUCAGACCUCAGGUCAAACGGAGCGGUUAAAUCAAGUGUUAGAAGAUAUGCUGAGGGCCUGUGUGCUAUCAUCCAAGGGAUCAUGGGAAUCAUGGUUACCUCUGGCUGAAUUCUCCUACAAUAACAGUUAUCAGGAGAGCAUCAAGAUGGCCCCGUUCGAAGCUCUGUAUGGUCGGAGGUGUAGAACUCCGUUAAACUGGGUUGAACCUGGGGAAAGGAGAUGCUACGGUAUCGACUUCGUGAAUGAGGCCGAGAAGAAGGUGCAAAUCAUACAGCAGCAUAUGCAAGCAGCGCAAUCACGACAAAAGAGUUAUGCUGAUAAGAGAAGAAGGCCACUUGAAUUCAAAGUAGGUGACUAUGUGUACCUCAAGGUCACGACAAUGAAGAAAGUUCAGCGUUUCCGAGUUCGAAGCAAGCUAGCACCCAGAUAUGUCAGACCGUACCAAAUACUAGAAAGGAAAGGCCCUGUGGCCUACAAGAUUCAGUUACCUGAAGAGUUGAGCUCGAUCUUUCCGGUCUUCCAUGUGUCGCAACUGCGGAAAUGUUUGAAAGUACCUGAGCAAAGAAUUGAACCUCGAGGGAUCAAAAUAAAAGCAGACUUAGAGUAUAAGGAGCAACCAGUGGGAAUUGUGGAUACCAAGGAACGGGUAACUCGAAACAGAAUUGUCAGAACUUAUAAGGUGGUGUGGAGUCAUCAUGACGAUAGGGAUGCCACCUGGGAAACAGAGGAUUACUUGAAAACAGUUUAUCCAAAAUUUCAUAAGAAAUGGUUAGUAACCCAAAAUCUUGGGACGAGAUUUCCCUAAGAGGGGAAGGGCUGUAACACCCUAGGUGUUAAGCAUGCAUUUAGCCCUAUCACAACAUGCAUAAGUAUUCUCAUCAAGCAUAGCAUCAUGAGCAUGUCAUUCAUCCCAAAGCAUGAUUUUAUGUGCUUUAUUUCAUGUGUUUUAAUUAUGCUAAAAAUAUGAUGCUUGCUUCUAAAAAUGUGAAAUAUUCAAACGAGGUUGAUUUAUGUGUAAGAAGAAUUUAGAGUAUUUUUGUGAAAUUUUUGGAGCUAUGGAAUUUGAGAAAUGGAAUUUAUACAAAAAUUCCCAAAUUGAAUUUAUUUAAAAACCUAGAACUAGUUUUAAUUUGUAAUUCAAAUUCUAUUUGGAAUUUGGUCUUGCUUAUUAAAACAAAGUUGUAGGGUUUUUAUUUUGGAACAAUUUUGCUUUUGGGAGCAAGAGGUGAAAAUGAUUUUAAAUUGGUCCAAAUGAAUUUAGAAGAGUUUUGGAGAAAAGAAAUUCAAAAAAAAAAUAGAAAAGGGGCAGGCGCUGCCGGGCCAACCCCGCCUCCCUUUCGGCCCAGCGAGCGGCCCGGCCUGCCUCUUGGUGCGUUAUUGCCGAUCAGAGAGAUCGGGCCCGAUGAAAGGUGUUCGAUCGGCCUUCUGCUCUGGCUGACUGUCGGUGGUGUACGGUCGACCUUUGUAAAACGGAGGGAGUAAGUUCCCGAUAAGAAUGAAAGUAAUAGAAUAAUUGAGGCAUCGGUUGAAAACUUACAUAGUUCUCGGGGACUUUGUACUUGGAGUCAAUCAUAUCACGGUAUGUAAGGGCUGAUCAACAGAAUAGGUGCUCUUUCCACUCCGCCCACCAUUGUUUGUAUGCCUGGGAAAUGAAGAGAGCUGGGAUCCAAGCUGAUAAAUCAAUGUCUGACAUAUCGGCAUUUGGUGGUAGUUGAGCUAUUCUGAUCCACUCAAGACCGCUGGUUAUGAUCUCCCUUGGCUUCACCACAUCGGCGUAGCAGAGUGCAAUCGGCAGCUGUCCAAAGGCCAGUUGACGAGCCAAUGUCGAUGGAUUGUAGAACUCAUAGGUGAGAUUGGUGUUGACGGUUCUUAAGUAUCAAUUUUAAUUAUCAAAUAAACAAGAGAAAGGACCAAUAUGCAACCAACACCUAGAAUUAGGGUUUGAUCUGACAGAAUUCCACGAGUUUUGCUGUUUAUCUAUUUCUGCAGGGGGUUAUCAGGAAAUAAGGAAGAAAGGCCCACAUGUCGGGAUUACAUAGAGAUAUCAACGCACUGCACGAUUUUCUACCAUCUAGAAGACUCCAGAAGCCACGGGAAGAAGACAGAGGCCGAAAGGGGCCAGGCCCAGGGCGCCCGUCCUGAGGACAUGGGCGCCCGCCCCCUCCUAUACUCCGUUCGGGACUCUCUUCGCAUACGAUGUUCCACCGACCUAAUGGAUCAAAGAUAACGUAGUACCACCUCGCCUACCGACCCAAAAAUGCAUAGAGGAGGAGGACUAUAUAAGGAGACCCCCCUGGCCCUGGAGAAGACAAGAAGUUAUCAUAGAGAUUGAGGGGUGCCCUCGAAGGAAAACCUCUUCUCUAAUUAAUAUUUCUUUUUAGGCUUAGCAACCAAUGUAAGUAGAAAUAGAUCUUCUAGUUUCUACUAGAUUGAGAGAGAUAGAGUGGAGGUGUGGAUCGGAGAAAGGCCGGCCUGUCGGUGUCUACUCCGAGCUUGUACCUGCGGGAUCAAGUUCUCCUAACCCGAGGCUUGCUCAUAGGAUUCUUCAGUAUUUUGACUUCUAAAUUCUAGUAAGUUCUUAUUAUAUUGUUCUUUUGGUUUAUGAGUUUACUUUAAUCUCUUCGCGUAGAGUUUAGAGUAAUCGUUGCUGGCGUAAACGUGGUGUUUAGGCUGGGGUACUCAUAGAUAUUCCCUGACUAGCUAGACCAUAGUAGUAGUGAGGAACGUGACAAUUCUGAGUUACCAUUGCAGACCAUAUCUCGUUACCAGGAAGGAUAGGGUUCAUAGGUGCGGGUUGAACAUCCUUUGUGGUGUCUAGAUUCUGUUAGCCUCCCCGAUUGAACAGUAGAUCAUCCUUGCCAAGGUUAGAAGGAGACUACAGUUGCAGUCUUCUCUAUUUAUCACUCACAUCGAGAACAUUCUUUGUUGCCUAAAGGGUUAGUAGUAAUACACCGGUUAGUCAGAUGCACUCUUUCUCCUAGUGGUAAAAAAAUAAAUACGAUACUCUGGAUUACCUCCCGGGUGAAGUGCUCACCGAUAUCCGUGCGCUUGCGGAUCAAUUCCUUAUUGCGUUCCCAAAUAUCAACUAGCAUUUCUGGCGCCGUUGCCGGGGAGAAAGACGGUUUGCUGAGAUAACCUUGAGUCUUACUAAUAACUUGUAUCUAUACUUUUAUCUUUUCUUAUCUUUUAUAUUCUUUGUUUAUUUUCUUUAUUCUUAUCUUAUGGAAAACUAAAAUUCUAAAUCGAUCCAUGAAUCUGCAAUCCCUUCAGUAACUGACCUUUUACCAUGGGAGUCAUCACAGCCUAUCCAAACAUCCCAGUAUAAGUCAAGUUCUAGGUUGAUUGCCAUGAUUCAAAACUUAUCUUUUUCGGGAAAGGAAGACAAAAACCCUUAGCUUCAUAUUAGAGAUUUUGAGCAAACAUGUGAUUGUCUUCGCAUUGAAGGCAUUUCUGAUAAAACUUUACGCUAGACAAUGGUACAGUGAGAAGGUAAGUCAACAACGAGGUGAAUGGGGAGUUUUACGAGCCAACUUUUGUCUAGAUUUUUAUUCCCUCGACCGUAUAGCCGACCUUAGACUCGAAGUCCUAUCUUUUAAACAAAAAGAUAAUGAAACUUUGGGAAAAUCCUAGAAACGUUUUUCUGAUCUUUUAGAAUCUGGUCCGAACCUUAAUCUUGAAGACCCUGUUCUUCUAUUUCACUUUUUUCGAGGUCUUCAAAAAAAUCACAAGCAAAUGCUACACACAAUGUCUAGUGGUUCUUUCUUUCGCAUCCCUACUGAUGAAGCUAGAGUGAUCCUUGAUAGAAUCCUAGAAGCUGAGAUGGUUAAUACCCUUCAUGAUGAAACCUACGAAGUAGACACUCUGCCAAAUUCUUCAUCUACUUUAGCUAUCCCAAGUUCUGAGCCACAAGAGGAAGAAAUUCCACCACCGAACUUCAUGCUGGAUAUAGAAUCCGAUCUUUUUGCCGAUUUUGGAAACAUUUCAAACUACCAUUCUGUUGACAAACCCCAAAACGGCCAGUUUAGCAUUUAUUUGCCAAGUGAAUAUCAAUUGAGAGAGCUUAUCUCAGUCAUGAGUAGCGAAUGGUUGGAGGAAUCAGAGCUUUCCUCUGAUGUGAUCUGUUUGGACACACCCUCUAUAACUAUACGCUGCGCUUAUAAUUCUGAUCGAUUUAAUGCUCUUUAUAAUCCUAUUGUGGGGAUCAACAUCAUGUCUGAAUCUUUUGCACUUAAACUAUUUAAAAAUCUUGUCUUAACCCCCACAACAAAGGUAAUAAAGGAAUCUUUGGGACGAUUAGUCCCCAGUCUUGGAAUUAUUAAUGUCCUACCUCUUACGGUAGAAGGCUCCAUGGUUCAUUUGAACUUCUAUAUCUUUGAUACAUGGGACUUCGACCUGUUGAUAGGACAACCUUUUAGAAGACUCCUUUUCGAAGGUCAUACUGGAAAGCUACACAUUUCUUUUGAAAAAGCCUUUAAAUUCCCAAUAACAAUUUCACACUCGUUGAAUAAUAAGACCGAGUCAUAUCUUUUGCCUGAUCCUAUGGAGGAGGUAAAGGCUGCAUCUCUAGAGCUUUUAGAAGAAUCAGACAUAGAAGACGAAACUCCUUUCUUCAUUGAAGAAGCCGAACCUUCUGAACCUGAACCCUUAGAUGAGUUUGCAGAAACACCUAGACCCCCCAUAGAGCUUAAAACUGUACCACCCGGUCUUAUCUAUGCUUUCCUAAACAAUAAUCCAGAAUUUCCUGUGAUCAUUAGUGAUAAACUCACUCAGGAGCAAACUCUGCGAUUAAUGACCACUAGUAUAUUGCCCGUGCUAACGCUACGGUGACAUCUAAGUAACAUAUAUUAAACACUCAAUGUAUUGUUCAAGUAACUUUCAAUACAAGUGCACAUUUUCAAUAGCGCCGUAUAAAACGCCACAAACUCAUGAAAUACAUAAGGAAAAUGAUAAAUCAAUGUAUUAUUUGCAACUACCAUGUGGCAAAAAUAUGCUUUAGACAUGAACCAAUCACAUGGAAACAGACCUUUCCUCAUUUGUAAUAAUUUCUUGAUCAUCACAUGGACCGGCAAGUGCCUAGGAAGCUUGAAUCUUUGAUAGCAGGCGUUCUGAUCUAUGUAUUUUUGCCUGAACCUGAACAUUUGAUGAGAAAUUAUGGAACAAAGUAGUGACAACUAAAGGCAGAAAAAGAAUUGGUUUGCAAACAUGGUGCAUCAUGCCAAAUUAAGGAAAAUGAACUGGCUUUAGGAAUUUAGAACUAAUGCCAAGACGACACAUAAUUUGUGCCUGACAUAGUGCACAUUAAACUACCAGUACCAGAUAUAGUCCAUAAAAUUUCAGACCAGAUCAGUCCGUCUGCGUGCCGCUAAUCAACACACAAAUUAUAAAGGCAAAUACCGCAUAAUUUAAAUUAUAUACAAACAAUAAUAUAAUGUGACUAUUGGUGGAGAGAAUAUAAAUUAACUACUUUUAAGGCUCUUCUAAAAUAGCAACAAAGAUGGUCAAAUGACCCAAGGACCAUCUACAUAUCCUAGUAUAGACCUUGAAAAUACUUGCAAGUAGUGAGCACCUGGCAAGAAAAUAGUAAUUCCAGAAUAUAUUCAACCAUCUUAAAUUUCCAAUACUGAAUAUUCCUCCACAUGAAACUGGCAAAGAAAACACUGUUCAACCACUUCAUCAGGGCCCAAAAAAGAAGCAAUUGAUCUCAAUAUUCACGGAUCAGCAAAGGUAUAAUACCAGACCAAUAUUGAGUAUGAACCUGAUGCCAAUCUUCAAAGACCAGACCAGACCAGCCAGAUUAAGCCUCCUUUAUUCUCCUGUACCCCAAGUACAUAUACCUAAAAGUUGCAGAAAAGUGCACAACAAAGAACAAGUGCACUUCAUUAGUGCUGAUUAGUGCUGGUAUGAUAUGCAUUUUUUUCACACAAUAAAAUAAUUCUCAAAUUUAUACAAACUAUUGCCAGACAUUGUCUUCAACAUAUAUGGUCAAGUGCAUAUCCAGAGCAUCAUAUAUCUUUGAUAUUUAAUACACUGAACCACCAAAUUUACUGCCCAGACAUAGUGAUUGGAAUUCAAGCAGAAAAUAGAUCGGAUAAUAACAUUAUAAAGCUACACUAAAAUACAAAAUAGCACAUAUCCUUUCUUUGCUUUAUCAUUAUUUUUUAAAUUAGUUCAAGGAAUCAUAAGACAGUAGUAAAAUACGGUACCAGGAAUUUUUAGUGUUAGUUAAAACUACAAGGGCUUAUAUUUUCCUAGAAGCAAAUACAUUUUCACAAACACAGUGAGAUGGGAAGUCAAACAGGAAGCCGAUGUAGCAGUGAACACUAAUGUCCUCAGGUACAACUCCUUUGUUCAGCUGGUCUCUCACGUGUUCCUCUUGGUCAUUCUCUAGAUUAAUGUGAAAGAUCCCCUCAGCCUGAAAUUGUAAUGCAGGAAACUUUAGGGUCAUGGUUUCACUACUUGAUACAUUUGUAAGGGGAAGUAAAUUUACCAGGCACUUGCUGGCUGAUAGAACAAUUCUGAAACAAAUGCAAACACUGUAUCUUCCCCUUUCCUGGUAAGUAGAAAACAACACAUGAAACAGAAAUUUUGCAGACACAUACUGAAGACAAACAAAUUCAGAUCAAUUGUAGACCAAGUAUACUGACCAUCAUCUAUACGAUGUGUACUAUGGUGCUUGUGCAGCCAUGCUCAACAGAUUUGUGAUUGUGAAAAAAUUUGCUCAUGUACCAGUCCACACAUGAUUCUUGGCACUUGAGAUAGCCAUCAAAAGGCACAUACGUUCUAGGAUGGCCUUGUUAAAGUGUGGGGCAAGAUGGCAGCACCAAAUAUGCAGUUGUGUGCAGGUCAGCUGAGCGUGCAUUUUAUGACAACUUUUAAUUGAGAACCAGCACCAUAUUUAAGCUUGACUUAUAUAAAACCAUCGAAUUGGUGCUGGAGAAAUAUACAUAUUAGAAUUGGAGAGAAAAACAGUAUUGUUACCGCACAACCCUUGCUCCUCACGACCAACGGCUGACCCCUAGAGCCCUUAUUCCUAUAAAGAAGCAGAUGAGCUACACUCUCUUGAGAGAAAGGAGAUACCUAAGAAUUAAUUCAGCAGCUGCAACAGGAGACCAUAACGCAAAUUAAUAUAUGCUUGAGUUGCAUAAGCGAAUGGGAAGGAGAGCUCUUUGAAUUUCGCAAUAUAUUCUACAAUAGGCUGGAACCAUCCAGGAAAGAAAUUCAGAACAAGAUAUUCUCAUGCAUGAAGACUUAAUAUUUUAAUUAACUAUGCAUUUCAGAGUUUUUUGCCGUGAAUAGAUAGCAAUUAGCAACUAUGCAUUUUACCUGAUACUUGUCGCGAAUGAGAGCCAAAUGGAGGACACCAUGUCCUUGAAUAAUUCUGGUGAUCUCGAACAAAGCAUAAGGGCUACCACCCAAAAAGCAUUAGUCGAUGGUUCAGGCUCCCUGCUCAGUAGUUACACCUGAGAACAGUCCACCAGCCGGACAAGAUGAAACCAUAGCAGCUCAGCCAAGAAUAUUUUAGAUUAAGUUGAGAGUAAAUAUUUUUAGUCAACAAGAAUACAUAUAUCAGACACAUUAUAAUCAAACAUAUUUUCUACAUAAUAUCAUAUACCAAUUUCAAAUGGAUGAAACUCACCUCCAGAUUGUGCGCUACUAAGAUAUAUCCCCUUUUGUGAGUGGGACUGGCUUGAGAGUAUACAAGCAAGGCUACUACUAUGCUCUUGAUGAACUAAUGAAAUUGAAAUCUUCAUCUACGAUGAACACAACAGGGGCAAAUGAAAUUUAGUAACCAUAUGUGCACUAUCAUGUACAAGCUAGUAAAUGGAGGCAUCAUUAUCUUCUAAGCCAGUACCAAAAGAAAAAUAACAUCCCUUUAGCUAAAAGCAUGAUUGGAGUGAGAACCCAAUCACCAAAAAAUAUACAGAAAAUUCACAGAAGAGGAUUGAGAGGACGACCUGGCUCAUGUCCGCCGCUGCCGUGGUGGCGAGGAAGCGCACUGGUACCGUUGCUGCAGUGCUUGCUGCAUUAGGAGCACCUGCUGCUGUUGGUGGCUGCCCCCGGUGCCGUUCAUCUCCUCUAGCUCCUCCAGUGACACGACGACCAAAUCAGAAUCCGAGGUGGACCAAGCCCACGCACUAAUCGAUUCACGAAUCGGUAGACUGAGGAGAGCAAAUAGAUCCAUAGUGCACCCUGAACGGCACAAACCCUAGCGAUGGACUGAGAAACAGGAGGAGGAGCUUCACCGGCGCAGGAGUUAGUGACGUCGACGGAGUACUUCCCUGUCUGUGGCGGCAGCUGCCCGCGGCGUCCGUAUGCGGCGGCGGCGGCGGCUGUCCGCGCCGUGCGUCCGCGUGCAGCAGCGGCGCUUGGCUUGCGUCCGUGGCGGUGUGCUGCCCUGGCCUGCGGCGUGCGUCCUCGGCGGCGGUUGCCCGAGGCGUGCGUCCGCGGAUGCCCUACCGCCGGCGUGCGGCGUGCUGGCUGCGUCCUCGGUUCUGGUGGAUGAACUAAUGGCGCUGGAGACUGGAGAUAGGGUAACCUCGGGGAGAGGGAGAGUCGCGUCGGGGGUGGGCGGGUUUAGCCGAUGAUUGAUGAUGAAGAAGUGUUGAGGUUUGAUCCCAGCGAUCUCGUCCGUCAGAUGUGAGUGAGUAAGAGAAAAGACAGAUUAGAGUGAAUCUUGUCUCUUAAUUUUAAAAGAUACAGCUUUCUGGGUGCAAUUUUUUGGGUGUAAUUAGUGUAACUUAUGACUGUAGUAGUAGGUUACAGGGUGCAUUUAGCUAAGUUUAGAACUGGUGGAUUAUAUAGUAGUGGAGAAUUCUUGAGAAACAUCACUCAGUUUUCGGCUACUCACUCCAAGAUCUUACAGGAAUCAGUCCUAUGAUUUGUACCCAUCGUAGUCCAACAGAUCCUUCUGUUUCACCUUCUCGAGAACCCCAACGUAGACUUAAUAACACUAUGAGAGAGGUAGUUAAAAAGGAAGUUAUAAAGUUGCUGCAUGCAGGGAUUAUAUAUCUUGUGCCGCACAGUGAGUGGUUAAGCCCAGUACAAGUUGUGCCUAAAAAGGGAGGCAUGACUGUUAUUAUGAAUGAAAAGAACGAGCUAAUUCCGCAACGCACCGUCACAGGAUGGCGGAUGUGCAUAGACUAUAGAAAAUUAAACAAAGCCACGAGAAAGGAUCACUUUCCUUUACCUUUCAUAGAUAAGAUGCUAGAGCGGUUAGCAAACCAUUCGUUCUUCUAUUUCUUAGAUGGAUAUUCAGGGUAUCAUUAGAUCCCGAUCCAUCCCGAUGAUCAAAGCAAAACCACUUUUACAUUCCCAUAUGGAACUUAUGCUUACCGUAUAAUGUCUUUUGGGUUAUGUAAUGCACCAGCUUCUUUUCAAAGAUGCAUGAUGUCUAUAUUUUUUGAUAUGAUUGAAGAGAUUAUGGAAGUUUUCAUGGAUGAUUUCUCUGUUUAUGGAAAAACUUUUGAUAGUUGUCUUGAAAACAUAGACAAGGUUUUGCAAAGAUGUCAAGAAAAGCACUUAGUCCUUAAUUGGGAAAAAUGUCAUUUUAUGGUUAGGGAAGGAAUAGUGCUGGGACACCUAGUUUCCGAAAGAGGUAUUGAGGUAGACAAAGCAAAAAUUGAAGUAAUUGAACAACUACCUCCACCUGUGAAUAUAAAAGGAAUUCGAAGCUUUCUUGGCCAUGUUGGUUUUUAUCGUAGAUUCAUAAAAAAAUUUUCAUUCGUUGCUAGACCACUUACUCUUUUGCUAGCCAAGGAUGCUCCUUUCGAAUUUGAUGAUGCAUGUCUAACAUCUUUCAAUUUAUUAAAGAAAGCACUCAUCUCUGCACCAAUCAUUCAACCCCCUGAUUGGUCGUUGCCUUUUGAAAUUAUGUGUGAUGCUAGUGAUUAUGCUGUGGGGGCAGUAUUGGGACAAACUAAAAAUAAAAAGCAUCAUGCAAUUGCUUAUGCCAGUAAAACUUUGACAGGAGCUCAACUUAACUAUGCAACCACUGAAAAAGAGCUUCUGGCUAUUGUCUUUGCCAUUGAUAAAUUUAGAUCUUAUUUAGUUGGAGCUAAAAUAAUUGUUUACACUGAUCAUGCUGCACUAAAAUAUUUGCUCACUAAAAAAGAUGCUAAACCUCGCCUGAUUAGAUGGAUCUUAUUACUCCAAGAAUUUGACUUAGAAAUAAAAGAUAAAAAGGGAGUAGAAAAUUCUGUUGCUGAUCACUUGUCUAGAAUGUAUUUUAAGAGUCCACAGGAAACCCCCAUCAAUGAUUCACUCCAGGACGACAUGCUCUACGGGAUUAACAGGUCUGACCUCUGGUAUGCAUAUAUUGUUAAUUUUAUGGUUUCAGGGUAUGUACUGCCACGAGCAAACAAGAAGAAGCUUAUUCAAGAAAGUCGUUCACAUAUAUGGGAUGAGCCAUACCUCUUCCGAGUAUGCUCUGAUGGCUUACUCAGGAGAUGUGUGACCACUGAGGAAGGAUGGAAGAUCAUCGACAGAUGUCAUUCAUCACCAUAUGGAUGUCACUAUGGAGCAUUCCGUACACAUUCAAAGAUCUGGCAGUGUGGAUUCUACUGGCCUAUAAUGUAUGAAGACACGAAGCAAUAUAUCAGAAGAUGUGGGCCAUGUCAAAGGCACGAAAACAUAAAUACAAGGGAUGCAAUGCCACUCACCAACAACCUUCAGAUUGAGCUCUUUGAUGUCUGGGGAAUAGACUACAUGGUUCCAUUUCCUCCAUCAAAGAAGUGCGAGUACAUCUUGGUGGCAGUUGACUAUGUCUCCAAGUGGGUAGAGGCACUACCUUGCAAGCAUGCCGACAACAUCAGUUCAAAGAGGAUGUUUGAAGAAAUUAUAUUUCCAAGAUUUGGAGUCCCCACAGUAGUGAUAAGUGAUGGAGGAGCACACUUCAUCGACAAACGCUUCAAGCAAUAUCUAUCAAAACAUGGAAUCUGUCACAACGUCGCUACCCCCUAUCACCCUCAGACAAGUGGCCAAGCAGAGACUUCCAACAAGCAAAUCAAAAAUAUUCUUCAAAAGGUAGUAAAUGAAAUGGGAACGGCGUGGAAAGACAAGUUACCCGAUGCACUCUGGGCAUACCGGACAGCAUACAAGACCCCAAUUGGAAUGUCUCCAUACCAAUUGGUGUACGGGAAGACUUGCCACCUACCUGUUGAACUAGAGUUCAAAGCACACUGGGCCAUAAAGAGAUGGAAUAUGGACCUAGAUGUUGCUGGAGAUUAUAGAAGAAUGCAACUAUCAGAAUUAGAAGAAUGGCGAGAGAAAGCAUAUCACAAUUCAAGGAUCUACAAAGAAAGAGUCAAAAGGUGGCAUGACAAGAGAAUCAAGAAGAAGGAGUUCACACCCGGAGAUAAGGUAUUACUUUUUAAUUCUAGGGUGAAGCUUUUCGGGCAUGGAAAACUCCAGAGCAAAUGGGAAGGACCAUUAAAGGUAAUUAAUUCAUCAUCCCACGGAGCUAUGACACUUCAAAACGACGAAGGUACGUUAUUCAAGGUAAAUGGUCAACGUCUUAAAUUAUUUUUAGAGCCCAAUAAAGAAUUAGAAGAAAUAGACGUAGUCCAUUUUUACCUUCCCAUGGAGAAUUAGAGCCCGACACUUUUAAUCUAAUGUUUUUGGGUCAUAUAUAUAUUUUUCUAAAUAGUUUUGCAUCUAGUAACACGCUCGAGAAAGUGGGCCCACAGAGGGGCCAGAGAGAGGGCGGGCGCCCAGCUCCUGUUCCCCCUCGGUCCCGAUUUUCUCUAUUAUGGAAAAUGCACUUAUGGUAAUCCGAAUAAUCCCUCAGAUGGAAAGUUUCGCACGCACAUCGACGGGAGCAACCAGAACAACCCUUAGAGGCACUUUUUGACCCCUAUAUAAAUAGACCCCAGACAUCAGUUUUCAAACACCAAACCACCAAGCCUUCUCUUCUUCUUCAAUUAGAGCUUCAUUAGUUCCUCGCUGCUCCAAUGGCCGAGAAGUUCCACGAUGUUUGGGAAGUCGUCCCCUUCAACCUCAACAUGGAGCCUGUGGAAGACCCCGAUGCCCGUGCUCUCGUCUCGGCCAACACAGAGCGACAGCUAGAAGCCAUGCCAUUACGCCAACGCAGCUCCGCCUAAUCCUAUCAUGCUCAACCAGUUCUCACCGCACCGCCACAACCCCUACUCCUCAAGGGAUCAUCAUCCAAGACGAUGACCACCAUCAAGGUGCCAACCGGCACAAGGAUCCUUCCACCUAGACCCAAUGAGAGGGUCGUUGGAGUCAAGACCAACUGGAGCGGCGAGAUCAGCAGUAUUCGCUACACUACAGAGGAGGAAAGGCCUUACUUCGAAAUGAUUAGAGCAGCCAAAGUCCGUUUCAUCCCUCCAAAGGCAGCCCCGAAGCACGCUCUCAAUGCUUUUGAGACACCUCCCAAGCGUCGCAAAACUAUAAUGGAUAUCGAUGAGGAUGUUCGCAGAUUAGACAAAGUUAUCAUAGACCUCCAGUCCUCGAUUAAUUCCCUCACUAGGCAGCUCUCUAAACACAACACUAUUAUACUAGGCCUUAGGCAUGAUCUUGCCAGUGCCAACAAGAAGAUUAAGGAAUUAGAGCACCGCUAAGUUAUCUAGAUUAGACCUUGAGGCAAAUGCAUCUUAGUUAUCUAUCUUUAAAUUCGGUUUAGGUUUACUAUUAUCAUCAAUUUACUAUCAGUUUACAACUAGUCUUUUGUAAUAAAUGCCUCAAAGUUAAUAAAGAGUAUUAUUAUUAUUAUGUCUUGUGUGUCUCUACUUUAUUUUUGUGCAAGAAAGCAGAAAACAAGUAUGGGGGAGAUCCCUCAACAUGCCAAACACACUCCGACUACACCACUCCACGAUUCAGGUACACACUCUGCACACUUUACUUUAUACAUACACAUAUCUUGAUUAUGCAGAAUAUUGUUUCCAACAUGAAAAAGAUUAAAAUAUUUCUAAUCAUGAUUAAUCUCAUUCUGUGAUAUUUCCUGAAACUUGUAACUGUUAUAAAAUCAUUUUAAAACCCUGUGUUACUUAAGACAGUAUGAAAUGUGAGAUGGUAGAGUAUGAGUUCUUAUUCUUGAUAUCAUUGUUACUUGGAGAAUUUAUUUCAAAAUCUUCAAAAGUCUAGCUGCCAUCCUCAGUGUUUUAUAUACCUAUUCAAACUGAAAAUAUUAAUUAUGAUUGUAAAAGCUAUCUACUCUGUAUUGAGUUUGUUCAAAAUGAGUUAGACCCUUGUUGACAGAUUUAUCAUGCUCCUAAGAUCAAGACAUUUAUUCAGAAAGAUUCACUCUUCCGAAGUAUUAUUGCAUUAGACGCAUGGGCUAUGCAAAAAUAAAGAUAUUUCGAGGAAAUAAAAAGGAGCAAGUGCUCGAUAACCUCGCAGAAAAAAUGGACAAGUGUUCGGCAGUAGAAUUAGGGGUACCUCAGUAUCCACUUAAAAAAAGAGAAAGAGAAAAAGAAAAUGAUAGCCCAUGGUCCCUCUAAUAAGCAAUAUGCCAGCAAGAGUUGACAAAGAUUUUAAGUUCCAAAGUCUUUGAUCUAAGAGUAUGACAUUCCCCUCGGAUCCCGUUUUGAUCAGGCAAUAAAUACAAAGUAAGUAUGCUUGAGAAUUUUUGCAAAAUCAAAACAACCUCAGUGAGAUAUAUAAAAGAUAAUGAGUGAUCUGAGAGAACCUAUGAGGAUAAAAAGGAAUGCUAACUUUCUUUCAAAAAUAUACAAAAACUCCAAGUGACAGGAUUGAGAAGAAAGGAUCUUUACUCUUAACUAUAUACUUCCCUGACUAUAGUACACAGUGGAAUUUUAACACCGUGCAGUUAUGAAAAGAAUGUUUUAAAAUGUUUUACCCCAAAUAUUGUUCUUAACCAUCCUUUUCUCGAGGACGAGUAAAAGCCUAAGUAUGGGGGUAUUUGUUGACGGUUCUUAAGUAUCAAUUUUACUUAUCAAAUAAACAAGAGAAGGACCAAUAUGCAACCAACACCUAGAAUUAGGGUUUGAUCUGACAGAAUUCCACGAGUUUUGCUAUUUAUCUGUUUCUGCAGAGGGUUAUCCGGCAAUAAGGAAGAAAGGCCCACAUGUUGGGAUUACAUAGAGAUAUCAACGCACCGCACGAUUUUAUACCAUCUAGAAGACUCCAGAAGCCACGGGAAGAAGGCAGAGGCCGAAACGGGCCAGGCCCAGGGCGCCCGCCCUGAGGACCUGGGCGCCCGCCCCCUCCUGUACUCCGUUCGGGACUCUCUUCGCACACGAUGUUCCAUCGACCUAAUGGAUCAAAGAUAACGUAGUACCACCUCGCCUACCGACCCAAAAAUGCAUAGAGGAGGGGGACUAUAUAAGGAGACCCCCUGGCCCCUGGAGAAGACAAGAAGUUAUCAUAGAGAUUGAGGGGUGCCCUCGAAGGAAAACCUCUUCUCUCAUUAAUAUUUCUUUUUAGGCUUAGCAACCAAUGUAAGUAGAAAUAGAUCUUCUAGUUUCUACUAGAUAGAGAGAGAUAGAGUCGAGGUGUGGAUCGGAGGAAGGCCGGCCUGUCGAUGUCUACUCCGAGCUUGUACCUACGGGAUCAAGUUCUCCUAACCCGAGGCUUGCUCCUAGGAUUCUUCAGUAUUUCGACUUCUAAAUUCUAGUAAGUUCUUGUUUUAUUGUUCUUUUGGUUUAUGAGUUUACUUUAAUCUCUUUGCGUAGAGUUUAGAGUAAUUAUUGCUGGCGUAAACGUGGUGUUUAGGCUGGGGUACUCAUAGAUAUUCCCUGACUAGCUAGACUGUGGUAUAAGUGAGGAACGUGACAAUUCCGAGUUACCUUUGCAGACCAUAUCUCGUUAGCAGGAAGGAUAGAGUUUAUAGGUGCGGGUUGAACAUCCUUUGUGGUGUCUAGAUUUCGUUAGCCUCCCCGAUAGAACAGUAGAUCAUCCUUGCCAAGGUUAGAAGGAGACUACAGUUGCAGUCUUCUCUAUUUAUCACUCACAUCGAGAACAUUCUUUGUUGCCUAAAGGGUUAGUAGUAAUAGACCGGUUAGUCAGAUGCACUCUUUCUCCUAGUGGUAAAAAAAUAAAUACGAUACUCUGGAUAACCUCCCGGGUGAAGUGCUCACCGAUAUCCGUGCGCUUGCGGAUCAAUUCCUUAUUGCGUUCCCAAAUAUCAACAAUUGGAAGCUUUCCCACUACCAAAGAAGUUCACUGGUAUAGCUCUCGGAGUGAUAAUUGCCAUCAUCAGAUCAUGGUCCUUGUUGAGGGCAUUAUCAAAGGGUGGAAAGUGAGAGGGAAUCUAGUGACUGGAUCCUCAUAAGGCAUCCAUGCCCAUUGGUCUUUGGCUAGACCUUCAUAGAGAGUUUGAAAGAAUCGGCUGACCUGGUCUUCAUUACCACCAGUACCAGGUAGGACUAUGGCAGCCUCACCAUAGUUCAAAGGGGAGCGAGUUGCCGAUUCUUCCUCAUCCAGUUCAUAAUCUUCGGCUAUAUCUCUGGGAAAGUGUUGUGAGAAGAGGUUGAAUCCGAGGUGCUUAUGCAUGUGAACGCUGAGCCACAUAUUGAUAAACCACCAGGGGCCUCCCAAGUUGCCGAUAGGUUGGCCUAGUAGGAGUUUCUCAGCUACCUGAUGGAGGAGGUGAUAGACAGAGCCUAGCAAAUAUCGGCCAAGAGGAAAUCGGCCACCAUUGGCCAGUCUUUCUGCUGCCAAUAGAUAAAUUGAGGUUGGCCCUACCGAUCGAUCGCAGAAUACGAACAUAUCUAGCCACAUAUUCAGAAAAAUGGCAUGUUCCCUUUCCCCGACAGAUCCUAUUUUUUGGUACUUCUGAAUGUACCCAGACCAACCGUCGAUGCUGCGAGUUUCCACCUUAGAACUAGGUUUAUUAUCAAACAAAUGACUGCUAUCGGCAGUAGACAUAUCUAAGCCAGUGAGCAUGAGCACGUCGACGAGAGUAGGAGAAGCAGGACCAUGGCCGAACACAAAAGCAUUAAGGGUGUCUGACCAAAAGUAUGAGGCAGCUAUCAGCAGCGACUCGUUCCUCUCCAUAUCGGCAAUGGAUAGCCUAAUGCACUGAUCCAAUUUCCGUUCACCCCAUUGGACUUCAUUUGAAUUGCCGAUUCUCAGGAACCAGUCUUUCCAUCCCUUGGAGGGGCUAGGCCAGGAACGGAAAGCAUCUUUCCACAGAUCUAAGGAGAAAUUUUCAGCUCUAAAAGGGAUCCUACGUUUAUUAGAUUGGUGGGAUCUGGGUUUCCCAAUGGACCGAGGCACUGGAAGUGAGGUUGAUCGGUAGGAAUCACGAUCUUAUCGGCCAACUCCUAAAGGGUUUAGAGGGUGAAGGAACAAAAAGGAGACAAAAAAAGGAGAAAAAAGGGUACUCAGUAAAUAGAUUUGCAGAUGAACAGGAGUACAGUAAAAUUAUAAAAAGGGCGAUAGUAUAUUGACCUCAGGGACGACGAAGUUGAUGGCCAUUCCUUCCCGGAAGAAGGAAGAGAUCGAAGACUCAGAGGAUUGCUGAAGGAAAUCCUGGCCGGAGUUCUUGAGGUUCUCGAACAGUGCCGUCGCCAGGAGGGUGGAUUUGAGGCCGUAGAAUACAAGAUGGAGGAAGAGUACCGGAGAAGGAGGUAUUUAUAUGACAAAAAGGGCAAGGGUAGGUCUGACUUAUCUCUUUGCCGCAUCCAUGAAAUCCGAGGGUGUUCAGGUGGAUAUGGUAACUGUUCGCAUGAUAAUCAAGGGAUUGCGCAGAUGAUUUGACAGCAAGCGGCCGUCUUAAUGAUAUCUUACUGUGUAAGAUCGCCUAGUUGGUUCAUCGGCAGUCCUCUUUAACGGUAAUAUUGCCGAUGAGCGCAUUAAGGGAAGAUUCGGUUCGAGAAGUUGGGAAAUUCGAGGUACAUGCUGUAAGACCAUGUAACACCCUAGGUGUUAAGCAUGCAUUUAGCCCUAUCACAACAUGCAUAAGCAUUCUCAUCAAGCAUAGCAUCAUGAGCAUGUCAUUCAUCCCAAAGCAUGAUUUUAUGUGCUUUAUUUCAUGUGUUUUAAUUAUGCUACAAAUAUGAUGCUUGCUUCUAAAAAUGUGAAAUAUUCAAACUAGGUUUAUUUAUGUGUAAGAAGAAUUUAGAGUAUUUUUGUGAAAUUUUUGGAGCUAUGGAAUUUGAGAAAUGGAAUUUAUACAAAAUUUCCCAAAUUGAAUUUAUUUAAAAACCUAGAACUAGUUUUAAUUUGUAAUUCAAAUUCUAUUUGGAAUUUGGUCUUGCUUAUUUAAACAAAGUUGUAGGGUUUUUGUUUUCGAACAAUUUUGCUUUUGGGAGCAAGAGGUGAAAAUGAUUUUAAAUUGGUCCAAAUGAAUUUAGAAGAGUUUUGGAGAAAAGAAAUUAAAAAAAAAUAGAAAAGGGGCAGGCGCUGCCGGGCCAACCCCGCCUCCCUUUCGGCCCAGCGAGCGGCCCGGCCUGCCUCCCCCUCCCCCUCUCUCCCGCACGCGGACGCCCGCCUCGCCCCAGCCAGCGCCGGCCACGUGGCGGCCGUACGCCGGCGAGGAGCGCGCCGCGGCCGGACUCCAACCCCCCUGGUCGGGACGCCGGCUCGGGCUCCCAGGCCAUUCCCUCCCUUCUGUCGCGCGCGCCCUUCUCCUUCCUCCCUCCGCUCGCACCGCGCAGCAACAGCAGCUCCUCCGCGCGCCAUUGCCGGAGAAAGCCCCGCCGCUCGCCGCCGACCGCACCAGAGCCUCAAGCUCACCGCCGAGAGCACCAGCGCCUUCGUCAUCGUUAGGGUAAGCUUGUGCGCGCGUUCUACCAAGGUGAGAGUCCGUCGAGCACCGUGAAUCGCUCGCCGGAGUUACCCCGAGCUCGCCGGAGUAUUCCGCCGAGACGGAUCUUGUGUUUCUCUGCCUCUUUUCGCUGGUUCUUGGGUGCGCUAGGUCGGUAGGGUGGUGAGGAAGCUCGGAGAGGCAUUUGCGCACGCUCUACCGCGCCGGAGCAGCCUGGCCACGGCGAGCAGCGCCACCGUGCCGCCAUGCAUGCUCGUCGGAGGUGUUCCGGUCAUCCUCCGGCCAACCCGAGGGUACCGCUAGGUGCGCCUCGCUGCGGGAAGCACGUUGAUGCUUACCCCGUGGCCGGAGACCUCACCGCCGGCGAGAUCUGCUCGUCGGAGGUGAGCUCCCUCUCGGUCUCGCUGACCGGUGGGGUCGGGGACCCACUGUCACUCGCAGAGGGGACCCCGGUGGGUGUAGAUCUGGGUGCGCGUAGUCUUUUUCGUCGGUUUUCUUGAAUAAAUGAUUUCCAGAAAUUGAUUCAAAACUUGUAAAAUUCAUAUCUUGAGUUCUACAGCUCCAAAUUGGAUGAAAUAAAUUUUGGUGUGCUCUAUAUUUCCAGAUCUACAGUUUGAUGUUUUUGCAUGUCAUGUUUGAGUAACUUUUCUGAAUGAAUAUAUUUAAUCCAUGUUUUUUGCUAAACUUGGAAAAUGCAUAGUAAAUAAAAUAUGGUUCAGAAAAAUGUGAAACUUGAUUUGUUGGCUCUGCAUGUAUGUUUACUCACUGGGAAUAUAUUGCUACAUAUUAUUUGGUGUAUAAAUGAAUUUAUGGUAAUUUAAAUGCUUGCAUGGAAGUGAUUCAUGAUUUUUAAUAAUUAAUUGGAUCAUGCAAUAAAUCUGGAAAAUUUGGUGGGUGUUUCUUAUGAUAUUAGACAAAUUGUAAAAAUAUGAAAUCUGUUGUUUGACACUUAUAUCACAGUAGAGUGAUUAUACUUACCCUAUGAAUUAAUCUUGUGAUUUUUGUGGCUCAAAAUAAGUAUCCAAAAAUUAUGAAAAAGUUACAGUAGACUUUAUGCUUAGCUGGUAGUCUCCUGUAAUUUUUGUGGAAUUUAUUGAUGAACAGAACCGCAUGCAAAUUUUGAUGGCCUAGAAAUGAAUAAAGAAAAUUAUGAAUUGUUAUGUGUAGGUUAAAUAGAAUAAGUUUGGGUUUGGUGUAUCUUUGAAGCAUCAUGUGGGUUGCUGGUUGCACUUGAAAAGAAACAAUUUGUAGGAGGGAAUGCAAUAGAUGUUUGAUUCCAUUGUACGUUCUUGGAUGAUGUUGACUACCUUGUAAUGAGCAUGACCAAGUGUAUCAUCCAUGCAUCAUGUCAUGACUCCUUUGGUACUUUCUCAUACAAGCAUCCACUCGGGCAUCUCGCACUCCACUCAUAAGCACACAUGCAUCAUACAGGCUCGUAGGAGAACGAAGUGGGACCCGAGGAGAUUCAGGAGCAGGAACCUCCGGAAGCACAGGAACCCGGAGAGGAGCUGCAGGAGUGUCCGGAUCACCGACCCAGCACGUUUGAGAAAGGCAAGCCCCGGAGCAUUCUAAGUCUCCCUAUUCUCGCUAACUUAUAUGAUGCGCUAUAAUUGUUCUACUAUAUUGCAUCUAAGUGAUAGGAUUUGAUUGAUACCGUUGCUGCAUAUGUACUCCUUGUUAUCCCUACUCGUUCACCUACCUUGUCCUAUGUAGAUAGGCACGGAGUCUACGCUUAGCUUGCUUAGUCCGGUAGAAGUCGGGUGAUUUCCUGUCACCUGCGAGAAAUAGGUGGAUACCUGCUUGAUUAAGCAUUGGUUGCUUGGGGAAAAGAAUAACCAAGUGUGAAAUGUAAUUGGAGACCGGGCAGGGUCUUAUGGUGGGUUGACUAUAGUGCCCCUGCUUGUGUCGAUUAAGGACCGAUCGUUGACGGCCCUCUUGUCAUGUUGAACGCAUGCCCCACACUUAGCUGGAAGGAUAAGUCGUUCCGACCGCGAAGCCUGAACACUAUCCGAGCCGGGAAUCGAGCCGCCAUGCGCUGUAUUGGUGAUGGUUGAGGAGAACGACGAGGGCGCGGCGCGCAACCUUGGUAUACCUUGGAUACCUCGGUCGCCGGAACGGUCCUCGGGUACUGGCGGUGCCUGCCGAACCCGCGGAUUGGUCCUAGAUAGUGUAAUAUGGUGAUCUGUAGCUCACUUGAUCAGUGAGUGUGGUUUGUGUGGGGAAUAAACUCGCCAACUGGUUAGAAAUCGAUUCGAAUCGCCAUCGCUCCUAGAUAGUGAGCACUUGACAUGAGCUUCGUCCUCGUAGUAAGGACUAUGGAACACUUGGGUUAUGUUGAUGAAUGGUUUCAAGAAAUGCUAUGAUGAGGUACUAUCAUAGCCUUAUACUUGCUUGUAAUAGUGCAGGUGCAAACCUAGAUGAUAGGUAAUGAUACUUUCAACUUGAGCAAAUUAAAAGAAGAAAGACUUAUGUAGGUUAUGAUAGUAAAAUCCUGCGGUUUUGCAAAAUGGUUGUCAGCUGCCCCACUAUAUAGCCUUCAUGAUCCUUGAUGAGUCUUUAUUUUAAGUUUAUGAUGGGUAAGUCUAGCUGAGUACCUUCUCGUACUCAGGGUUCUACUCCCAUGUUGUUUUGCAGAUGGUCAAAUGUACUAUGGUUAUUGCAUCCUCUCUCUGUACCCAGCCAUGGGUGAUGACUAGACCAAGGGCGAUGGUCACUCCGUCUCUUCUUUUGCUUUUGUGGGAAUGACCGAACUAUGGCACUGUAUCAGACUAAGCGUGUGUAUUGUAUUUUCGAACUAUGAAGCUUCCGCUACUUGAAGAACUUGGGUUGUAAUAACUUUAAGAACUCCGAUGUAUUUUAUGAAUGUUGUAAUCUGGAUGUAUUUGUGAAUGGCGACCGCUAAACUUAUUGCGAUCUUGGCUGUUGUGCGAUGUGUGGUUUGAAAUCCUUCGACAUUUCACGGACUACCGGGAUUAUAUGGGCUUAAGCGUGAUGGUUUGACUAUGCAAAUGGUCACUGUUAGGCUUAAUCUCUUAUAAUUUGGACGGUUCUGUUACAGCUGGUAUCGGAGCAAGGUUUAGCGAGUUACUGUUCAUAAGUUCGUUCUAAACAAAAUCUAAACCGGUCUAAUGAAGGAUUUUAUUAAUUAAUAAUGAUCAAGGUGUUAAACUAAGUUUUGGAAAACUGUCUAGUGUGCCAUGGUCAUAUCCUUUAUGCCCAGUUAAGGACUCUAAGGUGGCUAGUUAAGUACUGACUUGGGGGUUAAUGCAUCAUAUUUUUAUUUUCGUCGCUCAUACGGCGUGCAAUAGUAUGAGUACCAUUCAUUUGAGUGGUAAUGUAUGGAUCCCUUUUUCCUCUACGCCACGGUAAGUGGGAGCUGUGAGAGCAUGAUCGGAUACACUGCCGGUCUAGGGGAGUGUUGUUAGGUACUGUGUCAUGCACACAUGUUUGGUGUGUCUUGGAAACAGUACCGCAUAUUGGGGAUUCCGUCCUGAGAGGCGAUGUCGUCAUUAGGGCGAUGAUAUGGGUAGCAACACAUCACAUGCGUGGACGGGUGUCAGUGUAUGUGGGGUGUAUAGUUUAAAAUUCUUGUUCUGCACGAUCAUACUUUGGGUGGGCUGAAAUGAAGUUUUCUGCAGGUACCCUAACCACGUUCUCGCUUAGAACGCUAGUUACGUUAUGAGAGAACGUUGUGUGCCACCGCAUAUACCGCUUAGUGUUAACCUUUGUUUCUAAGUUUGUGAGGUCGUAAGUUCGUGCAUGCAUUAUGUUCAUGUCAUAUCAUUGCUUACUUUCCCCCUUAAUUUAAUCUGUCCCAAUUCUAAAUAAAAUAAUUAAAGGUAAUCCUCGCUCUUACCCACGGUAUUCCAUUUGCAGCAGAUGGCACGCACUAGGCUCACCGCUCGCAAGUCCAUGGGUGGGCGGGCCCCUCGCCAUCCGUUGGCAGCUAGGAGCUCGCGACAUAAGAGCAAGUUCCUGGAGGAGUUUGGGAUGCCCACUUUGCUUUGGAGGGUGCUCAGUUCGAUGGGGUAUCCCGAAGGAAGGGAGCCUCGCUACUAUUGGGAUAAGGAGCCUCUUGGUGAUGAGACCCUGGUGGGGAUCGAGGCAGUUGUCCCUACCAGUGGAGGAGACCCUGCUUGGGGCGGCUGGGUGUACGAGUCCCGAGGUGUCACGCCUUUCCACGGUGCCAGCAGGGCAGCUUUCGCAGUUCUGAGGAACCUCAUGGAGAGGUUUCCACAGGAGCUGGCCUACGCCUUCGCUGGGGUGUUUCCCCGGGGUGACCCCUACACUUCGGUGUGGGAUCAGUCCGAGGUGAAUGCUCUAGAUAGGAGUGCGGAUGAGGACCAGCACAGUGACGGUGCAACUAUGAGUGCCAUGUACGCGUUGAUGAAGACCUAUGGAGGCCUGGAGCGUUGUUUGGGCCGCUUGUCCGGGUCUCUUCUCACCGUCCAGGAUGAGAAGCGUCAGUUGCAGCGUGAGUUUGACUCUGAGGUUGAGAGGCUACAGGCAGAGUUGGCCCGUGUGACCAGAGAGAGAGACCAGGCAGUCUAGAAGAACAGUGAGCUGAGUCAGGACCUGCUUGCAGUGCGAGAGCAGAGGGAUAGGGUGACCACUGCUCACAGGAACUACGAGCGCAUGCUAGUCCAUGUGCUUGGACAGAGGAAUGAAGCCUGGCACGAGGAGGACACUUUGAGGGCCCGACAGCUAGAGCUAGAGCAGCAGCUAGCUAAUGCAGAGGAGUACAAUGAGAACUUGCAUGAGGAGAUCCACCAGCUGCACAACCAGCUCCACCCUCACCACCUGCCUGGAGCAGCUGAGCUAGACUCUGAGGACGAGAUGGAUGCGGAUCCCGAGAUAGGAGCAGCUGCUAGUGGAGAUGAGGAUGAGGAUGGCUCCGACAUGGACAGUGAUCAUAGCGACUAGAUGCUAGGGCUUUAGAGCUAGUCCUUCUUCUUUUGUGUUGUAUGUUGCAUGGCAUGUCGUGUACUUUUGGAUCUGGGCUAUGUAAAACUUUAUGAGUUAAUGCUGAAAGUCCAAUGUAUGUAUGCUGGCAAGUUGGAUGUACGCGAACCUUGUUGCGUGAACGUUAAGCAAUCUGUUAGUGAUGUUGUGUGUAGAAGAUGAAUUGUUGUGCCUCUGUUUAUUGUGUGAAUUUAUUCCCUCAGUAAAUUCAGUACGGCAUGAUUCUACACAUUUCUACCGCUGAUGGCAACUCCUAACGAUUGCUUAUCAUUGACGUAUGCAGAUGGUGCAAACACGUGGCGGGCUUAACAGCAACCCGGGCCUUAGAGCAGGUACAUCCGGAGGUGGGGCUCAACGGAAUGAGGACAGAGCACCAACACCGCCAUCACCACCGCCUCCUCCGUACAAUGCAGACGUGUUCUUCGCGCAGUUUCUGGGGAGCCAACGCAACAUGGAACAGAUGCAACGCAACAUGGAAGAGGCUCUGCGCAACAUAGCUGACAACACCCGUCGUGGGGAUAACCAGGGCGGCCGAGAAGUCAACCAGUACAUUUCGUUCAAGGACUUCAUGGAUACCAAGCCACCAAUCUUCAAGGAGGCCUUGGAACCGCUCGAGGCAGAUGAGUGGAUCAACACUAUGGAGCAGAAGUUUCGUCUUCUCCGAAUGACAGAAGAACUUAAGGCUGAGUAUGCGGCACAUCAGUUGCAAGGACCCGCUGGGAUUUGGUGGUCCCAUCACCGUACCACCUACCCAGAGGGGACCCCAAUUACCUGGAACCGUUUCACCACAGCUUUCCGGGGAAAUUACAUUCCUCCGGGUGUGGUUGAAAUGAAGGUUGGGGAGUUCAUGAGGCUGUCCCAGGGGACGAAAUCGGUGAAGGAGUAUCUACAUGCUUUCAAUAAUCUCGCUCGCUAUGCCCCUGAGUUUGUAAACACGGAGGCUAAGAAGAUUGCUAGUUUCUAGAGGGGCUUGAAUCCAAAGAUGCUGAAGACCAUGGGUACAGGGGCCAGGGCUACCUUCAAUGCUUACAUCAGUGACUGUCUCACCCAGGAGAACAACAACAACUACUACAGUGCAUCCAAGUCACGUAAGAGGGCUUUUGGAGCCGGAUCAUCUCAAUCCAGGGCACCAGUGGCAGGGCGACAGCAGUAUCGUCCUCCUGCCCCAGGUGCUAGGUUCCGACCGCCGCAGAGAAGGAACACCGGGCAUCCCACACAGCAGAAGCCGUACAAGGUGGCGAUAGCCCCUGCCAAGCCAAAGGCAAUUCAAGCUGCAGCACCUGCCGUCAACAAUGCGCCUAAGGGUCCGUGCUAUAACUGCCACAAGAUGGGGCACUUUGCUAAGGAAUGUCCCUACCCCAAGAGGCAGCAGCCAACCUAUCCAGCUCGUGUGCACCAUACCUCGAUUGAGGAAAUCCUGGAAGGAGAACCAGUAACAGCUGGUAUGUUUCCUGUCAACCAACAUCUUGCAGUUGUUUUGUUUGAUUCUGGAUCAUCGCAUUCAUUCAUGAGCCAAGCAUUUGCACAAAAGCAUAGUCAACCAGUUACAGAUCUGGGUUAUGGCUACCGCAUCAGCUCAGCGGGGGCAGAUGUGUUGACCAAUAGAGUGGUUCGAGGGGCAACCCUGGAUAUAAGUGGCCGAGUAUUUCGAGUGAAUCUAGUGGUCAUGCCUGGGCUAGUUUUGGAUGUUAUUAUGGGUAUGAACUGGAUGAGAGAAUGGGAUGCCGUCAUAGAUACUGGGAAGAGGAUGUUAUCUCUCAGAGAACCGUAGGGCAGUAGCUCUUUUCAAGUACCUCUGCCCCGUCGUCUUGACUGAGGAAUUACCAGGACUUCCCCCGGAUAGGGAAGUAGAGUUUGCAAUCGAGUUGAUACCAGGUACAGCACCAAUAUCGAGAAGGCCGUACCGGAUGCCACCAAACGAACUCGCUGAGUUGAAGAAUCAACUAAAGGAGUUACUGGAUAAAGGGUUCAUCCGGCCAAGCUUGUCGGAAUGGGGUUGUCCAGCGUUGUUUGUAAAAAAGAAGGAUCAGUCAUUGCGAAUUUGCGUGGACUAUCGUCCACUCAAUGCAGUGACAAUCAAGAAUAAGUAUCCUUUGCCAAGGAUUGAUAUCCUGUUUGAUCAGUUGUCCAAGGCAAGAGUAUUUUCUAAGAUAGAUUUGAGGUCUGGGUAUCACCAAAUCAAGAUUCGUCCGCAAGAUAUCCCUAAGACUGCUUUUUCCACCAGGUAUGGGUUGUACGAGUAUCUUGUCAUGUCCUUUGGAUUGACGAAUGCUCCUGCAUACUUUAUGUACCUAAUGAAUUCAGUCUUUAUGCCAGAAUUGGAUAAGUUUGUUGUAGUGUUUAUCGAUGAUAUUCUGGUUUAUUCAGAAAAUGAGCAAGAUCACGCCGAGCAUCUGAGAAUCGUGCUGACACGAUUACGAGAGCAUCAGUUAUAUGCCAAGUUCAGCAAGUGUGAGUUCUGGCUGAAGAAAGUUCCUUUCCUAGGGCAUAUUCUAUCUGAAGAAGGGAUUGCUGUGGAUCCGUCAAAAGUGCAGGAAGUCAUGGACUGGAAGGCACCAACUUCUGUCUCGGAAGUUAGAAGUUUUCUUGGUCUGGCCGGGUAUUAUCGUCGUUUCAUACCUGACUUCUCCAAGAUUGCUAAGCCCAUGACAAGUUUGCUACAAAAGGAUCACAAGUUUGUCUGGACGGAAAGGUGUGAGUUAGCCUUCCGCACCUUGCGAAAGUUGCUAACCACUGCUCCCGUUCUGGCACAACCCAAUAUAGAAAAGCCUUUUGAUGUGUUUUGUGACGCAUCAAAGAGUGCCCUGGGGUGUGUGUUGAUGCAAGAUGGCAGGGUGAUAGCUUAUGCUUCCCGACAGUUGAGAAAGCACGAAGUCAACUACCCAACGCACGACCUCGAGUUAGCAGCAGUAGUGCAUGCCUUGAAGAUUUGGAGACAUUAUCUGCUGGGAAAUAAGUGUCACAUUUAUACCGAUCAUAAGGGUUUGAAGUACAUCUUCACUCAGUCCGAGCUAAAUAUGAGGCAACGACGGUGGUUAGAGUUGAUCAAGGACUAUGAUCUGGAAGUUCACUACCAUCCUGGCAAGGCUAAUGUGGUAGCAGAUGCGUUGAGUCGUAAACCGCACUAUCAAGUGGUUCAACCGUUGUUUGAAGAUGGGUUCAAUCUUAUGCAUCCUGAGGUCUUAUGUCACAUACAACUCAGUUGUUCACUCGAGAGUCAAGUAAUUGAAGGACAGAAAAUAGACAAGGGUAUUUUCCACAUCAAAGAAAAGAUCAAAGAUGACCCAAAAACUCAGUUUCGAGUUGAUGAGAAAGGGGUACUGUGGUUUCAACAUCGGUUAGUAGUUUCGAAAGAUCGUGAAUUGAAGAAUCGCAUCAUGGAUGAAGCCCAUCUCUGUAAGCUUUCUAUUCAUCCUAGCAGUAGAAAAAUGUAUCAAGAUCUAAGACCCCACUUUUGGUGGACCAAGAUGAAGAAAGAAAUCGCCGCAUAUGUGGCCCGUUGUGACACGUGUUGCAGAGUUAAGGCCAUCCAUAUGAAACCUGCAGGUCUGUUGCAACCGUUAUCAGUUCCAGAGUGGAAAUGGGAAGAGGUCAGUAUGGAUUUUAUCACAGGUUUACCGACCACGAGGAAGGGGAAUGACUCGAUUUGGGUAAUCAUAGAUCGAUUAACCAAGUUGGCUCAUUUCAUUCCAGUCAAGAACACAUACAGACCUCCCGAGUAUGCCGAUAUAUAUAUGGCUGAGAUUUUUAAGUUGCAUGGUAUUCCCGAGACCAUCAUAUCGGAUAGAGGACCACAGUUCACCGCUCACUUCUGGGAGCGAAUGCAUAAGAAUUUGGGAACCAGUCUAAUAAGAAGCACGGCGUACCAUCCCUAGACGUCAGGUCAAACGGAGCGGUUAAAUCAAGUGUUAGAAGAUAUGCUGAGGGCCUGUGUGCUAUCAUCCAAGGGAUCAUGGGAAUCAUGGUUACCUCUGGCUGAAUUCUCCUACAAUAACAGUUAUCAAGAGAGCAUCAAGAUGGCCCCGUUCGAAGCUCUGUAUGGUCAGAGGUGUAGAACUCCGUUAAACUGGGUUGAACCUGGGGAAAGGAGAUACUACGGUAUCGACUUCGUGAAUGAGGCCGAGAAGAAGGUGCAAAUCAUACAGCAGCAUAUGCAUGCAGCGCAAUCACGACAAAAGAGUUAUGCUGAUAAGAGAAGAAGGCCACUUGAAUUCAAAGUAGGUGACUAUGUGUACCUCAAGGUCACGCCAAUGAAGAAAGUUGACCGUUUCCGAGUUCGAAGCAAGCUUGCACCCAGAUAUGUGGGACCGUACCAAAUGCUGGAGAGAAAGGGCCCAGUGGCCUACAAGAUUUAGUUACCUAAAGAGUUGAGCUCGAUCUUUCCGGUCUUCCAUGUGUCGCAACUGCGGAAAUGUUUGAAAGUACCUGAGCAAAGAAUUAAACCUCGAGGGAUCAAAAUAAAAGCAGACUUAGAGUAUAAGGAGCAACCAGUGGGAAUUGUGGAUACCAAGGAACGGGUAACCCGAAACAGAAUUGUCAGAACUUAUAAGGUGGUGUGGAGUCAUCAUGACGAUAGGGAUGCCACAUGGGAAACAGAGGAUUACUUGAAAACAGUUUAUCCAAAAUUUCAUAAGAAAUGGUUAGUAACCCCAAAAUCUCGGGACGAGAUUUCCCUAAGGGGGGAAGGGCUGUAACACCCUAGGUGUUAAGCAUGCAUUUAGCCCUAUCACAACAUGCAUAAGCAUUCUCAUCAAGCAUAGCAUCAUGAGCAUGUCAUUCAUCCCAAAGCAUGAUUUUAUGUGCUUUAUUUCAUGUGUUUUAAUUAGGCUAAAAAUUUGAUGCUUGCUUCUAAAAAUGUGAAAUAUUCAAACUAGGUUGAUUUAUGUGUAAGAAGAAUUUAGAGUAUUUUUGUGAAAUUUUUGGAGCUAUGGAAAUUGAGAAAUGGAAUUUAUACAAAAAUUCCCAAAUUGAAUUUAUUUAAAAACCUAGAACUAGUUUUAAUUUGUAAUUCAAAUUCUGUUUGGAAUUUGGUCUUGCUUGUUAAAACAAAAUUGUAGGGUUUUUGUUUUGGAACAAUUUUGCUUUUGGGAGCAAGAGGUGAAAAUGAUUUUACAUUGGUCCAAAUGAAUUUAGAAGAGUUUUGGAGAAAAGAAAUUCAAAAAAAAAAAAUAGAAAAGUAGGCAGGCGCUGCCGGGCCAACCCCGCCUCCCUUUCGGCCCAGCGAGCGGCCCGGCCUGCCUCCCCCUCCCCCUCUCUCCCGCGCGCGGACGCCCGCCUCGCCCCAGCCAGUGCCGGCCACGUGGCGGCCGUACGCCGGCGAGGAGCGCGCCGUGGUCGGACUCCAACCCCCCCUGGUCGGGACGCCGGCUCGGGCUCCCAGGCCAUUCCCUCCGUUCUGUUGCCCGCGCCCUUCUCCUUCCUCCCUCCGCUCGCACCGCGCAGCAGCAGCAGCUCCUCCGCGUGCCAUUGCCGGAGAAAGCCCCGCCGCUCGCCGCCGACCGCACCAGAGCCUCAAGCUCACCGCCGAGAGCACCAGCGCCUUCGUCAUCUUUAGGGUAAGCUUGUGCGCGCGUUCUACCGAGGUGAGUGUCCGUCGAGCGCCGUGAAUCGCUCGCCGGAGUUACCCCGAGCUCGCCGGAGUAUUCCGCCGCGAUGGAUCUUGUGUUUCUCUGCCUCUUUUCGCUGGUUCUUGGGUGCGCUAGGUCGGUAGGGUGGUGAGGAAGCUCGGAGAGGCGUUUGCGCACGCUCUACCGCGCCGGAGCGGCCUGGCCACGGCGAGCAGUGCCGUCGUGCCGCCAUGCAUGCUCGUCGGAGGUGUUCCGGUCAUCCUCCGGCCAACCCGAGGGUACCGCUGGGUGCGCCUCGCUGCGGGAAGCAUGUUGGUGCUUACCCCGUGGCCGGAGACCUCACCGCCGGCGAGAUCUGCUCGUCAGAGGUGAGCUCCCUCUCGGUCUCGCUGACCGGUGGGGUCAGGGACCCACUGUCAGUCGCAGAGGGGACCCCGGUGGGUGUAGAUCUAGGUGCGCGUAGUCUUUUUCGUCGAUUUUCUUGAAUAAAUGAUUUCCAGAAAUCGAUUCAAAACUUGUAAAAUUCAUAUCUUGAGUUCUACAGCUCCAAAUUGGAUGAAAUAAAUUUUGGUGUGCUCUAUAUUUCCAGAUCUACAGUUUGAUGUUUUUGCAUGACAUGUUUGAGUAACUUUUCUGAAUGAAUAUAUUUAAUCCAUGUUUUUGCUAAACUUGGAAAAUGCAUAGUAAAUAAAAUAUGGAUCAGAAAAAUGUGAAACUUGAUUUGUUGGCUCUGCAUGUAUGUUUACUCACUGGGAAAAUAUUGCUACAUAUUAUUUGGUGUAUAAAUGAAUUUAUGGUAAUUUAAAUGCUUGCAUGGCAGUGAUUCAUGAUUUUUAAUAAUUAAUUGGAUCAUGCAAUAAAUCUGGAAAAUUUUGUGCGUGUUUCUUAUGAUAUUAGACAAUUUGUAAAAAUAUGAAAUCUGUUGUUUGACACUUAUAUCACAGUAGAGUGAUUAUAAUUACCCUAUGAAUUAAUCUUGUGAUUUUUGUGGCUCAAAAUAAGUAUCCAAAAAUUAUGAAAAAUUUACAGUACACUUUAUGCUUAGCUGGUAGUCUCCUGUAAUUUUUGUAGAAUUUAUUGAUGAACAGAACCGCAUGCAAAUUUUGAUGACCUAGAAAUGAAUAAAGAAAAUUAUGAAUUGUUAUGUGUAGGUUAAAUAGAAUAAGUUUGGGUUUGGUGUAUCUUUGAAGCAUCAUGUGGGUUGCUGGUUGCACUUGAAAAGAAACAAUUUGUAGGAGGGAAUGCAAUAGAUGUUUGAUUCCAUUGUACGUUCUUGGAUGAUGUUGACUACCUUGUAAUGAGCAUGACCAAGUGUAUCAUCCAUGCAUCAUGUCAUGACUCCUUUGGUACUUUCUCAUACAAGCAUCCACUCGGGCAUCUCGCACUCCACUCAUAAGCACACAUGCAUCAUACAGGCUCGCAGGAGAACGAAGUGGGACCCGAGGAACCCGAGGAGAUUCAGGAGCAGGAACCUCCGGAAGCAUAGGAACCCGGAGAGGAGCUGCAGGAGUGUCCGGAUCACCGACCCAGCACGUUUGAGAAAGGCAAGCCCCGGAGCAUUCUAAGUCUCCCUAUUCUCGCUAACUUAUAUGAUGCGCUAUAAUUGUUCUACUAUAUUGCAUCUAAGUGAUAGGAUUUGAUUGAUACCGUUGCUGCAUAUGUACUCCUUGUUAUCCCUACUCGUUCACCUACCUUGUCCUAUGUAGAUAGGCACGGAGUCUACGCUUAGCUUGCUUAGUCCGGUAGAAGUCGGGUGAUUUCCUGUCACCUGCGAGAAAUAGGUGGAUACCUGCUUGAUUAAGCAUUGGUUGCUUGGGGAAAAGAAUAACCAAGUGUGAAAUGUAAUUGAAGACCGGGCAGGGUCUUAUGGUGGGUUGACUAUGGUGCCCCUGCCUGUGUCGAUUAAGGACCGAUCGUUGACGGCCCUCUUGUCAUGUUGAACGCAUGCCCCACACUUAGCUGGAAGGAUAAGUCGUUCCGACCGCGAAGCCUGAACACUAUCCGGGCCGGGAAUCGAGCCGCCAUGCGCUGUAUUGGUGAUGGUUGAGGAGAACGACGAGGGCGCGGCGCGCAACCUUGGUAUACCUUGGAUACCUCGGUCGCCGGAACGGUCCUCGGGUACUGGCGGUGCCUGCCGAACCCGCGGAUUGGUCCUAGAUAGUGUAAUAUGGUGAUCUGUAGCUCACUUGAUCAGUGAGUGUGGUUUGUGUGGGGAAUAAACUCGCCAGCUGGUUAGAAAUCGAUUCGAAUCGCCAUCGCUCCUGGAUAGUGAGCACUUGACAUGAGCUUCGUCCUCAUAGUAAGGACUAUGGAACACUUGGGUUAUGUUGAUGAAUGGUUUCAAGAAAUGCUAUGAUGAGGUACUAUCAUAGCCUUAUACUUGCUUGUAAUAGUGCAGGUGCAAACCUAGAUGAUAGGUAAUGAUACUUUCAACUUGAGCAAAUUAAAAAAAGAAAGACUUAUGUAGGUUAUGAUAGUAAAAUCCUGCGGUUUUGUAAAAUGGUUGUCAGCUGCCCCACUAUAUAGCCUUCAUGAUCCUUGAUGAGUCUUUAUUUUAAGUUUAUGACGGGUAAGUCUAGCUGAGUACCUUCUCGUACUCAGGGUUCUACUCCCAUGUUGUUUCGUACUCAGGGUUCUACUCCCAUGUUGUUUUGCAGAUGGUCAAAUGUACUAUGGUUAUUGCAUCCUCUGUCUGUACCCAGCCAUGGGUGAUGACUAGACCAAGGGCGAUGGUCACUCCGUCUCUUCUUUUGCUUUUGUGGGAAUGACCGAACUAUGGCACUGUAUCAGACUAAGCGUGUGUAUUGUAUUUUUGAACUAUGAAGCUUCCGCUACUUGAAGAACUUGGGUUGUAAUAACUUUAAGAACUCCGAUGUAUUUUAUGAAUGUUGUAAUCUGGAUGUAUUUGUGAAUGGCGACCGCUAAACUUAUUACGAUCUUGGCUGUUGUGCGAUGUGUGGUUUGAAAUCCUUCGAGAUUUCACGGACUACCGGGAUUAUAUGGGCUUAAGCGUGAUGGUUUGACUAUGCAAAUGGUCACUGUUAGGCUUAAUCUCUUAUAAUUUGGACGGUUCUGUUACAGACCGGACUGAGGUUGUUCAGAUUUGGUGAUUAAUUAUCAAUUGGAAGGAAUAAUUGUGUAAAGGCGUCAUUACUGAGGAGAAUUUCGGAGCAUUAAUGAUUUUAUACUUCAAAAUUGGGGGGCAUGUGUUGACACCGUUUUUUGACAUGUAUCUUUGAAUACGUAUCUGGAGUUAAUGAGGAGUAGAUCGGCAAGUAGGAAAAUAGUGGCUGGUUUGCAGAUGAAUUGCCGAUGGGGUUGGUGCCGAUGGGAGAACGACGGAAUAUAACUAAGUCUAGGAAGUAGUGACGGGAUCAUGCCGAUGACUAGCACUGAUGGUUGCCGAUGAUGGUGAAAGGCGGUCUACCGAUGGUCAUGGAGAAAGAUGCAGGGGUUGCCGAUUGGCUCAUAACAGUGUACCGAUCGGUUGUGGAGGAUAGUUUAAUGCUUUUCUUAGUUAUUAGAGUUCGUUUUGUAUACGGAUUCCGUUUAAUUUGGAAUUCGAGUUCUAGUCGUGUCUGGUUGUAGUUCUUUGGUACAGGGUAUAAAUCUAGACCUCGUGGUAAUGUAAAGACAUCAUCUAUCAAUCAAUCAAACAUAAGUUUUUACACAUAUUCUAGCAUCUACUUUUCGACGACUUCGUCAUAUUUUCCUUUUACUACGAGUUCUUAGGAAUUCGUCGAGUCAAACUCGGCGUGUUCUCAAGUUUCGCGUGAGCACCUCUUGGCCGUGACAUCCGGGUACAUCGCUGUUGUCGGGACCAAAGUGUUCGAGUUACCACCUUUGUCGAUUGUAAGGUCAAAUCGGCUCGCACGCCUUAACGUUUGAAUCGGGUAUUAGCCCUUUGUGUUUGCAAAUCAGCUUUUGCACCAACAGGUGUACUGCUAUCCAAGUGGAAAGAUUUUGUAAGUAGCUGAAACAAGCUAGAAGCAGUCGUAACUAGUUAAAACCAGUACACAGUUCUACAACAAGCAAAUGAAUGUAAUUGCAGGAAACUGGGAACAGUUGCAACCAGUUGGAAUCAGUUGAAAGUAUUUAAAACUGCUGCUUGUUGUGCCUGUCUUGUUCGUCGACCAAAAUUUAGAGCAGGGCAUGAGCUUAAUUUUGGCCUAGAAGAAAAAUGAGUUGCCACUGCUGCUCCUCCCCUCUGUGCCUCUCAUACUGCCUGCGCCUAAAAUAGCAGCUACUGCAUGCGUUGUUUGGCCGAGCAAAAGGAGAACACGAUGAGAGGCAUGUUUGCAUGCUCGCAUGCAUUGCUACUCUUCUUAAUUAGCUUGUGGGACCCAUGCCAUAAUUAGGCAAGCUACAAGCACCAUUCUUGUGUUAGAUAAGAGGUGCUGUAUGCAUUAAAGCUCUUGGUGACCACUUAUUGUUGACCAGAAAUGAGAGCACCUAGAGGAGUUUUUAGCUAGCCGUGUGAACCACUUGUUGCUUGGUCUGUUGUUGCUUACAGUCUGUGCCUAGGUGGAAAGCAGGAAGUUCGUGUAUGUGCUACUGGUGCCAUGUCUCAGUUGAAAGGAAGUGUGUGGGAGAGCAGUGUCCGAGUCUGGUCUGUUCCCAUGCCUGUGCUACUGCCCGUUGUGGAAAACGGCACUGUUGUUCCCCAUUGAAGAGCUGGCUGGCCAAGCCAUUUAGGCCGAGCGCUCCCUUUCCUUUCUCUUUCUCUCAGGAACAAAGAACAGAAAACGCUUCACUUCUUCUUCUUCCAUCUCUUGCUCUCAGGAACACAGAAUAGAGAACUCAAGCUCCCCUCUCCCAUCUCUCCCUAGCUUGGUGCUAACCCUAAUAGAGAUUUUGAGAGGCCUUCGCGAUUGAUCCAGUGAGCUCGUGAGCAUCUUGUCCCUCUCCUCUCCCUCUCAUAGCUUUGGCUCAUCUGGGAGAGGAUUGAGGGAAACACUAUGUGGUGAUUGCAAUUGUGGAUUUCUUAUUGCUCUUGAUGAUUGCUGUCACCUAGACGGUUGUAGAUUUGUUGAUUAGUGAGGGCAUUUGAUGAUUGUGUCCGCCUCCAAUCAAGGUGAUAUUUGUGAGGGGUAUUGUCCCGGUGAUUUUGUUGGCAAUCAUAUUGUAAUUGGUUCAUCCUCUACACAUCGGUAUAAUUAUCACUUACCUAUUUACUUUUUUACAAACUAGUUAUAACCAGUAGUUCCUAGUUGUAGUUAGAUGAAACUAGGUGUAGAGAGUAGUGACAUAGCCAUUGCUUGUGCCUAGAGAUCAUAACAACUAGAAUUGUUGGAUAGGUGGCUUGCAACCCUUGUAGAGCUAGAGCAAAAUUACUUUACAUCUUUUUGUUGUAUUAAUCCUUUGCUCUAGUGCCUUGAACAUUUUUUAAAUAUGCUAUUCACCCCCUGCUAGUCAUAUUAGGACCAAUCAAGUGGUAUCAGAGCCAUGGUCACCAUUUAAUCAAGGCUUAACAACCUUUGGUGUUAAAUGAUGGCUCAAAUUGUGUUCAACCAUGUGGGGGGCAAAACACCAUUCUUUGAUGGUACGUGCUAUGAUUAUUGGAAAAGAAAAAUGAAGAUGUAUUUGGGUUCAAUCAAUGAUCAAGUGUGGGAUGUGACUGAGAGUGAUUUUGUGAUUCUUGAUCCUACUAAUCUCACCAACCAAGAUAAAGCAAACAAGCAAUGCAAUAAUGGCUCUUAACACUAUAUAUAAUGCAAUUGAUUCAUAGGUGUUUGAGCAAAUUAAGGAUUGUGAUAGAGCAAGUGAAGUGUGGAAGAGAUUGGAGGAAACAUAUGAGAGCACCAACAGUCAAGAGUGCAAAAUUGUAUAUUCUCAAAGAUAAGUUAACAAGCUUCAUGAUGAAGUAUGAUGAGAGCAUUCUAGAGAUGUUCCAUAGAUUGCAAGUAAUUGUGAAUGAUUUGAAGGCCUUGGGUGAGAAGAUAAGUGAUGAUGAUGUAUCUCAUCAGUUUUAGAUGUGCUUACCUCUAAGAUUUGAGACAUUAAGAUUAAUCAUUAUAAGAGGAUGUUGAAAGAACUUACCCCUAACCAAGUACUUGGUGAUGUCAUGACACAAGAAACAUACCGUGGGGAAAGGGACGGGGUUGACCAAGAUGAGAAGAAAUAUGAAGACAAGAAAAGGAAAAGUGUGGCUUUCAAGGCUAGUUCCUCCAAGAGCAAGGGCAAAGCAAAGAAAGAAGAAUCAAGUGAAGAUGAGGAAGUUAGUGAUAUUGAUGAUGAAGCACUAGCUCUCUUUGUGCGCAAAUUUGGAAAAUUCAUGAAGAAGAAAGGAUGUGGUGUAAGAAAAAGAAGAGAUCAAAAUAAGAGCAAAGAAUAUGUGAGAAGAUGCCACAAAUGUAAGAGUAAGGAUCAUAUUGUUGCAGAUUGUCCCUACAAUAGCGACAAUGAUGAGGAUGACAAGAAAAAGGAAAAUAAAGUAAAGAAGGAGAAGAAAAUGACAUUCCAUAAGAACAAGGGUGGCGGCUAUGUGGUGACUUGGGAUAGUGAUGCUUCUUUAGAUAUUGAUGAUUCUAGUGAUGAUGACAAGAAAUCCAAGAAGAAGGCACUUGUAAACAUCACCAUCAACAACAAGCCUUCAUUCUUUGACAUUCCUUCAACAUGCCUCAUGGCUAAACCCAUUAAGGUACAAUAUGAUGAAAGUGAUGAUGAUUGUAAAAGUGAUAAUUGCAAGAGUGAUGGUGAUGAUGUUGAUGAUGAUAAAGAGUCCAAGGAGGAACUCAUGGACAUGUUGGAGAAUGCCCACACAUGUCUUGAGAUGAAGAGAAUGGAGUGUAAAGAAUUGCAGAAAGAGCUUAAAGCUCUCAAGCAAUCCUUUGAUGAGCUGCAAGAGUCUCAUGAGAUUCUAAAGGAAGACCAUGAGGAGCUUGGUAAUGCUCACUCUAAGCUUGAAAAAGCUCACUCCUCUCUCCUGAAGCAAGCUAAGAAAGAGGAAGUCAUUGUGACUUGUGACAAGGGCUCUACAUGUGAUUUAAUUAAUGAAUCUUUCAUUGAACCUAUUAUUCUUGCUUUCACUAAUUCUUCUUGUAGCACUUCCACCUCUACCUCAUAUACUAGUGAUGGUUUCACUUGUGAUGCCACAUUAAUAGUUGAGAAUGAGACCCUCAAGAAGGAGGUCAAUGAGCUCACUCGUGCCUUAGGAAAUGCCUAUGGUGGUGAGGCCCACUUGCUAAAGUGCUUGGGUAGCUAGAGAUUUUCUCUCAACAAAGAGGCAUUAGGCUAUACCCCCAAGAAAGACAAAAUGACCUUUGCUACUCAUAAAGCUUGCUUUGUGAAGGGCAAUGGUCAGUUUUGCAAUAGAUGUAAGCAAGUUGGGCACAUAGAGCGAUAUUGCAAGAAUGAGAACAAACCAAACAAUGUAUCCUCAAUUAAAUUUGAUUCUUGUUAUAUGCUUACCAUGGGUGUUAAUGGAGUGCAAGCUAAGUUCAUUGAUGCACCAAUUGUGGGCUCAAAGAAGAAGCUAUUUGAGUACCAAAGAACAUAGUCACUAACUUUCAAGGACCCAAGAAAGUUUGGGUACCUAAAAAGAAUUAAUUUUCUUUUGUAGGUGAAUUAUAAAGCCAGAGGAAGGCAUUGGGUUCUUGAUAGUGGGUGCACUCAACACCUGACUGGUGAUUUAAGAAUGUUCAAUUCAAUCAACACAAAUGAUAAUGAUGGAAUUCAUAUUAUAACAUUUGGUGAUAAUGGCAAAGGCAAAGUUAAAGCGCUUGGUAAUAUUGCAAUAUCCAAUGAUUUGAGUAUUUCCAAUGUACUACUAGUAGAGAGCUUGAACUUCAACCUAUUGUUAGUAGCUCAACUUUGGUGUGGAUGAUGUAGGGAUCAUAAGUGUAGAUGGCUCUAACUUGAUAUUCAAAGGAUUUAGAUAUAAGAAUAUAUACUUGGUUGAUUUCAAUGCUAGUGAAACUCAAUUAUCAACAUGUUUGCUCACUAAAUCUAGCAUGGGUUAGUUAUGGCAUAGAAGGCUUGGUUAUGUUGGAAUGAAACAAUUGAACAAGUUGAUAAAGCAUGAUCUAGUUAGAGGCUUGAAAGAUGUCACAUUUGAGAAAGAUAAGCUAUGUAGUCCAUGUCAAGCCAGAAAGCAAGUUGGUAACACACAUCCUAAGAAAAGCAUCAUGAGCACAUCUAAGGCAUUUGAGUUAUUGCACAUGGAUUUAUUUGGGCCAACAACAUACACUAGUAUUGGUGGAAACAAAUAUGGCUUUAUGAUGGUGGAUGAUUUUACAAGAUAUACAUGGGUAUUCUUUCUUGUUGACAAGAGUGAUGUUUUUGUAACUUUCAAAUCAUUUGUCACGAGAGUACACAAUGAGUUUGAAACAACCAUCAAGAGAGUGAGAAGUGACAAUGGUAGUGAGUUCGAAAAUACAAGAAUUGAUGAGUUACGUGAUGAUUUUGGAAUUAGGCAUCAACUCUCAGCUAAGUAGACUCCACAAUCAAAUGGGCUUAUUGAGAGGAAGAAUAGGACACUCAUGGAUAUGGCAAGGUUUAUGCUUAGUGAGUAUAAUGUAAGUCAUUCUUUUUGGGCUGAAGCAACCAACAUGGCUUGCUACUAUUGCAACCGCCUAUAUUGUCAUUCUAUGUUGGAGAAAACCCCAUAUGAGAUCUUGAAUGGUAGAAAACACAAUAUUGCAUACUUCUGGUUUUUGGUUGUAAAUUCUAUAGAUUGAAGAAAAGGACUAGAUUGAGCAAGUUUGAGAAGAAAUGUGCUGAAGGUUUUUUGCUUCUUUACUCCACUGCCAGCAAAGCUUAUAGAGUUUGGAAUUUUGCUAAUGUACUCUUGAGGAAGUUCAUGAUGUGGAAUUUGAUGAAACAAAUGGUUCUCAAGAGGAAUAUGAGAAUCUAGAUGAUGUGAGAGGCACUUGUUGGGUAUUAUUAACAUCAUUACCAAAAUUAGACUUAGUUUUCUAAUUCUGAUAAAAGUGCCAAAAAUGCCAAACCUAUCUCUCAUACCACUUAAGCCAAGUUGUCAUCCCCAGCAUGACAUGAGAGACGUGGUAUUGAAAUAUGCAAUUGCUCUUCUAAAUAAAUAAUGAAUGGGAUCUGCAAGCGCACAGAUUAAUACCGAUGUAGCAUUUUAACCGGGAAGUAUUCCAGGUAUCGUUAUUUAUAUUUUUACCACUGAGAAGGGAUUAGUAAUCAUCAAUGUUGAUUAUAGAAUGGAAUAUAAGAUUGAGUAUCUAUCAUUGCAUGUAUAAUUGGGAACAUUUAUCUAACACUUUCAUACAGGGGUAAGUGUCACAUAAAGGAUAUAUAAAAUAAUGAAUAGUGACAAUGAUAAUUAAUCUAAUAAGCAUAACGUAGCCACAUUUAAAUAUGAUAAGCACCUCAAUUAGAUAUUCUAGCAAGUCAUUAGCAUAGAAUUAGAACGAACUGCAAGAAUAUUUCCUAAGUUAUUCUCAACUAUAUAGUCUAGCAUUAUCAUAGUUAGUGCAAGCAUACUUAGCAAUCAUUGUGAGACAAGACUACGCCCAUGCAAAGUGAUAUUAGCAAGGAAUAUGAGAAACAUCGUAAUCACUCCCCUGUAAUAAUGUUGCUCUGCCAGCCCAAUACACGAGAGGGGGACUAUAUAAGAAUCAAUGAAGCUGUCACUAUCACAAACAACCCCACGAUCUAGCAUAUUGGGUACAAUCACAGAUAAAUACGGUAUAAGCACCAUGCCUACACUUUAUCUAUCAUUUACCCAUGGAUCCGAUGGAUAAACGCUAUACGAUCCUAAACAUGUAUAUAGAUCCAAUCUAACUAAGCCAAGUAUAUAACUAUGAUAAACUAAGAACAAUAUAAUCUUGAAUAUAAACAAGUAGAGCAAAGUCAUAAGCAAUAUAUUGAAGUAGAACAAAGUCAUAUUCAUAACAUUGAAGAACAAAGAUGAACAAUUAGAAGAACAAUUAAAGAAUUACCAAGAAUCCUCUUGACAGAUCUGGAAACCAAUCGAAGAUUGACUCCUUCUAGUUCUAAUCCUAUGUAGCCAUGCUAAUCUAGAUGUCUAAUCGAUGUGGUGGCUCUAGGCUUGAUCAGAGGCUUCUUCUCCCUUUAGGAAUAAUGAAUUAGGGUUGAGAGGCUCUCUCCUCCAGGGGCCAGGGGGUCUGUAAGGACCUUGAUGUCGCCUAGAGGGGGGGUGAAUAGGUGUAUCUAAAAAACCUGAAACUCAAAACUCAAGUUGCGGAAGUUAAAUGUCUGUCGGUACCACCGACAGUUUGGGCCGGUACUACUGGUGUAAGACAGCCAGUACUACCGACGCAACUGCUGGUACUACCGACGCCCUAAGAGAGCUACAAAAUCAGAGUAUUUUGAGUUUUGAUUUUAGAUCUGAGAGUUACCCCAUCCUCCUAGAUGUAGUAGAGGAUGAUGUUGAAGUUCCCUUGGCUUGGUUCUUCUCCAAAAUGUAGAUCGGCCCUUGUUCACCUAUGAACGGGGGUAGAUAGGAAGAACACAAAGAAAACAAGAACAAGGGUAGUCGAUGCUACCUCCACAGCAGGACAAGAUAUUUAUCCCGUGGUUCAGCUCACCACCAAGGCUUGCCUAUGUCCACGUUGUUGAGGAAACCACAUAGGCUUUUCGGGUCUCUUUCAACCCUAUCCUCAUUCUCAAGUCAAGAGAACAAUCCCUUGAGAUGAGGGGUGAUUCCACUAGAUGAUUUGAGUGAUUACAAACCUCCUGAGGCUACCACAUGAGUAGGAAGUUCUACGGGCAACACCUAGCCAGCUAGGAGCCUUGCUCCAAGAGUAACAAACACAAAUCCAACCGGCUUGAUGAAGAAAUCAAAUGCUCAAGCUUUGCUUUAAUGUUUCUCUCACCAAGAAUCCUUCUCUCACUCAAUCCCUUGCAAGAUUUGAAGUUAGGAGCAAAUCGGAUAGAAGAGAGAGGCUUUGGAGAGCUAGAGAGGUGCCUUGGCUGAAGGUUUGGUCGAGUGGAAGAGUGAGCCCACGGUUAGAAUGAAGGGAGUGCUAUUUAUACAUGGGUCCUAAACAGCUGCCGGUACUACCGGGGCAACCACCACUACCACCGGCUACCUCAGAUCUAACGGUAAGAAGUCUCUAUGAUUUGCGAGAAAUAAGCCUACCGGUACCACCGGGCUUUUGUCGGUACUACUGACCAUUUGCCGGUACCACCGGUGGAAGGCCGGUACCACCGGCAGUUCAAAUCUCCGCAAUCAAAAUUAGCGUAGAUUUGGGCUGCCGGUACUACUGGCGUUUCACACCGGUACUACUGGUGCUGGCCGGUACCACCGGCCCGAGCCCGGUACUACCGGUAGUUCAUUUUCUCGCAAAACUCAGGAGAAAGGGCUGGCACUGCCGGUACCAACGGCCCUGAGGGUUGGUACUACCGGGUCACCCUGGCAGAGAAGAAAUUUCCUAGAUGUUCGUGCGUCCAAGUGUUAGAGUGUCUCUCUUUUGAUUUAGUUUUAAUACUUGAGCACUCUAUCUUCCUCAAACCAACUAAAUUUGCAUCCCUCUUUAUACUGCGGCAAAUCCUAAACUCAAGGUCAAAAGUAUAUAACCAAUUUAACCACUUGAGUCUUCAAUGUCUUCAUAUGCCACUUCUUCUCAAUAUCACUUCAUCAAGGAUGCAAUUAACUUUGUCUCCUCUCUUUGAGUAAAUAUAGCUUGAGCAUGUGACUUGAAUCAUUUCAACAUAUGUGAGUUCAAUCCAUGACUUCAAGUCACUUCCAUUAAAGAUUUUGAUCCUCAACACAAUAUGACUCCUCAUAGCUUAAUUAGUAUCUCGACACAAUGCAAGUACUUUCUUCUUCACCUUAGCCAUGGUACCUCGGUCUACAAGCCAUUGCUUGACCUUCACCUUCGCUUAGUCCCUCGAAGCCUUUUCUUUGCUCUCUUCACUCUAUCAAGCCAUACUCAAGUCACAUCAUGUUAAGCAUCCAUUGAAAAAUUGUUUCUUCAAUAUUGUGAUUCUUGCUUGAAUAUCUUCUUGAUAUGAGCGUUGACAUUAAUCAAGCUUCAGUUUACACCAACACACAACUUUGGUCUUCUUUGAACUUUGUGUGAAAUACCAUCAAGUUUGCUUUCUUGUUGAACCUUUGAUACACUUAGCAAACUUUUUAGACCUUUAGUUAUGUUGUCAUUCAAUUCACCAAAACCCACUAAAGGGCUAGAUGCACUUACAAUCUUCCCCUUUUUGGUGAUUGAUGACAACACAAUUAAAGCUUACAAGAGAUUGAUAAAUAAAAAGAUUUUGAAUCCUCUGAUAUAGUGAGCUCCCCCUAAAUGCGUGCGUUGAAUGGAAUUCAAAUUUUGGCCUCAUAUGCCAAAUGCACAUAUUUAAGAAAAGGUGUGGAAACUCUUCUAUAUCUUAGCAUCCGUGGGGUGCAAGGUGUCAUCAUGAUAAACAUGAUGCUCAUGAUAGUUCAAGCACUUCAGAGAAAACAAAAACAAUACAUCAUUCAAGGCAUGAAUAUCACACACUAGCAUAAAAUUUUCCUUAUCAAGAGCAUCAAUUUAAACUAUCUUUGCACACUCCACACAAAAAUUGAAAAAUCUUAUAUGCCUCUCUUUUACCCCUUUAAAUCUGCAUAUCAAUCUCUCCUCCCUUACACUCUCCCCCAAAAUUUCUCCCCCUUUGGCAUUAAUCUCCAAAAAGGAUCUCUCCACCACGAGGAAGAAAUAAUGGCAGACAAGUGAGGGCAAGAGGUAGGUAAAAGUUCAGCAUAUAGGAUUUCUCUCCAGAGCUUUCUACCAAACAAAGUAUGCAACACUUUAAGUCAAGAUUCCUAAGAAGUUAGCAUGUUUUGUUCAUACCUCACUUAGAUUAUAGUUUUCACAUGAGACAAACUCACUUUAUCACUGCAAGAGGUAUCAACUAAAUAUCUAACUCAUUCUCUAAUCAUCACCACAAGAGCAAACUUAUGUUGUGACUCAAAAUAUUGCAUACACAUGCACAUACGCUAGCAUGUAAGGGCCUAGAUGCAUAAAGGUAAUACAAGAGUUCAUGGAGCGGUAUACCUUUGUUCUAAGCCUUGUAAUCUCCACCAUGAUGAUGAUUUUCAUGAGUUGAAUUUAGUGCUUUGAUGGGCUUAGCACUUCUUUAUGCAAAAGGAUUUCAUGUGCCCAUCUCUUUUCAUCAUCAUCUUUAAGGAGAUAUCCAAAAUUUGUGCUUGAUUUUGAUUGAAAGUCCAUUGCUAGCUCUUGAUGUCAUUAUGAGAUACUAAUUGAAGACAUAUUUCUUGAUAUACCAAAUUUGAAAAAUUAUCCACCAAUACCAAAUGAAAUAUGAUCUUCAUAAUUUUUGACACCAAUUGAAAUAGUCUUCACAAGUUGAUGCCAAUUGAAAUAGAUUCUUGUGUCUCAUAAUAUCUCCUAGACAAUGCUCACAAAGACAAGAGGUAGCAUUAAAUUGCACAAGCUAUAGUCUCACAACUAGUGACCGUUUGGAUGUGGAAGGCAUGUUGAUCACUAAUUGCAAAACCUCAUAACAUAGACUAAAGUCCCCUUUUUGGUAGUGCAUACAUAUAUAUGUGGAAGAUAAGAACAUAUGCACUUUUGGUCAAUUAAGUCCAAACAAGGGAAUUUAAGCUAUAUUAUGGAGAGUAGCUUCUUAAGAGAUAAAAUACAAUCCAAAAUGAAUAUGAGAGAAAACUUUACCCAUUUGGAUUGAGUUAAUGUAGCAUACCCAUGAGAAACUUAUUCUCACCAAGAGACUACACAAAUUCACUAGAAGAAAAGGUUAGUCUCAAAGACACAGGACAUAGAAUGGGCUUGUAACAGAACCGACCAAAUUAUAAGAGAUUAAGCCUAACAGCGACCAUUUGCAUAGUCAAACCAUCAGGCUUAAGCCCAUAUAAUCCCGGUAGUCCGUGAAAUCUCGAAGGAUUUCAAACCACACAUCGUACAACAGCCAAGAUCGUAAUAAGUUUAGCGGUCACCAUCCACAAAUACAUCCAGAUUACAACAUUCAUAAAACACAUCGGAGUUCUAAAAAUUAUUACAAACCAAGUUCUUCAAGUAGCGGAAGCUUCAUCGUUCGAAAAUACAACACACACGCUUAGUCUGAUACAGUGCCAUAGUUCGGUCAUUCCCACAAAAGCAAAAGGAGAGACGGAGUGACCAUCGCCCUUGGUCUAAUCAUCACCCAUAGCUGGGUACAGACAGAGGAUGCAAUAACCAUAGUACAUUUGACCAUCUGCAAAACAACAGGGGAGUAGAACCCUGAGUACGAGAAGGUACUCAGCUAGACUUACCCGUCAUAAAUUAAAAUAAAGACUCUUCAAGGAUCAUGAAGGCUAUAUAGUGGGGUAGCUGACAACCAUUUUGCAAAACCGCAGGAUUUUACUAUCAUAACCUACAUAAAUCUUUCUUCUUUUAAUUUGCUCAAGUUGAAAGUAUCAUUACCUAUUAUCUAGGUUUGCACCUGCACCAUUACAAGCAAGUAUAAGGAUAUGAUAGUACCUCAUCAUAGCAUUCAUAAACCAUUUAUCAAUAUAACCCAAGUGUCCCAUAGUCCUUACUACGAGGACGAAGCUCAUGUCAAAUGCUCACUAUCCAGGAGCGAUGGCAAUUCGAAUCGAUUUCUAACCAGCUGGCGAGUUUAUUCCCCACACAAACAACACUCACUGAUCAAGUGAGCUACAGGUCACCGUAUUGCACUAUCCAGGACCAAUUCGCGGGUUGGACAGGCACCGCCCGUACCCGAGGACCGUUCCGGCGACCGAGGUAUCCAAGGUAUACCAAGGUUGCGUGCCGUGCCCUCGUCGUUCUCCUCAACCAUCACCAACACAGCGCGUACAUCGGGCCGAUUCCCGGCCCGGAUAGUGCUCAGGCUUCGCGGUCGGAACGAGUUAUCCUUCCAGCUAAAUGUGGGGCAUGCGUUCAACAUGACAAGAGGGCCGUCAACGAUCGGUCCUUAAUCGACACAGGCAGGGGCACUAUGGUCGACCCACCAUAAGACCCUGCCCGGUCUCCAAUUACAUUCCACACUUGGUUAUUCUUUUCCCCAAGCAACCACUGCUUAAUCAAGCAGGUAUCCACCUAUAUCUCGUAGGUGACAGGGAAUCACCCGACUUCUACCAGACUAAGCAAGCUAAGCAUAGACUCCGUGCCUAUCUACAUAGGACAAGGUAGGUAAACGAGUAGGGAUAACAAGGAGUACAUAUGCAUCAACGGUAUCAAGCAAUUCCUAUCACUUAGAUGCAAUAUAGUAGAACAAGUACAGUGCAUCAUGUAAGUUAGCGAGAAUAAGGAGACUUAGAAUGCUCCGGGGCUUGCCUUUCUCAAACGUGCUGGGUUGGUGAUCCGGACACUCCUGCAGUUCCUCUCCGGAUUCCUGUGCUUCCGGAGGUUCCUGUUCCUGGAUCUCCUCUGGUUCCUCGGGUCCCACCUCGUUCUCCUGCGAGCCUGUACGAUGCAUGUGUGCUCAUGAGUGGAGUGCGAGAUGCCCGAGUGGAUGCUUGUAUGAGAAGGUACCAAGGAGUCAUGACAUGAUGCGUAGGUGAUUUAAUUGGUCAUGCUCUUUACAAGGUAGUCAACAUCAUCCAAGAGUAAGCAAUUGGAUCAAAUAUCUGUGCAUUCUCUUCUACAAUUAUUUUUCAAAUGCAACUAGCAACCCACAUGAUGCUUCAAAGAUACACCAAACCCCUCCUUAUUUUACUCAACCUAUAUAUAACAAUUCAUAAUUUUCUUUAUUCAUUUCUAGGCCCAUUAAAAAUUACAUGCAGUUCUGUUCAUCAAUAAAUUCCACAAAAAUUACAGGAGACUACCAGCCAAGCAUAAAGUGUACUAUAAAUUUGUCAUAAUUUUUGUAUACUUGUUUUGAGCUACAAAAAUCACAGGAUUAAUUAAUAAGGUAAGUAUAAUCACUCUACUGUGAUAUAAGUGUCAAACAACAGAUUUCAUAUUUUUACAAUUUGUCUAAUAUCAUAAGAAACAUCCACAAAAAUUUCCAGAUUAAUUGCAUGAUCCAAUUAAUUAUUAAAAAUCAUAAACCACUGCCAUGCAAGCAUUUAAAUUACCAUAAAUUUAUUUAUACACCAAAUAAUAUGUAGCAAUAUUUUCCCAGUGAGUAAACAUACAUGCAGAGCCAACAAAUCAAGUUUCACAUUUUUCUGAGUCAUAUUUUAUUUACUAUGCAUUUUCCAAGUUUAGCAAAAACAUGGAUUAAAUAUAUUCAUACAGAAAAGUUACUCAAACAUGACAUGCAAUCACAUCAUGCUGUAGAUCUGGAAAUAUAGAGCACACCAAAAUUUAUUUCAUCUAAUUUGGAGCUGUAGAACUCAAGAUAUGAAUUUUACAAGUUUUGAAUUAAUUUCUGGAAAACAUUUAUUCAAGAAAACCGACGAAAAAGGCUAAGCACACCCAGAUCUACACCCACCGGGGUCCCCCUGCGACUGACAGUGGGCCUCUGACCCCACCGGUCAGCGAGACCUAGAGGGAGCUCACCUCCGACGAGCAGAUCUCGCCGGCGGUGAGGUUUCCGGCCACGGGGUGUGCACCAUCGUGCUGCCCGCAGCGAGGCGCACCCAGCAGUACCCUCGGAUUGGCCGUAGGAUGACCGGAACACCUCCGAUGAGCAUGCAUGGCGGCACGGCGGCGCUGCUCGCCAUGGCCAGGCCGCUCCGGCGCGGUAGAGCGUGCGCAAACAGUUCUCCGAGCUUCCUCACCACCCUACCGACAUAGCGUAACCAAGAACCAGCGAAAAGAGGUAGGGAAACGCAAGAUCCGUCGCGGCGGAGUACUCCGGCGAGCUCGAGGUAACUCCGGCGAGCGAUUCACGGCGCUCGACGGACUCUCACCUCGGUAGACCGCUCGCAUAAGCUUACCCUAACAAUGGCGAAGGCGCUGGUGGCUUCGGUGUCGAGGUUUGGUCACUGGAGUGGCCGGCGGUGAGCAGCGGAGCCGCUCCGGCGAUGGCGCUGCGGCGGAGUCCUACGGCUCGGUGGCGCUCACGAGCGGAGGGAGGAAGGAGAAGGGCGCGGGCGACAGGAUGGAGGGAAUGGCCUGGGAGCCCGAGUCGGCGUCCCGACCAGGGGGGUUGGAGGCCGGCCGCGGCGCGUCCAACGCCGGCGUACGGCCGCCACGUGGCCGACGCCGGGUGGAGCGAGGCGGGCGCCGCGCGCGCGGGAGAGAGGGGAGGGGGAGCGGCCCGCGCUGCCCAGCUGGGCCGAAAGGGAGGCGGGUCGGCCCAGCAGCGCCUGUCCCCUUUCUCCUUUUUUUUUGAAAUUCUUUUCUAAAAUUCUUUCUAAAUUCAUUUGGACCAAUUUAAAAUCAUUUUCACCUCUUGCUCCCAAAAACAAAGUUGUUCCAAAACAAAAACCCUACAACUUUGUUUUAAUAAGCAAGACCAAAUUCUCAAUAUAAUUUGAAUUACAAAUUAAAACUAGUUCUAGUUUUUUAAAUAAAUUCAUUUUGGACAUUUUGUAAAAUUCCAUUUCUCAAAUUCCAUAGCUCCAAAAAUUGCACAAAAAUAUUCUUAAUUAUUCUUACACAUAAAUCAACCUAGUUUGAAUAUUUCACAUUUUUAGAAGCAAGCAUCAUAUUUUUAAAAUAAUUAAAACACAUGAAAUAAAGCACAUAAAAUCAUGUUUUGGGAUGAAUGACAUGCUCAUGAUGCUAUGCUUGAUGAGAAUGCUUAUGCAUGUUGUGAUAGGGCUAAAUGCAUGCUUAACACCUAGGGUGUUACAGCCCUUCCGCCCUUAGGGAAAUCUCGUCCUGAGAUUUUAGGUUACUAACCAUUUCUUAUGAAAUUUUGGAUAAACUGUUUUCAAGUAAUCCUCUGUUUCCCAGGUGGCAUCCCUAUCGUCAUGAUGACUCCACACCAUAUUAUAUGUUCUGACAAUUCUGUUUCGGGUUACCCGUUCCUUGGUAUCCACAAUUCCCACUGGUUGCUCCUUAUACUCUAAGUCUGCUUUUAUUUUGAUCCCUCGAGGUUCAAUUCUUUGCUCAGGUACUUUCAAACAUUUCCGCAGUUGCGACACAUGGAAGACCGGAAAGAUCGAGCUCAACUCUUCAGGUAACUGAAUCUUGUAGGCCACGGGGCCUUUCCUCUCCAGUAUUUGGUACGGUCCCACAUACCUGGGUGCAAGCUUGCUUCGAACUCGGAAACGUUGGACUUUCUUCAUUGGCGUAACCUUGAGGUACACAUAGUCACCUACUUUGAAUUCAAGUGGCCUUCUUCUCUUAUCAGCAUAACUCUUUUGUAGUGAUUGCACUGCUUGCAUAUGCUGCUGUAUGAUUUGCACCUUCUUCUCGGCCUCAUUCACGAAGUCGAUACCAUAGUAUCUUCUCUCACCAGGUUCAACCCAGUUUAACGGAGUUCUACACCUCCGACCAUACAAAGCUUCGAACGGGGCCAUCUUGAUGCUCUCUUGAUAACUGUUAUUGUAGGAGAAUUCCGCCAGAGGUAACCAUGAUUCCCAUGAUCCCUUGGACGAUAGCACACAGGCCCUCAGCAUAUCUUCUAACACUUGAUUUAGCCUCUCCGUUUGGCCUGAAGUCUGGGGAUGAUACGCCGUGCUUCUUAUCAGACUGGUCCCCAAAUUCUUAUGCAUCCGCUCCCAAAAGUGAGCGGUGAACUGUGGUCCUCUAUCUAAUAUGAUGGUCUUGGGAAUACCAUGCAACUUGACAAUCUCAGCCAUAUAUAUAUCGGCAUUCUCGGGAGGUCUGUAUGUGUUCUUAACUGGAAUGAAAUGAGCCGACUUGGUUAAUCGAUCUAUGAUUACCCAAAUCGAGUCAUUCCCCUUCCUCGUGGUCAGUAAACCUGUGAUAAAGUCCAUACUGACCUCUUCCCAUUUCCACUCUGGAACUGAUAACGGUUGCAACAGACCUGCAGGCUUCAUAUAGAUGGCCUUAACUCUGCAACACGUGUCACAACGGGCUACAUACGCAGCUAUCUCUUUCUUCAUCUUGGUCCACCAAAAGUGGGGUCUUAGAUCUUGAUACAUUUUGCUACUACCAGGAUGAAUGGAAAGCUUAGAGAUAUGGGCUUCAUCCAUGAUGCGAUUCUUCAAUUCCCGAUCCUUCGGGACUACUAACCGAUGUUGAAACCAUAGUACCCCUUUCUCAUCAACUCGAACUGAGUUUUUGGGUCGUCUUUGAAAUUCUCUUUGAUGUGGAAAAUACCUUUGUCUGCCUUCUGACCUUCAAUGACUUGACUUUCGAGUGAACAACUGAGUUGUAUGUGACAUAAGACUUCAGGAUGCAUGAGGUUGAAACCAUCUUCAAAUAACGGUUGAACCACUUGAUAGUGCGGUUUACGACUCAACGCAUCCGCUACUACAUUAGCUUUGCCUGGAUGAUAAUGAACUUCCAGGUCAUAGUCCUUGAUUAACUCUAACCACCGUCGUUGCCUCAUAUUCAGUUCGGACUGAGUGAAGAUGUACUUCAAAAUCUUAUGAUCGGUAUAAAUGUGACACUUAUUUCCCAGGAGAUAGUGUCUCCAAAUCUUCAAGGCGUGUACCACUGCUGCUAACUCGAGGUCGUGAGUUGGGUAGUUGACUUCGUGCUUUCUCAACUGUCGGGAAGCAUAAGCUAUCACUCUGCCAUCUUGCAUCAACACACACCCCAGGCCACUCUUCGAGGCGUCACAAAACACAUCAAAAGGCUUCUCUAUAUUAGGUUGUGCCAGAACGGGAGCAGUGGUUAGCAACUUUCGCAAGGUGCGGAAGGCUAACUCACACCCUUCCGUCCAGACAAACUUAUGAUCCUUUUGUAGCAAACUUGUCAUUGGCUUAGCAAUCUUGGAGAAUUCAGGUAUGAAACGACGAUAAUACUCGGCCAGACCAAGAAAACUUCUAACUUCCGAGACAGAAGUUGGUGCCUUCCAGUCCAUGACUUCCUGCACUUUUGACGGAUCCACAGCAAUCCCUUCUUCAGACAGAAUGCGCCCUAGGAAAGGAACUUUCUUCAACCAGAACUCACACUUGCUGAACUUGGCAUAUAACUGAUGCUCUCAUAAUCGUGUCACCACUAUUCUCAGAUGCUCGGCGUGAUCUUGCUCAUUUUCUGAAUAAACCAGAAUAUCAUCGAUAAACACCACAACAAACUUAUCCAAUUCUGGCAUAAAGAUUGAAUUCAUCAGAUACAUAAAGUAUGCAGGAGCAUUUGUCAAUCCAAAGGACAUGACAAGGUAUUCAUACAACCCAUAUCUGGUGGAAAAACCAGUCUUCGGGACAUCUUGUGGACGAAUCUUGAUUUGGUGAUACCCAGACCUCAAAUCUAUCUUAGAAAACACUCUUGCCAUGGACAACUGAUCAAACAGGAUAUCAAUCCUUAGCAACGGAUACUUAUUCUUGAUUGUCACUGCAUUGAGUGGACGAUAGUCCACGCACAUGUGCAACGAUUGAUCCUUCUUUUUCACAAACAACGCUGGACAACCCCAUUCCGACGAGCUUGGCCGGAUGAACCCUUUAUCCAGUAACUCUUUUAGUUGAUUCUUCAACUCAGCGAGUUCAUUUGGUGGCAUCCGGUACGGCCUUCUGGAUAUUGGUGCGGUACCCGGUAUCAACUCGAUUGCAAACUCUACUUCCCUAUCUGGGGGAAGUUCUGGUAAUUCCUCGGGAAAAACAUCAGGGAACUCACAUACCACGGGUAGGUGUUCUAGUGGAACUACCUGUACUACACACGAAAGACUGGCGAAGUCCAACCGUCGGGGUAGCUUGACCUGAAGCACACCCUUCCCUUGUGGGUCUCUGAGGGAAAGAGUUCUAUUCCCGGCGUCUAUAACCGCGCCCCAGUCAGUCAUCUUGUUCAUUCCAAUGAUGACAUCCAAAACCAGCCCUGGCAUGACCACAAGGUUUACGCGAAACCUCCGGCCACUGAUAUCCAAAGUAACUUCUGUUACUGUUUUAUUAGUCAACACAUCGCCUCCGGCUGAGCUGAUGCGAUAGCCAUAACCUAACUCAGUAACUGGCUGGUCAUGCUUUUGUGCAAAUGCUUGGCUCAUAAAUGAAUGCGAUGAUCUAGAAUCAAACAAAACAACUGCGAGAUGUUGGUUGACAGAAAACAUACCAGCUGUUACCGGUUCUCCUUCCGGGAUCUCCUCGAUUGAGGUAUGGUGCACACGAGCUGGAUAGGUUGGCUGCUGCCUCUUGGGGUAGGGACAUUCCUUAGCAAAGUGCCCCAUCUUGUGGCAGUUAUAGCACGGACCCUUGGGUGCAUUGUUGACGGCAGGUGCUGUAGCUUGAAUUGCCUUUGGCUUGGCAGGGGCUAUCGCCACCUUGUACUGCUUCUGCUAUGUUGGAUGCCCGGUGUUCCUUCUCUGCGGCGGUCGAAACCUAGCACCUGGGGCAAGAGGACGAUACUGCUGUCGUACUGUCACUGGUGCCCUGGACUGGGAUGACCCGGCUUCGAAAGCCCUCUUAUGUGACUUGGAUGCACUGUAGUUGUUGUUAUUGUUUUCUUGGGUCAGACAGUCACUGAUAUCGGCAUUGAAGGUAGCCCUGGCCCCUGUACCCAUGGUCUUCAGCAUCUUUGGACUCAAGCCUCUCUAGAAACUAGCAAUCUUUUUAGCCUCCGUGUUCACAAACUCAGGGGCAUAGCGAGCGAGAUUAUUGAAAGCGUGUAUAUUCUCCUUCACCAAUUUCGUCCCCUGGGACAGCCUCAUGAACUCCCCGAUAUUCAUUUCAACUAAACCCGGAGGAAUAUAAUUUCCCCGAAAAGCUGUGGUGAAGCGGUUCUAGGUAAUUGGGGUCCCCUCUGGGUAGGUGGUACGGUGAUGGGACCACCAAAUCCCAGCGGGUCCUUGCAACUGAUGUGCCGCAUACUCAGCCUUAAGUUCUUCUGUCAUUCGGAGAAGACGAAACUUCUGCUCCAUAGUGUUGAUCCACUCAUCUGCCUCGAGCGGUUCCAAAGCCUCUUUGAAGAUUGGUGGCUUGGUAUCCAUGAAGUCCUUGAACGAACUGUACUGAUUGACUUCACGGCCACCCUGGUUAUCCCCACGACGGGUGUUGUCAGCUAUGUUGCGUAGAGCCUCUUCCAUGUUGCGCUGCAUCUGUUCCAUGUUGCGUUGGCUCCCCAGAAACUGCAUGAAAAACACGUCUGCAGUGUACGGAGGAGGCGGUGGUGGUGGCGGUGUUGGUGCUCUGUCCUCAUUCCGUUGAGCCCCACCUCCGGAUGUACCUACUCCAAGACUCGGAUUGCUGUUACCCCCGCCACGUGUUUGCACCAUCUGCAUACGUCAAUGAUAAGCAAUUGUUAGGAGUUGCCAUCAAUGGUAGAAAUGUGUAGAAUCGUGCCGUACUGAAUUUACUGAGGGAAUAAAUUCGCACAAUAAACAGAGGCUAAACAAUUCAUCAUCUACGCACAACAUCACUAACAGAUCGCUUAACAUUCACACAACAAGGUUCGCGUACAUCUAACUUGCCAGCAUACAUACACUGGACUUUCAACAUUAACUCAUAAAGUUUUACAUAGCCCAGAUCCAAAAGUACAAGACAUGCCAUGCAACAUACAACAACAAAAGAAGAAGGACUAGCUCUAGAGCCCUAGCAUCUACUCGCUAUGGUCACUGUCCAUGCCGGAGCCAUCCUCAUCCUCAUCUCCACUAGCAGCUGCUCCUAUCUCGGGAUCCGCAUCCAUCUCGUCCUCAGAGUCUAGCUCAGCCGCUCUAGGCAGGUGGUGAGGGUGGAGCUGGUUAUGCAGCUGGUGGAUCUCUUCAUGCAAGUUCUCAUUGUACUCCUCCGCAUUAGCUAGCUGCUGCUCUAGCUCCAGCUGUCGGGCCCUCAAAGUGUCCUCCUCGUGCCAGGCUUCAUUCCUCUGUCCAAGCACAUGGACUAGCAUGCACUCGCAGUUCCUGUGAGCAGUAGUCACCCUGUCCUUCUGCUCCCGUACUGCAAGCAGGUCCUGACUCAGCUCACUGUUCUUCUGGACUGCCUGAUCUCUCUCUGUGGUCACACGGGCCAACUCUGCCUGUAGCCUCUCAACCUCAGAGUCAAACUCACGCUGCAACUGACGCUUCUCAUCCUGGAUGGUGAGAAGAGACCCGGACAAGCGACCCAAACAUCGCUCCAGGCCUCCAUAGGUCUUCAUCAGAGCGUACAUGGCACUCAUAGCUGCACCGUCACUGUGCUGGUCCUCAUCCGCACUCCUCUCUAGAGCAUUCACCUCGGACUGAUCCCACACCGAAGUGUAGGGGUCACCCCGGGGAAACACCCCAGCGAAGGCGUGGGCCAGCUCCUGUGGAAACCUCUCCAUGAGGUCCCUCAAAACUGCCAAAGCUGCCCUGCUGGCACCUUGGAAAGGCGUGAAACCUCGGGACUCGUACAGCCAGCCGCCCCAAGCAGGGUCUCCUCCACUGGUAGGGACAACUACCUCGACCCCCACCAGGGUCUCGUCACCAAGCGGCUCCUUAUCCCAAUAGUAGCGAGGCUCCCUUCCUUCGGGAUACCCCAUCGAACUGAGCACCCUCCAAAGCAAAGUGGGCAUCCCAAACUCGUCCAGGAACUUGCUCUUAUGUCGUGAGCUCCUAGCUGCCAACGGGUGGCGAGGGGCCCGCCCACCAGUGGACUUGCGAGCAGUGAGCCUAGUGCGUGCCAGCUGCUGCAAAUGGAAUACCGUGGGUAAGAGCGAGGAUUACCUUUAAUUACUUUAUUUAGAAUUGGGACAGAUUAAAUUGAGGGGGAAAGUAAGCAAUGAUAUGAAAUGAACAUGAUGCAUGCACGAACUUACGAUCUCACAAACUUAGAAACAAGGUUAACACUAAGCGGUAUAUGCGGUGGCACACAAUGUUCUCUCAUAACGUAACUAGCGUUCUAAUUGAGAACGUGGUUAGUGUACCUGCAGAAACUCAUUUCAGCCCACCCACAGUAUGAUCGUGCAGAACAAGAAUUUAAAACUAUGCACUUCACAUACACAGACACCCGUCCAUGCAUGUGAGGUGUUGCUACCCACAUCAUCACCCUAAUGACGGCAUCGCCUCUCAGGACGGAAUUCCCAACAUGCGGUACUGUUCCCAAGACACACCAACAUGUGUGCAUGACAUAGUACCUAACAACACUCCCCUAGACCGGCAGUGUAUCCGAUCAUGCUCUCACAGCUCCCACUUACCGUGGCGUAGAGGAAAAAUGGAUCCAUACAUUACCACUCAAAUGAAUGGCACUCAUACUAUUGCACGCCGUAUGAGCGACGAAAUAAAAAUAUGAUGCAUUAACCCCCAAGUGAGUACUUAACUAGCCACCUUAGAGUCCUUAACUGGGAAUAAAGGAUAUGACCAUGGCACACUAGAUAGUUUUCCAAAACUUAGUUUAACACCUUGAUCAUUAUUAAUUAAUAAAAUCUUUUAUUAAACCGGUUUAGAUUUUGUUUAGAACGUACUUAUGAACAGUAACUCGCUAAACCUUGCUCUGAUGCCAGCUGUAACAGAACCGACCAAAUUAUAAGAGAUUAAGCCUAACAGCGACCGUUUGCAUAGUCAAACCAUCAGGCUUAAGCCCAUAUAAUCCCGGUAGUCCGUGAAAUCUCGAAGGAUUUCAAACCACACAUCGUACAACAGCCAAGAUCUUAAUAAGUUUAGCGGUCGCCAUCCACAAAUACAUCUAGAUUACAACAUUCAUAAAACACAUCGGAGUUCUAAAAAUUAUUACAAACCAAGUUCUUCAAGUAGCGGAAGCUUCAUCAUUCGAAAAUACAACACACACGCUUAGUCUGAUACAGUGCCAUAGUUCGGUCAUUCCCACAAAAGCAAAAGGUGAGACGGAGUGACCAUCGCCCUUGGUCUAGUCAUCACCCAUAGCUGGGUACAGACAGAGGAUGCAAUAACCAUAGUACAUUUGACCAUCUGCAAAACAACAUGGGAGUAGAACCCUGAGUACGAGAAGGUACUCAGCUAGACUUACCCAUCAUAUAUUAAAAUAAAGACUCUUCAAGGAUCAUGAAGGCUAUAUAGUGGGGUAGCUGACAACCAUUUUGCAAAACCGCAGGAUUUUACUAUCAUAACCUACAUAAAUCUUUCUUUUUUUAAUUUGCUCAAGUUGAAAGUAUCAUUACCUAUUAUCUAGGUUUGCACCUGCACUAUUACAAGCAAGUAUAAGGAUAUGAUAGUACCUCAUCAUGGCAUUCAUAAACCAUUUAUCAAUAUAACCCAAGUGUCCCAUAGUCCUUACUACGAGGACGAAGCUCAUGUCAAGUGCUCACUAUCCAGGAGCGAUGGCGAUUUGAAUCAAUUUCUAACCAGCUGGCGAGUUUAUUCCCCACACAAACCACACUCACUCAUCAAGUGAGCUAUAGGUCACCGUAUUGCACUAUCCAGGACCAAUUCGCGGGUUCGACAGGCACCGCCCGUACCCGAGGACCAUUCCGGCGACCGAGGUAUCCAAGGUAUACAAAGGUUGCGCGCCGCGCCCUCGUCGUUCUCCUCAACCAUCACCAAUACAGCGCGUACAUCGGGCCGAUUCCCGACCCGGAUAGUGCUCAGGCUUCGCGGUCGGAACGACUUAUCCUUCUAGCUAAAUGUGGGGCAUGCGUUCAACAUGACAAGAGGGCCGUCAACGAUCGGUCCUUAAUCGACACAGGCAGGGGCACUAUGGUCGACCCACCAUAAGACCCUGCCCGGUCUCCAAUUACAUUCCACACUUGGUUAUUCUUUUCCCCAAGCAACCACUACUUAAUCAAGCAGGUAUCCACCUAUAUCUCACAGGUGACAGGGAAUCACCCGACUUCUACCGGACUAAGCAAGCUAAGCAUAGACUCUGUGCCUAUCUACAUAGGACAAGGUAGGUAAACGAGUAGGGAUAACAAGGAGUACAUAUGCAUCAACGGUAUCAAGCAAUUCCUAUCACUUAGAUGCAAUAUAGUAGAACAAGUACAGUGCAUCAUGUAAGUUAGCGAGAAUAGGGAGACUUAGAAUGCUCCGGGGCUUGCCUUUCUCAAACGUGCUGGGUCGGUGAUCCGGACACUCCUGCAGUUCCUCUCCGGAUUCCUGUGCUUCCGGAGGUUCCUGUUCCUAGAUCUCCUCUGGUUCCUCGGGUCCCACCUCGUUCUCCUGCAAGCCUGUACGAUGCAUGUGUCCUCCUGAGUGGAGUGCGAGAUGCCCGAGUGGAUGCUUGUAUGAGAAGGUACCAAGGAGUCAUGACAUGAUGCGUAGGCGAUUUAAUUGGUCAUGCUCUUUACAAGGUAGUCAACAUCAUCCAAGAGUAAGCAAUUGGAUCAAAUAUCUGUGCAUUCUCUUCUACAAUUAUUUUUCAAAUGCAACUAGCAAUCCACAUGAUGCUUCAAAGAUACACCAAACCCCUCCUUAUUUUACUCAACCUAUAUAUAACAAUUCAUAAUUUUCUUUAUUCAUUUCUAGGCCCAUUAAAAAUUACAUGCAGUUAUGUUCAUCAAUAAAUUCCACAAAAAUUACAGGAGACUACCAGCCAAGCACAAAGUCUACUGUAAAUUUUUCAUAAUUUUUGGAUACUUGUUUUGAGCUACAAAAAUCACAGGAUUAAUUAAUAAGGUAAGUAUAAUCACUCUACUGUGAUAUAAGUGUCAAACAACAGAUUUCAUAUUUUUACAAUUUGUCUAAUAUCAUAAGAAACAUCCACAAAAAUUUCCAGAUUAAUUGCAUGAUCCAAUUAAUUAUUAAAAAUCAUAAACCACUGCCAUGCAAGCAUUUAAAUUACCAUAAAUUUAUUUAUACACCAAAUAAUAUGUAGCAAUAUUUUCACAGUGAGUAAACAUACAUGCAGAGCCAACAAAUCAAGUUUCACAUUUUUCUGAGUCAUAUUUUAUUUACUAUGCAUUUUCCAAGUUUAGCAAAACAAUGGAUUAAAUAUAUCAUACAGAAAAGUUACUCAAACAUGACAUGCAAUCACAUCAUGCUGUAGAUCUGGAAAUAUAGAGCACACCAAAAUUUAUUUCAUCCAAUUUGGAGAUGUAGAACUCAAGAUACGAAUUUUACAAGUUUUGAAUUAAUUUCUGGAAAACAUUUAUUCAAGAAAACCAACGAAAAAGGCUAAGCACACCUAGAUCUACACCCACCGGGGUCCUCCUGCGACUGACAGUGGCCUCUGACCCCACCAGUCAGCGAGACCGAGAGGGAACUCACCUCCGACGAGCAGAUCUCGCCGGCGGUGAGGUUCCCGGCCACGGGGUGAGCACCAUCGUGCUCCCCGCAGCGAGGCGCACCCAGCGGUACCCUCGGAUUGGCCGGAGGAUGACCGGAACACCUCCGACGAGCAUGCAUGGCGGCACGGCGGCGCUGCUCGCCAUGGCCAGGCCGCUCCGGCGCGGUAGAGCGUGCGCAAACAGUUCUCCGAGCUUCCUCACCACCCUACCGACCUAGCGCAACCAAGAACCAGCGAAAAGAGGUAGGGAAACGCAAGAUCCGUCGCGGCGGAGUACUCCGGCGAGCUUGGGGUAACUCCGGCGAGCGAUUCACGGCGCUCGACGGACUCUCACCUCGGUAGAACGCUCGCAUAAGCUUACCCUAACAAUGGCGAAGGCGCUGGUGGCUUCGGUGUCGAGGUUUGGUCACUGGAGUGGCCGGCCGUGAGCAGCGGAGCCGCUCCGGCGAUGGCGCUGCGGCGGAGUCCUACGGCUCGGUGGCGCUCGCGAGCGGAGGGAGGAAGGAGAAGGUCGCGGGCGACAGGAUGGAGGGAAUGGCCUGGGAGCCCGAGCCGGCGUCCCGACCAGGGGGGUUGGAGGCCGGCCGCGGCGCGUCCAACGCCGGCGUACGGCCGCCACGUGGCCGGCGCCGGGUGGAGCGAGGCGGGCGCCACGCGCGCGGGAGAGAGGGGAGGGGGAGCGGGCCGCGCUGCCCAGCUGGGCCGAAAGGGAGGCGGGUCGGCCCAGCAGCGCCUGUCCCCUUUCUCCUUUUUUUUUGAAAUUCUUUUCUCAAAUUCUUUGUAAAUUCAUUUGGACCAAUGUAAAAUCAUUUUCACCUCUUGCUCCCAGAAACAAAGUUGUUCCAAAACAAAAACCCUACAACUUUGUUUUAAUAAGCAAGACCAAAUUCCCAAUAGAAUUUGAAUUACAAAUUAAAACUAGUUCUAGGUUUUUAAAUAAAUUCAUUUUGGACAUUUUGUAAAAUUCCAUUUCUCAAAUUCCAUAGCUCCAAAAAUUGCACAAAAAUAUUCUUAAUUCUUCUUACACAUAAAUCAACCUAGUUUGAAUAUUUCACAUUUUUAGAAGCAAGCAUCAUAUUUUUAACAUAAUUAAAACACAUGAAAUAAAGCACAUAAAAUCAUGUUUAGGGAUGAAUGACAUGCUCAUGAUGCUAUGCUUGAUGAGAAUGCUUAUGCAUGUUGUGAUAGGGCUAAAUGCAUGCUUAACACCUAGGGUGUUACAGGGCUCCCCCUUAAUAUAUGCAGCAAGUACUUGAAUUACUUGUAAAGUGCAUUUGAAUCGGUUUAAGAGUCAAGAGGAGUUCAUCCUAUAUCUUGGUCAAGGCAUCAUAAUUUUGCAACAAUUGAAAUUUUUCCAAGGAAACAUACCACCACCAAGGUAGAUAGAUCACCACAUAGAUUUUUAUUUAUAUGACCAUCAUAAGUGAGAAUCCAAUGAUUUGGAUGGCCAUAUAUUUCUCAAUUGAUGACAUGUGAUGACUUAGAGCUCUUAUGAUCAUCCAAGAUACAAAUUAUGUUCCUAGUUCUUUCUUUACCUAAGGCAACCCACAAAGAGCAAAAGGUAAAAUUCAUGAAAUUUGCAAAUUGUGAACUAGGAGUUUCCACUCUUUGUUGACAAGAUCCUAGGUGAUCAAUGGAAUGGUUCAUGAACACUGGAUGAGCUCUAGAGAGAAGAAAUAGCAAAGAAAUCCCAUUUUUAAUUCUUUUCUCCAACUCAUUCAAAUCCAAUUCCACUAAAGGAUUGGGGCAUUCAACAUUAAACUGGGAGCACUUGGUUUAUAAAAAAACAAGAUCCUAGAAUAGUUGUGAAGCACUAAGAGAAUCCAUUGGAAUCAUCCAUCUUCCUUUUUCCAUUGUGUGGGACUGCACAACAUACACUUGAAAGAAACCAAUAGUCUCACAAGAUAUAGUCUAAACUCCCCCUUAAUAUGUGCAUACAAGAGUACAUAGAGUACACUCAUGCAUAUCUAUACCAUGAGGUCAAGGGAGAAGUUUACACUGCAUUCCAACUGGUUUCAAACUCCUUCAGGCUGCUGUAAUUUAAUUAGUUUCAGCUAGUUUCAGUUGCUUCCAAUUGAUUUCAGCUAGUACCAUCUGAUUGUAACUCAUUUUUGCUACUUGUCACUGCUGAAGCCAACUAGUUUCAUCAAGUUUCAACUGAUCUUAGCUGCUGUUUCUGACAGACUGCAUUUGAAUUCUUCUAACAACUAAUUGCAAUUAUUUGCUACUGCUUGUAAUCUGAUUGCAACUUGUUUGGAUUCUUGUAUGAGUACUCUUCUUCCAAUGAAACUCCUUUAUCCAAACUGAUGCUGCUCUUUUUAAUAAAUCUUUCAUGAACAACUUGAGAGCCAACUGAAUCUUGUUACACUGCAAUCCAAUUCCAAACCGUCAGUUUUCAGAUUCUGUCAUCCUCAGAGAAGAAUUCAUAUCUCCCAGACCACUAGCCCAAUAUGCAUGAAAUUUGAUAGAGGUCUUCAUCUAUGAGUCCUCUAACUUCUGUAUAAAUUUUAUCUCAUUUGAACUCCAUUGGAUCAGUCAAAAUAAUUUUCUACCAAAACUGCUAUGGUCUGAAUCUGCAAUGCUGAAGCUGACAGAAUUCAACUCAAUACUGUUUUUCUUCUUAACCAAUCUUCAUGUAAACUGUACAGAAACAAGUAUCAGAUAUUUGUGUCAUGCUCAUAAUGUUUCAGGUCAAUUCAUCAGUGUUUGGACUUCCAAAUCCAUGCUUGAAGGCAGCCAAUUCAGAUUUUCAAAUUUCUGGACAGAUUUAAUAUUUCACAAUUCUUCUUUGCUUCUUGUCCAAUCUUGAGCUGGAUUUGGUUGAGAAUACUCACAAGAUGCAAUUUCCAUUCAGUCCUCUUAUCAGUACUUGUCAUCUUGUGAAUUCUUCUAAUAUAGCUCAUCCAAUUCAACCUCAAACUUGAUUUUAUUCAAAUUCAGAUUUUUGAUCAAUAUGACCUCUAGCAGCAACAUCUCUCUUUAGGUGAAGAGUAACCUUCAAACUUGUGAAUUAUUCAAUUUAGCCAAGCACAACCUCUUCUCAUAAAUUUUCACCCUUCUUGAGAUAUAAUGGAUGAGAUGGUCUCUUCAUCUUGACUUUGUUUAUCAUCAUGUUGUAGGCUUCUUCCAUGUCUUGGACUGAUGUCACCUGCUGCUAUCUAUAUAGGGGCGGCACUACUGCUCUAAGGUGUCAGCGGAAUUUGGUGCAGCAGCAACUUGAGGAUAUCUUUAUUACUGUUACUUGGUCUCAUAUCACCAGUGGCAAUUUUUUUGAUCACCUCAUAAGAUGAUUCCUCAUUGCCUACAGCAUAAACAAGAUCUUGCUCUACUAGAGAGCCAUUAAAAGCAUCAUAUGGCAAAUGAUUCAUUUAACUUGAAAUACUCUAGCCACUCUUGAUAAUUCACAAAUACACACAUACUUGUGAACUAUCAGAGACUACACAAGUCAAAAGGCUAGCUAGCAAGGGUUAGGUGCUAGUUACCAAGGUGAAUAUGAAGUUUGAAAUAAUUUCAUUAAUUUAUCUUCGGGUCAACCAUAUAAGAAGAAACAAUAUGAAUUGGUUGAUAGCUUGAGUGAAUAUUUUUAGUUAACUUGCUCAAGCACCCCGAAGCUUCAUAUCACCUUCAAGUACCUACAACACUCAUCAAGCACAACUUGGUACCCAAAUUUUGUUGGGUCCAUCAAGAGUAGUCACAAGAGACUUAGGCACCCAAAUGGCCUUUGCGCUAGCACAUGGUGAACCAAUCACCUUCCUAGCACAAGUGUCAUUUUUAGGCCUCCUAAGCAUAUUUGAAUGAAUUGAUGAGUUGAGCUUAGGAGUGUUACCAAUGGGACAAUCCAUACUUAGAUGUCCCUUUCCUCGACAAGUGUAGCAAGUGCGGUGUUUGUUCUUGCAAGACAUAUUCUUAUCUUGCUUCUUGUUUGCUACCUUGUUGACAAGCCUCUUUCUUAAUGAUGCCAAGCCUUCAUCCUUCAUGUAGGGGCAUGAUGCAAUUUCAUGACCCUUCUUAUUACAUCCAUAACACUUCCUCUUGCUUCUUCUUAUCUUCAUGUUUGGAAGUGCUGCUUGGUCAUUAGCCUUGUUGGAACACAUAGAGGCAUUGUUUCCCAUGUCGGGGCACUUGACAUGAGCCAUUUUGUUCUUCUCUUGUAUCUUGCUCAUGCCCUUCUCUUCUUUCUUCAAAGUGCAAUCUCUGACAUGGUGACCCUCUUUCUUGCACUUGAAGCAAGUGAUAAGAGUCUUCUUUGGUUGAAAUUGCACCUUUGUGACCUUGGGGACUUUCCUGUUCUGUAUAGGUGUAGCACCACCGCACUGGGAUGCGGCACUGCCACAUUCUUGAACCCUCAUAGCCUUGAGCACAAUUGCUGCAUCUUGGACAGACUGCACAUUUCUGGCUUGUCCCUUGACUUUGCCAUUGUUUGACUUGUGGCCUUCUAGAUGGAGCUUGAUGCAUGCAUCGGUUGAUCUCUUCUCAAGCUUCUUCACCAUGUCUUCAUGGUUAUCUUGAGAAGGUUGAGCAUUGCACUUGCCCUUCCAUUGAAUCAAAUCCCUUCUUAGCCUCUCAACCUCUUCCUUGAGCUCUUCAUUUUCUUUUGUAAUGGAGUCAUCACAAGUUUCUACAAGUACAUGCUCAAUGGAAGGUUGACUUGCUUGAGAGCAACAAUUGUUAGCACAAGAUAAAAUAUAUGGAACUUGUGUGCAUGUGCACUUGUGAGUGUGAGGUUGAUAUGAUUUUACCGAUGAUACCACAACCUCAUGAGCUAUUUCUAGCAUGAGAUGAGAAACAACAAGCUUCUCAUGAGAGCACAAGAGCUCAUCAUGACUUUCUUGCAAAGUCUCAUUCUUGCUAGUGAGACUCUCCACUUUGUCCUUGAGCAAAUCAUUCUCAUCUUCUAAUUGAGCAACACAAGAUAGAGAGUUAAUAGUACGAGUUUGCUUAAUUGACAAGUUUUCAUACCUUUUGACCAAACUAGCAUCAGAGCACUUAAGCUUUUCAUGCUCUUUGCUCAACUUCUCCAAGCAUUUGAUCAUUUUGAUGACAAACUCAUCUUGCUCAUGGAGUUUUUCUUCUUGAUCUUCAAUUUUCUCUAUGAGCUUGAGUACCAUCAACUUGUCUUUCUUGCUUAGGUGUGCAAGAUGUUGAUCGAUCUCAUCAUCAUCACUUUCAUCUUCACUCUCACUCUCACUUGCCACAUUCUUCUCUUUCUUAGCCAUGAGACCCACAUGAGAAGUGGCAUAGAGAGUUGAGCUUCUCGAUGAGGUGGAUUCAUCAUUUGGCCUCCAUCGAUCACAAUCUUCUUCUUCCUUCAAAAUGUUAGUCUCACAAGAACAAGAUGAAGCAGAAGUACCACAUGUAAAAACAUUGUUCUCACCAACCAUUUCAUCACUUUCCGAUGAGUCAUAUGUUGAUGAGGAAGUGGAUGUGACAUGAUCACUUUGACCAUUUGAUGGAAUCACUUAAGGCUCAUCACUUGUUGGUGAAGUUGAGCACUCCUCAAAUGGUUCCUCUAAUGAGAGAUAAUUCUCAUCAUAUUUGGACUUGUCAUAUCUUUCUUUCAGUGUAGUCCAAAUAAGAUGAGCAUCCAUAAGUGGUUCACCAUCUCCAAAUAUGACGGUAUCAAAAACAUCUUCACUCAAAGCACUAAAUAAGAUAUUAGUAGCUUGAGUAUUGUGUUGUAAGCAUUUCACUUCCUCUCUAGAUAGAUAGUCCAAAUCAUCACUAGGAGGUGAAAUGCUCACAUCUACAAUCCUCUCGAUAUGAGGACCCAUGGCCCCAAAAACAUCAAGCACAAUAGCGGACCAAGAAGCAUAAUUUGAACCAUCUAAAAUAGAAGUUCUAGAGAUACCUCCUCACUUGUCGACAUUGUCUCUCAAGGCGGUUAAGCCCGAAGUUGAGAGCGUAGCUUUGAUACCACUUGUAAGGACCUUGAUGUCGCCUAGAGGGGGGUGAAUAGGCGUAUCUAAAAAACCUGAAACUCAAAACUCAAGUUGCGGAAGUUAAAUGCCUGUCGGUACCGCCGACAGUUUGGGCCGGUACUACUGGAGUAAGACAGCCAGUACUACCGAUGCAACUGCUGGUACUACCGAUGCCCUAAGAGAGCUACAAAAUUAGAGUAUUUUGAGUUUUGAUUUCAGAUCUGAGAGUUACUCCAUCCUCCUAGAUGUAGUAGAGGAUGAUAUUGAAGUUCCCUUGGCUUGGUUCUUCUCCAAAAUGUAGAUCGGCCCUUGUUCACCUAUGAACGGGGGUAGAUAGGAAGAACACAAAGAAAACAAGAACAAGGGUAGUCGAUGCUACCUCCACAGCAGGACAAGAUAUUUAUCCCGUGGUUCAGCUCGCCACCAAGGCUUGCCUAUGUCCACGUUGUUGAGGAAGCCACACAGGCUUUUCGGGUCUCUUUCAACCCUAUCCUCGUUCUCAAGUCAAGAGAACAAUCCCUUGAUAUGAGGGGUGAUUCUACUAGAUGAUUUGAGUGAUUACAAACCUCUCGAGGCUACCACAUGAGUAGCAAGCUCUACGGGCAACACCUAGCCGGCUAGGAGCCUUGCUUCAAGAGUAACAAACACAAAUCCAACCAGCUUGACGAAGAAAUCAAAUGCUCAAGCUUUGCUUUAAUGUUUCUCUCACCAAGAAUCCUUCUCUAACUCAAUCCCUUGCAAGAUUUGAAGUUAGGAGCAAAGGGGAUAGAAGAGAGAGGCUUUGGAGAGCUAGAGAGGUGCCUUAGCUGAAGGUUUGGUCGAGUGGAAGAGUGAGCCCAUGGUUAGAAUGAGGGGAGAGCUAUUUAUACAUGGGUCCUGAACAACUGCCGGUACUACCGGGGCAACCACCGGUACCACCGACUACCUCAGAUCUAACGGUAAGAAGUCUCUAUGAUUUGCGAGAAAUAAGCCUACCGGUACCACCGGGCUUUUGUCGGUACUACCGACCAUUUGCCGGUACCACCGGUGGAAGGCCUGUACCACUGGCAGUUCAAAUCUCCGCAAUCAAAGUCAGUGCAGAUUUGUCCUGCCGGUACUACUGGCGUUUCACACCGGUACUACUGGUGCUGGCCUGUACCACCGGCCCGAGUCCGGUACUACCGGUAGUUCAUUUUCUCGCAAAACUCAGGAGAAAGGGCUGGCACUGCCGGUUCCACCGGCCCUGAGGGUUGGUACUACCGGGUCACCUUGGCAGAGAAGAAAUUUCCUAGAUGUUCGUGUGUGCAAGUGUUAGAGUGUCUCUCUUUUGAUUUAGUUUUAAUACUUGCGCACUCUAUCUUCCUCAAACCAACUAAAUUUGCAUCCCUCUUUAUAGUGCGACAAAUCCUAAACUCAAGGACAAAACUAUAUAACCAAUUUAACCACUUGAGUCUUCAAUGUCUUCAUAUGCCACUUCUUCUCAAUAUCACUUCAUCAAGGAUGCAAUUAACUUUGUCUCCUCUCUUUGAGUAAAUAUAGCUUGAGCAUGUUACUUGAAUCAUAUCAACAUAUGUGAGUUCAAUCCAUGACAUCAAGUCACUUCCAUUAAAGAUUUUGAUCUUCAACACAAUAUGACUCCUCAUAGCUUAAUUAGUAUCUCGACUCAAUGCAAGUACUCUCUUCAUCACCUUAGCCAUGGUACCUCGGUUUACAAGCCAUUGCUUGACCUUCACCUUCGCUUAGUCCCUCGAAGCCUUUUCUUUGCUAUCUUCACUCUAUCAAGCCAUACUCAAGUCACAUCAUGUUAAGCAUCCAUUGAAAAAUUGUUUCUUCAAUAUUGUGAUUCUUGCUUGAAUAUCUUCUUGAUAUGAGCGUUGACAUUAAUCAAGCUUCAGUUUACACCAACACACAACUUUGGUCUUCUUUGAACUUUGUGUGAAAUACCAUCAAGUUUGCUUUCUUGUUGAACCUUUGAUACACUUAGCAAACUUUUUAGACCUUUAAUUAUGUUGUCAUUCAAUUCACCAAAACCCACUAAAGGGCUAGACGCACUUACAGGGUCUAGUUUUAUAGUCCCUCCAAGUGAAUAUGGGCCGUUGGAUCAAACCGACAUUGAUUGAACGGUUAUCCUUGAUCCUUUAGGUCGGUGGAGAUCGAUCCCGAAAGAGAGUCCUGAUUGGACUCAGAAGGGGGGCGGGCGCCCUGGUCACCUAGGCGGGCGCCCAGGGCCAGGCCCCGUUCGGCCUCCGCUUCCUUCCCGUGGCUUCUGGAGUCUUCUAGAUGUAAGAUAACUGCGCGGCAUGUUGAUAUCUCUAUGUAAUCCCGACGUGUGGGCCUUUCUUCCAUAUUUCCUGAUAACCCCUUGCAAAAAUAGACAAACACCAAAACUCGUGGAAUUCUUUGAGAUAAAACCCUAAGUCUGGAUGUUGAUUUCAUUUGGAUCCUUUUCUUUGUUUAUUUGAUAAUUAAAUUUGAUACUUAAGGACCGUCAACAAACUCCCCCAAGCUUACCUCUUGCUCGUCCCUGAGCAAGGAUAAUCUCAGUGAUGGAUCAGAAGUUGUUGCAAUAUCUUUAAAAAUUGACGGUACACAUGCUUUUAAAUGAGGUCUCAUCUCUGAGUUUAGAGUAAACUAUCAAGACUUAAAACUUACUUACUUUACCUUUCACCAUGGGACUUGUAACCGUCUCUUAUAUCUUGAGUAGUUAAAAGAUAGAACAGUCUAGUCAAAUGUCAUGUCUCUUAUUCUUGAUCAGCUAUAGCUCUAGAGUUUUUGCAGAUUUUCAAAUAAAAGUUAGAGAUUCCUUGUAUGACUCUCUCAUAUCUCUAUUUUGUGGUAUUUCUGGAUGCUUACCAAUGCAGUGAUGGUAUAUGCCUUCUCUCAAAAUAUGUGGUAUUUGUGGUAUAAGGCAUUGUGACAUUGCCUUUUCUCUCACCCUACUCUAAUAAGGCUUUAAUAUCUGGAGCUCAUAGGUGGGAGAUAAAAUAUACAUACUCACAAGACAUUUAUUGUAUAGUCAAACCAUGGAUCCAAAGAAACAAGCCAAUACGUCAAAUCAAGAUGUGCAUGUGUGGCGAAUGAAUGAUGACAACAACGGUGAAAGUCUAAUUCUACUUUAUGCUCUUUUGAGGGGAUAUAUACCUUUCUUGCUUUUUGAAACAUUGUGAGGAGAGUGAAAUGCUCUAUAUUUUCUUUUUCUUUCCUCUCAGAUGGGUAUCUUGUACCCCUAAUUCUACUGUCGGACACUUGUCCAUUUUUACCUCUCGUCUCACUUUUUCUUUUCUUUCGAAGUUCCGGGCACUUGCCCCUUUUUAUUUCCUCGUAUUUUUUUCUCUUUUCUUUUUUAGAGCACUCAUCUCUUGAGAUAAUAUAGCAAGUGGUAGUAACAAGAUAACUUGAGCAUUUAUUUCAUAGGGGAAAAAUAUAAAUAUUUUUGGCUAUUCUCUCCCGGAUUAGGAGUAGAAUGUUUUUGGGUGGUUCUGGAGAUGGACAUGAGUGGAUAUACGUGGAUGGUACUUCCGGAGUAGAAUUAGCAUAUUUAACCACUUGACAAGCUCCUAAGGGUCUACACAGCUUGACCACACUCAAUGCUCAUAAGCAGUAAAAAGUAAAUAUGUGGCUCAAAGUCUAGCAAGCAUGUAUAUAUGGCUGUGGUAGGAAUUUAAACUCUCAUCAUACAGGAACUCAUCAUGCAAAAUUUUACAGAUUUUCAAAGAUAAAAUUCUCCAGAAUUCUAGCAUCUCUAGGAACAGAUAAACAACAGCUCAACCUUUCCAUAUCACAUCCGUUAACAACUUAGACUUCAGAUCAAGUUUUCUUCCCACAAGUUUAGGUUUAGAGCAAGUUUUAAAUUAUAACAGUUAUGUCUAAACUUGAGAGAGAAUUUCUAAUUUUAAAAAUUAGGCAGAGCAACUAUUCAUCAUAUCCAUGCUAGAGUUUUAUUAUUAAGAUUCAGAUUAGCAUAGCCACUUUAUUUAUUUAUUUAUUAAACACAUUAAGCAAAAGAUAUAUAUAUAUAUAAGCACAAAAUCUUUAUUUGUUUUUUUAUAGUUAUGUAUUUUAAUAUAGUAUAAGUAUAAAGAUAGAUAAAAAUACUUAGCGGGAUAAAUGGGGGUGCUCUCCCCCAAGCUGAAUUUUGACGUAAUUUCUUUCGAUGUAGCUAGCAGGUGGCAGAGGUGUAUUUGAAAGUCGGCAGUAUCUUGACAGCGAUUAGAAUGUCCUCCGUCUACUAGUCUUCUUGAUUCUUGAAUUCUGUGAAGCUCAAAUAGACAACAAAGUUUUGUGGAACUGAUUAAGUGUUAGCAUAAAUAUCUAGCCUUCAUCAUGUUGAGCCUCCUCAAUAAAUAUUACUUCUAUUUUUAUAUUUUCAUUUUAUAGAGCAGAAAAAUAUUUAUUUUAUUUUUAUGCUACUACAGUGAAUGUACUUAUGGGUUUUAUGCCACUCGUCUACUCACAUGGGGCUUACUGUUUUUCAUAUUUUUAUUUUCUUUUUAGAAUAGUAUGAACAUGAUUAACUAAGCAAACUAUUUUAAAUAAUUGAAAGGGAAAGGAUAACUACCAAGUUUACCUCUUGGCAAGGUGUUCGGUGUUUUUAAGUCCUCCGAACGGGACUUUCCGUUUUCUAGUUGUCCUGGGAUUCGUUGGGUGGCGGAGUCGGUACUUCCAGCGGCGCCUCCUCUUCAUGUAUAGUUAUCUUCUCUUUCCACACCUGACUCGGUGUUACGGUCUCCUCUGGAUAAUUCUGUUUAAACUGUAUGUCUUCUGACCUUACCACUUCUCCUUCAUAGUCUGCCCAUCCAUCCUUGAUGACUUCCCUCCUCUGGUUGCGGUUGCGUCGUUUUCUGACCUACUUAGAGUCUUCAACGAUAUAGUUAGGGUCAGUAAAAUAGCGGCGUACCUUCUCUGAGGGGAAGUGCAUAUGGACUUCUCCGGUUCCAAUGUAGAUGAUUGCUUUAACGGUGCUGAGGAACGGUCUUCCAAGGAUGAUGGGUGGAUCGUAUUCGUCUUCUCCCAUGUCAAUAACCUAAAAGUCUGUGUAGACAAAAUGAUCGUCUAUUUUGACAGGGACAUCAGUUACUAUUCCUUUAACUUCUCAAAAUGUCUGAUCUGCAAUCUGGAGCAGAAUGUAUGUUGGUUUUAGGGGCAUGGUUCCGAACAAGAGCUGAUAGGUGACUGCGGCCAUUAUGUUGACGCCUGAUCCUGUGUCGCAAGUCGUCUUGUAGAAGUUGUAUCCAUUUAUGGAGCAAUAGAUGAUUGGCAUUCCUGGGUCAUCCUUCUUGGUC
RNAcentral lists this long non-coding RNA (266298 nucleotides) under Sorghum bicolor (sorghum). RNAcentral's name for it is "long non-coding RNA (SBIC_LNC012152)". The stretch from base 152896 to 153002 matches the Rfam family "Plant small nucleolar RNA R71". The record is from RNAcentral. Lineage: Eukaryota; Viridiplantae; Streptophyta; Magnoliopsida; Poales; Poaceae.